GACACUGUAGGACUCAUCCAGGCCAUGGCAAAAGCGUUGAAGCGGAAUUUGCAGUGGCGCAGCUGGCUAUGGUCAGCGAAAUACCUGACAUGCUCAAGAUGGAAGCAGAAGUUUGUGUGUUCCGCUCACUUGUAUCUGGUAAUGAUGGUGAUGGCAAAUGGGAUGUGAGGAAGAUACCAAUUGACCAUAAGGAGGAUGAGCAUAAGGAGUUAUACUAUUGGUCAACUGAUGCUGUCAUCACAUUCAACUCUUACAUUUGUUGGAUCAACUAUUACAGAGGCGGUAUGCUAGCUUAUGAUGUACUUGAAGAAAAGCCCAAGAUCUUAUACCUCAGAUUGCCUAUUGUUGACCGUCCUAGAAGUUCAGCUCAAGGCAAAGCAUUCUAUGAGGUGAAUCGUAGUGUGUGCGCCACGAUAGAGCUGAGCAAAAAGGGCUCUGUUCUCAAAUUCACUGAUGUUAUCCGCUCUGAUGGGGAGCCGUUUGGGCCACUUGUGAAAGGUUCUAGUUUCACCAUUCACUCCUAUACUUUGUCCUCCUUAGAUGGGUCAUGUGAUAAGCAUGUGGCCAUCACAUCUGAAGAGUUGUGGGCUUUAAACAGACGUAUAGGUCUGCCGCGUGAUAUCCUGAUGUUCCCUCUUGUGAGCAUGCUGAAUUCCAACAUCGCAUACUUUUUGGUCUCAGAGUCUGCCGAAGAAGAAAACAGCAAGGUUUCUCUGGUCACAAUUCAAUUAAGUACCAAGAAAGUGCUGGCAGUUGAUCCAUAUAUUUCAAGAGAAGAAGGCAGCCCUAGUGGCCCAGAUGCUGACAUGCUUGAGGAAAAGUCUCAUCUCCUAAGGAGUUUCAUUUCCUCCAGGUUCCCCACGUACUUAACACAGGUAUUUCUAUCUUUGUAUAUUUAUCUGUCCAUAAAUUAAGUUUUGCUGGAUACUGUUAGUUUUUGCUACAUUCCUAAUCUCAGUGUUGGAUAAUCGAAAUAGCUGUUAUUUUUUAUGACAAUAGCAAAGUCCACUGAGCUAAAGUUUAGGAUGGUGCCUUAAAGUUUGCGUUUCCUCUUAACUUCGCGAACAGGUUGUUGCCUUAGUGUUCUGGAACAAAACUCCAGCCCUCAUUGCCUGGUAUUGUGGAAGAUCAAAAUUAUGAUAACAUUGUGUUUUUUUAUUAGGAAUUUAUCUUAUUGCCAAUACAGAAAGUGAGCAUGUAAAAUUGAAGCCUAAUUACAAUACUAGUAAAAUAUAGCUCUGUUGCAGAACCAAUUAAUUUGUGUAUUCAUCUUUGGCUACCAUAGAUUAGCUAUUACUUGUCAUCCUUUCUACUACACCAUUUGUCACCAGCUUUUGAGUAUGGUUCGAAGUAUGCACAGCCCAAUACAAGUAGUACAUUUAUCAUUACAUUCCUGUCUGAUGGGAUCCAGCACACCGAUUGGAGCUCCAUCAAAUAUCAUAUUAUCACUUAAGACACCCUCCCUGGCUAGCCCUAGCUGAUUGAUGGGCAAUGCCACUCUCCUCCCUGUGCAGCUGUAGAACCUUGUAACCUGAUAAUUGAUUCAACAGAUGAUUACUUUCCAAGUAGACCCCCUUGAAGGCUGAUCCAUCCCUUUCUUCCUCAGCUAGUCCAAAUCACAAGCACAGUAACACUGCCAGUGAUCACCGGGAGGUUGGCAAUGCCAAUGAUGCCUCUCACGCCUUCCAUGCAUGCUAGAGCUUCUGUCCUUCCUGCACUAUUGACAUAUACAGACGCUGUCAUACUCUGACCAAAUGAUGUUGCCUGAAGAGGAGCGCAGCACUGCUCCCAAUGAGCUUUUGCCCGUUUCAGUCACGAAGGCUGUGUCUGUUCAACUUCAGUUCCGGUCCGAACAACCUGUUGAUAGGUCGAUCACUUGUAUUCACAGACCUGAUGGUGUACAUGUUAGUUGCUGAUUUGUCUUGAAUAUCCAGGGUCUUGGUGCCAGGGUGUGUGAACUCCAUGCUCUAAUGGUAGCUCUUACUAAACUGGACUGAGGCUUGGGUCGUUGCACCUCCUUUGCCAAAGAUUGUAUCAUUUCGUAAAUGGCAUGCUCUGCACCAAAGGAAUAGCAGCUUGGCGCGCACCCCUUCAUUUAGUUUGCUCAAAGCCAUAAGUGCCCAGCCUCAGUCUUUAUGAGUCAACUCUCUGUCAGCCUGCAAGUUCCAGUCUUACCGAAGGGCACAUCUCAGGGACCUUGCUUUCAUACACAGCAUUACAGCAUGAUAUCCAUCUCCCUCCCCUGUCCCACAGAUGUUGCAGGCAGGGAGAACAUCCAUAUUCUGCCGCCAUCGGUUUCUUUGGACAGCCAAAGAAUCCAGAAUCCAUUGCCAGCUUCCAAGCAAUAACACACACAGUUGGCGGUACUUUCGUUUCCAGAUCAGGUUGCAUGGCAGCCUCUCUCCGUUCGGUCUAGUGGAUGAAGAGGUCUGAUACCCAGGCGAAGCCGUGAGUGUCGUGUAUUGGCAGAGAGUUCAAGGUUGCCAUGUGGUAUUCAAUUGUCCCUCCACAGCCUCACUUUUCUAGCUGAGCCGACUCACUAGAUGUCACUAUUUUUCAGCAAAUCUGAACCAUGCUCGAUUCCCUGCCAAACGGUCAAUGUGUUCCUAAAUCCCUGUUUGGGUAGCAGCAAGCUUUUAGUAUUCUAGUGCAGAGUCUCUCCUGGAAUUCGAUUAAUCUCCAUGCCCGCCGAGCGAGAAGGGCUUGGUUAAACGAUCGCAGAUAUUUGAAGUCCAUUUCUCUGACUUUUGUAAGUUUUUCCCACAACCACCAACGGACUCUUCUUCUGUCUUCCUCGUCACCCCACCAAACAAUCCUCAUAAUUUGCAUAAGAUCCUCACAGAGGCUUGCCGAUGACUUGAGGACUCUCAUGGUUAUAGGUGGGGAGGGCCUGGACAACCGAUUUGACCCAAGACCUCUUUACCAUGUUCAGUGGCAUUUCUCAGACAAGACUGAACACUUCUUUCUAUCAUUAUCCUUGAGAAGCUGGAACUUUGCAUUCUUUAUCCUCCCUUCUGGAAUUUGCAAGCUUAGAUACUUCCCAAUCGUUUGUAGACCAAGCAUAAUUGAGAGUGCCAUACCACCAGCCACUUUACAUUUGUUUCCUGGUCAUGGAGAACGCUCCUGGGCUAAGGAGUUGGCCUGCGGUUCGCUUGUGCCAAUUUUUGACCACAUGCACUGCGCACAAUAUUAGCUCUGUUUAACAAUAAAACGGUAAAAUAUAAUUGGUGUUACAUGGCACAGUGCAGAAAUUUUGUGCAAAACUUACUUGUGUCUUUCUUUUCGUCGAACUGCGCUAGCCCCCCUUUCCCUGAUUAUAUGAUGCAUGUCCUUCUUAUUAUUUAAGUUCAUUUGAUGCACUUGGUAUGGCUACUUCGAUCUUCAUAGGCACGAAAUUGAUGGGAUUUCACUACGUUGUUAUCUUCAUUUUUCAUGUCUGGCAUUUAAAAGAUGCGGACUGUGUUUUUGUUGUCGUUGGUAACCUGCAUAUAUUGCUGAAUAACCUUGAGAUAUAUGGGCGAAUCUGCAUGAGAAACACAGAUCUUUAUUAACUCACCAUUAUUAUUUUUGUAAGAAUGGUGACUUGUGACAUUAUAUGUGUUAAUUCACCAUGAAGGAUUGCCUUGUUUAGAAAGCCAAUCAAAUAAUUUGUAGGGUCAUUGUACUUACAGAAUAAUUCCAUAAUGAUCACGCGGGAGCUUUUUCACUAAUUUAUCAUUGGCUUACCGUAUUGCAGGAACCGUCUGACAUGUUGAGGUCAUUGAGUGUGACUGGACAACCGACUGAAAUCGUGCCGAGGGAGAAGGUUCAUAGACCAAGGGCCAAGUGAAGUGUGCAGUAGAGAGCGUCGCAAGGUCAGGUUUUCCUUUCUGUAUGGAUGAGAUGCAAUCCCUGAGAAAUUUGAGCUUCUUGAUCUGAUCCCGUCUUGUUCUAUCCAUCAAAGGUUGUGUCUCAGGUCCUGGAGGACUUAGUGAACAAUUGGGCCUGUUUGCAUCUUGCUGCGUGUUCAUUCUGGAAUCUGUGUUACUUUUAGUGGGAAUUGCUAGAAUCCCUGAGUUUGUAGGCCGCUUAAAUUCAUGUGGUGCAGCUCGAUCAAGAAUGAGAGCGAGGAAAGUUGCACUGUCCGUGGAUGAGUAGCGCAUCCUGACGCAGUCAUCUUUGAGCCAAGAGAUAUGCUCGAAUUUGUUUGUUAGGUCUGAAUCUGACGGUAUUAUACGAUUCGGAGACGCCUGUCAACGCCAAUUGAAAUAAAAGGUUUAAAAAAAACUGAAGCUCCGUGUCCUCUGUUUACGGGAGGCACGCCCUUUGGCUGGAAGGGGGCCCUACUGGCGUGCGACAUGCCAGCCAACACCGCGCAAUAUUAUCAGAAGAAAAAAAGAUCUUGUAAGGUGAAUGUCAGAAAAAGGACCCACAUUAUCAUCGAUUUAAGGCAACUUAAGCCAUCUUAUGCUGCUAGUCAGUCCUGGAGAACACAAGAAUUCUUCUUCAGGGUUUACUAAAAGAUAUGCUCGUAACCAAAACUAUACCAUACCAUGCAGAUUUUGACCCCCAAUCAUUCAUACAUAAUGCACAAAAAUGGGGCACAACUUUCUGGAAAACUAUCUGAAGGGAUGUCUAGCAGACAUCCCACCCUAUAAUCUCAAACCGUAAUCUCUUAUCCCUGAAAAGGCUAUCAUUUGAGCAUUGAACUUCUCUUCGUCCAGCGGAUCUGUCAAAACUCAAUCACUCACUUUUUUUUUUGCGGGAACCAUCACUCUUUUUUACUCCCUCUGUCGCCCCAGAAUAUAAGAACAUUUCUGACACUAUGCUAGUGUUAAAAACGUUCUUAUAUUUUGGGACGGAGGGAGUAGUAUUUACACAUUUUGUUUUGGACAUAACAUAUUUAAUUCAAAACUUGAUCUAGAAUACAUAUCAAAUACAGUAUAAUGUUGUUGCUGCUGAUCCAGAGUACAUAUUACUAAGAACAUACUAGUUUUUUCCCUACACAAAAAAAGAGAGCAUAGUAGUUAGUCUAGCUAAUUGCCUAAUGGCUCUCACAUUACAACAGCUUUUCUUCUCAGGGCCUGCAUCUCGUUGUUUCACCUUGCUUCUCAAGUGCAUCUAUCAGCGAAUCAACUAGCCUCUCUUUAAGUGAUCGAUACUACUAGUCUAGCAUCAAUUUUAAUUAGUCAAACCAGAGCAAACUAGCAUGUUAAUUUGCUCCCACACUACUACUACAAAAGCAGAGCCCGAUCACAUACACCGAGAAAAGCAGACAAGCGGUUGAUACAUCUAUAUCAAAAAUAAACUUUGCAAUCCGACAUAACAGUGGCCGUGGCGUGAGGACUGUCCAGGAUGAUGAACUCGGUUUGCUUCCUGAUGCCCUGUUCAAUGAUAACAGGGAUAGAGGCAUUGAGCAAAAGAGACAUCACUGUCAGAAUAACUGAGAUGGCCAUUCAAGAACUCAGGGAACUAUUGAUACUUAGAAAAUAAAAGUUCAAAACACCAUUAUCAAGUUGAUCAAACUACAGAAGCCCAUAUCUCUUAGCGCCCAACGAAACUGGGGUCCCAUACAAGUUUGCAAACGAACAAGACUGACACAGCAAGUAGAUAGAACACACACGAAAUCUGAACUUCAGCAACUCAUAGGACCAUCUCCUCAACAAAUCCAUGUGAUCAUCAGAUGGAUUAACACCUCGCCACUCUAUUCUCCACAGCAGAACAUAGCAUGGCAAUCCAAUGAUGGAACUGACACCUACUUGCACAGAAUCCCCGAGAUUCUGGAUGCUUCAGCGAUCCCUGAAAGCAUAAAUCAAAUAACUUUAGUCAGCAAAUGCUCUAACCAAAUAACCAGAGGAAUUGCACUCAAUAUUUUAACACUUGAUUUGGACCUGGACAUAAAUUGGUUGUUCCAAUUUUUUCUUAAGGCAACUAAGUUAUCAUAGCUUUAGCUUCGGAGUAGAACUAAAUUUCCGAAGAAGUAAUAUAUGCACAUAGACCUGAACUACCAACUGCUAGGUUGCAAUUGUACUGAUAACUUCAAAAGGCGGCAUGACAAGAGAUAGCGCCACAGGGAUAUCGUGUCACAAUAAUAGUGAGGGCCUACUUCAAACUGCACUUUACAGAGUCUGCACUCUAUCACUAACUUAUUGUAUCUAAAAUGUUUUAGAAGGAAAAAAAAAUCCAGCGCGCAGAUCAAUCAAUACCUUGUGAGAUUCAAGAACUUGGGGAACUCGGAUGGAAGGAAGGACGUGAGAAGGUGUGACUUUUCUUUAACCAUGUCAGCAUCUUGGCCACAGAGGUCUUCCUCUCCUUUAAUAUAUGGAACAAUUGAAGUGGCUUUCUGAGUAAUCAUAUCCAACGCAACCAUGGAAACCUUGUCAAUCUUAUCUCCUUCCCCAGAGAUCAAAUAGUGCACAAUACUAGGGUUGUCCAUGCUCACAAGAGGGUACAUCAGGCCUUCACGCGGGAGACAUUCGGAGGUGUUGUAAUGCCACAAUUCAAAAGCUAUCUUUACCCUUUCAUGGAAGCAGUUUAUAUCACCACUCUCCGUUAUGCUCAAAGUAUCAGUGACGAUGGUAUAACCUGUCCGAGGUUCAAGUGGGCCGCAGAGUUUUUCAUCAUGGCGAACAACAGAAGUGUACUUGAGUAGAUCACCUCCAACACCGGUGACACAGAGGCUACGGUUCAUCUCAAGGAAACCUCUUUCUUGCAUUUUUCUAGGACGGUUAGCGGUAGGUAACGGUAGAUAAAAAAUGUUGGGUGUUUCUGCAAAUAUAUCAUAGAAUAGAAUACCUCCUGUGUAGUAGGAAAUCCAGCAGAUAUAUUUGUUGAAUGUGAUGACAGCAUCCGUCAACCAAUUAUCCAGGGCCGGGAAUUCAUAAGUCUUAUGCUGAAUAGGUAUCUUUUGAACCUCCCACAUGCCAGCGUCGUCAGGAGCCGACACACAUGAGCGGAGUACGCACACUUCAGCUUCCAUCUGGUAGGCGCCUCGUAUCUGGGUGACCAUACCCAGCUGUGCGACGGCAAACUCUUCUUCAUGGCCAGGGGAUGAUCCGCGAAUGAGCCCUACGGUGUUGGGGAAAAACACUCGCUGCAUAGUGGUUCCCUCCGAGUCUUCCUCGCAAGAAGAAGUUCCCUCCGUGUCUUCCUCACAAGAAGAAGUUCCCUCCGUGUCUUCCUCACAGCACGGAGGUAAGACGACCAUGGGUAUGGUGCAAAGGGGGAGCCGUUUGAGCUCCAUGUGCGGCCCAGCUGCAGGAUCCGAGCAUGCUAUGCAGACGAAGUGGUCAUGCGUGAUAUCACCUGCCAUGGAGACGAGCUGGAAGAGGAUGAAGUCACGGUGCGCGGCCAUAAGCACGGUGCCGGAGCCGUAUUUUCCUUUGGUGCCGCCGGGCCACCGCACGUAGAGGCGGGAGACGGCGGGCGGCUCGGCGUGCAGGAUGGCGACCUCGAAAGGCCUGCCGAGAGAGGUUGACGAGGUGGCCCUGAGGGGCGCCGUAGAUUCGUCCGGGAAGCGCCAGCCGCCGCCGCCGUGGUCCUCGUCCCUGCGGUAGACGAAACGGUCCAGCAUCAUCCAGCCAGCAGCCUGGUCGGAUCCAGCCACGGCCAUGGAUGAUGGGUCGGCGCAGGGGUGGGGUGGGGUGGGGUCGGUUAGGCUAGGGUUUCGCGAGAAAAGAGGGAGGCGCUGGAGGGAUAUCACUGCGAGAUAGGAGAUCUCGAUCUCGAUCUCGAUCUAAUGAUAUAGAGGGAUGUCACACGACUACAUGCCGACCAAGGACUUGAGGAAGCACAGGAAUAUGUCCAACAAUGAUAACUACUAGUAUGUGUGCGGCAUGGAGGACUCCUCGAGGCACAGUUUAAUUGAAUGCACCAUUGCUAGGUCUGUGUGUGGGCGUUGGUUGAUGAUGGCUUGAUGGCACACAUGAUCGCUACGACGACUCAGAUCUUGCUGUUUUCUACGAUGGAAGUUCUCGCACUCGCACGUGACGAGAUGACUAGAAUGGCGCUACUUCAUGGGCAAUCUGGUAUGCGCAGAUGAAGCUAAUACAUGAAAGAGUAAUCCAAAGUCCAUUAUCAACACAUUUGUUUGUCACAAGGUUCAUAGCUGAAUUGGAACAGCUUCAGGCGCCGAGAGCGUCACAUGCAUUAACGACUUCAAAUGUGCAAGUUAGAUGCAUGGGAGCCACCUCCACAAGGAAAGGAACUAUCAAAAUAAAUGUUGAUGCGGGUAUUUCCAUUGAUCAUGACGUCAAUUCUUGUGAUCGCAAUGGAAUGGAAGCUAUCUGGGCUCGAUCGUCUAUUCUUGUGAUCCACAUACUGCUUCAUCCUGCUACGAUGAGUAAAUUGCAUAGAAGUACCACAAUUGAGGCAUUGAAAGCAGAUUGAUACCAAGAUUGGUAAUUUUUACGUGUCAGUACCAACUUUGGGGUGAACCGUUGCAAAAGGAACUAAAAGUGUUGUUUAUACGUAUUGACAGGCAAACUGACCGGUUGGGCCCGCCCGUCAGGUGCCACCCUGGCGUACCCGCGCGCUGACUCGGACGAGCUGGGUCGCACUGUUUAGGCGCGGCUGGUGCGGCCCGAGCCUCCGUCUCCGUCUCCGUCUCGCCCGUCGCCACCGCCGACCGCCCGCGCCGCCGCGAGCUCGAGGCACGCUCCUCCACGACCGCGGCCCCGCUCCGGCCACACACGCGCACCUUCCUGACCCCCGACCCUCCCCGCCGCGCCCGCCUCGCGCUCUCCUCCAUCCGCUUCCGCCGCGGUGCCAACUCCUCCUCCGCUUCCUCCAUCGACGCCGCAGGCUGUGGCUACCCCCUGCCCCACCUCCUCUCCCCUUCCGCCGCCGCCUCCUCCUCAUCCCCUUUCCCCUCGCUGUCAGCCCCCGUGUCCUGCCCCGCCACCGUCUCGGCGCCCCGCGCUGGCGCCCAGGUGGCCAUGGAGCUGCCGUGCGGGAUGGCCGUCGGCUCGCGCGUCACGGUGGUGGCCUGGCCGACGAGGAGGGACGGGGCGGCGUCGUCGCAGUUCAUGGCGGAGCUGCUCAGCACCAAGGCCGUCCACGGGGAGGAGCCGCCCAGGAUACUCCACUUCAACCCCAGGAUCAGAGGCGACUUCAGCGGCCGUCCCGUCAUCGAGCUCAACACCUGCUACCGCAUGCAGUGGGCGCUGCUGCAGCGCUGCGAGGGACCGGCGUCCCGGCCCGACGAGGAUAGGGGUGAGCUCCUUUGAUUCCACAGUUCAAUCUCGCUUUUUCCUCGUCGUUCGCUAAGAAAUUUAAUAGUGGUAUCUUAAUUUUGAAGCUAUUUGUUCGUUAAAACCAACACAAAUUUCAUCACAGAAUUUGCUUGCUAUUGGUUCCAAUUUCAGUUGAUGGGGAAGUCAAGUGUGAGAAAUGGACUCGGGAUGAUGGCCCCAACACAGAGGAAUCGUCAAACAUAAAGUGGCUGCUCAACAAUUUGAUCGGCAGGCCGGAGCCAGACAGGGUCUCUGUCGAUCAGGCAUACCCCUUUACAGAGGGCAAGCUCUUUGUCCUAACCAUCACAGCCGGUCUCGAAGGCUACCAUGUCAAUGUCAAUGAGCAACAUAUUGCAUUCUUCCCUUACCGCACUGUAAGAUUUUUGCCAUGCCUCUGCAGACAUUGCUCGUUGGUUACUUACAUAGCAUAUCAUCGAUGGAGAACCUGUUAUCUGAUGGGCUGUCAAUCUGUGGAUUUAACAGGGUUACAACAUCGAGGACGCAACGGGCCUGUCGUUGAACAGAGACCUUGACAUCAAGUCGAUUUCUGUCGCCCAUCUGCCCAAAUCACACCCUAGCUUCGACCCAUAGCGAUACCUUGAAAUGUCUGCACAGUGGAAGGGCUCACCUCUGCCGACUGAACCUGUCAAGCUGUUCAUCGGUAUCCUUUCUGCAGCCAACCAUUUCACCAAGCGGACGGCCGUUCGCAAGUCAUGGAUGAUUGCUACAAGGAAAUCGUCUAACAGUGUUGCCCGGUUCUUUGUCGCUCUGGUAAGUACCUGUGGAUGAUUGCUACAUUUUAUAGUUGUAUUGCUGACUUUGCAAACUCUAAUAGAAAACUUCUUUAUAGAAUGGGAAAAAAGAGGUCAAUGAAGAGCUGAAGAAGGAAGCAGAGUUCUUUGGUGACAUUGUUCUAGUGCCUUUCAUGGAAGCAGAGAAUCCUUGUGUGUUGGGCCAUGCAAAUUCCUGCAUUGGUGUGACUUGACUUCCAUUAUUCAGCAUAUUAAUGCUUUACGGGUCAUAUAUGUUAGCUCCCAUUUCCAGUGUCAUGUUUUAGUGCGUUCAUGCUUGUCUCUGCCUUUCUUAAAGUAAGCAUGGGUUUACCUGGUAGCUCGAACUAUGAUUAUGCUUGCAAAUGAAUUAUUGAUCAACCUAUCAACACAGGGUGUUAUAUUUUACAAUACCUGGUAGUGGUAUUAGAGUAUGAUAUUUCUUUUCAGAAAAAAAGUACGUGUCAUAAUUGUGGCAAAUUUCUCCAGGUAGUGAUAUAUUUCACGCUGCAUACAGGAGUGUGAUGUAAUUUUCUGCCCCUUUUCAGGAAUGGGAAGAGGAAGUGUAUCCACCUUAUGCAAACGGACCGGGCUAUGUGAUUUCAUCAGAAAUAGCUGAGUACAUCGUAUCCGAGUUUGACAACCAGGCACUGAGAGUAAGUCAUUACCACCCCUUGCCAGUAACUAGAUUUUGAAACAUCUAUGUAGUGUGUCUAAAAAGCCUAACAAACGGGUGUGCUUCUUCCCCCUGAUUGUUGCAGUUGUUCAAGAUGGAAGACGUGAGCAUGGGCAUGUGGGUUCAGAAGUUCAACAAGACUCGCCAGCUAGUGGAGUAUUCGCACGACGUCAAGUUCUUCCAGGCCGGCUGCUUCGACGGCUACUACACCGCGCACUACCAGUCGCCGCAGCACAUAAUCUGCCUGUGGAGGAAGCCGCAGUCCGGGAGUGCUCAAUGCUGCAAUGCCAGAUGACAAUGAGACUGCUUGUUAAUUGAAAAGCAGUACCCGGCUCUCUGGAGAAUCAAACAGCAAGGAUGAGUUCGAGUUUGAUCUUGAUUUGGAGGAUCUCUGGAGAAUUAGCUUGCGUAAUUCGCUCAUUCUUUUGGUCAGUGGCUGGUUAAUUCAGCUGCUGAUUCUGACACUAGCUAGAUGCUGACACCAUGUACAUGUGUCAAUUGUUUUUGACCUAGGAACUAUAACAGCUCUGCUGAUCUCACUUGUAUACCGGCUGUUCUUAUAUAUACAUAUUAGAUGUUUCGAGUAAAUCAUUUUGUGUGUUCAGAGCUGCUCCUGUGCAUUGUCGAUUCCACCUGCAUGUCUGAUUGUUCUAAGAAGUAUGAAUGUCGCAGACUGCCGGUUGAAGAUGUGCGACAUGCUCGUGCCACCAUUGUCAACAUCACAAACUGGCUGAACUUAGAAGUCUUUACAAAUUGCAAGCACGGAAGCAACAACCUCUUAAACAGAGUUCCUACAUACUGCAAGCAUUGAAAGCAACGACUUCCAAACAAAGUUCCUACAAACUGCAAGCACAUAAGCAAAGGUCCGCAUAAGCCCGCAAAAACAGGAGGUUAGUUCAAAAUGAACUAAAUCUAAGCAUGGCGAUUACAACUAACCUUAUCAAUUUUGACUACGGAACAACUUCCUAAACGAAGUUCCAUACACAAAUACUAAGACUGGCAGCAUUGGUCCUACCUUAACCCGGCCUAUACAAAGUUACUACAGAACAACUACUUCCUACAGAUGCAGAGCCGCACUCACUUGUGCCAUAUCUAACAGCCACCACAGCCAGCUUCCCCUUGAUCCAGAAGCGCAUGCUCCAGCAACUACAGCUUGGCAAACACUUGAACACCAGCUCACUGCCCCUGGCCCGUAGAAGCUGCUUCCAUUGCUGCAGAAAAUGCGAGAAAUUGGAAUGUAAUAUCAACCAACUGGCGAAUCAUGUUAGCUCAAUGUACAUUCCGCUUACUCACCAAUCACAAGGACCGACAAGUUCCUCAGAAAAUAAAAACAGGAGUUCAUAGAAUCAUUAAGAUAUAUUGACUUGUACUCAAGAGGAACACCUCUCUUUCUUUAGCACAUAUGUUCAGCUCAAUGUGUAAAGUUUCUUGCUAAGAACCAUAUUUUCAUGCCAUGUUGCUAAGUGCCAGCGCCACCACUGUGACGCGCGAGCCGACGGCCAUCCCACACGGCAGCUCCACGGCCACCUGGGCACCAGCGCGGGCGCCGAGACGGUGGCGGGGCAGGACGCGGGGGCUGACAACGAGGGGAAAGGGGAUGAGGAGGAGGCGGCGGCGGAAGGGGAGAGGAGGUGGGGCAGGGGGUAGCCACGGCGGUGAAGGCAGAGGAGGCUGCGGCGUCGAUGGAGGAAGCGGAGGAGGAGUUGGCGCCGCGGCGGAAGAGGAUGGAGGAGAGCGCGAGGCGGGCACGGCGGGACGGGUCGGGGGUCGGGAAGGUGUGCCUGUGUAACCAGAGCGGGGCCGCGGUCGUGGAGGAGCGUGCCUCGAGCUCGCGGCGGCGCGGGCGGUCGGCGGUGGCGACGGGCGAGACGGAGACGGAGACGGAGGCUCAGGCCGCACCAGCCGCGCCUAAAUGGUGCGACCCAGCUCGUCCGAGUCAGCGCGCGGGUACGCCAGGGUGGCACCUGACGGGUGGGCCCAACCGGUCAGUUUGCCUGUCAAUACGUAUAAACAACACUUUUAGUCCCUUUUGUAACGGUUCGCCCCAAAGUUGGUACUGACACGUAAAAAUUACCAAUCUUGGUAUCAAUCUGUUUUCAAUGUCUCAAUUGUGGUACUUCUGUGCAAUUUACUCUGCCACGAUGGAAGCAGUGGCAUAGCUGCUCGUCUAUAUGUGCUGGUGGACACGUAUGUUUACUUUCGAAUGCUGAGCUGAAAGACCCCGGAAGAAUUGCUCACACUGGUUGAGCCAGUUGAGGGGGUCCGCGGCGCCGUCGUAGGUAGCGAAGUCGAGCUUGACGAAGCGCGGCGGUGUCUGAGCAUGCCCGCCGUGAGCGUACGGCUCGGCGAUACGGAGCAACGAAGAGAAUGGCGUGGUCCGGUGUGCACAGGUGGUCUGUUGGGAAGUGGUGGCCUGGCGCAGCCAGCGUGGAAAUCCGCGGAGCCGGAGGGGCCGUCGUACAGCAGGGGCCAGGGAGAAGGCGCCGGUUGGUCCACGGCCAUGGUGUAGACUGGCGGCGGUGACGUCCCGGCCAACCAGGCCGGAAGUUGUGAUGGCGAGGGCGGAAACCGCACUUGCUGAAUUGGCACGCCCGCUUGCGCGGUUGUAGUCAGCCCGGUGCUGGGCGGCGGAGGCGCUUGCAGCGGCAGCUGCUACUGCAUGGAAACGGCGGAGGCGGCGGGUGCCGCGAUGGCCGCGGCCGGCCAUUGUGGCCAGAGCGGGGCGGUGGCGGGGGCUGGCUGCAGCUGCAGCGGCCCGGCGAGCGCUGUGGAGGCCGCCAGGUGCGGCGGCUCCCAUGGCAGUAGCAUCGGCCCGAUGGUGAUGGUUGGUGACGCGGCCGGCAGCAGCCCGUAGGGCCCGGCCAAGUAGAGGCAUAUUUGGACGGCUAUGACGAGAUCGUUGAGGACCCCGGUGAUCUCCUCCGGAGUGUAGGCGACGGCCGGUGGUGCGGUGGAGGGCGCCAUCAUCUGGGUGGUGGCGGCGCCGGAGGAUGCGACCAGCGGGGCGGACGGGGAGGGCAGCGGCGCGAUGGAGAAGGCCAGCGGCGCGGUGGUGACGGUCGACAGCGAAAGCGACGGGAUGGACGGCGGCGAAGAUAUGAUCGGAACUGAGCUACCUGAUACCAAGGUGUUAGGAGAUAGGGUUCUGUCGGUUCUAGGACGGAGGUUGUAGGGGAAGGAGGGAGCUAGUCGUGGACGAACUCGUGGCCACUGGCGGCUGGGCGCUGUCGUGCGCGAGGAGGCGGCUGCUGAGAGCGAGAUGGCGCAGGGGAGGAAGCGGAUAGGGUUAGAUCUCCCGGCUCCUAAGGAAGCCGAGCAAAUAUGAUUGCUUCUUCCUUAAUCUCAAAAUGGGUCCUUAUAUAAGUUUACAUAAUCCUCCUAAUGAUAUAAUUGGGUUAAGCCCCUAACAAGAUAAGAUAACUGGGCCAGGCCCCUAACUGCCUGGGCUGUAAUAUAUGCCGCUCAUGAGGUCAUGAGUGACAAGAAGAAGUCAGCAAAGAAAUGGCAAGAGAAGCUAGAUAAGCAGUCAGAGAAAUCAGAAUAAAUGAAAAGAAAGAGAGAAGCUGCAUUUGCUCCACCGAAGGUCUGAUUAUUCUUUCGUGUGCAUUUAUUUAUUAGUGGGCUUCUCUUUCUCUUGUAGAGUUAUUAAAUCUUUUUUAUCUUGUCAUUUGUCUCAGGAGAACACGGGUGGUCUAUCUGAAUCUGCCAAAGGUACCAAUGAUCACAAUGAGAUUGCUGAUAUGACAAAAUCCUUAAAGGUACACGUUGCUGUUAUUGUUCCGCGCCUUACAUAUUUUUUUCAUGCAUGUUCCUUUUAACUUGCUUUGGAGUAUGUUCUGUGUUUUCUUAGGGAGAGUGUGUUCUGUUGUUUCACUGUAAUCGUACCACAUCAUUGUGAUUGUUCUAUAUUUGCAGAAAAAGGCAAAGAAAUUCAGAAAAAAUGAAGCAGAGGAAAAUGUGAAAAUCGAGUCAUAUGUUGCCAGAAACGAGUCAUAUGAUGUGCUGUUUCAGUACUACUAGCUGUGAGGAGGAGGAGGUUAGCCUUGAUGGCCAGGUGGUACCUCGGAAGGACACCUUUCGGUAUUUGGGGUCAAUGUUGCAGGAGGAUGGGGGUAUUGAUGAAGAUGUGAACCAUCGAAUCAAAGCCGGAUGGAUGAAGUGGCGCCAAGCUUCUGGCAUUCUCUGUGACAAGAGAGUGCCACAAAAGCUAAAAGGCAAGUUCUACAGGACGGCGGUUCGACCCGCAAUGUUGUAUGGCGCGGAGUGUUGGCCGACUAAAAGGCGACAUGUUCAACAGUUAGGUGUGGCGGAGAUGCGUAUGUUGAGAUGGAUGUGUGGCCACACGAGGAAGGAUCGAGUCCGGAAUGAUGAUAUACGAGAUAGAGUUGGGGUAGCACCAAUUGAGGAGAAGCUUGUCCAACAUUGUUUGAGAUGGUUUGGGCAUAUUCAGCGCAGGCCUCCAGAAGCUCCAGUGCAUAGCGGACGGCUAAAGCGUGCGGAGAAUGUCAAGAGAGGGCGGGGUCGACCGAUUUUGACAUGGGAGGAGUCCGUUAAGAGAGACCUGAAGGAUUGGAGUAUCGACAAAGAGCUAGCUAUGGACAGGGGUGCGUGGAAGCUUGCUAUCCAUGUGCCGGAGUCAUGAGUUGGUUGCGAGAUCUUAUGGGUUUCACCUCUAGCCUACUCCAACUUGUUUGGGACUAAAGGCUUUGUUGUUGUUGUUGUAUGUUGCCAGAAACGAAGAAACACAAUGACUGCGAAAAGAAGCGCAAAUCAUUAGCCAAGUAACGGCAACAUGUCAGCAACUUGGAUGAUAGUCUUUAUUGUUUUAGUUAGUUCAUCGAACUAUUGUCAUCCAGUUAUACAACUAAACGGCUGUACCUAGCGGUUAUAUUGAUUUUGAACAUUUUUUGGGGGGAACCUUGAAUUCCUGUCCUCGCAAUCCUGGGUCUGCCACUGCCAGCUGCUCCAAAAUGCAGGUGAUCACCUCUGUCAUCGUUGCUUUCCGCCCCUCCCGGAAGUUCCAGACCUCAUUCAUGACAUGCCGUCCAUGAGGACUAUACUCGUUGAGCUCUCUCAGUGCAUCCUUCACUGCAUUGCAGAUGCUGUCGCCAUAAUCCAACCGCAGCUUGCUUAGUAUUGGAUCAUUGUCAUCUAUAACCUCCUGCAAUUGUCCCAAAACACCCUAGUGAUUAUUCACACAAAAUUCAGAGAAUUUAAGGGCAUGAAUGCUGUAGGGAAAUUGGAUAGACACCUUAUCUUCUUCAUCGACCUCAGUAUUAGUAAACGGACGCCAUAAUGGCUUCUGUAUUUCCUCCUGCCAAUACGAGACCAAACUUGCAGCUUUACCCUCUGGAUCAUUGUCCCUGUAUUUCAGAUUGCAUGCGGCGCGAAAAGGAUUCUCAUCAAGUUGGCCCAUCCUUUUGAUUCCAACAACGGCGCCCCACUAAUCGGCAUGUUCUCAAAACCCUGCACAUUAUCAUCAUCAUUUCAAUGAGGAAAACCUCUAGCAAUAAUGAAACUCCUCCCAAUGAGGAAAACAGAGCAACUAGUAGAAUUUUAAAAAACUAUCGGCUUUUACUUUUACCUGAAUCAACUCUUGGCGAUUCUCUUGGAGCUCUUUGCUGUUAGCCUGCUCUCUUUUGAAGAGGUCUAGCAAUGGAAUUUUCAUCCUUUUCCCUUCCUCAUCCAGAAUAUUUCUCACAUACGUCAUUACUGCAAAAAGACGUUGAUGGUCUUCCUCUGCGAGCAUCUCCCCUGCUUGUAGUUUCAUGUUCAGCUGCCGCGCGAUGAGCACUAGGGCUUUAUCCCUUUGCUCCAGUUGCCUCUCAAGUUGAAUUAGCUUGGCAUGAAUAGCCUCCAUCUCUUGCUACAAGGCGAGUUCUAGCAUGGUCAGCAACUUUGAUGGAGCUACUAAGAAUUUGAUGCAGAUGAGCUUAUCGAUUGUCCUAUCAAAGAGAAGAAGAAACCUUGUGGUUUCAUGCAGCAUGAGAGCAUGAUCAGCCACCUUGCUCUCUCCAUCUCCCUGUUCUGAUAUGUUGAUCUCCAAAUCCCCCUGCGUAUGUGUAGGGAAGUUCUGCUAAGACCAUAAAAAGGACAUGAACCGGGUCAUAUUGCGUGGAGAGCUCGGUCUGUUAGUUACUCCCUCCGUCCGGAAAUACUUGUCAUCAAAAUUAAUAAAAAAGGAUGUAUCUAGAUGUAUUUUAGUUCUAGAUACGUCCCUUUCUAUCCAUUUUGAUGACAAGUAUUUUCGGACGGAGGGAGUAUGAAUGUAGCGAUAAUCUAGCUAAAAGGGCCAAUAUUUGUCUAGAGUUUCGACUGAAAUCGUCUUAAGCUGACGCUUCCUAAUACGGAGUACUAAUUUAGGGGGAACACUGCCUGAGUAGCAUCUGGAAUGAAUGAGGGACCGACACUGAAGCUAAUUCUAGCAUUUAAAUUGGGAGUGCAGAUAGAUGAUCUGAAUUCCACAUUGUUUUAAGUCCCACCUACAGGUUUAGGCUUGUAAAGCAGGGCAAGUACUCUCUGAUAAUGCCUCUCUGAGCAUAUGUUGUCCAUGAUGAGUAAAAACAGAAUUAGGCAUUUGAUGUACCACGCUCUUUUUAGCGUGCAUUUGACAUUGCCAUCUGUAAUUUGUUUUGAUAAUUGCGGACAUCCGUGUUCAUUUCCAAAAUGAUACUCUAAUGUUCAGGUGAAAAUUCAGCAGUCUGAAAACUGAAAGUUUAACAUGUUGUAGAGUUCAGGCAAGAAAUGUAUGACCCUACCUUCUCCAGCUCAUGCAGCACUAGAUCAUGGUCAGCCAGCUUGCUCUCUCCACCUGCCAUGUCCAGUGUGUUGACCUCCUAAGUAAGACAAUAAAAACAAACAAGACUAUGUCAAGAUGGCAAAAGCAAAUAAACCGGGUCAUACUGCGAGGGAAAGUGGCUUUGUUGGUUAUUAUUGUUAAGGAGUGCGAACAAUCUAGAUAAAAAGAACAGACAUUUGUGUGAACAUGUAGAAUUUCUACUCAAAUCCUCCUGUUUGUUUGUUUCUUUAUUUAUUCACUGCCUGAGUAAAAGCUGCAUCUGGUUUAUUGAGAGAGUAUGCUGCAGCUAGUAGUCUUCCCAACACUGAAGCUAAUUCUAGUAUCAAACCUUUUUAGAUGAUUUCAAUCAUCAAACCUGGGAGUAGCGAUAGAUGAACUAUGGUGGCUUGUAAGCAGGGCAGGUGCUGUUUGUUACUGUUUCUCUGAGCAUAUGCUGAAUAUUGAUCCAUGAUUAAUACGAUAAUAAGUCAGAUACAGUUAAAAAUGAUGGCUGAAAAAAAAGCAUUUUAGCCCUCUUCAGCUGGACUUGCGCAUUCGACACUACUAUAUGUAACACGUUCAUUUUAAUAACUGCUGAUAUCGGUGUUCCUUUGUAAAGCGACACUCUGAAGCUGAGUUGAAAAAUCCAGAACUCUGAAAACUGAAAGUAAACUAACACUGAUGCUAAUUCUAGAUGAUUUAAAUUUAUACUGCGUGUACACUGUUUUUUGUUGCUCACAAGUUUUUUUUUGUGUGUGUGUGUGUGCCCACGACCAAUUCAAUAACAAAUUUGACAUACCGCUGUAAUUUUCGGCAAUAAACUUGCAAUUCAGGACUCACUCAUCUGAGAUCACACAUCCGACAUUAGCAUCCGUAACUUUUUGUUAGGUACUGUACUGAACUACCAAUGCUGGUGUGAAUUUGUAAAAAGACAUUGUAGAGCUGAGCUAAAAAGUUCAGCACUCUGAAAGUAAGCCAGCAUUUUAGAGUUCAGGCAAGAAAUGGCAUGCAUGAGCCUACCUUCUCCCGCUCCUGCAGUUCUGCUAUCUUCUCCAUCUUCCACUCGAGCUCUUUCGUCGUGGCAUCCAGUUCCGCCCUGAGCCUCUGAUUCUGCUCCUCCGGAUCCUCACAGUUCAACUCUGGUAUGAUCUCGUCAGAUAUGAUCCUCAGCUCUGGCAGGUGACAACCCAACAAGAUUAACAUUUGCCUAAAUAAUUAGAUCAUUAUCGAGCUCACAGCACGACCAAUCUAUGGAGUAUUACCGGCGAGCUCGUCGAUGAGGCAGCUAAUGUCCUCCUCCGCCGCCCGCACCGCCGCGGCCGCCUCCUCACACCUGGCCUCCAGGAGCCUCGCCCUCGCGUCGUACUCGUCGGCGAUGGCGUCCUCGGCCCUCUUCACCGCGGCGGCCAGGAAACUCCCCGUGGCGUCAUCCCCGCGCAGGUGCAUGAAGUGGUGGUGGAGCUCGGGCGGCACCGCUUCCUGGGCUGCCGCAGUGGUCGUGACGGCGGCCGGGUGCUGCUGGGUAUCGGAGGCCAGGGCGCUCUCGGUGGCGAGGUGGUGGUGCGCGUCGGAGGCCAGGGCGCUCUCGGCAGCGAGGUGGUGGUGAGCGUCGGAUGCCAGGGCGCUCUCGGCAGCGGGGUGGUGCUGCGCGUCGGAGGCCAGGGCGCUCUCGGCGGUGGGGUGGUGCUGCGCGUCGAAGGCGUGGGUGCUCGUGGCGAUGGCGUCGAGGACCUCGCCGGCGUCGGCGUCGGCCAUGGGCACGUCGUCGUCGCUUGACAUGCAAGUGCAGUGGAGCGGAGGCCUUUGAGUGGGUUUGCGUUGGGUUCCUGUACGGACCGCCCGAGUGGGUGGCUCUGGCGACGGGGGCGGCGAUCUCGCUCUCGGGCCUGUUUCCGGCGCGGGCGUUCGGAGCUCAGCGAGCGGGGAGGCGGUGGCGGCCACGGCGGCGUCCUGGCGUCCGGCCGGCCCCGCCGCGGGUGUGGUUGGCUGGUCGGGGAGCCGUUUUUGGGCGUUGGCCGAGGCGGAUUCCGACGUGGAGUCGGUAGGUGAAGAUGCGGAGGAGCUUCUGGGCGCGACGGCGGAGUCGAUGGAGGGCGGCCAGACGGCGUGCUCCAUCGGCGACUUUGUCGCACGUGUGGAGGAGCUGGGGGGCUCCUUCAAGGCCGGGCGCCGGCGUGCUUUCGCGCCCGGUGGCCGUGGCGCACGACGUCCAGUGUUCGCCGCGGGCAGGGGGCCGCGUGCAUCGCCGGGUCGUGCGGGGCGGGGCAGCAUGGGUUUCGCAGAUGCGGGCCUGCGUCUGCAACCUACCCCGGACCAGCCCCGCUCGGUGCUGGCGGCGCCUGCAGCUGCGGCGGCUCCGCCGGAUCUGGGCGCUGGUCGGCCUAGGGUUGGGGGCGACGAGCCGGGGGCGGUGCUGGGCCGGGCCCCUGGGACGCUCGUUGGCCCAUCUGACGGGCUGGCUUUGGUAGCGGCCCAGUCGACCGCUUCCGUGGGGCAGGUGGCCCAACCCAUGGCUCAGCCCGGUCUACAGGCAGCAUCCCAGCCCAGGCCUGUCAGAGGCGAGCAUCCAUAUAAAUGGCUGUGGCUUCCCCGUGGAACCCUAGAUCCCCAUUUAGGUUUUCCUGCCACCGCUUCGGAGGUGCGGCGCUUCGGCCACUCCGCACGUUUCCUCCUCCCCACCCCAUCCCCCCCGCCUCUGCUGCGCUCCUUUGCGGAGGUAGUGAAGAUGGGUUCCAAGUCCGACCGUCGGGGGGAGAAGCCGCCCAUGGAGCCACCACGGGACCGCUCCCGUGGCCGCGACGACGACGAGGGCGGGUGGUGGCCGCCGCCUGCUUGGUGGCUCAAGGAGUAGGAGCGCAAGAAGAAGAAGAAGGAAGAGCAUCGGAAGAGGGGCCUCGAGCUCAAGUGCAAAGGGCAGAUGUCCUCCCAGGGCGGCGACCGCGCAGUCGAUCUGCAAGCGAAGAAGCCGAAGCUCAAGCUUGCGGGGGCGGCGGCUUCCAAGCCACCCCUCCCGCCCAGAUCCGCGCAGCCUGGGGGCGGCGGCUCAUCCAAGGGCUCUGUGGAGGCGCCGAUUCCCAUUGAAGAUGCAGACGGCCCAGAGUGCUUCAAGUGCGGCUGAUCUGGUCACUACCAGAACACUUGCUCCUUCCAACCGCUGUGUGUGGUGUGCAACACGGAGGGACACACCUCGGCGCAGUGCCCAACCUGCGGCAAGCCUCUGAUCUUCCAAACCAUGGGGCACGCCAUCGCCGGCGAGGGCUUCUUCUGUCUCCAGUUCCCGGAUGAUGCGAGGGAGGAGACACCGAUCCUGAUGGGGGCCAACACGGCCGUGCUCUCCUCGACUCCGGGUGCGCUCUCGAGGGAGAUCUUGGCGAUGGAGUUGCCGCACCUGUUCGAGGGUGCCUGGGACUGGCAGAUCACUCCCAUGGAAGGAGGCGCGUUCUCGGUGGUGUUUCCUGACCCGGUGAUGCUGCGGAUGGCAACUAGGAGUGGCAAGCUCUUUCUGUCCCUCAAUAAUCUCAUGGUGGAUAUCCGUGAUGCGAUCCUCGAUUCGCCCAAAGGAUUGGAGAUGCCGGAGGUGUGGGUCAAGCUGGGUGGUGUCCCUCCGAAGCAGCGCCGCUCCGACAGGCUCAUGGCGGCCACCACCAUGCUGGGCCGGCCCCUGCAGGUUGAUGAGGAGUCCCUUCUUCGCCCCGGGCCGGUGCGCAUGCAUUUUGCCUGCAGCAAUCCUCGCAAGCUUCGGGGAAUGGUCCAGAUCUGGUUCAACAAUGCAUGUUUCAACAUCUCCGUCGAGCCCGAGCUCCCCCCGGCGCCACAAGUGGCUCCCCCUCCCUUCCCCUCCCCCUCCUCCUCAUGGCAAGGGCCCGGACGAGAAGGGGCGCGAUGGUGGCCACGACGACGACAAGGAGCUCGAUACUAGCAUGGGGGAUGACUCCAUUGAUACGGCGACGUGGGAGAAGCUGGGAAUCACGGAGCAAGGCGGGGCGGUGGCUCAUGCGCUGAUGCCCAGGGUGGAGCACUCUCUGGCUGGCGGAUCGUCGGAGAUGGAUGUCUCCAUCCCGAACCAAUACGGCUCCAACCUGGGGUCGGUCACGUCUCCUCCGAUGCGGAUGGAGGUGGUCGUGGCCACCUCGACGCUGGCGGAGCCGCAGGAAGAGGCGCGCACCCCCAUCGCGGUGUCAGCGGAAUCUCUGCCCCCCACCUCGAUCUCCCCGGUGCAAGGCGGACGCAGCAGCAGCAAACUUGGGGCAGUGAAGACGCUCAAGAAGGUUGCGGUGCGCAGGGUGAGCGCGGAGGCGGCGAGUGCUGCGGAGAACCUGGGGGCUCCGGCGACGCCUAGGCAGGCGGUGAUGGCCCUGGCCUUGCCUGUCAGCGCUCCGAUCGUGCAAGAGAUGCCCCAGGCGGUGCCCAUCCCGAAGGCCAAGCGCUCCAGGGCCGUGGUGGAGGGGCAGGUGCCUUCCGUGCGGGUCAGCGCGCGCGCCAAGGGAGCCAAGGGCAACCUGCCUUCGCUCCAGUGCGCACAACUUCUCCAAGCCCAGAAGAACCUGGAAACUUCAGGUAAUCCCCUGCCUCGUUUUACGAUUCUAGACUCCUUUUCAGACGAGCAUUUGGGCGAGGUGUUGGGAGAGAGUGGGGUGGAACCAAUGGACGACGGUGGCAUGGACGAGCUCAUCUUAUUGAUCCGUGCUAACGAGGUGGCGCAGGCAGUGCUCGCAGCGGCGGCUGUUCAACACGCGGAACGCUUGGCACUGGAGGCAGAGUCCUCGCAGGUGCCAGCGAUCCUGCCCGAUGGGUACAACGCAACAGGGGUUGCUGCUCCCCCUUGCCUCGCUGCGGCAAGGUGAGGCGCGUGGCUAAGGCAAUCACCUCAAGGGGGGUGCGCCUUCGGAACCACGUAAUUUAAAUGUGCGCGCUUCUUUGGAACAUUUGUGGCUUCGGCCACUCGAGGAGGCGCACCCAACUGAAGGAGUACAUCCGUAAAGAGGCGAUCGACAUCGUUGGGCUACAGGAAAUGAUCAAAUCGGAGUUUCGGCACCAAGAUCUCAUCGCUAUAGACCCCUUAGAGCGCUUCGUGUGGCACCAUAGCCCAGCUCAGGGCCAUUCGGGAGGUAUGCUUCUUGGUUUCUGUAGUGCUACCUUCGAGGUGCUGACCUGGGAGGUUGGCACCUUUCUAAUUGCGGCUAGAAUCCGCGUGCGAGCGUCGCUUCGCGAACUCGCGAUCGUGCAAGUCUACGGACCGGUAGAUCACUCCCGUUCGGCCGAGUUCUUGGGAGAACUUGAAGCCAAGGUGCUCGAUCUAGCUGAGGCUCAGAUCCCGCUCAUGGUGGGAGGGGAUUUUAACCUGAUUCACUCGGGGGCGGACAAGAACAAUGACAACGUUAAUUGGUCAAGGGUGGCCAUGUUCAACAAUGCUAUUGCUUCGAUGGCACUUAGGGAAGUGGCUCAUACGGGAGCGAGAUACACUUGGACUAACAAACAACUAGCCCCGGUGCGAUCUGUUCUGGACCGUGUCUUCAUGUCUUCGGACUGGGAAGUCCUAUUCCCUUUGUGCUCGCUUCUUGCGGAGACAAGGAUAGGUUCGGACCAUGUGCCUCUAAUCUUAUCUUCAGGGGAAGAUAGACUCAGGCGUAGCCCGCGUUUUUUCUUCGAAACCGCGUGGUUUGAGGUCCCUGAUUUCGAUGCAAUCUUUAAGGAGAGAUGGCAACGGAGUAUCCAGCAAGCCAGCCAGCAACGUGGUCCUUUGGAGCUUUGGAUUGCGGUGGGGGACCGCCUGCGCGCUAGCCUUAAGGGGUGGGGCGCGAACCAGGGACGCGAGGCCAAGAGCCUCAGGGCGAGGCUUGUGGCUGAUCGCCGUCCUUGAUGCCCAAGCAGACACGCGCCCUUUCUCAGAGCUAGAAUGGGCGUAGCACUACGCCUUGGAAGGCCAAGUCGAAGCAUUGCUGCGGGCCGAGGAGGAAUAUUGGAGGCGCAGAGGUGGCCUCAAGUGGACGCUCAAAGGGGACGCGAACACUAGGUAUUUCCAAGCCUACGCGAAUGGCCGGCGCAGGAAAUGCUCUAUCCUUAGGCUGCAGACGGAGCAGGGGCUCCUACUGCAGCAAUCGGAGAUCUCCAAUCACAUCUACGACUUCUACAUUAGUUUGAUGGGGUCGGACGACGCACAGCGUGCGCGCCUGCGGGCGGAUGUGUGGCUGCCGUCGCAGCGGGUGUCUGAUAGCGAGAACGACGAGCUGGGGCUCGCGUUCCUCCCUAAGGAAAUCGACAACGCGCUGUUGUCCAUGAAAACCGACACGGCGCCUGGUCCCGACGGGUGGCCGGUGGCGAUGUUUAAACAUUUCUAGCCACUGCUGCGUGGCCCUAUCUUCGACGUGUGCAACGGUUUUAUGCGCGGCUUCGUGGAUAUAGCUAGUCUUAACUACGGGGUCCUCUCGCUCAUUCCGAAAGUUCCGGGUGCGGACAACAUUCGUCAGUACAGGCCUAUUGCUCUUAUUAAUGUCCCGUUCAAGAUUUGUGCUAAAGGUUGCGCAACUAGGCUGUCUCCGGUCGCUCACCGCAUCAUUAGUCGCUCGCAGUCGGCGUUUAUUCGUGGUAGGAACAUUCUAGAGGGUCCGUUAGCCUUGGAAGAGACCCUUCACGAGCUUAGACGGACACACGAACCGGCGAUCCUCCUGAAAUUAGAUUUCGAGAAGGCUUACGAUCAUGUCAACUGGGCUUUCCUUCGGCAAGUCCUCUCUAGCAGGGGCUUCGCGCCUGUUUGGGUGCACCGAGUGAUGCAGCUAGUCUCGGGGGGCCAGACUGCUAUCUCGGUUAACAGAGAAGUAGGGAACUUCUUCCGGAACAAACGGGGAUUGCGCCAAGGCGAUCCCAUGUCUCCACUCCUUUUUAACUUCAUAGCCGAUGCGUUGGCUGCCAUGCUGCGGAAAGCCACGGAGGCUGGCCACAUUAAAGGGGUGUUAGGACACCUGAUCCCAGGGGGGAUCUCUCACUUGCAGUACGCGGAUGACACGCUCCUAUUGUUCCAACCAGACCCGCACAACAUCGCUACAGUCAAAGCUCUGCUUCUUAGCUUUGAACUUAUGUCGGGGCUUAAGAUAAACUUCCAUAAGAGCGAAGUGAUGUCUUUGGGCUUGGAGGCGCAGGAUAGUAGGCGCAUCACGGACCUGCUAAAUUGCAAGUUAGGAAAACUGUCGUUUACCUAUCUAGGCCUUCCAUUAGAUGCCAAGCACAUUAAGAUGGACGGCUGGGCCCCGCCGUGGACCAAGGUGGGUGAUCGGGUUUGCCCUUGGAGGGGAAAGUUUCUCUCCUCCGCAGCCAGGUUGGUGCUCACAAAUUCGAGCCUCUCCUCGCCGCCUCUAUUUGCAAUGGGGCUGUUCCUUCUGGCCAAUGGGGUGCAUGCCAGGAUGGACACUCCCCGGUCCCGUUUCUUUUGGGAAGGAGCGGGACCCAAGUGCAAAUAUCACAUGGUUCGAUGGGAUGCGGUGUGCCGUCCGAAGGCCCAUGGUGGACUAGGGAUCACGAACACCAGAAUCCUCAACAUUGCGCUUAUGUGCAAAUGGAUCUGGAAGCUGUCGCAGGGGGCGACGGGCCUGUGGGUUGAUCUACUCCGCACUAAGUACUUCCCGUCGGGGAACUUCUUUGAAGGGGUGGUCAGGGGCUCACCGUUUUGGAAUGACCUCCAAGCGGUGCGGCCAGCCUUCGCCUUGGGAGCCAAGUUCUCCGUUGGCAAUGGCCGUUCGGCCCAGUUUUGGUUGGAUCACUGGGUAGGAUCUCAACCCAUCUGGUCCGCUUUCCAGGACCUGUACAUCCAGGCGGUCAACCCGGACAUGAGCGUAGCCUCGGCGCUUGCCUCCUCCCCUCCUGCGAUCUGUUUCAGACGCGAGCUUACGGGAUCGGAACUAGCCCACCUGGCUGAGUUACGUGAGCUUAUCGCGCCGGUGACGCUUACCAUGCUCGCGGACACCGUGUCAUGGUCCCUCACUCCUUCCGGCAAGUUCACGGUUAAAUCUUUAUACCGUAAGAUGUGCCAGAGCCAGGCCUGCCUUGUGCCGAAAGCCCUAUGGACCGCGCGUCUACCUCUUAAGAUUAAGGUGUUCUUCUGGCAGAUGUUCCGCAAUCGGCUGCCCACCUCGGCUAACGUGGCUAAAUGGAAUGGUCCGUCGACGGGCACUUGCGCGGUUUGUCACGUUGUGGAAGAUGCCAAUCAUGUUUUCUUCCGCUGCCCGUUAGCCCGCUUUGCUUGGAGUGCGGUUCGAGCAGCCGCUAACACCUCUUGGAACCCACGUUCGACUUCCGACCUUGCGGGCUUAUUUGCCUCUGCCUCUGGAGGCAACAAUCGCGUGCUGUGGAGCUGUAUCGGAGCCCUAGCUUGGUCUCUCUGGCUAACUAGGAAUAAACUUGCGAUCGAGGGUAUUUUCCCAACGCACCCAGCUAACAUCCUAUUCAAAUGCAACCUCUUCCUGCAGCAGUGGAGUCCGUUGGUGAGGCGCAAGGAUGCUGAUAAGAUGAAGCAUGCCCAAGAUCGUCUGCGCACCGUCUACAUUUUGGCUAGGGAGCCUCUCGCCUCGUCUCCGUCGUGAUUGGGGCCCUUUUGCGUCGUGUUUGAGCGAGCCUGCGUGCUCUAUGCUCUGGCUUCGUGCCAUGUUUCUCGCAUCAUUCUUCUCUGGCCAGGUCUUUCGGAUGUAAACUUUAAGUUACUGCUGGCCGGGAGCCUCUGUGCUCGUGUCGUUUACUUUCGGAACUUGGUCUGUUACGCUGCCUGCUGUGGGCUUUAUUAAUUUAAAGCCGGACGCGUCUAAGCGUCUUCGUUCUAAAAAGGAUGGAUUUCCACUUUCUGGGAGUACUACUACUACAGUCUACAGCAUACUACCAGUACUAGUGCAGCCGAUGAUUUAUUAUAUUCAGUGCAUUUCUUUUCCAAAGCUUUUUUUAUUGGCACACCAUCUUCAUGUUCAAAUAUCUUUUCUAAAGCUAUUUUAAUCACUGUUGUUGUUCCGGAAGAAAUUAUGCUCGAUGAGUGUUGUCAGCAUGAGGGAAGGACCUCAAGUUCAGUUCAGCUUCCAAGGCCUCGAAUCCUGUGAGAAAAUCACAUGUUUGGUCCUUCAAGUGUUUGGCCCACAAUGAUUUGGUUCGACAACUCCAGAAACACUACGAUAUGAUCUUUAUAUACGUGAAUACGUAACAUUCUAUGGUACCCUUACGGUCCUCUCGAUAGUAGAGCACCCUGGUGCCGCGUCGCGCUGUGCUUUUGCAGAAAACCCCCUCGCUUUUUGUGGAAACAACCCACGCUCCAGUUUGGCACCACACGUUAGGAUCGCCGUCGUGGGCCCACUUGUCGGUCACACACGCCAUGUAGUCAAAUCGCCGUAGCCUUAUUCAAUAGCCACGCCUACUCCACCACUCCACUCCCAUCUCUCUCUGUCUCGUUGCCUCCCUCCUCAUGGAGAAACCCCCAUCUGUCUCUUUCUCUCUCUCAAACCCCUAACCAACCAACCAACCGCCCGUCACUGCCUACCGUCACCAUCGAUAGCGAAGACCAAUGAGUGGGAGAGGAUGGUCGACGGUUGGGCCGGCACCGAUCCACUCAAUGUCUCCAUCACUCGCGAGUCGGUGCCUGGUUCAAGAGUGCGUCAUUGCUCGCGAACCAUGCGUGUGGCUUGGUCAAACAGUUGAGGGAGGAUGAGAGGGCUCGUGUGUCCCCGGACGGCAAGGGCAUGGCAAUGGUUACCAUUAUCGUCUGGUGCAUGCUCGAGGGGCGGUCCGGUGAUGCUUCCUAGUGCACUCGCUGGGCCAUGUACCGCCCGUGCAGCCUGCGGCCGCUCCUGCCGGAUCCAAAAGUAGAGCGUGCCGAGCACGUUCAAGUGGUCGUGCCACAUCAUGUCGACUCCAACUGACUCACCAUCGCUCGCAAGGAGCCGCCACUGGGUAUGCCUGUGAUCGUCAUUGAUGACGACGAGCCGCACGAUGCUUCGUCUGAUGUGCAGGUCGCCGCUUGGCCUGUCAUCGCAUGCAGCAAGGAGGCACCCAUCGAUGUGGAGGAGCUGCCUCCCAUCAAUGAAGAUGAGCUACCUCCUGUUGAUCUUCCGGUGAAGACUGAGAAGGAGCUAGGGGAAGGAGCAGCCACGGGAGCUGGAGGAGGAGCCACGGGAGGAGGUGAAGAGGGCGGCAAAGAAUAAGAGGGCAGCCAACAUAUGCAUGCUCAGCGCCACUCUACACGCCUGAGUGGCACACCGGUCCCACGUUUCGCCUGACUAAACUGAAAGAAGUUUUGUUGGUUUAUGAUACGUCUCCAACAUAUCGAUAAUUCAUGAAGUAUGCAUGCCAUGUUUAUUAUAAGGGAUAAUUGAUAUUAUGCCCCUAAUUGUGUCACACUCGACAUGUUUACCGCUACUUUUCGGAUAUACUCGUUCCUGUCCCAACCACUUUGCUUCUCUUGUGUUUUUGCCCUUCUGUCUCAACUCCGUCUGGUCAAAGGCGUUUGACUGUUAGAGCGACUUUUUUUGGAUAAUUUUGCCCCUCCUUACAACUCCAGUUAAAAAUCAAAGAAAAAAAAACAAUGUUACACUUACAUGUGGGACCCAAUUGAAUGCAAGAGAAAAAAACGCAUUCCCUCUCUCCUUCCUGUGGGACCCACGCCCUAAUCCCCCUUCCUAUCUUCUUCCUCGCCUAGCUCCGGCAUGACUCCCCCGCUCACCCCGCAGCCGGUCACCCACGCCGGUGCCUCCCUGACCUCAAGCCGCGGGACAAGUAGUUGCUGCCUAUCUGCUCGCCGCCGAUCGCCAGUGCCUCCUCAACCUCCAUCCCGGCCAGAUCCGGUCCAGCCCGAGCCUCCCGCGGCCGGAUCUGCCGUCUCCGCUGCGCCUCCAUGCCUUGCGCCAAUCCUAGCCUCCCCUGCAUCGCGCCGCCACCCCAUGCCCAAAGAUCCCCGCCACCCGUCCGUAGACCCACAUUGUCCUGGUGGCUCUGGCCAUCCACAUCGAAUCUCGCCGCCAGACCCCGCUGCCAACUACCUCCAGCGACGCGUCGGAUCGAGGCCUCCUACACGCCUUGCAGUGGCCCUGCCUCUGCCACAUCCAUCACGGACGAACACCGUGGCCUCGAGGUCUAGCUUGUGCUCACGAAGGCGCCCGCUAGCGAGAGGUCGGCUGCCCUCGCCAUACAGUCCCUCAGCGCGCCGGUCGACAGAGCUUUGCGGUGUCUGGGGUGGGAGAGCGAGGUGGUUGUGAGGGGCACCGACGGCAGGUCAUGCGACACCGGCGGCACGGGUGCGGCAACACCACGAUGGAGAAAGUGAGGUGUUUCGGGAGGGAGAGAGAGUGUGUAUGUUUUUCGAUUUUUUUAUUUUGCAUUUAGUUGGGUCCCACAUGUAAGCGUUGCAUUGAUUUUUCUUUGAUUCUUAACUGAAGUUGGAAGGAGGGGCAAAAUGGUCCAGAAAAAUGUCGCUCUGACGGUCAAACUCCUUUGACUGGACGGAAUUUAGACGGAAGGGUAAAAACACAAGAGAAGCAAAGUGGUUUGGACAGGAACGAGUAUUUUUGAAAAGUAGGGGUAAACCUGUCGAGUGUGACCCAACUAGGGGCAUAAUAUCAAUUAUCCCUUAUUAUAAUUUUUUAUGAUUUUGGUUCACUUUUAUAUGAAUUUCAUGGACUAACAUAUUAACCUAGUGCCUAGUGCCAGUUGUUGUUUUCUACUUGUUUUUGGUUUUCCAAAAAAUGCAUACCAAACGAAGUCCAAACGUGAUGAAACAUUUUGACCUUUUUCUGGAACAUAAGAGACCCCCAAAGCUUUAAGGGAGGAUCAGAAGACCCAUGAGGAGGUGACAAGGCAACCUGGUGCGCUUAGGGAGGUGGCCGCACCGGGAUACCUUGUGGGCCCCUUGUGACUCCGUUUCACGUGAUUCCAACUCUGAAAAUUCUUGUAAAUAGAGAAAUCCCUAGAAAUAAACCUAGAACUUCGACUCCACCGCCGCAAGCCUUUGUUCCUCCGCGAUCUCAUCUAGAGCCCUUUUUCACACCCUACCAGAAGGGAAAUCAUCAUCGGAGGCCAUCUUCAUCAUCCCAACGAUCUCCAUGAUGAGGAGGGAGUAGUUCAUCCUCGGGGCUGAGGGUAUGUACCGGUAGCUAUAUGUUUGAUCUCUCUCUCUCUCUCAUGUUCUUGAUUUGGCAUGAUCUUGAUGUACCACGGGCUUUGUUAGUAUAGUUUCAUCAUAUGGUGUUCUUCCCUCUCUAUCUUUGUUGUGAUGAAUUGAGUCUUGCCCUUUUAGGUUUAAUUAUGUUGGAUUGAAUAUUGGAUUUGAGAACACUUGAUGUAUGUCUUGCAUAUGAAUACCCGUGGUGACAAUGUGGUAUUAUAUUGAGUCACUUGAUAUAUGUUUUGGUAAUCAACUUGCGGAUUCCUGUGGUGACAUUGGGGUAAUCUUGGCAUAGAGGUUGAUACACAUUUUCGUCAUGCUUUCUCUGAUAGAAACUUUGGAGUGAUUCUUUGUCACAUGUUGAGGGAUUGUUAUAUGAUUCAAUUAUGUUAGCACUAUUGAGAGAUUGCACUAGUGUAAGUAUGAACCUUAGGCCUUAUUUCCAAGCAUUGCAAUACUAUAUGUGCUCGCUUUUGUUACUUGCUACCUUCCUGUUUUUAUUAUUUUAGAUUACAAAAACCUAUAUCUACUAUCCAUACUACACUUGUAUUACCAUCUCUUCGUCGAACUAGUGCGCCUAUACAAUUUGCCAUUGUAUUGGGUUUGUUGGGGACACAAGAAAUUUCUUGUAUUUGAUUGCAGGGUUGUUUGAGAGAGACCAUAUUCAUCCUAUGCCUCCCACGGAUUGAUAAACCUUAGGUCAUCCACUUGAGGGAAAUUUGUAGUUGUCCUACAAAACUAUGCACUUAGAGGCCCAACAGAUUCUACAAGAAAUAAAGUUGCAUAAUAGACAUCAGAAAAAUGCAGUUAGACUAGAAGUUAGUAUUAGUAGUUAAAUUAUAUUUUGUAUGUAAGUUUGGACUACCUAUGAUUAGCAGCAGUAGUUAGUAUGUUAUUUUGAACUACCUAUGAAUAUAUGAUGCAACUUGUCUUGUUUAAGAGAUCACGUGUUUUAACUAUUUUAGCAACCCAUGGAAACCAUGUGUGAACAAUCACUGUUUUAAUAGAUAUCCUAUUUUAACAACUUGUAUUUGUCUUUGUAUGACUUUUGGCAACAUGCCAGUGGCAGCUGGGACCCAUUUUUGGACACAUCUUGUCUUUGUCUGAAUUUUAACAACUUGUCUUUGCCUUUGUGUGAAUUUUGGCAACAUCUAUAUUUGUCAGUUUGGAAAUUGUGUUUGGCAUUUUGCUUCACGAUCCUGUGGCAUUUAUCAUAAAUUUUUGGCAACACUUGUUGGGCAAUGUUAGCAACACAUUCAGAUCCAUUUUUGGCAACAUCCAUGCUGGUAAAACUGCAUUGAGAUGAUGCCAUAUUCAGAUCCAUUUUUGGCAGAACAUAACUUCAUCAGGUGAAUUUAAACAUAACGUAAAUGAAGAGGAAAUGUAUUUAAACAGAACAUAACUUCAUCAGGUGCAUUACAUUACAUAACAUAACACUUGUAGUUCUUCAGGUGCAGUACCUCACAUUAGCAGGCAGUUUUAACUUAAGUAGCAUCAUUACAGUCAUCAGAAUAUGCACUCAUUGUUGGGAACAAAAAAGUUUUAACGCACACGCAAGAUCUAUUCAUGGAGAUGCAUAGCAACGAGAGGGGGAGAGUGUGUCUACGUACCCUCAUAGACCGUAAGCGGAAACGGUUAGUAACGCGGUUGACGUAGUCGAACUUCAUCGUGCUCCAACCGAUCAAGUACCGAACAUACUGCACCUCCGCGUUCAGCACACGUUCAGCUCGAUGACAUCCACGCCUUCUUGAUCCAGCAAGACGGCGAGGUAGUGGAUGAGUUCCGUCAGCACAACGUCAUGAUGACCGUGAUGGUUAUGCUAUCUCCGCAGGGCUUCGCCGAAGCACUACGAAAAUAUGACCGACGGUGUAAACGGUGGAGGGGUGCGCCGCACACAGCUAAACAAUUGUCGUGGUUAUGUAUGGCGCCCCCCUCCACAUAUAUAUAGGUGGGGGAGAGGGGAGAGUCCAAGGGGCACCCCAAGUAGGGCCAAAUCCUACUUGGGGACUUCCCCAAACCGCUCCCCCUUUCCAUAUAUGAGUGCGAGAGGAAGGCAGGGGAAGGAGCCCCCCCUUUCCUUUCUCUCACGAGGAGGGAAAGGCAGAAGGGGCCACCCCUCCCCUUUCCUUCCCCUAGGAUGGCCUGCCAAGGAGAGGGGUGUACUAGCCCCUAGUGGGCUGAUUUGUCCCGUCCUUUGGCCCAUUAGGCCCAUACACUUACCGGGGGUGUCCGGAACCCCUUCCAGCAACCCGAUGACUACCCGGUGCAGUCUGAAACUCUUUCGAUGUCCGAAUACUAUCAUCCUAUAUAUCAAUCUUUACCUCUCGACCAUUUCGAGACUGCUCGUCAUGUCCGUCAUCUCAUACGGAGCUCUGAGCAACAUUUUGUCACCAAAUCAUAUAACUUAUCGUCAAUGAACGUUAAGCGUGUGCGGACCCUAUGGGUUCGAGAACUAUGUAGCAUGACCGAGACACCUCUCCGGUCAAUAAACAAUAGUGGAACCUGGAUGCCCAUAUUGGUUCCUACAUAGGUACGAAGAUCUUUAUCGGUCGAAUCGUUAUGACAACAUACGUAAUUCCCUUUGUCCAUCAGUAUGUUACUUGCCCGAUAUUCGAUCGUCGGUAUCACUAUACCUAGUUCUAUCUCGUUACUGACAAGUGUCUUUACUCAUUCCAUAAUACAUCAUCUUGCAACUAACUCAUUAGUCACUUUGCUUCCAAGGCUUCUUAUGAUGUCUAUUGCCAAGAGGGCCCAGAGAUACCUCUCCGAUACUCGGAGUGGCAAAUCCUAAUCUCGAUCUAUGCCAACUCAACAAACACCUUCGGAGAUACCUAUAGAGCAUCUUUAUGAUAACCCAGUUACGUUGUGAUGUUUGAUAGCACACAAGGUAUUCCUUCGGUAUCCGGGAGUUGCAUAAUCUCAUAGUCGAAGGAAUAUGAAUUUGUCAUCAAGAAAGUGAUAGCAAUAAACUGAACGAUCAAUAUGCUAAGCUAACAGAUGGGUCUUGUCCAUCACAUCAUUCUCCUAAUGAUGUGAUCUCGUUAUCAAAUGACAACACAUGUCUAUGGUUACGAAAGCUUAACCAUCUUUGAUCAACGAGCUAGUCUAGUACAGGCUCACUAGGGACACGAUAUUUGUUUAUGUAUCCACACAUGUAUUUAAGUUUCUGAUCAAUACAAUUCUAGCAUGAAUAAUAAACCUUUAUCAUGAAUAAGGAAAUAUAAAAUAACAAAUUUAUUAUUGCCUCUAGAGCAUAUUUCCUUCAGUCUCCCACUUGCACUAGAGUCAAUAAUCUAGUUCACAUCGCCAUGUGAUUAACACCCAUAGUUCACAUCGCCAUGUGACUAAUACCCAAAGAGUUUACUAGAGUCAAUAAUCUAGUUCACAUCGGCAUGUGAUUAGCACUCAGAGAGUACUAAGUUGUGAUCAUGUUUUGUUUGUGGGAGAAGUUUAGUCAACGGGUCUGCCACAUUUAGAGUCGUAUGUAUUUUGCAAUUUUCUAUGUCUACAAUGCUUUGCAUGUAGCUACUCUAGCUAAUUGCUCCCACGUUCAAUCCAUAUCCAAAUUGAGACUUGGAGUCAUCCGGAUCGCUGUCAAAAGCUUGCAUCGACGUAACCCUUUACGACGAACUCGUUAUCACCUCCAUAACCGAAACAUUUCCUUAGUCCUUUUCAGGUAUCUAGGGAUAAUUUUGACCACUGUACAAUGAUGUACUCCUGGAUCACUAUUGUACCCCCUUGCUAGACUCAUGGCAAGGCGCACAAUAGGUUUGGUACACAUCAUGGCAUACUUUAUAGAACCUAUGGCCGAGGCAUAGGGAAUGACUUUCAUUUUCUAUCUAUCUUUUGCCGUGAUCAUGUUUUGAGUCUUACUUAGCUUCACACCUUACAAUAUAGGUAAGAACUCCUUCUUUGAAUGAUCCAUUUUGAACUCCUUCAAAAUCUUGUCAAGGUAUGUAUUAAUUGAAAGUCUUAUCAAGCAUCUUGAUCUCACUAGUACAACAAGGUGCUAUACAAAUGGUUUUUAACCCAUUUCCGUGACGGCAUUCAGAACCGUCACCUAGUAUGUGUGGGUGAUAGGGGGGGUCCUUCCCCAUGACCCAGAAACCGUCGGGGAUAUGCCCUCCUGGCACACACGCUUGGCAAAAUGAGGUCGUGUGCGACCGGCAAGCGAGAAAAUACGGUUAUACGUACAGUAGUGCUCAAAAAUACAAUUCUACAGGCAAAAUCGUUUCCGGUCGUAAGUACAUCCCACAAAGUCAGUCCUCGCUAAACGUUUCCGUUCACAUAUACAUCCCACACAGUCGAUGCAAGGAAAAUGUUUCCGUCCGUUCGUACAUCACACAAAAUUUUCCCCAUUAAAUCAUUUGUCAUAGCGUUCUCAUCGUACACAAUAUUAACAAUUUUAUCAUUUGCGUUAUUGAAUGCAUCACACACAAGCACACAAGAAGCAAGCGAAAAGAUACGAAUGGAAGAGGGGCGAAGAAAAGGCAAAUGUUUUCGAAAAUCAUUUUAGAAGUGGGGGAGAGGAAAACGAGAGGCGAAUGGCGAAUAAUGUAAUGCAAGGGAGAAGAGUUUAUGAUGGGUACUUGGUAUGGCUUGAGUUGGCGUAGAUCUCCCUGGCAACAGCACCAGAAAUCCUUCUUGCUACCUCUUGAGCUUGUGUUGGUUUUCCCUUGAAGUGGAAAGGGUGAUGCAGCAAAGUAGCAUAAGUAUUUCCCUCAGUUUUGAGAACCAAGGUAUCAAUCCAGUAGGAGACGAUGCACAAGUCACCGAAUACCUACACAAACAAUCAAGAACAUGCAACCAACGCGAGAAAGGGGUUGUCAAUCCCUUCACGGUCACUUGUAAAAGUGAGAUCUGAUAGAGAUAGAUAAACGGUAAAGUAAAUAUUUUUGGUAUUUUUGGUUUAUAGAUUGGAAAGUAAAGAUUGCAAAAUAGUAGAUCAGAAACUAGCAAGAUGUAAACGAGAUUCAGUAAUAUGGAAAAGAGACCCUGGGGCCAUAGGUUUCACUAGUGGCUUCUCUCGAGAUAGCAUAUAUUACGGUGGUUGAACAAAUUACUGCCAAGCAAUUGAUAGAAAAGCGCAUAAUUAUGUUGGCAUCUAAGGCAAUAAUCAUGAACAUAGGCAUCACGUCCGUGUCAAGUAGAGCGACUCCUGCUUGCAUCUACUACUAUUACUCCACACAUCGACCGCUAUCCAGCAUGCAUCUAGAGUAUUAAGUUCAUAAAAACGGAGUAACGCAUUAAGCAAGAUGACAUGAUGUAGAGGAAAUUAGCUCAAUCAACAUGAUGAAAACCCCAUCUUGUUAUCCUCGAUGGCAACAAUACUAUACGUGCCUUGCUGCCCCUACUAUCGCUGGAAAAGGACACCGCAAGAUUGAACCCAAAGCUAAGCGCUUCUCUCAUGGCUAUAGAGAUCAAUCUAGUAGGUCAAACUAAACUGAUAAAUUCGAAAAGACUUGCAAAGAUAUCAAAUCAUGCAUAUAAGAAUUCAGAGAAGAACCAAAUAAUAUUCAUAGAUAAUCUUGAUCAUAAAUCCACAAUUCAUCGGAUCUCGGCAAACACACCGCAAAAGAGUAUUACAUCGAACAGAUCUCCAAGAACAUCGAGGAGAACUUUGUAUUGAGAAUCAAAGAGAGAGAGAAAAGGCCAUCUAGCUAAUAACUAUGAACCCGAAAGUCUGUGGUAAACUACUCACGCUUCAUCGAAGAAGUAAUGGUGUUGAUGUAGAAGCCCUCCGUGAUCGAAUCCCCCUCUGGCAGAUCGCCGGAAAAGGACCCAAGAUGGGAUCUCAUGGGUACAGAAGGUUGCAGUGGUUGAAAAGUGGUUUCGCGGCUCCCCCUGAUGUUUUUGGGGUAUAAGAGUAUAUAUAGACGAAGGAACUAGGUCAGGGGUGUUACGAGGGGCCCACAAGUGUGGGGGGCACGCCUAACCGCCUUGGGCGCGCCCUCCUGCCUCGUGGCCGCCUUGUUGCCUCUCCGACUUCAUCUCCAAGUCUUCUUGUUUGCUUUCGGUCCAAGAAAGAUCAUCGCAAAGGUUUCAUUCCGUUUGGACUCCGUUUGGUAUUCCUUUUCUGCAAAACUCUAAAGUAGACAAAAAAAUAUAGAAAUUGGCACUAGACCCUCGGUUAAUAGGUUAGUCCCAAAAAUAAUAUAAAAUAGCUUAUUAAAGCCCAUUAAACAUCCAAAACAGAUAAUAUAAUAGCAUGGAACAAUCAAAAAUUAUAGAUACGUUGGAGAUGUAUCAGUGAGCUCAAGACACCAGGGCGCGCCAGGCCCCCCAGGCGCGACCUGGUGGGUUGUGCUCAGCCCAUCCCACCUCCCGUGCCUCUCUUCUGGUAUUUAGGUCAUUUUGACCUAGAAAAAAAUAAGGGAAGGACUUUCGGGACGAAACGCCACCGUCUCGAGGCUGAACUUGGCAGGAACACUUUUGCCCUCCGGCGCAGCGAUUCCGCCGGGGGAACUUCCCUCCCGGAGGGGGAAAUCAUCGUCAUCAUCAUCACCAACAACUCUCCCAUCUUGGGAAGGGCAAUCUCCAUCAACAUCUUCAACAACACCAUCUCCUCUCAAACCCUAGUUCAUCUCUUGUGUUCAAUCUUUGUACCGGAACUAUAGAUUGGUGCUUUCGGGUGACUAGUAGUGUUGAUUACAUCUUGUAGUUGAUUAUUAUAUGGUUUAUUUGGUGGAAAAUUAUAUGUUCAGAUCCAUUAUGCUAUUUAAUACCCCUCCGAUCAUGAGGAUGAUUAUCAUUUGUGAGUAGUUACUUUUGUUCUGGAGGUCACAGGAGAAAUCAUGUUGCAAGUAAUCAUGUGAACUUGAUAUGUGUUCGAUAUUUUGAUGAUAUGUAUGUUGUGAUUCCCUUAGUGGUGUCAUUGAACGUCGACUACAUGACACUUCACUAUAUUUGGGCCUAAGGGAAUGCAUUGUGGAGUAGUUAUUAGAUGAUGGGUUGCGAGAGUAACAGAAGCUUAAACCCUAGUUUCUAUGCUAUUCCAUAAGGGACCGAUUGGAUCCAAAAGUUUAAUGCUAUGGUUAGAAUUUAUUCUUAAUACUUUUCUCGUAGUUGCAGAUGCUUGCGAGGGGGUUAAUCAUAAAUAGGAGGUUUGUUCAAGUAAGAACAACACCUAAGCACCGGUCCACCCACAUACCAAAUUAUCAAAGUAGCGAACACGAAUCGAACCAACAUGAUGAAAGUGACUAGAUGAAAUUCCCGUGUACCCUCAAGAACACUUUGCUUGUCAUAAGAGACCGUUUUGGCCUGUCCUUUGCCUCAAAAGGAUUGGGCUACGUUGCUGCACUUUUGUUACUACUACUGUUACUUGCUCGUCACAAAUUAUCUUGCUAUCAAACUACUCUGUUACUUACAAUUUUACCACUUGUAGACAUUACCUUGCUGAAAACAACUUGUCAUUUCCUUCUGCUCCUCGUUGGGUUCGACACUCUUACUUAUCGAAAAGGCUACAAUUGAUCCGAUAUACUUGUGGGUCAUUAGAGGAUGGACACCACCGACACCCUUCAGGAAGGAAUGACGGCACCCGCAGGCGGCACCUCAUCAGUGCCGGAUGAACCGGCGGUGUCGUGGAAUUGUCACGUCAGAUGUCCUAGCGUAAGGACUUAGCCAUGGAGCCAUCGCAACUAGGAAGCUUAAGGGGGUUUAAUGGGACAAAGUUCAUGAGGUUUAUACUCGUUCAGCCCCUUGCGGUGAAGGUAAAAGCCUACGAUCCAGUUUUGGGUGGGAUUGCUAAUGACUCGAUAACCAGGGAGCGAAUCCGCUUGACCUAGUUCUCGAUCUGAUGUUACUUGCCCUGAACCACUGCCGGUUCGUCCCUUUAUAUACAGAGGUUGACGCCCAGAGGCUCACAGAGUCCCGGACGGUUCAUAAACAGUGUCCGGCUUGGUCUCUCUCUAUUCCUGUCUUACAAUACAAGUUAUACAUACAUGGCGGUUUAUCUCUACUGGCCUUAAGUCUCCUAUGGGCCUUGGGCCUUUAAGUGAGCCGCCAUCUUGAAGUAUCUUCAGUGGGCUUCGUCAUAAGGUGUGACCCGAACCCUCCCGGGCGGGUCUUGCCUAAUAGUUAUAUCCCCAACAUUAGGCCCCAGAUUGAUUUUAACUGGUUCAUGUCAAUCUUCAACACUUAAGAAAAAUAUUCUGCUCCCUGCUUAUGAAAUUUUUGUAACCCGCCAUGACGUCAUCCUUCGGACCUGUGGUAACCCGCCAUGACAUCAUCCGUCAUAAAUGUAUGUUUUAUCCAACAUACCUCAAUGGAUCUUUAUCUUAAUGACCAUCCCAAAAAUUGAGGCGUCCUUGUAGUUGGAUAAUUAUGUCUUUGGCCUCCUUGUUUUUCGCGCCUGCUCAUCAGUUUUUUUUCUUAUAAAUAGACCUGACCAGGUCUUUCCUCAUUCUUCUCCUUUCCUCAUCUUCUUCCUUGCACACCUUACUGCUGCUCGAGCUCCGCCGCCGCCGCCGCGCACCUCGUCUUCGUCGACCUUGGCCGCUACAUCGACCUGAAUCUGUCCAGAGAAUGGCGGCGAGCCUCCGCAGCAGCCUUGCAGCCGUAAGUUUUCCUCUUCCCCUACUUCAGAUCUUCAUUAGGGUUUGCAAGUUCCUUCCAUGUUCUUUGCUGUUCACGUUGGCUUCUUCCUAGUUCUACCACUGCAGCCUCCUUUGAUACAAAAAAGAGUAUAAGACUCAUGCAAUAACUGUUUCGCACUCAUUUUUGAUACUAGCAGAUCCCUUUAUCUUGCAAAGAAGCCUUGUUAGAACUGAUGAACCCAUUCACACUUCGUUUUUAGGUCUAGAAUAUUUUCCUUUCUGAAUAGCCGGUUGAUCCAAAAUAGUAGCUGCAACUUGUGAAAACUUGUUUUUCAACACUUAGGCAAAAAAUUGUGUUUACUAGAUCCACCUAGCCAUGGCGACUACUAUCACUGGCUUCAAUGACAAUGCUUAGUUGAUAAUCUUGACCGCCCAUGGCGGCUUAAAUAACUGAAUUGUCAAUGAUGCUUAUGGCGGCUUAAAUAAUCUGACAUAAUUAGUCUUAUACCAUUAGGCCCCUUCAUAAGCCACCAUCUUGAAUAUGCACUGGCAUUUCUUCCAGCUUAAAUUUGAACCAGAAAUUUUAUCCUUUCUUAGGCUUCCAUCACAAUGGCACCUAAGACAAGUACCUCAUGCAACUGGGUCCCGUCCAUUGUCACUGAACAGACCCUUGAAGAUUUUGUGAAAGUUGGCUAUCUGCCGUAAAGGGAUGUCAUGUCGUACUGUGCCCCUGACCCAACAGAAGAAAGACCUCAACCCAAGGAGGGGGAAGUGAUCGUAUUAACAGAUCAUAUGAACCGGGGUUUCUCACCACCCUACUCAAAAUUCUUUAGGGAUGUCCUGCAUUUAUUUGAUCUCCGUCCUCAAGACAGCGGACCCAAUUCCGUGUCUAAUAUCUGCAAUUUUGAAGUAUUCAGCAAGGUGUAUAUUGGAGAAGAACCCAACAUGUUACUCUUCAGAGAGUUAUUCUAUUUGAACCGCCAAAAUGAAUGUGCCAGGGGACAGAGCUUGGAACUUGGUGGCAUCUCAAUCCAGCAUCGGAGAGACAUCAUUUUUCCUUAUGCCAAUCCGCCAAGCCACUCUAAAGACUGGAAUCAAAGGUGGUUUUAUUGUCAAGACACUUCCCCGGCUGAUGAGAAUCCUCUGCCCGGUAUUUGCGCCUUGUGUCUCGAUUCCAAUCAUCCACUGCCUGACAAGAUAUCACCCGCCGAACGCAAAACGCUCACCCCCACCUUGGCCAAAAUCAAAGCUCUUCUAGGGAACAGGUUGAAUGGUAUUGAUUUGGUCCAGGUCUGGCAUGCCUGCGGAUUAUUCCAUUAAGCUGCCGCCCCGGUCUAAUGUGCAACUAUUCAGGCAAGAAAGAUGAUCCUCUGUGACAUAGUCCUGAUAAUUUGCCUGAUCACGUCAUCAAUGACAUGACCAAGUGCCUCCUUAAUGAAAGCCUAAUAGACUGCGCCAAGGUGGGCUUAAGCCCUUUCUGUGCAACCAAUCCGGCUCCAGCGGUAAGUCGCCAAGCUGAACAAAUCAUUUCCAAUAUUGAUGUUUUACCUAUACUCAAACUUUUGCUAAUUUUCACAGACUGAUAACAAAUUCUGGAAAGUCAAAUAUGAUCAUGAGGCUGCAAAAAGAGACAGGAAGGCCAAGGGAGCCGCUAGGAGAGCCGCCACAAAGAAACGUGGAAAGAAACCGAGUGCUUCUGAGCAGCUUCGGUUAGAUGAUUUUCCUGAGUCGGAGGUAGCCCUUGACUCCCUUGGCUUAUUUUUUAAUCACGUUAUUGAUACUGAUUAUGAUCAGGAUGACACGGGCACGAGCCGUGGGGUGGAUGAAGGGGUAACUAUUAUUUCCUCUGACUCAGAGCCUUUGCCGUGCCAAAAACUCCGCCAAGUAACCUGGAAAGUAAGAUUUUCACAUCCUUUUGCUUAUCAAGAUCCUCAAUUUCUUUUGAAGCGACAGAUUCAUGAGAGCCGGAGGCAGACCCGUACCAGCAAAGACAUAGAGCUCUCCUCCGGCUUGCCCAAUACACCACGGAAGCGCCGGAACGAGGUCAUCUCCGUCUUAGAUUCCUCUUAUCCUUUGGCAGGUCUCACUCGUCAGCCACUGAACCCUUCUGACUCGAAUUAUCAAGAAACCUCUCCUUCAUCCGGCGACUCAAUUCAAUCCAACUUGCCAGCUUUCAAAGCCGCUCCAGGGUAAUGAUGACUUGCCUAUCUUGUUCUUUGAAUUUUUAUACUUAUACUGACCUUUUGAUCUUUAUGUAGCGGCAAAGCAAAGGUUAGCAAGGCCAACGAGGACAAGCCGGUGGAUGAGCCAACCCUCAGAGAACCGGCACUUCAGACGGUCAUACCGGAAACCUCUGCUACUGAGCCGCCGCCUGAGCCAGCGUAUGAACCGCCAACCUUAGCUGCUGACCCGCCUGCCGGGCAAUCUCUUGAUGGCUCUGAAAAUCCUGAAGUCUCAAGCCCAGUCAAGACAAAUGACCCUCAAGAAGCUGAGGUUGAAAUUACCAAGACCAUUACAUUGAGCCGGGAAGGCCUGCUGUGCUUGGAAAAUGCACUGCCAAAGAAGAAUUCCUGGAAUGUCGUAAGGUCAGAUUUGACCUUACGGAUUACUCUCACAUGAGUGCCGGAGAAGUUUUGUCUGGCUAUCUCAGCCAAGUGCACAGUAGCCGUGACGUCGAAAUCGACAUGGUGAAGCAGAUGCACCAUAAAUUUGAGGUAUGAUCUCCUCUUUUCCCUGAAUCAUUCUUAUUACGCCAUCCCCGAAGUCUACUACUUAUGAUGAAUAUGUUGUAGACUUUAGAAAAACGUCAAACAAGUAUUAACAAUGUCUUUAGAUCAAAAACCUGUAGAAAUCCGGCUUAAUCCGUAGCCCCCAAGGGCCAUUUUAAUCAAAAUGAAUGAGCCGAUCCUUCACAUGCUUGUGUAGAACAUAUUAACUGUAUAGUUUGAACUGCAAUAUGCAUUAGCCCCCAAGUGCCAAGUAGUCUUGCUUGCAAAGUGCUUGGGACUUUAAUUUUGUGAACCGCCAAUCUCAUGAACCGACACUAUAAAUAUACUUCCGUGGUAGACAUUAGCCCCCAAGUGUCAAGUGCUUUGCUUGCAAAGUGCUUGGGACUUGAAUAUUAUAUGCUCAUAGUCAUGAUUUUAACCCGGCAUUUAUGUAAGUCGCCACCAAUCAAUUUCAAUCAGAAAUAUCCGACUUGAAGAACUGCCUGAAAUCACAAGAGACAGAAACUGAAAGGGCCAACUCCAAGUUUGAAUUCAGUGUAUCUGAACAAGAGAAGCUGAAGGCCGACUUUGAGGUGGAAAGAAAAGCUUGGGCUGAUGAAAAGAAGGCCGUAACCCAACAAGCUGACAAGGCAGAGGCGGCUCUUGAAAAGGCAACCAAUGAAUUGUCCGGCUUAAAACGCCACGUGACCCAGAUGGUUAAAGCAAUCUUUGGUAAGUCGUCCUGCAAGUUAUAAAUAUUUGAAACUUUCUAAUGAUCAUAUAAACUGUUAUUAACGCACCUGACAUUGCUAUGCAGGCCUCAGGAGUUCAAAUCUCAGCCAAAAUAUGUUGACAAAGCUGAAUGCGGUUUAUACACUGGUGGAGCAACUCUACACCGGAUCUCAGCGGGCCUUAGCCACCAUGGCCCUGUCCAAUGAAGUUUCCACACUUUUGGCGGAUGUACUAAGGAAACUUUCUGUGCUACCUCAACGGAUCACUGAACUGAAGCGAUCGUCUGUAAGAGCCGGAGCUGCGGACACGUUAAGCCAGGCCAAAGCUUGGCUUCCGGAACUAGACCCGGCGGACAUCGCUAUUGGUUAUCCAAGCCUAAAAGAAGAUGGUACGCCCUUUGAACAGGAAGAUUUUGCUGCUUGUGUGAAGGCAAUACGCCCUGUGGCCACUCUGAUUGCUGAAGAGGCGGAUCUCUCCAAGUACCAGGUGGGUUAUGACACAGAGAACCGGAGGAUUCCGACACCACAGUACACUUUGACAAAUCUGAUUCCUCAAAUUCGUAAGCAUAGCUUCACCCCUGAAGUUGACCCGGCCGGAUUAAUUGAUGACGAAGCUGAAUUUAAAGCUUUGAGUGGCAUUGACUGGUCGUCAUCAACCUUUCAGGACCGGGAACAGGACGAUGAAGUGGAAAGGGUUGAUCCGGAAGCUUCAGGCCAUCACGAGAAUUGAUCCACCGAACGGCUCAUAUUUGUAGUCUUUGUUGAAAAAACAAUGUUAAUUAUUUUGACUCGGGGAGUCAUGUAAUAGGAGCAGAAAUGACUUUGCUGUGCCGUGCCUUCGUGCACGUUUUGAUGCUUUAAAAAUGUUUAAGCCGUCAUCAUAUUUUUACUCCGUCUUACACUUUCCUAUUUUCCUUGUGUAUAAGAAAGCAUGUAAUCUGUCCUGCACAAAGAGAUAGAUCACAGAAAUCUUCGGCGGCUUACCGUAGGGCGGGUCAUAAUUAUCCCAUGUAACUAUAAAUGUGAAAUAUGAGUUAUAAAUAAUCCUGAUGAGAAUCAGAACUUUCAAUAUAACUGUGAUAACAUCAUACCUGAGAUGUCAAAUUUCUAUGGCCAAUUUAGAUGACCUGUACAGUAAGGGUGAUGACCCAGUUUAGAAGUCAUGACUUCAAUUGGAGUAUGUCACACGCCUAGCGACUGAUUGUUUGAAGUCAAGCCAGCUCAAACAGAAACCUUAUAUGCCUUAGAACAUGAACACAGGAAAGGUCUCUAGACAAAUCCAAAGAGUGCUUUCAAAAAAGGCUUAAGCAAAAAGAACAGAAAUACAAAUUAAGGCUUCUGAUUCGAAUACGAUCAGUAAACCGUCCCAAAGGGUUAAGCUAGGGUUCCAAUACGACCAUGUAGCCCCAGUGGCUUUGGCAUUGCGCCGAUCAAGAGGGUACCGACAACUAUGUUCUCUUUGGUUCGAAUACGACCUAUGUUUGAACAGGAAGCCCCCAAAUGACCUUGAGAAUAUUUAACGACUCUGAUUCGAAUAUGAUCUGGGUUGGACCCAAGAGGGGUUAAGCCAUGAUUCGAAUACGAUCAAGAAGCCCCCAAGUAGAUUUUGGCAUUGCGCCGAUCAAGUGGGUACUGACAGCUAUGUUCUCUUUGGUUCGAAUACGACCUAUGUUUGAAGAGGAAGCCCCCAAGUGACCUUUAGAAUAUUUAACGACUUUGAUUCAAAUACGACCAGGGUUGGACCAAAAGGGGUUAAGCUAUGAUUCGAAUACAACCCAGCCCCCAAAUGAUCAAGUUGUUUGAACAACUAUGAUUCGAAUAUGAUUAGGAAGUUGUGCCAAAGGAGUUAAGCUAGAUUCGAAUACGAUCAGCCCCCAAUGGUCUUUUUCAAAUUAUGACAAUGAAGACAUAUGAUCUUUGAGGAUGAAAAAGGACAGAGGUCCUGCUUUAUUAUUGAUAAUAUAUGCCGUCUUUUCCUGGUCCUUAACCGCCAUCUUGAUCUGAUGAUAUCGAGAAUAAGCAUCCAAAAAACCCAGACGCUCACAUCCCGUCGUAGCAUCAAUGAUUUGAUCAAUACACGAGAGAGCAAAGGGAUCAGCCGGACAAGCCUUGUUCAAGUACGUGUAAUCCACACACAUAUGCCAAGUGUCGUUCUUCUGGAGCACUAGCACCAGGUUAGCUAACCACUCUGGAUGAAAUACCUCAAUAAUGAACCCGGCUUCCAAGAGCCGGGCCGCCUCCUCGCCAAUAGCCUUGCGCCUCUCUUCAUUAAACCGCCGAAGAAACUGCUUGACCGGCUUAAACUUUGGAUCAAUGUUGAGAGUGUGCUCAGUGAGUUCUCUCAGUACACCCGGCAUGUCAAAAGGCUUCCAUGCAAAGAUGUCUCGAUUCUCACGGAUGAACUCGAUGAGCGGGCUUUCCUAUUUGGGAUACAGAUUGGCAUUGAUACUGAACUGCUUAGAUGAAUCGCGAGGAACAAAGUUAACCAUCUUUGCGUCCUCAGCCGACUUAAAGUUCAUCUCCGGUUCAUGCUCUGUGGUGGGCUUCUUCAAGGAUGUCAUGUCUGCCGGGUCAAACAUUGUCUUUAUAAUACUUUAACUCUUCUGUAGCACAGACUGACUCAGCAUAAGCCGCGUCGCCUUCCUCGCACUCCGGAGCCACCUUCCGACUGCCAUGAACCGUAAUGGUCCCUUUAUGACCCGGCAUCUUCAGCUGCAGAUAAACAUAACAUGGCCGUGCCAUGAAUUUGGCGUAAGCCCGUCGCCCAAACAGAGCAUGAUACGGGCUCCUGAUCUUGACCACCUCAAAAGUUAACUUUUUGGCCCUAGAAUCAUACUCAUCUCCAAAGGCUACCUCCAGUUCGAUCUUGCCCACUUGGUGUGCCGAUUUACCAGGAACUACACCGUGGAAAACAGUAUUGGACUGCAUAAGAUUUCUCCCGCAUGCCAAACUCCACUGUCCAACUAAUGCGGAACCAACCAGUAACUUGCCGCCCACCAGCAUGGGCCACCACGGUCUUGAUGCCACCCACACUGCCUCACAGGGAUCACCACCAUGAGGCAAAGAGGACGGAGAGAGGAGCGCCAGGAAUUAGGAGCGACAACACUGGAGCCGCGCGGGAGGGAACCACCUCCACUGCCAUUGUGCGGGAGGCCUGUGCCUCCAACACCGUCGCGGUCGUCGUUCGGACGCGGCAACAGGGGCAUACUAGGCCACUCCUGGCCCGGCCAUGCCCAAAUUGGGCCCGCAAAGCCCCAACUACCACGUUGCAGCAGGCCGACGCCAGCGGCCGCCACCACCCACUCCGCCCAACGCCGCUCCUUCGCUUGCCGGAAACCACACCAUUGACAUGCCACACCGCGCCCCCGCCUAGACCGAGAUGGGCCCAGAUCUAGGCCGAGCGGGCGCUGCGCCACCCUGAGGUGUACUCCAUGGCUCCGCUCUGCCUCGUGUCGGCGUGUCACCAAGAGGGGAAAGGCCAGGGGCCGCCUAGGAGACUUUUCCUCGAUCAUGUCAGCAUCUGGGCCACUGGGGCUGCCUUCUUCUCUUGAAAUAUAUGGAUCAACUACGAGCACUUUCUUGGUACUUAACUGAAUUGUGACCAGAGAAACCUUGCUAUUUUCUUCUUCGGCAGACUCUGAGACCAAAAAGUAUGCGAUGUUGGAAUUCAGCAUGCUCACAAGAGGGAACAUCAGGAUAUCACACGGCAGACCUAUAUAUCUGUUUAAAGCCCAUAGCUCUUCAGAUGUGAUGGCCACAUGCUCAUCCCAUGGCCCAUCUUAGGAGGACAAAAUAUAGGAGUGAAUGGUGAAACUAGAACCUUUCCCAAGUGGCCCAAAUGGUUCCCCAAGAGCGGAUAACAUCAGUGAAUCUGAGAACAGAGCUCUUUUUGCUCAGCUCUAUCAUGGCGCACACACCACGAUUCACCUCAUAGAAUGCUUUGCCUUGAGCUGAACUUCUAGGACGGUCAACAAUAGGCAAUCAGAGGUAUAAGAUCUGGGGCUUUUCUUCAAGUACAUCAUAAACUAGCAUACCACCUCUGUAAUAGUUGAUCCAACAAAUGCAAGAGUUGAAUGUGAUGACAACAUCAGUUGACCAAUAGUAUAACUCCUUAUGCUCAUCCUCCUUAUGGUCUAUUGGUAUCUUCCUCACAUCUCAUUUGCCAUCACCAUCAUUACCAGAUACAAGUGAGCGGAACACACGAACUUCUGCUUCCAUCUUGAGCGUGCCAGGUAUUUCGCUGACCAUAGCCAGCUGCGCCACUGCAAAUUCCGCUUCAACGCUUUCGCCAUGGCCUCGGAUGAGUCCUACAGUGUCCGGAAAGAACACACGCUGCUCACCCACAGCUUUCUCCUCUCCCUCUCCAAAAGGGAAGAUCAUUGGCUUGUUGCAGACAAGGAGCCGUUUGAGCUGCAGGGAUGGCUUAGUCUCACACGACGCUACACAGAUAAAGUAGUCUUGUAUGAUCGGUAAGCAACCGUCCUUGCCCAAUCUUCUAAAAGAAGUUUGCCUGAAGAGAACCAGAUCACAGUGGGCGGCCACAAGCUCGGUUCCCUUGCAUCCUCCGACUUUAUACCGUCAGGACACCGCAUGUAGAAGCGGGAGAUGGCCGGGGGCUCGGCAAGGAGGAAGAGGAUGUCGAACUUCUUGCAAAGAGAGGUGCGUGAACUUGCCCUGAAAGGCGCCUCGGAUCCGUCUAGGAAGGCACUGCCCUCUUCCUCAUCACCCCUGUGGAAGACAAAGCGGUCGAGCAUCAUCCACCUGGAUCCAGCAAUGGCCAUUGAUCAACUAAUUAAAACAGGUUUAGGUAGCUUUUGCCUCUGCCUGCGAGAAGAGGGAAUUGACUCAGCACCAUCACAACAUUUGCCACUCUCUCAAGAAAAUUUACCACUCAAAAUGUUGCCGUUGAGAAAUUAAUUAUCCAGAAUACCAAGCAUUACUAUGUACUACUAACUAGCUGAGGUUGCCACAAGAACAAAAGAACAAUUUUACCAUUACCUUCUUCAAAAGAUGAAGUGAGACAGAUAAUGCUUACAGAGAUGCAAGAUGUCAUAAUAAUGCCCAGUAGAGAAACAACAAAAUAAUGCACAGUAGAGAAAAUGGAAACAGGCUGCACCCUCGCACAUCAUUUGCAUGCAAAAAGGGGCUAAAAUGAGCUAGAUGGAGAACUUGAAUUGCGGAUUGCAGAUUGCCCUUUUUACGAGAACAAGGUUAAAUUGACAGAUGUGGGAGGUGUGGUCAGGUGAGAGCUGGUUGUACAAUGACGAGCAUGCUCUUUUCCCUGCCCUCGUGUACAUUUGUUAUACUGGAAGGACCAUGGGAGGUAGAAUUUGCAUCAACAGCAUUACAACAAUGUUUGCCACUCUAAAAACCACCAACUUUAACAGAUUGAUUUUGCCAGAGCAGCACUAGUUGAAAAUAUUUGUUGUCCAGACAGAAUACCAGGCAUUAUCAUGUAGUGCUAACCUACCGGUGCAACAAAAGAAGGCGUCUGCCCUUACCUUCCUCAACGGCAGCAGUUGGGGCAGCCGAGCAGCCUGCGGUGGCUGGUGCAACCCAGCGGACCAAGUGUGCAGAUCACGGGGAGGGGAACGCCGGGGAGACGGAGGGGGGUGAAGGGGUCGAGCGCCAUCUCGCCCUGCUUCCGGCUCGCCGGCCCGGUGUUGAAGCAGAUUCCACCUGUCGCCUCACACGAUGGAGCUCGAGCGAAGAGGCACCGCGGGUUUCUAGGGUUCGAGGGCUAGGAAGGGGAGGAGGGGAAAGGGAUCGGUGAGGAUCACUGUCGCUGUGACUAGUGAAUGUGAGAUCUGGAAUGGUUUUUUCCAGUUUGGCCCAAUUCCUCAGCUGGCUCUCUUUGCCAAGUGACCCGUCGCGUGGCUAUCUUGCCGCAAGCGCCGCGACAUGUGGAGCGUGUCAGAACUAGAAUUAGCAACCAACUAAUGCUCACUCCGUUGUUACGGAGUAUAAGAUUUACUGUAUUACUAGUUUUUAAAAAUCAAAUAUGUAUAUAUUUGACCAAAUUUUUAGAGAAAAGUAUCAAUAUCUAUAGUGUCAAACACAAAUCCUACUACUGUUGUAUGUAUUUUGUUUUAUCAAAUUAUUUGUUAUGGGACCCCCUCUCAUGCGACCGCGUCGCCCCCGCGGGUGAUCAGCUGCAUCUUCCCUCGAGCCCUCCCCCUUCCUCCCUUCCCGCCGUCGUCGCUAGCCUGAGCGGCGUUGACGCCGGCGGCCCUGGCCUUUCCCCUCUUGGUGGUGCAUCGGCGCGGGGCAGAGCGGGGCCGUGGGUUGCACCUAGGCGGCGCCGGCACCGGCGGCCCUUGGCCUUUCCCCUCUUGGUGACACGCCGACACGAGGCAGAGCGGAGCCAUGGAGUACACCUCGGGGUGGCGCAGUGCCCGCUCGGCCCAGAUCUGGGCCCAUCUCGGUCUAGGCGGGGGGCGCGGUGUGGCAUGUCAACGGUGUGGUUUCCGGCAAGCGAAGGAGCGGCGUUGGGCGGAGUGGGUGGUGGCAGCCGGUGGCGUCAGCCUGCUGCAACGUGGUAGUUGGGGCUUUGCGGACCCAAUUUGGGCAUGGUCGGGCCAGGGGUGGCCUAGUAUGCCCCUGUUGCCGCGUCCGAAUGGCGACCGCGACGGUGUUGGAGGCACAGGCCUCCCGCACAAUGGCAGUGGAGGUGGUUCCCUCCCGCACGGCUCCAGUGCUGCCGCUCCUGAUUCCUGGCGCUCCUCUCUCCGUCCUCUUUGCCUCGUGGUGGUGAUCUCAAUGAGGCAGUGUGGGUGGCAUCAAGACCGCGGUGGCCCAUCAUGGUGGGCGGCAAGUUACUGGUUGGUUCCACAUUGGUUGGGCAGUGGAGUUUGGCAUGCGGGAGAAAUCUUAAGCAGGCCAAUACUAUUUUCCACGGCGUAGUUCCUGGUAAAUUGGCAUACGCAGUGGGUAAGAUCGAGUUGGAGGUAGCCUUUGGAGAUGAGUAUGAUUCCAGGUCCGAAAAGUUAACUUUUGAGGUGGUCAAGAUCAGGAGCAUGUAUCAUGCUCUGUUUGGGCAACUGGCUUACGCCAAAUUCAUGGCGCGGCAGUGUUAUGUUUAUCUGCAGCUAAAGAUGUCGGGUCAUAAAGGGACCAUUACGGUUCAUGGCAGUCGGAAGGUGUCUCUGUAGUGCGAGGAAGGCGACACGGCUUAUGCUCAGUCAGUCUGUGCUACAGAAGAGUUAAAGUAUUAUAAAGACAAUGUUUGACCCGACAGACAUGACAUCCUUGAAGAAGCCCACCACAGAGCGUGAACCGGAGAUGAAGUUUAAGUCGGUUGAGGACGCCUAGAUGGUUGACUUUGUUCCUGGCGAUUCAUCUAAGCAGUUCAGUAUCAGUGCCAAUCUGGACCCAAAUAGGAAAGCACGCUCAUCGAGUUCAUCCGUGAGAAUCGGGACAUCUUUGCAUGGAAGCCUUCUGACAUGCCGGGUGUACCGAGAGAACUCGCUGAGCACACUCUCAACAUUGAUCCAAAGUUUAAGCCGAUCAAGAAGUUUCUUCGGCGGUUUAACGAAGAGAGGCACAAGGCCAUUGGCGAGGAGGUGGCCCGGCUCUUGGCAGCCGGGUUCAUUAUUGAGGUAUUUCAUCCAGAGUGGUUAGCUAACCCGGUGCUAGUGCUCAAGAAGAUUUGCACUUGGCGUAUGUGUGUGGAUUGAUCAAAUCAUUGAUGCUAUGGCGAGAUGUGUGUGGUCCGACUGAUCCCUUUGCUCUCCCGCGUAUUGAUCAAAUCAUUGAUGCUAUGGCGGGAUGUGAGCAUCUGAGUUUUUUGGAUUCUUAUUCUCGAUAUCAUCAGAUCAGGAUGGCGGUUAAGGACCAAGAAAAGACGACGUUCAUUACUCCCAUUGAAGCCUUCUGCUAUGUUACUAUGCCUUUUGGGCUCAAGAGUGGCCAGGCGACUUAUCUGCGUUGCGUGCAGAAUUGCCUUCAUACUCAGAUUGGCCAUAAUGUGCAUGCUUAUGUGGAUGAUAUUGUGGUGAAGUCCAGAAAGAAGGAAACACUGAUAGAUGAUCUCAAGGAGACCUUUGAUAACCUCCAGGUCUACACUAUGAUGUUUAACCCGGCAAAGUGCGUCUUUCGUGUGCCCGCAGGCAAACUCUUGGGAUUUCUGGUUUCUAACAGAUGCAUUGAGGCUAACCCGAAGAAGAUCAAGGCUAUCACCUCUUUGGCAAAACCCAAGUAUAUCAAUGAUGUUCAACGUUUGGCGGGUCGCAUUGCUGCUUUAAGCCGGUUAGGUGAGAAGGCCAUACCGCUGUAUUAGAUGUUGAAGAAGACAGACGACUUUUUCUGGAGUGUUGCUGCUAACGUUGCCUUUGAGGAUUUGAAGAGGCAACUGGCUGAGCCGCCGGUCCUUGCUGCUCCCAUUGAUAAGGAGUCAUUGCUGUUAUAUGUGGAUGCUAACGCACGUGUUGUCAGUGUGGCCUUUGUGGUGGAGCGCAAGGAGACUGGUAAGGAAUAUCCAGUUCAAUGGCCGGUUUACUACAUCAAUGAGGUGCUUAUUGAGUCCAAAUAGAGGUAUCCACAUUAACAGAAGCUUGUUUAUGGAGUGUUCAUGGCCAACCGAAAGCUUGAGCAGUAUUUCCUGGGUCAUUCCAUCACUGUGGUCAGUUCUGCUCCUUUGGGGGAUAUCAUCCAGAACAGAGAGGCUACAGGAUGAGUCGCCAAGUGGGCUAUCGAGCUUGCGCCUCAUGGUUUAAAAUAUGUACCUCGUACUGCUAUCAAGUCUCAAGCACUAGUGGAUUUCAUCAACGAUUGGAUAGAGUUGCAGGCGUCUGAAGAGAAGCCGGAUAACACAUACUGAACUAUUCACUUCGAUGGAUCCAGGCAAUUGGAAGGCUCAGGGGCUGGAGUUGUUUUGGCUUCCCCUCGAGGUGAUAAAUUUUGUUAUGUCCUAAGGUUGAUGUUUUCCUGUACUAACAAUGCAGGUGAGUAUGAGGCCUUUCUCCAUGGUCUUCCGAUGGCUAAGGAGAUGAACUUAAGCCAGGUAAGGUGCUUCGGCGACUCAGAUUUGGUAGCUCAAAAAGUCUCAGGCAAGUGGGAUUCCAAAGACCCUCUCAUGGCGGCUUAUCGCUGUGGUUAUCAAGUGGAACACAUCGAUCGCAGGAAGAAUGAGGCGGCUGAUGCUUUAAGCCAGCUUGGAUCUCAGCGUAAACCGGUACCCCCGAACACUUUCUUGCAUGUUUUGCAUAAUCCUUCUAGAUUAUGCAAAAAUGACUUAAUAUCACACAUGUUUCAGAUUUAAUGAAAAUAUGCGCCUAUGCUAUCACAAUAAAAGGAGCAGAAAUAAAAAGCAACCCUUAGGGAACCGCUACAACUAUAUACAUUUGGUACAAAUAAUAAAGUCCAUUUAAACGAGACAAAUUUAUUCCAGCAUAUAUCAUAGAAGGGCAAGCACACUCCCUUAAGUUAAUUCAGAACCUCAUCAAGUUCUGACUAUAUUCAUUUUGUAUCUAAGUAGUAGUAGUGAGUACUGAUGCGUUUUUUGGGCCACGACGACAGGUGAGGACGACAUCUACGCAGCAAGUUGGACCUUUGAGAUUCAUAUAUUUAAUAUAGUGAUUUAUGAAUAUACGUUAGAUACUAAUCGAGAGCUUAGAGAAGACGGCCCUGCUAAACAAAGUUAUUUGGUUUGUGCAUUCAGGGAUCGUUGAAACAUACAGAAUGUUGAGGAUUCUGUGCAAGUAGGUGUCAGUUCCAUCGUUGGAUUGCUAUGCUAUGUUCUUCUGUGGAGAAUAGAGUGGCGAGGUGUUAAUCCAUCUGAUGAUCACAUGGAUUUGUUGAGGAGAUGGUCCUGUGAGUUGCUGAAGUUUAGAUUUCGUGUGUGUUCUAGAUGACUCAAAAAACAUGAACAGAGAGGGUUUAGGGAUUCUUUACUUGUCACGAAGGUCGACAUGAUUACUUGCUCGGUGCAGGCGAGGUGGAUGCAGGGCCGGGCCUACAGUGGUGCAAGAAGUGCGGCCCGCACAGGGCCCAGAAAUCUGGGGGGCCCAAAUUUUUACAUAUACAUAGUAUUAAAAAAAUUUAUGCGUUUUGGGCUGCUGGGCGCUGGAGUGGGCUGGACUGCUGGGGUCGAAGCGAGGAGGGCAUCGGAGAGUAUCGAGCGAGCGACCGGCGCUGAACCGGAAUCGGGGAUCGAUCUCCUCCUCCUCCAGUCCUCCUACUCAUCGAUGUCUCGAUCGCUAGUCGCUACAUCCUACAGGAAAGGUCCUUUGAUGAUCCAGGGUGUUCACUUUGCCUUGUGUUGGAGUCUGACUCCUCCUCCCUGGAUCCGAUUGAUCCAAGGUGUGAUGGAGUCUGAUCCCUCGGUCAAAGGUAUUCUGUCCUGGAGACUGGAGUCUGAUCCCUCGCCCCUCGGUCCCUGGAUCGAUCGGAUCACAGCACGACCGGCCGCUGCCGCCAUUGACUUCCUCCGCUCCUCCGUCCUCUCUCAAAUUUGGAUUGAUCGGUGACCCACUCUAGCCUCCAGGUGUUUAGCAAGUCCUUUUCGAUUAACUUCGGUUUCUACUCAUAAUUCCUAUUUUUCUAAUUAUUUAAUUAACUAAUAACUAUUGGCAGGGAUCUUCACUUCGUUAGAGAUUGCUUCUUACUUCUCGGUUAAAGAUCACAUGACCCAAAAUUAGGUGAGUUAGACGGUUCGUCUAAAUGGAAAACAUUGAUGCAUGAUAUCCAAUUGAUAUAUGCUACUGUGUAACUUUUAUUUUAUUUUAUUCAUCUUCUUUAUCUUCUUAUAUAAGACAUUNNNNNNNNNNNNNNNNNNNNNNNNNNNNNNNNNNNNNNNNNNNNNNNNNNNNNNNNNNNNNNNNNNNNNNNNNNNNNNNNNNNNNNNNNNNNNNNNNNNNNNNNNNNNNNNNNNNNNNNNNNNNNNNNNNNNNNNNNNNNNNNNNNNNNNNNNNNNNNNNNNNNNNNNNNNNNNNNNNNNNNNNNNNNNNNNNNNNNNNNNNNNNNNNNNNNNNNNNNNNNNNNNNNNNNNNNNNNNNNNNNNNNNNNNNNNNNNNNNNNNNNNNNNNNNNNNNNNNNNNNNNNNNNNNNNNNNNNNNNNNNNNNNNNNNNNNNNNNNNNNNNNNNNNNNNNNNNNNNNNNNNNNNNNNNNNNNNNNNNNNNNNNNNNNNNNNNNNNNNNNNNNNNNNNNNNNNNNNNNNNNNNNNNNNNNNNNNNNNNGCUUGUUAAUUCAUUUUUUUGUAACAUAGGGCCCCAUAUUUUUAGUUUGGCACAGGGCCCCGGAUUUUGCCGGCCCGGCCCUGGGUGGAUGGAUCUAUUCUAGUGGUAGCUAGUAGCCGAUCUCCUGGACGUUCCGAUCCCCUCAGUCCUCCACUGGCACUGUCCUGUGACGACAGCAAGUAGGCUAGGUCUUCCCGUUGCUGCCACGCACCAUUUGAUUGGAUAGGGUUUUGGAAUAUGGGGAGGAGAGUGAACUUGACGUGAAUGAAUGAAUCGCGUAGGAGGAGGCUCUCUCCCAUAUCCCUUUAUAUAGCGUUGUGUGCAACAAGGGGACCUAAACUAUAAGUUGGUUUGGGUGCCCCCGAUCAGGGUGGAUAAGUUGUGGUAUAGUUAGUUGGUUUGGUAUGUUCAUGCGUGUGCGUGUAGUUCGAUUCGACCAGAUGAACAUGAGAUAGUGAUUCGUUUUUAUUUUAGCAAAACUCAUUUUGUUUUGAUUGAUGAUUGAUUGAUUGCUCGUGAGGAGACACGCGCGUGACUACCUAGGCAUCUUGCCUCUGACGCGGCGCUACUCUGUGCUUGCUCGAUCGAGCGGCUAUGGCAGGGCCUCUAGGAUCGAGGAGGAGGAGGAGCAGGAGCGUGGCCACCGUCUAGGGCAUCGGCGUGAACACCUUGCAUGCAUGUCGAUCCGUCGUCAUCGCCGUGGCCGUCGCCGUCGCAGGCAGUUUACACCGAGCCCCUGUCCCCGCUGCACAGGCUCAGCUGUACCUGGUCCUAGCUCGGCUGUAAUGGCGCGCACGCGUAGCUAGGCGGUGCCGUGGUUGCCGGCUGCUCCUCGGUCUCUGGCGUAUGAGGACGUUGGAUGGAAUGUCGAUCGCCCUGGAGCGCCCACGUCGGCCGGCUGUUGUGUGCGACCUUACCAAAGAGACCUGCUUCUUGAGCGACGAGCAUCGUCGGAACAAUAUGUGUGCACGCACAAGACAAGAGACAAGAGAGCAGUACUGGAGCUCGUCCAUGGCUGAAAAUAUUUUCUUUUUUACAGAAGCAUCCGUCAUUAGAGCAUCGAGAACCAGAGUGGGCAAAUCGCCCCCCUUACACGUCCAUAGACGACGCAUCCACGGAUAGUAGUCGAUCACCCCUCAGAAAUCCGCAUCCACAACUGUGUCCCCCAAAGCAAAUCCUUAAAUCCAUACCAAGAUGCCAUGCAACGUUAAACUUGCACAGGUAGUUGAAUAGACACAUUUCAUCGGAUUACCAAAAGUUGACAUGUUCUACUAAUUAACUAUGCAAGAUAUGACAAUGGAGGAAGUUCAUCCAUGGCCGCCCUUGCCCUUGCCAUCUUUGCUAUGGGAGUUGCGGCCAAAGACGCAAAACGGAUCGGGGCAGAACUUGUCACUGCCGGAGCUGUCCGAUUCGUCGGGCUCCUCCUUCUCCUCUUUUUUUUUUAUUUGGGGGAGGGGGUCCGGCUUUGCUCCCUUGCAAGGGCGUGCACCGUCCUCCUUUACCGCUUCCUGAGGAUGCGACACGAAGGCUUUCUUGUUCCUGUCCAAGCUGGCAUAUGACUCCGCCUCCGCAGCUUGCCAUGCCCUCACCCUCGCAUGCCAGUUGGGCCAUGAGGUGUGCCAAUGGGCUUUAGCCGAAGGACGAGGCACCACGGCAGGGAUUGCGGCGUUAGACGAUGGGCGGUGCACUUGGCUCUGCCGCGGUCAUGUGCCUUGAGCCGCUGGAUACGAACGCCAUUUGCGCGGACGCAAUGGAUUCACGGUGGAGCGGCUUCGAGUGCAGAGUUGCAAGAUUUCCUCCCUGGCCCGACGGAGAGCUAGGUAGCUGGGGGGUCAACUCCUGCUCGUCCCCCUUUGGGAUGAGGUCCUAGUUGACGGAUCCGGAGAUCUCAGAGUUGGAUGCGCGGGUGGCGCGCCACGCCGGAGAAAAGCUUGGGGCUGGAGUGGAGAGUCUAGGGUUUGUUUCGGUAUAUAGGCAUAUAUGUGGGGUUGACGGGCAAUAGCCGAUUUGACGGACGUGUCCGGACGCCCAACAUAUGGUCUGAUUAUAUAUAGGUUGACUGAUCCAUGCAAUCGUCAUUUUAAAUUAUUAUUUUUUGCGGCGGGGAAUUGAAGGGCCGCAUGCCAACGUGACGUGGAUCGGUUAGUAAUCCAAUUCAAUCGAAUCGAAGUAGUUAAUACAGGGAAGAGAAGGGAGGGUAGAUCGAUGCGUGCGUGCAUGCAUGCAUGAAGUUGAAGUAGGAGCAAAAUCAAUGGUGGGAUGCAGCAGUGAACGAAGGGAGGGCGAUAUAUAUUGCAUCAUUUGACGGUUAAAUAUGUAUGCAAAAUAGGAACAUAUAUAUUACAUCAUUGGACCCAUGCAUAAUAAUGGCUAAGUGUGUAUACAAAAUAGGAACAUAUAUAUUACAUCAUUUGACCGAUAACAUACGGUUCCUCAGCGCUGUCGUUUUCGUUUUUGAGUCAGCUUUUUUCCCUUCUUGUUCGUCGAAGAAUAAUUGAGAUCCUCAUUGUGACUUUGCCUUUUCCAUGGAGUACGAUUUUUCUUAGGUAAUGUAGUAUUGAUUCUUAUUUUGACGUAUACUUCAUCAUCAUCGUCAUCUUCCCUCAUUGGGUUGCCGUACUGAUCAUAGUCUUCCUCGUUGGCGACUCCAUCCAUUCCGAUGAUGUUCCUUUUGCCUCUCCUCACGACAACACGACUGGGAUUGCGCGGGUCGGUUAUGAAGAAGCAUUGUGUCACGUGCUUAGCGUGUACCCAUGGCUCAUUUUUUGCGAUAGCGUUCACGGUAGCGCUCUUGGCGUCGGGUAUAGUCAUGGUAGUGAAAAUCCGGCUUUCUCUUUCGACAUUAUUAGCCCAUCUGACACGGAACAUCGUCGUGUUGUGCAGUCCAGAGUAGUCAAGCUCCCAGAUCUCCUUGACCCUUCCAUAAAAUCGUUCAGUUGCGCCGUUGUCGCUGCCGGUCAUGCAUUCCAUCAACACCCCUGAGUUCUGAUCAUCACUGUCCAUAUCUUUGGCCUCCGUGUAGAACGUGUAUCCGUUGAUAUGAUAUGCCGGAUAGGUUACGAGGUUGGGCGAGGGGCCAUGUGCUAAGGCGUAUAUGAGCAAUCCGUCCUUAGAGCCCUCCUCCGGGGGAUUAGAAAUAAUAUGCUCUUUGAACCAAUGCAGGAAAGUGGAGUUGUGCUCUCUAGUAACUUCGCGUUCAUCCUGCAUACCCCCGGUCACGAUACUUCUUUGCGAUAAUUUCUUUGUGCAGUGCCACGAAAGGAUCUACCUCAUCUAGGUGUUGUAGCACUACCAAGUUUGCUCUGUCAAAGUCGCUGCGUCGAUCUGAGUAUGCCACGUGCAGUUCCCUGCGACCGUUGCAGUGACCAUCUCCUUCGAUCCUCCCAUCGUGCUUGUUAACGGGCAAACCAACACUAAUACCAGGCUGCUGGUCUGCGCCAUAUAGAAAAUUCUCACAGAAAGAGAUGCACUCUUGUGUCAAAUAUCCCUGGACGAUGCUUCCAUCCGGACGGGACAUGUUACGAACGAAUCCUUUGAUGAUUCCAUUCAUCCUCUCAAACGGCAUCAUGUUGUGCAGGAAUGACGGCCCCAGGUCUAUUAUGCCAUCCACAAUAUGGACACACAGAUGCACCAUCACGUCAAAGAACGCGGGCGGGAAGUACAUCUCAAGCUCAUUCAGUAUCACAACGAUCUCUUCCUGUAGCCUUCGGAGCUGCUUCACACUGAUCGACUUUCGAGAGAUGACGUCGAAAAAGUUGCAGAGACCAAUAAGCGUGUCACGGACGGGCUUGUCCAUUAUCCCUCUAAGGGCAACAGGUAGUAUCUGCGUCAUCAUCACCUGACAGUCAUGAGACUUCAUCCCGCUGAACCUUUUCAUGUCUGUGUCUAGAUAUCUGCUUAUCUUGCCACAGUAAUCGGAACUAACUUUGACUCCGGUAAGGCACUUAAAGAAGGCAUUGAUCUCAGCCUGACUUAAGGUGAAGCAAGAAGGGGGGCAAUAAUCCUCUUUCUUUAUUUUCUUGCCCUUCUUCUCCCGUGCCUCUGCCUCCGUCUCUUUCUCGUCUGACAUUUUACAGGGCGGCAUGUGCAGAUCUUCCCUGAUUUUCAAAUCUUGCAAGUCUUUUCUUGCCUUCGGCCCAUCCUUGGUCUUAUCCGGCAUGUACAUCAGUGUUGCGAGCAAGCUCUCAAGGACAUUCUUACAGAUAUGCAUUUGAUCAAGGCAAUGAGGUGUAUCGAGUUUUUGCCAGUACUCCAAGUCCUAGAACACAGACCUCGUCUUCCAUACCUUCAGCAGCGGCUCCGGCGCCUUUCUCAUCGUCUUUCCCGGCGCGGGGCACUCCUUCCAGUUUUUCAACAGCUCAUUGAUUUCGGCACCGCUCCGCUUACGUGGAGGUCCUCGAUGCUCAGCGUGACCAUUGAAUAGAUCUCCACGGUUUCUCCAUGGGUCGUCCUUUCAAGCCAUCUUCGAUGCCCCAUGUACACGAUUUUCCCAGACCCGCCAUCUUUCCUUGACUUUAGCUGCUGAGACGUCGUAUCAUCCAUGCACAGCGUGCAUCCGCAAUAUCCAUGGCACACCUGGCCUGCCACAUAUCCGUAACCGAGAUAGUCCCGCACUGUCGUGAUCAGCGCGGUUCUCAUGUUGAAAUACUCGCCUUUGCUGGCGUCCCAUGUCUUGGCCGGUGUUUUCCAUAACGUGUCUAACUCCUCUUGAAGUAGCCCCAGAUACAAAUUAAUAUUAUUUCCUGGUUGUUUCGGCCCUUGAAUAAGCAUGCUCAUGUGAAUGUACUUCGAUUUCAUGCACAACCAGGGGGGAGGUUGUACAUCCAUACAAACACGGGCCAUGUGCUUUGGUUGGUGUUCUGGUUGCCAAACGGAUUCAUGCCAUCGGUACACGCGCCAAGCAUGAUGUUCCUUGCAUCACAUUCAAAAUAUCGAUAGAAGCUGUUCAAUGCUCUCCAUUGGCUUCCAUCCUUCACGUGUCUGAGCUUCGGAUCAUCUCCAUCGUCGGGCUUAUUCCUCUCCGCGGGCCAGCGCAUUAGUUUUGCUUCCUUGGGAUCUACAAAAUACCUCUGGAGACGGGGAGUGAUCGGUAAGCACCAUACAACUUUCUGGGGACAUUUCUUCCCGGCCUUCUUGUAUCGAGAAGCAUUGCACACCGGACAGCUUGUUUUUUCCGCGUGCUCCUUCCGAUAAAUUAUGCAAUCGUUGAUGCAUGCAUGGUAUCUAACAUGUGGCAGAUCAAGAGGGCACACGAUCUUCUUGGCCUCAUCAACACUAGUAGGACAUAUAUUACCCGCAGGAAGAACAUCCUUUAGGUACUUGAAAUGGUCAUCGAGGAUAGUGUCGGUCCAUUUGUUUUUAGCCUUCAUCUUCUGGAGUUGGAGCGUGAAACUCAAGUGGGUCACCUCAGGAUUGCAACCAUCAUACAAUGGAGUGUUUGAGUCUACCACCAGUUGCUCCAGCUUAGCCUCCUCUCUAGAAGCAGCUCUCUCAGUACUCGUCUCCUUGUGAAGCAAUGCUUGAACAUGAGGGUCCCGCACGAUUGAACUUAGUAUCGACGAACUCUGCUGCGUGGAGUCCAUGUCGUUCUCUCCGCCGCCAUGUUCGGCCCCUUCUCCCCACCAUGUCCGGCCCCUUCUCCGCCGCCAUGUCCGGCCUCUUCCCCGCCGCCAUUAUCGAUCAUCUCUUCGUCUUGCCCCGUGUCAUCAUUGCUUGCCCCGUCGGCAUCCUCAACAUCCUCAUCCUCAUCUUCAGUUAUCCACUAAGUAUAGCCAUACAUGAAACCAUUCAUGAGAAGGUCCGCUUCGACACGACCAUAGUCAUAGGGGUCGAGCCAAACUAUUCCUUUGCAUUUUCGACACGGACAUAAAACCUCUGUCAGGUUAUUUUCUUUCAUGUCCUGCACCGCCGACCGCAACCACCUGUCCACCAUCGUUCCACUGACCAUCAUGAACGUCUGCACGGUAAUAAUAAAACAGAUUGAUUAUAAAAAUGUGUGCAUGCAUCAAAGUCAUACAAAAAUUCGGCAUGACCUUCCCUAAAAAUAGGACAUAUAUGGAUGUAGAGUUUGCCCGGAAUUCGCCGAAACGGAAAUAAAUCGACAUUUUGGCAAAACAUAAGCAACUCAAAAGCACAAUUUGGCGUCAACUCAUGCCACACACACAAUUUCCACAAACAUAUCACACACACACAUAAACAUAUUUCCAUUUUGCAAAAGCAUGAAAUUUUCAUCACCUCCAUCUCGAGAUCGAGCACACGGUGAUGAGAUGAUGAUGUAGGGAGAUCAAAAGUGCCCAAAGCUCUUCUUGACAAAGAUAGAUCUAGUUAGGGGGCAAAUAGGUCACUUAACUAAAUGCUACAUCUACCUAGCUACCUAAUUUGGGAGGAGACAACUUCAACUAGUGGAGGGGGAAGGAAAAAGAGAAAGGAGAUGCAUUAAUGGAGAUGGUGUAGUUAGGUAGGAGUAAUGAAGAGAGAGAAAGGUAGGUAGAAGAGGGAGAGUAAUGGGGGAGAAGUGUUGAGGAAGAAGAAGAGUGAGAGUGGGAGGAUGUGGGAGGUAGGGGAAAGNNNNNNNNNNNNNNNNNNNNNNNNNNNNNNNNNNNNNNNNNNNNNNNNNNNNNNNNNNNNNNNNNNNNNNNNNNNNNNNNNNNNNNNUAGGUAGGAGUAAUGAAGAGAGAGAAAGGUAGGUAGAAGAGGGAGAGUAAUGGGGGAGAAGUGUUGAGGAAGAAGAAGAGGGAGAGUGGGAGGAUGUGGGAGGUAGGGGAAAGGGACGAGAGGAGGGGGAGGGGAGGGGACGGGUGGGGAAAAGGUGGUGGGUUGGUGCGGAUUAGCAGUAGCGCAGGACGUAAAACGCUCUGCUGAUAAGAAAGUAGCAGCAGCGUGCUUUCGGCAGAAGCGCUACUGCUAACCGGGACAAAAAGUGUGUCCGAUUUGAAUAUUAGCAGCAGCGACCUCAGAAAAAGCACGCUACUAGUACAUCCAUAGCAGUAGCGUGGCUAGCGGAACCGCGCUGCUACUAAAUGGAGUUUCGGGGUGUCGGUGACAAAACCGGCGGAUCUUGGGUAGGGGUCCCGAACUGUGCGUCUAGGCGGAUGGUAACAGGAGACAAGGGAAACGAUGUUUUUACCCAGGUUUGGGCCCUCUCGAUGGAGGUAAAACCCUACUCCUGCUUGAUUAAUAUUGAUGAUAUGGGUAGUACAAGAGUAGAUCUACCACGAGAUCAGAGAGGCUAAACCCUAGAAGCUAGCCUAUGGUAUGAUUGUUGUUCGUCCUAUAGACUAAAACCCUCUGGUUUAUAUAGACACCGGAGAGGGCUAGGGUUACACAGAGUCAGUUACAAUGGGAGGAGAUCUACAUAUCCGUAUCAAGAAGCUUGCCUUCCACGCCAAGGAAAGUCCCAUACGGAUACGGGAUGAAGUCUUCAAUCUUGUAUCUUCAUAGUCCAGGAGUCCGGCCAAAGGCUAUAGUCCGGCCAUUCGAACACCCCCUAAUCCAGGACUCCCUCAGGGGGCACUGUCGGUCGAUAUUUGUAGCAGCACGGGUAACACCAAGCGCGCUACUGCUAAACGCUUGUCAGUAGCGGGUUUUACACGCCUGUGCUACUGCUAAUUAGCAGCAGCGCUCCUUUUUGAGCCGCGCUGCUGCUAAGAUUCUGUGUAUAGGCUUUUCCCUAGUAGUGGGCAGUGCCACAAAUAAAUUGCACUAUCAUUAUCAACUCUGCAUCUUUUGGCUUCAAUAUUAUGAAUAUGUGUAUCACUACUAUCGAGAUUCAAUAAAAAUAGACCACUUUUCAAGGGUGCAUGACCAUAAAAGAUAUUACUCAUAUAAAUAGAACAACCAUUAUUCUCAGAUUUAAAUGAAUAACCGUCUCGCAUCAAACAAGAUCAAGAUAUAAUGUUCAUGCUCAACGCUGACACCAAAUAACAAUUAUUCAGGUCUAAAACUAAUCCCAAAGCUAGAUGUAGAGGUAGCGUGCCGACCGUGAUCACAUCGCCUUUGGAACCAUUUUCCACGCGCAUCGUCACUUCGUCCUUAGCCAAUCUUCGCUUAAUCCAUAGUCCAUGUUUCGAGUUGCAAAUAUUAGCAACAGAACCAGUAUCAAAUACCCAGGCACUACUGUGAUCAUUAGUAAGGUACACAUCAAUAACAUGUAUAUCACAUAUACCUUUGUUCACCUUGCCAUCCUUCUUAUCCGCCAAAUACUUGGGGCAGUUUCGCUUCCAGUGAUCAGUCCCUUUGCAGUAGAACCACUCAGUCUCAGGCUUAGGUACAGACUUGGGCUUCUUCACUUGAGCAGCAACUUGCUUGCCGUUCUUCUUGAAGUUCCCCUUCUUCCAUUUACCCUUUUUCUUAAAACUGGUGGUCUUUUUGACCAUCAACACUUGAUGCUCCUUCUUGAUUUCUACCUCCAUAGCCUUUAGCAUCGCGAAGAGCUCGGGAAUUGUCUUAUUCAUCCCUUGCAUAUUAUAGUUCAUCAAGAAGCUCUUGUAGCUUGGUGGUAGUGAUUAAAGAAUUCUGUCAAUGACAUUAUCAUCAGGUGGUUAUUAUACCCAGACAUUUUGAGUAUAUGUUCACUGACAGAACUAUUAUCCUCCAUCUUGCAGCUGUAGAACUUAUUAGAGACUUCAUAUCUCUCAAUCCGGCCAUUUGCUUGAAAUAUUAACUUCAACUCCUGGAACAUCUCAUAUGCUCCAUGACAUUCAAAACGUCGUUGAAGUCCCGGUUCUAAGCCGUAAAGCAUGGCACACUGAACUAUCGAGUAGUCAUCAACUUUUCUCUGCCAAACGUUCACAACGUCUGGCGUCGCUCCUGCAGCGGGUCUUGCACCUAGCGGUGCUUCCAGGACGUAAUUCUUCUGUGUAGCAAUGAGGAUAAUCCUCAAGUUACGGACUCAUUCCGUGUAAUUGCUACCAUCAUCUUUCAACUUAGCUUUCUCAAUGAACGCAUUAAAAUUCGACGGAACAACAGCACGGGCCAUCUAUCUACAACAACAUAGACAUGCAAAAUAAUAUCAGGUACUAAGUUCAUGAUAAAUUAAAGUUCAAUUAAUCAAAUUACUUAAGAACUCCCACUUAGAUAAACAUCCCUCUAAUCAUCUAGGUGAUCACGUGAUCCAGAUCAACUAAACCAUGUCCGAUCAUCACAUGAGAUGGAGUAGUUUUCAAUGGUGAACAUCAUUAUGUUGAUCAUAUCUACUAUAUGAUUCAUGCUCGACGUUUCGGUCUCAGUGUUCCGAGGCCAUAUCUGCAUAUGCUAGGCUCGUCAAGUUUAACUCGAGUAUUCUGCGUGUGCAAAACUGGCUUGCACCCAUUGUAUGUGAAUGUAGAGCUUAUCACACCCAAUCAGCACGUGGUGUCUCGGCACGACUAACUUUCGCACUGGUGCAUACUCAGGGAGAACACUUAUACCUUGAAAUUCAGUGAGAGAUCAUCUUAUAAUGCUACCGUCGAUCUAAGCAAAAUAAGAUGCAUAAAAGAUAAACAUCACAUGCAAUCAAUAUAAGUGAUAUGAUAUGGCCAUCAUCAUCUUGUGCCUUUGAUCUCCAUCUCCAAAGCACCGUCAUGAUCACCAUUGUCACCGGCGCGACACCUUGAUCUCCAUCGUAGCAUCGUUGUCGUCUCGCCAACUAUUGCUUCUACGACUAUCGCUACCGCUUAGUGAUAAAGUAAAGCAAUCACAUGGUGAUUGCAUUUCUUACAAUAAAGCGACAACCAUAUGGCUCCUGCCAGUUGUCGAUAACUCCGUUACAAAACAUGAUCAUCUCAUACAAUAAAAUUUAGCAUUAUGUCUUGACCAUAUCACAUCACAACAUGCCCUGCAAAAACAAGUUAGACAUCCUUUACUUUGUUGUUGCAAGUUUUACGUGGCUGUUACGGGCUAAGCAAGAACUGUUCUUACCUACGCAUCAAAACCAAAACGAUAUUGCGUCAAGUAUGUGUUGUUUUAACCUUUACAAGGACCGAGCGCAGCCACAGUCGAUUCAACUAAAGUUGGAGAAACAGACACCCUCCAGCCACCUUUGUGCGAAGCACGUCGGUAGAACCAGUCUCGCGUAAGCGUACGCAUAAUGUCGGUCCGGGCCGCUUCAUCCAACAAUACCGCCGAAUCAAAGUAUGACAUGCUGGUAAGCAGUAUGACUAGUAUCGCCCACAACUCACUUGUGUUCUCGUACAUAUAACAUCUACGCACAAACCUGGCUCGGAUGCCACUGUUGGGGAACAUAAUAAUUUCAAAAAAAAUCCUACGCACACGCAUGAUCAUGGUAAUGCAUAGCAACGAGAGGGGAGAGUGUCGUCCAUGUACCCUCAUAGACCGUAAGUGGAAGCAUUAUGACAACGCGGUUGAUGUAGUCGUACGUCUUCACGAUCGACCAAUCCUACUACCGAACGUACGACACCUCCGCGAUCUGCACACGUUCAGCUCGGUGACGUCCCAUGAACUCACGAUCCAGUAGAGCUUUGAGGGAGAGUUCCGUCAGCACGACGGCGUGAUGACGGUGUUGAUGAAGCUACCGACACAGGGCUUCGCCUAAGCACCGCAACGAUAUGACCGAGGUGGAUUAUGGUGGAGGGGGCACCGCACACGGCUAAAGAUCAAUGAUCUCCUUGUGUGUCUUGGCGUGCCCCCUGCCCCCGUAUAUAAAGGAGAAAGGGGGGAGGCGGCCGGCCUAGGAGGAGGGCGCGCCAAGGGAGGAGUCCUACUCCCACCUGGAGUAGGACUCCCAUUUCCUAGUAGGAGUAGGAGAAGGGGGAAGGAAAGGAGGGGAGGGGAAGGAGGGGGCGCCGCCCCUCCCUCUAGUCCAAUUCGGACUAGGAUUGGGGGGCGUGUGGCCCAGCCAUAGCCAGUCCCUCUCUCUCUCCCAUAAAGCCCAUUAAGGCCCAUAUACUCCCAGGGGGGGUUCCGAUAACCUCCCGGUACUUCGGUAUUUAUCCGGUGACCCCCGGAACCCUUCCGAUGCCCGAAUAUAACCUUCCAAUAUAUCAAUCUUUAUGUCUUGACCAUUUCGAGACUCCUCGUCAUGUCCUUGAUCUCAUCCAGGACUCCAAACAACCUUUGAUACAUCAAAACACAUAUACUCAUAAUAACAAUCAUCACCGAGACAAGUCUCCGGUCAAUAACCAAUAGCGGAACCUGGAUGCUCAUAUUGGUUCCUCUAUAUUCUAUGAAGAUCUUUAUCAAUCAAACUGCAUGACAACAUACAUUGUUCCCUUUGUCAUCGGUAUGUUACUUGCCCGAGAUACGAUCGUCGGUAUCUCAAUACCUAGUUCAAUCUCGUUACUGGCAAGUCUCUUUACUCGUUCUGUAAUGCAUCAUCCCGCAACUAACUCAUUAGUCACAUUGCUUGCAAGGCUUAUAGUGAUGUGCAUUACCGAGAGGGCCCAGAGAUACCUCUCCGUCAAUCGGAGUGACAAAUCCUAAUCUCGAUCUAUGCCAACUCAACAAGUACCAUCGGAGACACCUGUAGAGCACCUUUAUAAUCACCCAGUUACGUUGUGACGUUUGGUAGCACACAAAGUGUUCCUCCGGUAUUCGGGAGUUGCAUAAUCUCAUAGUCAUAGGAACAUGUAUAAGUCAUGAAGAAAGCAAUAGCAACAAACUAAACGAUCAAGUGCUAAGCUAACGGAAUGGGUCAAGUCAAUCACAUCAUUGUCUAAUGAUGUGAUCCCGUUAAUCAAAUGACAACUCAUGUCUAUGGCUAGGAAACUUAACCAUCUUUGAUUGAACGAGCUAGUUAAGUAGAGGCAUAGUAGUGACACUUUGUUUGUCUAUGUAUCCACACAUGUACUAAGUUUCCGUAUAAUAAAAUUCUAUCAUGAAUAAUAAACAUGUAUCAUGGUAUAAGGAAAAAUAAACAAUAACUUUAUUAUUGCCUCUAGGUCAUAUUUCCUUCAUUAAUUUCACAAGAUUCAGCAUUGGUAGUAGGAGCAAUCGGAGUGCUAAUAAAAUCAUUGUUGUUGGUGUUGGAAAAUUCACACAAUUUAGUAUUAUCUUGAGCCAUCGUGACAAGCAAUCAAUCCAACACACAAGCACACAAGAAGCAAGCAAAAAGAGAUGAACGGAAGAGGGCGAAGAAAAGGCAAAGGUUUUUGAAAAUCGUUUUAGAAGUGGGGGAGAGGAAAACGAGAGGCGAAUGGCGAAUAAUGUAAUGCAAGGGAGAAGAGUUUAUGAUGGGUACUUGGUAUGGCUUGAGUUGGCGUAGAUCUCCCCGGCAACGGCACCAGAAAUCCUUCUUGCUACCUCUUGAGCUUGUGUUGGUUUUCCCUUGAAGUGGAAAGGGUGAUGCAGCAAAGUAGCGUAAGUAUUUCCCUCAGUUUUGAGAACCAAGGUAUCAAUUCAGUAGGAGAGGACGCACAAGUCACCGAAUACCUGCACAAACAAUCAAGAACUUGCAAUCAACGCGAUAAAGGGGUUGUCAAUCCCUUCACGGUCACUCGCAAAAGUGAGAUCUGAUAGAGAUAGAUAAACGGUAAAGUAAAUAUUUUUGGUAUUUUUGGUUUAUAGAGUGGAAAGUAAAGAUUGCAAAAUAGUAGAUCAGAAACUAGCAAGAUGUAAACAAGAUUCAGUAAUAUGGAAAAGAGACCCGGGGGCCAUAGGUUUCACUAGUGGCUUCUCUCGAGAUAGCAUAUAUUACGGUGGUUGAACAAAUUACUGCCAAGCAAUUGAUAGAAAAGCGCAUAACUAUGAUGACAUCUAUGGCAAUAAUCAUGAACAUAGGCAUCACGUCCGUGUCAAGUAGAGCGACUCCUGCCUGCAUCUACUACUAUUACUCCACACAUCAACCGCUAUCCAGCAUGCAUCUAGAGUAUUAAGUUCAUAAAAACAGAGUAACGCAUUAAGCAAGAUGACAUGAUGUAGAGGAAUUAACUCAAGCAAUAUGAUGAAAACCCCAUCUUGUUAUCCUCGAUGGCAACAAUACUAUACGUGCCUUGCUGCCCCUACUGUCACUGGAAAAGGACACCGCAAGAUUGAACCCAAAGCUAAGCGCUUCUCUCAUGGCUAUAGAGAUCAAUCUAGUAGGUCAAACUAAACCGAUAAUUCGAAAAUACUUGCAAAGAUAUCAAAUCAUGCAUAUAAGAAUUCAGAGAAGAACCAAAUAAUAUUCAUAGAUAAUCUUGAUCAUAAAUCCACAAUUCAUCGGAUCACGGCAAACACACCGCAAAAGAGUAUUACAUCAAACAGAUCUCCAAGAACAUCGAGGAGAACUUUGUAUUGAGAAUCAAAGAGAGAGAAAAAGUCAUCUAUCUAAUAACUAUGGACCCGAAAGUCUGUGGUGAACUACUCACGUUUUAUCGAAGAGGUAAUGGUGUUGAUGUAGCAGCCCUCCAUGAUCGAAUCCCCCUCUGGCAGAUCGCCGGAAAAGGCCCAAGAUGGGAUCUCAUGGGUACAGAAGGUUGCAGCGGUGGAAAAGUGGUUUCGCGGCUCCCCCUGAUGUUUUUGGGGUAUAAGAGUAUAUAUAGACGAAGGAACUAGGUCAGGGGUGUUACGAGGGGCCCACAAGGGUGGGGGGCACGCCUAACCACCUUGGGCGCGCCCUCCUGCCUCGUGGCCGCCUUGUUGCCUCUCUGACUGCAUCUCCAAGUCUUCUUGUUUGCUUUCGGUCCAAGAAAGAUCUUCGCAAAGGUUUCAUUCCGUUUGGACUCCGUUUGGUAUUCCUUUUCUGCAAAACUCUAAAAUAGACAAAAAAAUAGAAAUUGCCACUAGACCCUCGGUUAAUAGGUUAGUCCCAAAAAUAAUAUAAACUAGCUUAUUAAAGCCCAUUAAACAUCCAAAACAGAUAAUAUAAUAGCAUGGAACAAUCAAAAAUUAUAGAUACGUUGGAGAUGUAUCAGUGAGCUCAAGACACCAGGGCGCGCCAGGCCCCCCAGGCGCGACCUGGUGGGUUGUGCUCAGCCCAGCCCACCUCCCGUGCCCCUCUUAUGGUAUUUAGGUCAUUUUGACCUAGAAAAAAUAAGGGAAGGACUUUCGGGACGAAGCGCCGCCGUCUCGAGGCUAAACUUGGCAGGAACACUUUUGCCCUCCGGCGCAGCGAUUCCACCGGGGGAACUUCCCUCCCGGAGGGGGAAAUCAUCGUCAUCAUCAUCACCAACAACUCUCCCAUCUUGGGAAGGGCAAUCUCCAUCAACAUCUUAAAAAGCACCAUCUCCUCUCAAACCCUAGUUCAUCUCUUGUGUUCAAUCUUUGUACCAGAACUGUAGAUUGGUGCUUGCGGGUGACUAGUAGUGUUGAUUACAUCUUGUAGUUGAUUAUUAUAUGGUUUAUUUGGUGGAAAAUUAUAUGUUCAGAUCCAUUAUGCUAUUUAAUACCCCUCCGAUCAUGAGCAUGAUUAUCAUUUGUGAGUAGUUACUUUUGUUCUAGAGGUCACAGGAGAAAUCAUGUUGCAAGUAAUCAUGUGAACUUGAUAUGUGUUCGAUAUUUUGAUGAUAUGUAUGUUGUGAUUCCCUUAGUGGUGUCAUUGAACGUCGACUACAUGACACUUCACUAUAUUUGGGCCUAAGGGAAUGCAUUGUGGAGUAGUUAUUAGAUGAUGGGUUGCGAGAGUAACAUAAGCUUAAACCCUAGUUUCUAUGCUAUUCCGUAAGGGACCGAUUGGAUCCAAAAGUUUAAUGCUAUGGUUAGAAUUUAUUCUUAAUACUUUUCUCGUAGUUGCAGAUGCUUGUGAGGGGGUUAAUCAUAAAUAGGAGGUUUGUUCAAGUAAGAACAACACCUAAGCACCGGUCCACCCACAUACCAAAUUAUCAAAGUAGCGAACACGAAUCGAACCAACAUGAUGAAAGUGACUAGAUGAAAUUCCCGUGUACCCUCAAGAACACUUUGCUUGUCAUAAGAGACCGUUUUGGCCUGUCCUUUGCCUCAAAAGGAUUGGGCUACCUUGCUGCACUUUUGUUACUACUACCGUUAGUUGCUCGUUACAAAUUAUCUUGCUAUCAAACUACUCUGUUACUUACAAUUUUAGCACUUGUAGACAUUACCUUGCUAAAAACAACUUGUCAUUUCCUUCUGCUCCUCGUUGGGUUCGACACUCUUACUUAUCAAAAAGGCUACAAUUGAUCCCAUAUACUUGUGGGUCAUUAGAGGAUGGACACCACCGACACCCUUCAGGAAGGAAUGACGGCACCCGCAGGCGGCACCUCGUCAGUGCCGGAUGAACCGGCGGUGUCGUGGAAUUGUCACGUCAGAUGUCCUAGCGUAAGGACUUAGUCGUGGAUCCAUCGCAACUAGGAAGCUUAAGGGGGUUUAACGGGACAAAGGACAUGAGGUUUAUACUCGUUUGGCCCCUUGCGGUGAAGGUAAAAGCCUACGAUCUAGUUUUGGGUGGGAUUUCUAAUGUCUCGAUAACCUGGGAGCGAAUCUGCUUGACCUAGUUCUCGAUCUGAUGUUACUUGCCCUGAACCACUGCCGGAGGUUGACGCCCAGCGGCUCACAGAGUCCCGGACGGUUCAUAAACAGUGUCCGGCUCGGUCUCUCUCUAUUCUUGUCUUACAAUACAAGUUAUACAUACAUGGUGGUUUAUCUCUACUGGCCUUAAGUCUCCACUGGGCCUUGGGCCUUUAAGUGAGCCGCCAUCUUCAAGUAUCUUCAGUGGGCUUCGUCAUAAGGUGUGACCCGAACCCUCCCGGGCAGGUCAUGCCUAAUAUUUAUAUCCCCUAUAUUAGGCCCCAGCUUGAUUUUAACUGGUUCAUGUCAAUCUUCAACACUUAAGAAAAAUCUUCUGCUCCUUGCUUAUGAAAUUUUUGUAACCCGCCAUGACGUCAUCCUUUGGACCUGUGGUAACCCACCAUGAUGUCAUCUAUCAUAAAUGUAUGUUUUAUCCAACAUACCUCAACGGAUCUUUAUCUUAAUGACCAUCCCGAAAAUUGAGGCGUCCUUGUAGUUGGAUAAUUAUGUCUUUGGCCUCCUAGUUGUUCGCGCCUGCUCAUCAAUUUUUUUUUCUUAUAAAUAGACUUCACCAGGUCUUUCCUCAUUCUUCUCCUUUCCUCAUCUUCUUCCUUGCACACCCUACUGCUGCUCGAGCUCCGCCGCCGCCGCCGCGCACCUCGUCUUCGUCGACCUUGGCCGCUACAUCGACCUGAAUCUGUCCAGAGAAUGGCGGCGAGCCUCCGCAGCAGCCCUGCAGCCGUAAGUUUUCCUCUUCCCCUACUUCAGAUCUGCAUUAGGGUUUGCAAGUUCCUUCCAUGUUCUUCGCUGUUCACCUCGGCUUCUUCAUAGUUCUACCACUGCAGCCUCCUUUAAUCCAAAAAGAGUAUAAGACUCAUGCAAUAACUAUUUCACACUCAUUUUUGAUACUAGCAGAUCCCUUUAUCUUGCAAAGAAGCCUUGUUAGAACUGAUGAACCCAUCCGCAUUUCGUUUUUAGGUCUAGAAUAUUUUCCUUUCUGAACAGCCGGUUGAUCCAAAAUAGUUGCUGCAACUUGUGAAAACUUGUUUAUGCAACACUUAGGCAAAAAAUUGUGUUGACUAGAUCCACCUAGCCAUGGCGACUAUUAUCACCGACUUAAAUGACAAUGCUUAGUUGAUAAUCUUGACCUCCCAUGGCGGCUUAAAUAACUGAAUUGUCAAUGAUGCUUAUGGCAGCUUAAAUAAUCUGACAUAAUUAGUCUUAUACCAUUAGGCCCCUUCAUAAGCCACCAUCUUGAAUAUGCACUGAUAUUUCCUCCAGCUUAAAUUUGAACCAGAAAUUUUAUCCUUUCUUAGGCUUCCAUCACAAUGGCACCUAAGACAAGCACCUCAUGCAACUGGGUCCCGUCCAUUGUCACUGAACAGACCCUUGAAGAUUUUGUGAAAGUUGGCUAUCUACCGAAAAGGGAUGUCAUGUCGUACCAUGCCCCUGACCCAACAGAAGAAAGACCUCAACCCAAGGAGGGGGAAGUGAUCAUCUUGACAGAUCAUAUGAACCGGGGUUUCUCACCACCCGACUCAAAAUUCUUUAGGGAUGUCCUACAUUUCUUUGAUCUCCGUCCUCAAGACAUCGGACCGAAUUCCGUGUCUAACAUCUGCAAUUUUCAAGUAUUCAUCGAGGUGUAUCUUGGAGAAGAACCCAACAUGUUACUCUUCAGAGAGUUAUUCUAUUUGAACCGCCAAAAUGAAUGUGCCAGCGGACAGAGCUUGGAAGUUGGCGGCAUCUCAAUCCAGCGUCAGAGAGACGUUAUUUUUCCUUAUGCCAAUCCGCCAAGCCACUCUAAAGACUAGAAUCAAAUGUGGUUUUAUUGUCAAGACACUUCCCCGGCUGAUGAGAAUCCUCUGCCCGGUUUUUGCGCCUUGCGUCUUGAUUCCAAUCAUCCACUGCCUGACAAGAUAUCACCCACCGAACGCAAAACGCUCACCCCCGCCUUGGCCAAAAUCAAAGCUCUUCUGGGGAACGGGUUGAAUGGUAUUGAUUUGGUCCAGGUCUGGCAUGCCUGGCGGAUUAUUCCAUUAAGCCGCCGCCCCGGUCUAAUGUGCAACUAUUCAGGCAAGAAAGAUGAUCCUCUGUGUAAGUGCAUCUAGUGCCACCCCUAGUUGGUUUUGGAGUAUUGACGACAAAUUUGGUUGAGGGACUAAUGCGUUUGUGAGAAUUGCAGGAUAACGCAUGUAGUGUCCCUCAUUGAUUCGGUUUACCUACCGGAGAUGACCCCUAAAAAUGUAUGAAGACAUUGACGACAAUGGUGGUAUGUGAAGAUAUUCAUAUUGAAGGCUAUGACAUGAGAAGACAUUGAGUGAAGACUAUGGAGCGCGAAGACUGUGUCAUUUCGUUGUUUCCUUUUUCUUCUUUGUUGAUUCAUAGGAACCACCGUACUGUUAAGUGGGGUCCAAGUGAACAAAGUCAGAAUGACUGAAGUGAUGCUCAACCCAAAUCCUAUAUCUUCGAGCGAAGACAAUGAGAGCAAAUCUUAUCCAGAGCUGGAUGAGUCAGCUUUGCUUGUAGCCCAAGUAAAGAUGCCAUGUGUGUUUGAAAUCUGACCGUUGGAACACGUGUCAGUUCCUUAGUGACCCAGGGUCAUUUCGGACAUAUCAGGCCGGGUUGCCUAGUGGCUAUAAAUAGCCCACCCCCUACACCAUAAAUUGGUGGCUACUUAGAGUUAGUACACGGAUUUUGUCGUUUGAGAGCAACCCACCUCAAAGCCUUUGAGAGAGAGAAAUCCUUGCGAGGACAAAGCCCAAACACCCAGAGCCAAAGAGUGUUAGGCAUCACUGAAGUCUUUAUGUCUGCGUGACCUGAAGACUUAUUACACUUGAGGACUGUGAAUCCUCCAGCUGGUUAGGCUUCGCGUUCUGAGCAUCCAAAAGUCAUUGUGGAUCGCCGGUGAACGAAGUCUGUGAAGGUUCGGAAGUCUACCUUGAAGACUUACCAGAGUGAUUGGGCGAGGACUGUGUGUCCUUAGCUCAAGGGGAAUAGGGUGAAGACGCGGUCUUCUGAGUUGAAUCUCAGCCUCCCUAACCAGACGUACAGUUGUCACAGCAACUGGAACUGGUCCAACAAAUCAUGUGUCUUCAACAAGUGACUGGUUCUAUCCUCUCCCUCCCUUUACUUAGUGUUUGUCAUCGUGAAGUCAUUGCCUAUUUGUCGUACCUGUUUGACUUCAUUGCUUGACUACUAUCAUUGGUUGGCUUCAUACUAUCUUCCAUCCUGAUCCUUACUACUAAGCUGCUAUUAGUCUUUGUACUUUCACAUUAUUGCAUACUUGACUAUGGUUUGCUUUUUGUACUUUCACAUUAUUGCAUAGAUGAGGAAACGUCGAAGCUAGUCUGGGACUGGCUAUCCAAGGUCAAUGAAGGCGUCUCAACCCAGAGAGAUCAAAGGAUCAGUGUUCUUUGCAACCUUUUCAACCGCUUCAAGAGAAACGACAAUGAAAAUGUCCAGCUCACGUUUGAUCGCCUCACCGACAUCGCAAAUGAGCUUCGUGCUCUCAGCGCCACUGAGAUUACCAAGCAUGAAAUCGUCAAGACACUACUGAGAUCACUUGACAGCUCCUUUGACACCCUUGCCCUCAUGAUACAAGAACGCCCUGACUUCAAGACACUCGAUCCGUCUGAUAUACUUGAGAGGCUCAACACACAUGAGUUCCAGCUUUCUGAGAAAAGAGAUAUCUAUGGUCCCAACUAUGGCCAAACUCGCGCUUUGAAGGCAAAAGUUGUUUCCUCAUCUGAAGAAGAAUCUGACUGCAGUUCUGAUGAUCCUGAAGACAUUGGAAAGGAACUUGCUAUGCUUGUGAAGAAGUUCCAGAAGUUCACUAAGAAGAAGGGCUUCAGAAAAUCUUCACGAUCUAGCUCAAGAAAUGAUGAAGCUUCCACUCAUGACUACAAGAAGAGAACAUGUCACAAGUGCAAGAAACCUGGACACUAUAUCUCUGAGUGUCCACAGUGGGACAAUGAGGAGAAGAAGAAGAAGAAGAGCAAGGAAUAUGAUUCUGAUGACAAGAAGAAGAAGAAAUCUUUAAAGUCUUCUUCCAAGUCCUCAUCGAAGUCUUCAUCUCAUAAGAAGAGCUCAUCUGGCAAGGCUCGUGCUUUUGUUGGCAAGGAAAUGGAUUCAGAGGAGAAGUCUGCUUAUGAGGAGGCGGAGGUGGAGUCUGAAGAGGAGUCCGACCCUCGCAUUGCAAGUCUGGCUCUAGCCACAACCUAUGCUGCCAAGUCCAUCUUCAACACUGAAGACAAUGACUUCCACACCAACGCUGAAGCUGAUGACAAAUACGACCCUGCUCCCACCUACUACUUCAUGGCACGUGGUGCCAAGGUAAAAUCACGUGAUGCUUACUUUCAAACAUCAAGUGAAGAUGACUCUGAUUGUGAAUCCAAACCCAGCUACAAAACACUUGCUAAAAUUGCAACUAAACAACAAAAAGCUAUGGAACAUACUCAAAAACUGUUAGACAAAAGUGAUGACCUGUUGGACGCGGAAAUGACACGUUCACAGUCCCUAGUUGAAGACAUAAAAAAUCUUCAUGCUAAGCACCAAGAACUUGAAAGUCGUCAUUAAACGCUCUCAACCACUCAUGAAAAGCUCUCCUAUGAUUAUCUUCAAAGGAAGCAAGAGCUUGAGAAAUUGAGAGCGGCUCAUGAAGAUCUUCAAAAAGAGAACGAGUCACUUCGCGCUCAACAGAUCAGUCCCGCUCAGGAUGGAUUCGAACCACCAUGUCUAAAAUGCCUUGAGCGUGAUAACACUACCUCUGUUGCUGAAUGUUCCACUACUGCUACUGUUGCAUUGUCUUCAACUACUGAUGUGGUAACUAACCCCUCUGCGGAGGAUACCACUACUAUUGCUGAUGAAAAUGCUAGGUUGAAGACAUUGCUUGAAAUAGGGAUGUAUAAAAGUCUGAAAGGACAUCAGACACUUUGUGAUGUCCUCAAAAAGCAGAUUCUGAACCGAAACCCUAGGAAAGAGGGUUUUGGGUUCGAGAGGAAAAUGAAUGUUGAUGGUUCCUACUGGAAGCCUGAGCAGUAUCCCAAAACCACAUGGGUUGCUGCAAAGGGACCUUCAGCGGAUCCAUCCACCUUAUCUAGCUUUACCUGUGCUAAUCCUGUUAUAAUUGAUGAAUCCCUUGAUGCAAACUAUAAGCUAUUCAAGAAUCAGAAUGGUGAAGUGUUUGCCAGCUAUAUUGGUACUAACUGCAGGAAUGGACCACCUAUGAAGAAGAUCUGGGUUCCCAAAAGCUGUCUUGAGAAUCUUCCAGUGAAUGUGAUCAUGACACCACAUGGGAAGAAGACAAACCCCAGACCUAAGCAUCAUAUGGUCCAAAGGCUUCAUACAGACAGAGGACUCACCUGAGUCACUCUAACGCCAAUGUUUUGCAGGGAAACCGUCCUCAAACUUAUGAAUAUGAGCGUGUGUCUUCAAACCGCUAUGUUCAUAGAACUAAGAACUUUUCUGCUUAUUCAUAUGAGUAUCAUUCAUCUCCUGCAAGGCUAUUUGCUAGGGCUCCAAAGCCGAAGUUCUCAGAUGUUGCACUUAGACUCAUUGCUUCUAAGCCACCCCUGAAGAUGUGGGUGGUUAAGAAGAAUUAACUUUCAUUUGCAGGGAAGGGUCUCCAGCCGAAAUUCAAAGGCGUCUGAUGCUAUUGCUGGGGACCUAAAACAUCUUCUAGGGUGCAAGAUCAAAUGCCCAAAUGGUCUCACUAUGUAUUUUGUUCCUGAAUUGUUUGUCAUUCAUCCUAUCGGUCCUAAUCUUGAUCUGAGCUUCAAUAAUCCUCUUGCCCGUCAAAUGUUUAUGCUUCACAAUACUCUUGGUGAAGCCUAUCCCCCUAACUGUACUGUAGGGUAUGACACCUCAUGCUUCAGAAUGGAUUAUGGAUAGCGGAUGCACUAAUCAUAUGACUGGUGAUCGAAGUCUUCUCAUGGACUCAACCUUACGUCCAUCAGACAAGAGUCACAUCACAUUUGCUAACACUGGUAAAAGCAAGGUAUUGGGUCUAGGUAAAGUUGCAAUCUCAAAGGAUCAACACAUGGAUAAAGUGAUGCUUGUUGAAUCCCUUGGUUUCAACUUAAUGUCUGUCUCGAUUCUUUGUGACUUGAACAUCAUUCUGCUAUUCGGAAAAUAUCGUUGCCUUGUACCAAUGGAAUCUGACAAGUCUCUAGUCUUUGAAGGGUAUCGGAAAGAUGAUCUAUACAUGGUAGAUUUCUCAGCAGGUCCACAGCUUGCCAUAUGUCUUCUUGCAAAAGCUUCAGAAUGCUGGCUCUCGCAUCGAAGGCUGGGGCAUGCUGGCAUGAGGAACUUACACACACUCGCCAAGAAGAAGCAUGUCAUAGGCAUCGAGGGUGUCAAGUUCAAGAAGGAUCAUCUGUGUGGUGCCUGCGAAGCUGGAAAGAUGACUAGGGAAAAGCACCCCUCGAAGACAAUCAUGAUGACAUCUCAACCCUUCGAGCUGUUACACAUGGACUUAUUUGGCCCUACUCACUACUCUACCCUCACAACAACUGCUUGUCUCUAUGGCUUCGUCAUUGUUGAUGACUACUCAAGAUAUACAUGGGUGCACAUAAUUCUCUACAAGACUGAAGUGCAAGAUGUCUUCAGACUCUUCGCCAAUCGAGCCAUGAACAAUUAUGGUGUCAAGAUCAAGCAUAUCAGAAGUGACAACGGCACUGAGUUCAAGAACACCGGACUUGAUAUUUAUCUAGAUACAAUGGGAAUCACUCAUGAGUUCUCUGCUCCAUACACACCUCAGCAAAAUGACAUCGUAGAGCGCAAGAACAGAACCCUCAUUGAGAUGGCUCGAACAAUGCUCGACGAGUACAAGACACCAAGAAAGUUCUGGCCCGAAGCUAUUGAUACAGCAUGUCACAUCAUCAACCGUGUUUACAUCCAUAAGCUUCUGAACAAAACAUCCUAUGAGCUCCUUACUGGCAAGAAGCCAAAUGUCAGCUACUUCAGAGUAUUUGGAGCUAGGUGCUGGAUCAAGGAUCCCCAUCACAAGUCAAAAUUUGCACCUAAAGCUCACGAAGGCUUGAUGAUCGGUUACGAAAAGGACUCGCACUCUUACAGAGUCUUCAACCUCUAUCUCUACAAAAUCGUCGAAACUGAGGACGUGCGAUUUGAUGAAACCAAUGGUUCACAAAGAGAGCUCCUGCCAAGUACACUAGAAGAAGCUCCGCCCGACGAAUCUAUCAAGCUGAUGGGAACUGGUGAAAUCAUGCCUUCUGAAGCACAGCCUGAAGAGGAACUUAUCAUUUGGUCUUCAAAUUCGUCAGCAAAGGAAUGGCAUCUUCAUAUCUCUAGAAAAAUACCUCAAAGAUUGUCUAAAGAAGUUUGGAAUGCAAGAUUGCAAAGGUUACACAACGCCAAUGCCAGCCAAACACCAUCUGGGUCCCGACGACAAUGGUAAAGAGUUCGAUCAAAAGGUAUACCGCUCCAUGAUUGGUUCCUUACUUUACCUAUGUGCAUCUAGGCCAGAUAUUAUGCUUAGUGUUUGCAUGUGUGCUCGAUUCCAAGCGGCACCAAAGGAAUCGCAUCACUUAGCUGUGAAGCGAAUUCUUCGAUAUUUGGCUUACACCCCAACACUCGGAUUAUGGUAUCCAAAGGGCACAAAAUUUGAUCUGGUUGGAUUCUCCGAUGCUGAUUAUCCUGGUGACAAGGUGGAUCGCAAGUAUACAUCAGGCACAUGUCACUUUCUGGGACGAUCACUUGUCUGUUGGUCUUCAAAGAAGCAGAACUGUGUAUCACUCUCAAUUGCUGAAUCUAAAUACAUUGCUGCUGGAUCUUGCUGCGCUCAGCUUCUAUGGAUGAAGCAAACUCUCAAGGAUUAUGACAUCAAUCUGAAACAAGUACCUCUCUUCUGCGACAGCGAAAGCGCCAUCAAGAUUGCCAACAAUCCAGUCUAGCACUCAAAGACAAAGCACAUUGAAAUUCGUCAUCACUUUCUCAGAGAUCAUGUCAUGAAGAAAGAUAUUGACAUCAUUCACGUCAACACUGAAGAGCAACUGGCAGAUAUCUUCACAAAGCCCUUGGAUGAGAAAAGGUUUUGCAAGUUACGGUGUGAGUUGAAUAUCUUGGAAUCCUCAAAUGUCGUGUGAUCAGGCACACAUCCUAACACUUAUGCAUGUUGAUGACUUAGAUGUGCAACACACGAAGUAAAGUAUAUCUUCAAUCAAUGAAGACUUACAUUGUGGGUGUGAAUACAUUAACGUGGAAUUUGACUUCGGAGCGCCACAAUAAUUGUGCGCCGUGUCUGGGUCUAAUACUUCCUAUACGGUGGGUAACGCCACCACCAAAUUUCUCGGUUUGAAGUGUUUCACUCAUGGAGUUAUUUUUGCUAUGUCUUCUCAUUUGGUUUGUCUUCAAUUUCAACUUAUCUUCAUGAUUUUCUUCAUUAUGUUGAUUUGAUUGCUUUCUGAUAUAUAUACUAGUGUUCUGUCCUCUACAGCAUUCACUUAUAGCUAUGUCUUCCUAGUUGAAUCUUUUGAACUAAGUCAUUGCUUAUCUGUAUAUCUGUUUGACUUCAUUGCUUGACUACUAUUGUUGAUUGGCUUCACACUUUCUUCCAUCUUGAUCCUUACUACCUAACUACUAUUGGUCCUGAGUUUUCACAUCAUUACAUACUUCACUAUGGCAUGUUUAGGGUAGUUUAUCUUCCGCUGCAUAUCAAUUAGGUUGUUUCUGUUGUUUGUCUUUGAAACUUCCGAGUUUUGAAGACUUUCAUAAAAAUAUCCUAUUCACCCCCCUCUAGUCGAUACUAGCACUUUCAAUUGGUAUCAGAGCAAGGUACUCCCUUGUUCCGUGUGAUUCGGUUAAACCACCUGGAGUUUCAGCUAUGUCGACUGCAGGGAUAAUCAAGGUCUCCGCUGCUUGCCCCGUGUUCGAUGGAACUGAAUAUCACUACUGGAAGAAUAAGAUGCGCAUGCAUCUUGAAGCCAUUGAUGUCGACCUCUGGUAUGUCGUCAAGAACGGCGUUCCCAAAACUGGUGAAGGUGUCAACCCCACUGAUGUCAAGAAGUUCAUUCAACUGGACUCCACUGCAAAGAACAUCAUCUGUGGUCAUCUGACCAAAGGACAGUAUGGCCGUGUGAGUGCUCUGGAAACGUCGAAGCUAGUCUGGGACUGGCUAUCCAAGGUCAAUGAAGGCGUCUCAACCCAGAGAGAUCAAAGGAUCAGUGUUCUUCGCAACCUUUUCAACCGCUUCAAGAGGAAUGACAAUGAAAAUGUCCAACUCACGUUUGAUCGUCUGACUGACAUCACAAAUGAGCUUCAAGCUCUUGGCGCCACUGAGAUCACCAAGCAUGAAAUCAUCAAGACACUGCUGAGAUCACUUGACAGCUCUUUUGACACCCUUGCCCUCAUGAUACAAGAACGUCCUGACUUCAAGACACUCGAUCCGUCUGAUAUACUUGAGAGGCUCAACACACAUGAGUUCCAGCUUUCUAAGAAAAGAGAUAUCUAUGGUCCAAACUAUGGCCGAACUCGUGCUUUGAAGGCAAAAGUUGUUUCCUCAUCUGAAGAAGAAUCUGACUGCGGUUCUGAUGAUCCUGAAGACAUUGGAAAGGAACUUGCCAUGCUGGUGAAGAAGUUUCAGAGGUUCACCAAGAAAAGGGGCAUCAGAAAAUCUUCACGGUCCAGCUCCAAGAAUGAUGAAGCUUCCACACAUGACCACAAGAAGAGAACCUGCCACAAGUGCAAGAAAACUGGUCACUACAUAUCUGAGUGUCCACAGUGGGACAAUGAGAAGAAGAAGAAGACGAGCAAGGAAUAUGAUUCUGAUGAUAAGAAGAAGAAGAAAUCCUCAAAGUCUUCCAAGUCUUCUUCCAAGUCUUCAUCAUACAAGAAGAGCUCAUCUGGCAAGGCUCGUGCUUUUGUUGGCAAGGAAAUGGAUUCAGAGGAGGAGUCAGCUUCUGAGGAGGCGGAGGUGGAAUCUGGAGAGGAGUCGGUCCCUGGCGUUGCAAGUCUGGAUUUAGCCACAGCCUAUGUCACCAAGUCCAUCUUCAACACUGAAGACAAUGACUUCCGCACCAACGCUGAAGCCAAUGACGAAGACGAUCCUUCUCCCACCUACUGCUUCAUGGCACAUGGUGCCAAGGUAAAAUCCCGCGAUGCUUACUUUCAAACGUCAAGUGAAGAUGACUCUGAUUGUGAAUCCAAACCCAGCUACAAAACACUUGCUAAAAUUGCAACUGAACAACAAAAGGCUAUGGAACAUACUCAAAAACUGUUAGACAAAAGCGAUGACCUGUUGGACGCUGAAAUGACACGCUCACAGUCCUUAGUUGAUGACAUAAAAAAUCUUCAUGCUAAGUACCAAGAACUUGAAGGUCGUCAUGAAUCGCUAUCAACAACUUAUGAAAGGCUCUCCUAUGAUUAUCUUCAAAGGAAACAAGAGCUUGAGAAAUUGAGAGCGGCUCAUGAAGAUCUUCAAAAGGUGAAUGAGUCACUGCACGCCCAACAGAUCAGUUCCGCUCAGGAUGUAUUUGAACCACCAUGUUUAAAAUGCAUUGAGUGUGAUAAUGCUACAUCUGUUGCUGAAUGUUCCACUACUGCUGCUGUUUCAUUGUCUUCACCUACAGAAGUGGUUACUAACCCCUCCGCGGAGGAUACCACUAGUAUUGCUGAUGAAAAUGCUAGGUUGAAGACAUUGCUUGAAACAGGGAUGUACAAAAGUUUGAAGGGAGAUCAGACACUCUGCGAUGUCUGUCGUGGUUCUAAGCCUGACAGUAGAGUGGGGGUAGGUAUGGAGAGGCAAGGUCCUAGCUAUGGAGAGGUUGUAAGCACAAAGGAUGUACGAGUUCAGGCCCUUCUCGGAAGAAGUAACAGCCCUACGUCUCGGAGCCCGGAGGCGGUCGAGUGGAUUAUGAAUGUAUGGAUUACAAGGUGCCCCACCCCUCUGCCUGUGGAGGGGGGUGGCUUAUAUAGAGUGCGCCAGGACCCCAGCCAGCCCACGUAGGAGAGGGUUUAAGGUGAGUUAAGUCUGGGGCGUUACUGGUAACGCCCCACAUAAAGUGCCUUUACUAUCAUAAAGUCUACUUAAUUACAGGCCGUUGCGGUGCAGAGUGCCUCUCGACCUCCUGGUGGUCGAGUGAGUCUUCGUGGUCGAGUCCUUCAGGCCAGUCGAGUGAAUCCUCGUUGGUCGACUGGAAGGCGACCUCUUCUAGGGAUGUCCUAGGGUAAGUUACUUGGAACAGGUCCAUGACCCUACCCUAGGUACAUAACCCCAUCAUUAGCCCCCGAAUGGAUUGAGGCUUCGAGUGAAGAAGGAGUUGAUGUCGUUUCCGAUUAACCUUUGCGCUCUAUUUGUGCGCUGUUCUGGAUCAAAGAAUCUCUUCGUUGACAGGGAGUAAUUUGUCUUCGGUCGACUCGAUCCAUUCUAUUUUUGCGUCGAGUGAUCUUUCGAGCUUCGACGAUCUCCGAGCGACGGAUCGCCGGAAACACCGCGUCUGACAGAUUGAUUUGUUGCUCGCGGAUUCCGCGGGGUGCGAAAUUUGGGGGCGCGCGCGAAGCGGGGCAGACCGCGGCGUUCGGAUGGGACGGGGCAUAGACGCCUCGAUCUCCGCGCCGCCUUUUUCGCCACGUAUCCAGUCCUCAUAACUGCUCCCAGAUAUGAUUAGAUCGACCGGGCCCACAUGUCAGCCACUCGGAAGGGACCUUAUAAAUGUGCCCGGCGAGGAUUUCUGUGCUGCGCCUCAGCAUUCUCCCUCUCUCCCUCUGCUUCCUUCCUCCCUGCUCAGCGUGCUCGCUCUCGCCCCCGCACCACUUCCCUUCGUGCAUCUCACCGGCGACCAUGGCCAAGGAGAAGACGGCGGCGCUGGAGCGUUCCAAGAAGGCGUCGGCCUCGGAGAAGGCGAAGGGGAGAUCCACCAGCCGCAGAGGGUCCUCAUCCAGAUCCCGCCUGCCGAAAGGCUGGGUCCAAGGAGACUGGAUCCAGUCGACCAUCACGGAGAAGGACCUCCUCGACAUGGCCAACGAGGGCUUGAUCCCUCACGGAGCUGCGAGGUUGCCGGGGAAGGAGUGGCAGCCACAGCCAGAAGAGGGUGAGUGUGUGCUUCUGGUCACUCAUGUUGAUCGUGGGUUUUCCUUGCCGCCAAGCAUUUUCUUCCGUGGCUUCUUGAAUUUCUUUGGAGCGCAGCUCCACCACUUUACCCCAAACUCCAUUGCCUAUCUUGCUGCAUUCGUGUCCAUGUGUGAGGGUUUCUUGGGCUGUCGACCGCACUGGGGUUUGUUCAAACGUAUCUUCACGUGUCGCUCUCAGACCGUGAAGAAGGCGAGCCCAGGUGACGAGAAGACCCGAGUCGUCCAAAUGUGUGGGGGCCUGGGGAUUCAGGUGAGGAAUAAUAGCACCUUCCCGCCCAUGUCCUUUCCCGAGUCCGUCAGAGGCUGGCAGUCGACCUGGUUCUACUGUCAGGUCCAGUCGACGCCAGGGCAGUCGAGUGGACUCCCUCCGUUUACCAUGGACCGAGUGAACAAGCCCUCCCCUCUGAAGCUGAUUCCGGAGGAGAAAGCCGACGUGAAGAUGUUGAUGGAGCGCGUGGUGCAGUUGGUUCGGGAGGGGGUGACGGGCAUGGAUCUUCUGGAGGUCUUCCUCAGGCGUCGCAUCCAACCCCUACAAUUCCGGAGCCACUGCAUGUGGUUGUACUGUGGGCCCGAAGACGAGACUAGAGUCCAUCCAGAGGAAGUCGACGAUGCCACUCUGGAAAGAUGGAUGGUAGCCGUUACAGGAAACAGGGACAACCCGCGCGGAGCCAGAAGGAUUCCUCCACUCGACCACAACAGCGACCCAAACAAGGUACGCUUGCUCUGCUUUCCAUUGUGUCCUUGUCGUAUUCAUUUCUGCUAACCUUGUCGACUGGUCGACUGAUCCUUGUUUGGGCAUCUGCUAGGCCUUCACCGAGCUGUACUCGAUGCCCAAUGGGGCACAAGCUUCGACUGAGGAAGGCGAGGCGAGCGGGGGCGAGGCGAGCGGGGGCGAGAGCCAGGAAGAGGAGGAAUGGGACUCGGAUGCUGCAAGGGAUGAUGACGACGAUGAUGAUGAUGAAGGUGAUGAGGAUGACAUCGAGGACGAGGAAGAAGAGGAGGAGGAGGUCGUUCCACCGCGCUCAGAAAGGCGGUCGAAGCUUGUCCACGACCCUUCGACCGAACGUGGUAAGGGGGUUGCGACUGCCACUCAGUCGACCAAGCGCCCUCGGACCACCUCUCCGGCGCCGACUGAAAAGGCGCCGAAGCAGCCCAGGGCGGCCUCAUCGAAGCCGACCAAGCUCCUGCCGAAGAUGAAGGUGUCCAUCCCCACCAUAUCAGGGUAAUUGUGUUGCUCAUAUUUUCUUAUUCUUGUGCGAACUUUAUCUUUGGUCGACGCUGAGGUUAGUCGACUGAUCCUUUGGAGUUGCAGUGCUGCUACCUCUGAGACUUCGGCCCGGGCCGAUGACCACGAGAUGGAGGAUGCGGCAACUUCGAACCCAGGUACUGUAUUCUUAACACCGUUUUUAGUCGACUGACUCGCGACCUCUGAUCCUGAUUCUUCUUCGCAGUUCCGCCCCAUACUGUUAUCGAUCUUCCUGACGACGACGAGGAUGAAGAACUGCUGGCACGCAGGAAGAGUCGAAAAAUGCCCGCCAGUAAGGUGCCUCAGGAUGCGACGGCGCCUGAGACUCUGACUGUGGAGGAAGAGAACACCACUCGACACACGGUGUCCUUCGCGAAUCCACUGACGAGUGCUCAGGAGCCCUCCCUCUUCACGACUCACCGCGUCCCAGAGGACCAAGCUGGUGCAGCGAAGGAGGCAAUACGCCAGGCGGGACUCAUGAUGGAGCAGCUGAAGACCAUCCGGGAUGCGAGCCAGGCAGCUUAUGACGCUAGCUCUGCCCUCCAAAGCAAUGUCCAGGUCAGUCGACUGUUGUUUGUUCUGUUGGAUAUGCUACCAAAAACUUUUCUUUUCCGGGAUUUUAUAUUAGUCACCCACUGGGUGUGUUGAAUAAACUCCGUGUUAGCGGGGGCACGCUGAGUGCACCCGCUGGGUGUAGUCCCCAAGGCUAAGGUCGACUGCUGGCAGUCGGCCUUAGGCUUUAUGAUGUCAAUCUUUCUGUCAGUCGACCGGUCGACUGGAUUUCACAAACCGGUGGGGGCACGCUGAGUGCACCCACUGGGUGUAGUCCCCAAGGCUAAGGUCGACUGCUGGCAGUCGGCCUUAGGCUUUAUGAUGUCAAUCUUUCUGUCAGUCGACUGGUCGACUGGAUUUCGCAAACCGGUGGGGGCACGCUGAGGCAGUCGGCCUUAGGCUUUAUGAUGUCAAUCUUUCUGUCAGUCGACCGGUCGACUGGAUUUCACAAACCGGUGGGGGCACGCUGAGUGCACCCACUGGGUGUAGUCCCCGAGACUGUGGUCGACUGCUUGCAGUUGAUCACAGUCUUAGAGAAUGCGUCUUGCACACUGUUGUUUUUUUUUGAGGUCGACUGGUCGACUUUGUCUUCAACAGUAUUAGUGGGGGCACGCUGAGUGCACCCACUGGGUGCAGUCCCCGAGACUACGGUCGAAUGCUUGUAUUCGGCUGUAGUCUUAGAAACGUGUGUUUUUCCCUUUUUCACUCGGAAGUGAGUUACAUUUGACGUUUAGUCGAUUGGUUCUUCGCAGAACUCCUGUGAUCUUAUGGCUCGCUACUCAGAGCUGGAACAAAAGCAUACUCAAGUCGAGCUGAGCUUGAAGCUGGUUCAGGAGAAGCUGACAAAGGCAAAGGAGGAGACCGAAGGUAUGUUUGGUGAGACCCUGACGACUGCUUUUCCCCUUGCUUGUUUCGGCAUCUGAUCUCGCUGUAACUUGCAGGUAAGGUAAGGGAGACCCAGCAGAAGAAAGACCUUGAGCUAGCUGAGAAGAUCAAGCUUGCUGACGAGAAGUUAGCUUCAGUCACCAAGCUCGAACAAGACAAUACCAAUCUGAAAACUGCUCUUGGGAUUGCCAACAAGGAAGUCAGUCGACUGAGAACUGACAAAGCUUCCUUGACCGACCAAGUCAGCAAAUUGACUGAGAAGAAAACUGAACUGGAGGCCUUCCUGAGUGGCCUUGCCAAGAAGCUGUUUCUUAUGCUUGAAGGUAAACCUCCAUGUUUGGCAAAUAUUUCCAAUUGUGGCUUUUUCCAUUCGACUAUCCCCUUGACUUAGUGGUCACCCUUGCAGAAUUUUGUCAAAACCUUGAAGAGGAAACCAGCCGACUGGAGCCAAACCUUGACCCCGUCAAUUCUCCGGUGAACGACGAAGUUGCCAUGGAUGUUUUCCGACUGGAGUCUCGUGUUGCAGCUGUCGUGGACUAUCUCGCAAGGCUGAAGGCCACCACAUCUCGCAUCGACUCGACGCUCUGGCCUGAGGAGACACUUCAGAAUGACCUUGAGUCGCUGAUGGCCCGCUUGAACACGAUCCCUGGUCGAGUGCAGGAGUGGAAGAAGUCCUCGGCUCGGUGUGGUGCAGAUGUCGCUCUGUGUCUGGCCCGAGUCCACUGCAAAGAUGCACGAGAGGAGAAGCUGGCGGCCCUUCGGGUGGCCAAUACCAAGAAGCACGACUUCAGGUCCUUUAUGGAGACUUUCCUUGCAGCUGCCACUCGGAUCGCCGACGGAAUUGACCUUGAUGAAUUUGUUGCACCUUCCAGCCCUCCACAGGAGGGGUAAAAAACUUCUUCUGGCUCGACACUUUAAAUUUGCCUCGGUAUGCCGAGUGGAAUUGUAACCGACAAACCUUAACAGGCUUGACGCCUGAGCACUUUCGGUUCCUUUAGAUAUCGAUUCAAACUUGAAUUUGGCGCUUGAAUAUGAUUGCCUUCGGCUCGGAAUGUCUUUUGCAGGUUCAAAGCAAGGUGCCUGUACCGCAAUCGACUUAUUCUUUAGUCCACUUAGGCGAGCACCGGGCUGCAGCUAAGCCUCCGAGUGAGAGGGUCGCUCUUCACUCGGUAGGAUUUUUGUAACUUAGGCGAGCGCAGGGCUGCAGCUAAGCCCCCGAGUGAGAGGGUUGCUUUCCACUCGGUAAGAUUUUUAUAACUUAGGCGAGCACGACGCUGCAGCUAAGCCUCCGAGUGGAAGGCUGACUUACCACUCGGUAGGAUUUCGAUAACUUAGGCGAACACGAGGCUGCAGCUAAGCCCCCGAGUGAGAGGAUCGCUCUUCACUCGGUAGGAUUUUCACAACUUAGGCGAGUGCUUGGACUGCAGCUAAGCCUCCGAGUNNNNNNNNNNAGUGAGAGGAUUGCUCUUCACUCGGUAGGAUUUUUAUAACUUAGGCGAGCACGAGGUCGCAGCUAAGCCUCCGAGUGAGAGGAUUGCUCUUCACUCGGUAGGAUUUUUAUAACUUAGGCGAGCACGAGGUCGCAGCUAAGCCUCCGAGUGGAAGGCUGGCUUACCACUCGGUAGGAUUUUCACAACUUAGGCGAGUGCUUGGACUGCAGCUAAGCCCCCGAGUGGAAGGCUGGCGUACCACUCGGUAGGAUUUUGAUAAACUUAGGUGAAACGGAUUCGCAGCUAAGCCUCCGAGUGAGAGUCUGGCUCACCACUCGGUAGGAUUUUUACAAACUUAGGCGAAACGGAUUCGCGGCUAAGUCACCCACUGAGGGGGAGUUUUUAUGUGGACAAAAAUAAAAAGUGAUGACACAAUUAUUUCUAAACCCAUGAACUACAGAAGUACUUUAUUGCAACUCAUCCGAGUGAUAAAACUUAAGUGUAAAAUGGGCGGAGUAGCUCCGCGUUCCAAGCUCGGGGCUCGUCGAUAUUAUGCUUGACGUUGUAAAGACGGUACGCCCCGUUGUGGAGAACCUUGGAGACGAUGAAGGGGCCUUCCCAAGAAGGAGCAAGCUUGUGUGGUUUGUGUUGAUGCACUCGGAGAACCAAAUCUCCUUCCUGGAAGGCUCGACCUCUCACAUUUCGGGCGUGGAAACGGCGCAGAUCUUGUUGGUAGAUGGUCGACCGGAUCAGAGCCAUCUCCCUUUCUUCCUCUAAAAGGUCGACUGCGUCCUGCCGCGCUUGUUCAGCUUCUACUUCGUUGUAGAUUUCGACUCGAGGAGCAUUGUGGAGAAGAUCACUCGGCAAGACUGCUUCGGCUCCAUAGACCAAGAAGAAUGGAGUUCUUCCGGUCGACCGAUUGGGCGUGGUCCGCAGUCCCCAGAGUACAGAUGGAAGUUCGUCGACCCAAGCCCCAGCCGCGUGUUUGAGAUCACGCAUCAGUCGAGGUUUCAGUCCCUUGAGAAUCAGUCCAUUAGCUCGCUCUGCUUGUCCAUUCGACUGCGGAUGGGCGACUGAUGCGUAGUCGACCCGUGUGCCCUGGGAGUUGCAGAAGGUUCUGAAUUCCUCUGAGUCAAAGUUCGACCCAUUAUCCGUAAUGAUGCUGUGCGGGACUCCAUAUCUGAAUAUUAGUUCCCUGAUGAAGCUAACAGCAGUACCGGUGUCGAGGCUCUUGAUUGGUUUAGCCUCGAUCCACUUGGUGAACUUGUCGACUGCCACCAGUACAUGCGUGAAGCCACUUCGUCCUGUCCUCAAAGGGCCGACCAUGUCCAGCCCCCAAACUGCAAAAGGCCAGACGAGUGGGAUGGUCUUCAAAGCUGAUGCAGGCUUGUGCGACAUAUUCGAGUAGAACUGACAUCCCUCACACUUAUCCACUAUAUCCUUUGCCAUCUCAUUCGCCUUGGGCCAGUAAAAUCCGGCUCGGUAUGCUUUGGCCACGAUGGUCCGGGAGGACGCAUGAUGACCACAGGUCCCCGAGUGAAUAUCAUUGAGGAUGAGUCGACCUUCUUCUGGUGUUAUGCACUUCUGACCGACUCCAGUCGUGCUCUCUCUGUAUAAUUGUCCUUUGAUGACGGUAAAGGCCUUAGAUCGACGGACAAUCUGUCGAGCCUCUUCCUCAUCCUCCGGAAGCUCUUUCCUCAAGAUAUAUGCGACAUACGGAAUCGUCCAGUCGGGAAUGACUACCAAAACCUCCAUGAUCAAGUCGACCACCGCUGGGAUUUCAACUUCAGUCGGAUCUGUGGCACUCUUGGGCUGCGGAGUUUCUUCGGUGAAAGGAUCUUCUUUGACUGACGGAGUAUGUAUAUGCUCCAAGAACACACCACUCGGAAUGGCUUCUCUCUUGGAACCUAUCUUUGCUAGAUCAUCAGCUGCUUGAUUUUUCAGUCGGGGUAUAUGAUGGAGCUCCAACCCCUCGAACUUUUUCUCCAGCUUCCUCACUGCACUGCAGUAUCCAGUCAUGGCUGGGCUUCUCACGUCCCACUCUUUCAUCACCUGAUUGACCACUAAAUCCGAGUCGCCAUAGACCAUUAGGCGACGGACGCCGAGUGAAAUGGCCAUGCGCAACCCAUAUAAGAGGGCCUCAUAUUCUGCCUCAUUGUUGGAGGAAUCAAAGUGAAUCUGGAGCACAUAUCUGAGCUUAUCUCCUCUGGGGGAAACCAGGACAACCCCAGCACCGGAACCAUUCAACAUCUUAGAACCAUCGAAAAACAUGGUCCAAUGCUCCGAGUGAACUUCAGUCGGCUGCUGCUGUUCGAUCCACUCGGCGAGGAAAUCUGCUAUUGCCUGGGACUUAAUGGCUUUCUUUGCCUCAAACUUGAUAUCAAGGGGAAGAAGUUCAAUCGCCCAUUUGGCCACUCGACCAGUUGCAUCUCUGUUGUGCAAAAUCUCUGAUAGUGGAGCGUCGCUGACGACUGUGAUUGAAUGGUCAGAGAAAUAAUGAGCAACCUUCUUUGUGGUCAUGUAUAUUCCAUACACAAGCUUCUGAUAAUGAGGAUAUCUCUGCUUGGAUGGAGUCAAGACUUCAGACAAAUAAUACACUGGGCGCUGAACUUUGAGAGCUUUUCCUUCUUCUUCCCGCUCGACCGUUAGCACAGUACUGACGACUUGUCUUGUGGCUGUGAUGUAGAGCAACAGAGGCUCUUUGCUGAUUGGAGCAGCAAGCACCGGCUGGGUGGAGAGCAGAGCUUUUAGCUCGGCAAACGCUGCAUCAGCUUCUGGAGUCCACUCGAACUUGUCAGCCUUCUUCAUCAGUCGGUAAAGAGGCAAUGCCUUUUCACCGAGUCGUGAGAUGAAUCGACUUAAUGCGGCCAAGCAUCCAGUAAGCUUCUGGACAUCGUGCACUCGCACAGGGCGUUUCAUUCGGAGAAUAGUGCCAAUCUUUUCUGGGUUGGCGUCGAUUCCCCGUUCGGAAACGAGAAAACCGAGUAACUUGCCACCAGGAACUCCAAAUGUGCACUUUGAUGGAUUGAGCUUGAUAUCAUACCUUCUGAGGUUGGCAAAUGUUUCGGCGAGGUCAGCGAGCAGGUCGGAACCUUUUCGUGACUUGACAACAAUAUCAUCCAUAUAAGCUUCCACAUUCCGACUGAUUUGAGUGAGUAGACACUUCUGGAUCAUUCGCAUAAAUGUGGCUCCGGCAUUCUUGAGGCCGAACGGCAUGGUGAUAUAGCAGAAGCACCCGAAUGGAGUGAUGAAAGCUGUUUUUACUUCAUCGGGCCCAUAUAGACGGAUCUGGUGGUACCCGGAGUAAGCAUCUAAAAAAGACAACCUCUCGCAUCCCGCGGUCGAGUCAACAAUUUGAUCUAUGCGAGGGAGAGGAAAGUGAUCUUUCGGGCAGGCCCGGUUGAUGUGCUUGAAAUCAAUGCACAUUCGGAGCGACUUGUCCUUCUUAGGAACCAUGACGACAUUAGCGAGCCACUCGGAGUGGAAUAUCUCUCGGAUAAAUCCUGCCGCCAACAGUCGAGCCACUUCUUCACCGAUGGCCUUUCUCUUCUGGACGGCGGACCGCCGGAGAUGUUCUUUGACUGGCUUUGCAGACUUGUCGACUCUUAGACGAUGCUCAGCCAGUCCCCUGGGAACACCUGGCAUGUCAGCGGGCUUCCAUGCAAAAAUGUCCCAGUUCUCACGGAGGAACUGGAUGAGCGCUUCUUCCUAUUUUGGGUCGAGUGUUGUGGAGAUGCGGGUCGGAGCUGCUUCGGGGUCGGUCGGGUGAAUGUGAACAGGCUUCGUCUCACCGGACGACUGGAAUGCAGAUUCUAUGGCGGGCUUCUUGGAUCGCAGCAAGUCACUCGGAUCUGCGUUUUGCUUGUAUUCUUCGAACUCGACCGCUGUCACUUGGGAAUCGGCAAUUUUGGAGCCCUUCUGAAAGCACUCCUCUGCCUUUUUCCUAUCACCGGUGACAGUGAUCACACCUUUGGGACCGGGCAUCUUCAAUUUGAGGUACACGUAACAUGGUCGAGCCAUGAACCGUGCAUAGGCUGGUCUCCCCAAAAUGGCAUGAUAUGCACUUUGAAAAUCCACGACCUCAAACGUCAACUUUUCUUUGCGAAAAUGCUUUGAAUCGCCAAACACUACGUCCAAAGCUAUCUGGCCGAGUGACUCGGCCUUCUUCCCUGGUAUAACUCCAUGGAAGCUCAUGUUACUAGUGCUCAGUCGGGACAUCGGAAUGCCCAUACCUUUCAGUGUGUCUGCAUACAGUAAGUUCAGCCCACUUCCACCAUCCAUCAGCACCUUUGUCAGUCGAGUGCCUUCGACAACUGGAUCGACCACCAAAGCUUGCCUCCCGGGGGUGGCAAUAUGAGUCGGGUGAUCAGAUUGGUCGAAUGUGAUGGGUGUUUGAGACCACUUCAGAUAAUUUGCCUUUGCUGGGGCAACCAUGUUCACCUCUCGGUUAAUCACUUUCAGUCGACUUCUGCUUUCCACAUCCGCAAAGAUCAUCAGAGUGGAGUUGAUAUGCGGAUAUCCUCCCUCACUGUCCUCUUUGUCUUCGGCUUUGUCCGACUCCUUCUCCUUGUCCUUAGACUGUUUUCCCUGAAACUGCUGGAUCAGGAGUCGACAUUGGCGAGUGGUGUGCUUUGGGUAAAUGAUAUUCCCCUCUUCAUCUUUCUUCGUGUGAAUAUGACACGGCAUAUCCAUCACGUUGUUCCCUUCUUUAUCCUUUACCUUCUUGGGGUUCCAGGAUCCUUUUGGUUUCCCCUUAGACUUUCCUUGAGUCACGGCCAGAGCCUCUCCAGGAGCUGCCGGUUCAGCCUUCCGCUUCUGUUUCCGACUGGUGUUUCCUUUUUCCGACUGACUCGGCUUGUGCUUGCCGCUUCGGAGUCGGUCUUCUUCUUCGCCGUUGGCAUACUUGGUAGCAAUCUCCAUCAUCCGACUCAAGGUCAUGUCACCUGUUCGACCAAAUUUCAAACUCAGUUCUCUGUUCUUGACACCAUCUUUGAAGGCGCAUACUGCCUGAUGGUCAGAGACAUUUUCCACAGUGUGGUGCAAAGUGAUCCACCUCUGAAUAUACUCUCUGAGAGUCUCAUUGGUUUUCUGCACGCAGACUUGCAACUCUGUCAAUCCCGCUGGUCGCUUGCAAGUCCCUUCGAACGUUCUGACGAACACUCGGGACAGAUCUUCCCAAGUGUAAAUGCUGCUAGGAGGCAAUUGAGUCAACCAUGCCCUGGCAGAACCUUCCAACAUGAGGGGCAAAUGCUUCAUGGCCACCUCGUCGUUCCCACCACCGAUCUGAACUGCCACUCGGUAGUCUUCAAGCCAAGUUUCAGGCUUAGACUCACCAGUGAACUUGCUGACUCCUGUUGCCAACCUGAAAUUGGGGGGGGGGGAUAACUGCGGCUCUGAUAGCUCUGCUGAAACAUUCAGGACCAGAAACAUGUACUCGACUGCUCGUGGGCACAUCUCUGUCGAGUGCGCCUCGAUGGGCUCUGUUCCGGUCGACCAACCCUUGCACGAUAAUGGAUCGCGCGUCGAAGCCUGGCUCUCUGGGGUCAACUGGAACCCUACGCCCUGUACUGUACUGACGCCUAUCAUCUGGCUGCCGAGGAGCGUAAGACCCACCCCUCGGAGGGGAAUAGGGCACUCGACGCCUAUCAUCUCGGUCGAGUCUGUCGCCAUAUUGAUCUCGCCGACUCUCACGCCCUUCGCGCCGCGGAGGCGAUCUGGGGCUGUGAGCCGACUGAACCGUAUUCACAGUGACAGAUCGACUGUGAAUUCUGUUGCGCGACUGAGACACGGCUGAAUUCUGAUCUCCUGCUGCCCGGAGCAGAUCCCUGAUCUGCAGCAAACCUCUGCCAGCCUCUGACUGCGAAGGCUGAAUGGACUCUGCUAUACGGGUCGCAGCUGCUAAAUUCUGAAUUGGGGUUUGAUAUACCUGAGUCGGCGGGAAGAGUUGACGUCGACUGGUGUCGGGAAUUCGUUGCCGCGCGCGCUCGUCGAGUGCUCGCUGAAGGUUCUCCAGUCGAGUGCGCUCGGCCAAAUUGGCCAGACGCGCCUCCUCCAAGGCACGAGCCUCGGGGGUUUCUCCUGCGAUGGGAAUACGCAGGGGAUCCUCGUUCCUGCGGCGAAGCUCUUCUCUUUGCAGAGAGUCGAGUGGCUCGGGCUGGUACUCUUCGUAGCCUCGUGCAGGGUCGCCGCCGUCACCUGCUCCACCACCACGGGCGAAGCCAGGAGGACUGUGGGGCCCGUCGACCAUCAAGAUUUCCGCCGCUGGAUCACUGCUUCCGCACUCGGAUGCAGUCUCUCCGGAGCCAGUCGACUGAUCGAACAAGCCGUAGAGAGAUUCGUUGGGCUCGAUUGCCGCAACUUGUGUAGUGGCCGACUGGCGAGCCACCGCGUGACUCACCCAUCGCUGAAGCCUCGACCGGCCUGAGCGCUUGCGCUGGCGGGAGACCGGGAGGGUGGAAGAUGGAAGAGCCGACCGAUACUGGGUCGAUGAUUGCCGCAGCAGAACGCCGCGGACACAUGCGCGAAAAUGCGUCGCACCGCGGACGGGGAGCGCACCUACGUCGAGUGGAGCCUCCUGGAGCCAUGCGGAGUUGUCGGCGAUGAAGGUGAGAGCGCCGAGACGGAUCUCUUGACCCUCGACCAAAAUUCCAGCAGACACCAUGAUGAAAGUACUCGGAAGAAUCGCAACUUCUCCACAAAAUCGCUAAAACACCUGCCCCACGGUGGGCGCCAACUGUCGUGGUUCUAAGCCUGACAGUAGAGUGGGGGGUAGGUAUGGAGAGGCAAGGUCCUAGCUAUGGAGAGGUUGUAAGCACAAAGGAUGUACGAGUUCAGGCCCUUCUCGGAAGAAGUAACAGCCCUACGUCUCGGAGCCCGGAGGCGGUCGAGUGGAUUAUGAAUGUAUGGAUUACAAGGUGCCCCACCCCUCUACCUGUGGAGGGGGGUGGCUUAUAUAGAGUGCGCCAGGACCCCAGCCAGCCCACGUAGGAGAGGGUUUAAGGUGAGUUAAGUCUGGGGCGUUACUGGUAACGCCCCACAUAAAGUGCCUUUACUAUCAUAAAGUCUACUUAAUUACAGGCCGUUGCGGUGCAGAGUGCCUCUCGACCUCCUGGUGGUCGAGUGAGUCUUCGUGGUCGAGUCCUUCAGGCCAGUCGAGUGAAUCCUCGUUGGUCGACUGGAAGGCGACCUCUUCUAGGGAUGUCCUAGGGUAAGUUACUUGGAACAGGUCCAUGACCCUACCCUAGGUACAUAACCCCAUCAAUGUCCUCAAAAAGCAGAUUCUGAACCGAAACCCUAGGGAAGAGGGUGUUCGGUUCGAGAGGAAAAUGAAUGCUGAUGGUUCCUACUAGAAGCCUGAGCAGUAUCCCAAAACCACAUGGGUUGCUACAAAGGAACCUUCAGUGGAUCCAUCCACCUUAUCUGGAUUUACCUGUGCUAAUCCUAUUAUCAUUGAUGAAUCCUUUGAUGCAAACUAUAAGCUGUUCAAAAAUCAAAAUGGUGAAGUGUUUGCCAGGUAUAUUGGUACUAACUGCAGGAAUGGACCUCCUAUGAAGAAGAUCUGGGUUCCCAAAAGCUGCCUUGAGAAUCUUCCUGUGAAUGUCGUCAUGACACCGCCAGUGAAGAAGACAAACCCCAGACCAAAGGCAUCAUAUGGUCCGACGGCUACUUACGAACACGGGACUCACUUGAGUCACCCUAACGCCAAUGUUUUGCACGGAAAUCAUACUCAAACUCAUGAAUACGAGCGUGUGUCUUCAAACCGCUAUGUUCAUAAAACUAAGAACUUUUCUGCCUAUUCACAUGAGUAUCAUUCACCUCCUGCAAGGCUAUUUGCUAGGGCUUCAAAGCAGAAAUUCUCAGAUGCUGCACUUAGACUCAUUGCUUCUAAGCCACCCCUGAAAAUGUGGGUGGUGAAGAAGAAUUAACUCUCUUUUGCAGAAUGUGGUCUCCAGCAGCAAUCAAUGGCGUCCGAUAUUAUUGCUGGGGACCUAAAACUCACUUGGACGCACGAUAAACUAUCAUUCUAUAUGCUUCACAUCUGAAUUUCUUAUCAGUCAUACUAUGUCCUAACUUUGAUAUGUGUUGUGACUGUCCCUAUAUGUGUCAAAUGCUUAUGCUUCACAACAUACUUGUGACGCCUAUCCUCCUAACUGCACUGUAGGGUACAUCACCAAAAGCUUCAGAGUGGAUUAUGGACAGUGGAUGCACAAAUCAUAUGACUGGUGAUCGAAGUCUUCUCAUGGACUCAACCUUACGUCCAUCCGACAAGAGUCAAAUCACAUUUGUUGACACUGGUAAAAGCAAAGUAUUGGGUCUAGGUAGAGUUGCAAUCUCAAAGGAUCAGCACAUGGAUAAAGUGAUGCUUGUUGAAUCCCUUGGUUUCAACUUAAUGUCUGUCUCAAUGCUUUGUGACUUGAACAUGAUUGUGAUAUUUGGCAAAUAUCGUUGCCUUGUACUAAUGGAAUCUGAAAAAUCUCUAGUCUUUGAAGGGUAUCGAAAAGAUGAUCUAUACAUGGUAGAUUUCUCAGUAGGUCCUCAGCUUGCCGUAUGUCUUAUCACAAAAGCUUCAGAAUGCUGGCUGUGGCAUCGAAGGCUGGGACAUGCUGGCAUGAGGAACUUACACUCGCUCGUCAAGAAGAAGCAUGUGAUUGGCAUCAAAGAUGUCAAGUUCAAGAAGGAUCAUCUGUGUGGUGCCUGUGAAGCUGGAAAGAUGACAAGGGCAAAGCACCCCUCGAAGACAAUCAUGACAACAUCUCAACCCUUCGAGCUGUUACACAUGGACUUAUUUGGACCUACUCACUACUCCACUCUCACAACAACUGCCUGUCUCUAUGGCUUCGUCAUUGUUGAUGACUACUCAAGAUACACAUGGGUUCAUAUAAUUCUGUACAAGACUGAAGUGCAAGAUGUCUUCAGGCGCUUUGCAAAUCGAGCAAUGAUCAACUAUGGUGUGAAGAUCAAGCACAUCAGAAGUGACAAUGGCACUGAAUUCAAGAACACUAGACUUGAUCUGUAUCUGGUUACAAUGGGAAUCACUCAUGAGUUCUUUGCUCCAUACACACCUCAGCAAAAUGGCAUCGUUGAGCCCAAAAAUAGAACCCUCAUUGAGAUGGCUCGAACAAUGCUAGAUGAAUACAAGACACCAAGGAAGUUCUGGCCCGAAGCUAUUGAUACUGCAUGUCACAUCAUCAACCGUGUGUACAUCCAUAAGCUUCUCAACAAAACAUCAUAUGAGCUGCUCACUGGCAAGAAGCCAAACGUUAGUUACUUCAGAGUAUUUGGAGCUAGAUGCUGGAUCAAGGAUCCACAUCACAAGUCAGAAUUUGCACCUAAGGCUCACGAAGGCUUCAUGCUUGGCUAUGGAAAGGAUUCACACUCCUACAGAGUCUUCAACCUUUUUCUCUACAAAAUCGUUGAAACUGUGGAUGUGAAGUUUGAUGAGACCAAUGGUUCACAGAGAGAGUUUCUGCCAAGUACACUAGAUGAAGCUCCUUCAAACGAGUCUAUCAAGCUGAUGGGAACUGGUGAAAUCAUGCCCUCUGAAGCACAGCCUGAAGAGGAACUUAUCAUCUCUGCACCAAAUCAACCUGAAGACAAUGCUCAGACCAAAGACAAUUCUUCCAAUGAUGACAAUGAUCAACCAGAGCAAAAUCUUCGUCCUGUUCAUCCUCGUGUUGCAAAUGAAGUUCAAAUAGAGAAGAUUAUUGACAGCAUCAAUGCACCUGGUCCGCUCACUCGAUCAAGAGCAACACAUCUAGCAAACUUCUAUGGGCACUUUUCAUUUGUGUCGAUAUCAGAACCCAAGAAAGUUGCUGAAGCCUUUAUGGAACCUGAAUGGAUUCAAGCCAUGCAAGAAGAACAUCAAUAGUUCAAGCUGAAUAAAGUUUGGGAACUUGUCAAGCGACCUGACCCUCACAAGCAUAACAUUAUUGGAACAAAAUGGAUAUAUCAAAACAAGCAAGAUGAGCACGGUCAAGUCGUCAGAAACAAAGCUCGUCUUGUGGCUCAAGGUUACACUCAAGUUGAAGAAAUUGACUUCGAUGAAACAUUUGCUCCUGUUGCUAGGCUUGAAGCUAUUCGAAUACUGCUAGCCUACGCAAAUCAUCACAAUAUCUUGCUACAUCAAAUGGAUGUGAAAAGUGCAUUUCUCAAUGGCAAGAUUGAAGAAGAAGUAUAUGUCGCACAACCACCUGGCUUUGAAGAUCCAAAACAUUCUGAUAUGGUGUACAAGCUAAACAAGGCACUCUAUGGCCUCAAACAAGCUCCUCGCGCCUGGUAUGAUACAAUCAAAGACUUCCUGAAGAGUAAAGGCUUCAAACCUGGAUCCCUCGAUCCCACUCUCUUCACGAAGACAUAUGAUGGUGAACUAUUUGUGUGCCAAAUAUAUGUGGAUGACAUAAUCUUCGACUGCACCAACCAGAAGUACAGUGAUGAGUUUGGGUACAUGAUGCAAGAGCAAUAUCAAAUGUCCAUGAUGGGUGAGCUGAAGUUCUUCCUUGGUCUUCAAAUUCGUCAGCAGAAGAAUGGCAUCUUUAUAUCUCAAGAGAAAUACCUCAAGGACUGUCUGAAGAAGUUUGGAAUGGAAGACUGCAAAGGCUACAUGACGCCAAGCCAGCCAAACACCAUCUUGGUCCCGACGACAAUGGUUAAGAGUUCGAUCAAAAGGUAUAUCGCUCCAUGAUUGGUUCUUUGCUUUAUUUAUGUGCAUCUAGGCCAGAUAUUAUGCUUAGUGUUUGCAUGUGUGCUCGAUUCCAAGCGGCACCAAAGGAAUCGCAUCACUUAGUUGUGAAGCGAUUUCUUCGAUAUUUGGCUUACACCCCAACACUCGGAUUAUGGUAUCCCAAGGGCUCAAGAUUCGAUUUGGUUGGAUUCUCGGAUGCUGAUUAUGCUGGUGACAAGGUGGAUCACAAGUCUACAUCUGGCACAUGUCAUUUUCUUGGUCGAUCACUUGUCUGUUGGUCUUCGAAGAAGCAGAACUGUGUAUCACUCUCAACUGCUGAAUCUAAAUACAUUGCUGCUGGAUCUUGUUGUGCUCAGCUUCUAUGGAUGAAGCAAACUCUCAAGGAUUAUGGCAUCAACCUGAAACAAGUACCACUCUUCUGUGACAACGAGAGUGCCAUCAAAAUAGCCAACAAUCCUGUCCAGCACUCGAAGACAAAGCACAUUGAAAUUCGUCAUCACUUUCUCAGAGAUCAUGUUAUGAAGAAAGAUAUAGAUAUCAUGCACGUCAACACUGAAGAGCAACUGGCAGAUAUCUUCACAAAGCCCUUGGAUGAGAAAAGGUUUUGCAAGUUACAGUGUGAGCUAAAUAUCUUGGAAUCCUCGAAUGUCCUGUGAUCAGGCACACAUCCUAACACUUAUGCAUGUUGAUGACUUAGAUCUGCAACACACAAGGUAAUGUAUGUCUUCAAUCAAUGAAGAUUUACACUCUAAGUGUGAAUACAUUAACAUGGAAUUUGACUUCGGAGCACCACGAUAAUUGUGCGCCAUGUCUGGGUCUAAUACUUCCUAUACGGUGGGUAACGCCACCACCAACUUUUCUUGUUUGAAGUGUUUCACUCAAGGCGUUAUAUUGCAAUGACUUCGCAUUUGGUUUGUCUUGAGUUUCAAUUUGUCUUCAUGACUUUCUGCACUAUGAUGAUUUGAUUGUUUUCUAAUAUAUAUACACUAGUGUUCUGUCCUUUACAGCGUUCACUUAUAGCUAUGUCUUCAAGAUUGAAUCUUUUGAACUAAGUGAAUGUGAUCGGAUGCUUCUAUCUCAACACUAUCUGUCCAAAUCAUAUGCAUUCUAUUGAAACUGUCGAAUGUCUUCUCUGCGUCCUUGUCAGCAGAAGGCAAAGAGACAAACAUUAAAUCUGUUUUAAAUGGCUUAUCUUUACUGUUGAAAUCCGGAGAAGCCGGAACAACUCUCCGACAUGCCUGGCGGGCGUGGGAACGUGGGACUACUCUAAGUAUGUUGCAUGCUUGCCACGUGCCUCUCAAAUGCAAACCGCCAGGGGCACCUGCGUAAUUGCGCUGGGUCUCUCACCUACUUAUAAAUACCUGUCCCUUGCGGUAAAGAAAUUCUUCUUCCACCUCUCCACCUCCGUCAAAACCCUAGCGCCAUCGCUAGCUCGCGGCGACGCCGGCGACGAAGCGAUUAGCUGCCGCAACUUCUCCGACGCCGUCCUCACGCCGGCCGCGGACAUCGUCCUCUCCGCCGUCGCCGUAGGUGUCCUCCGUUGCCAAGUUAGCGCACAGUGGGCUGAACUGCUCGGUCUCCUAUUCCUCCAUCUAGCAGUUCGUGUGCGGUAAUUAUAACUCUACCACCUUUUUGAUCUUCAAGAUUCAUCUUGUUUACCAAAAGUAGUUUCUGUCUAUUCAAAGCAAGAUCUAUUUCGUCUGCAUCUCAUACUGCUUAGUCGAUUCACUUAGAUUUCCUAUCUAGGUUGAUUCCUCACUUGUACUUGUUCACGGAUUGGUACAAAUCUGGAACCAACUCAUCUAUAUAAGUGAAUGUCUUCGCAUCAUGAGGUCAAUGUCUUCAAACUGAUUUAUCUUCAAAAUCUUCUGAGAAUGCAUAUGACCUCUUCCCCUUCCCUCGCAUCUCUAAUGCUGUCACAGGUACAUGUCCGUGGGAGAAUCCCUUGGUUCUCAUAGUCUGCAUUCGUUUGCAGAAUACUUACAGCAUCAUAUAAAUUCUCCUGAAGCCAGUUCUUGCUUGACCAGCAAGCGAAAGCCUCUGAAGCCUUUGAACGUUUUGAAGCCUUUCAGUUUGAAAUUCAUGGCUUCAGAAAAAUCUGCAAGGAAGGGUGGCAGACAACGCAGAGAAGGAACAUCCAAAGAUCUGCCUGAAGACUUAGCAGAACUCUACAAGACAGAUCCAGAAGAGAAUUAUCAUCAAAGGAAGACACGAAUCCAAUGGAUUCGGCGCUAUUGGGCUGAACAAUGGUUCAAGUACAAAUUCGUGACCAAGGAAUAUGCAGAGAAGUAUGCUAUCAAAAGUCCUUGGGGCGAUAUUCUCUAUCGAGGCCUUCAACCCAAGAACAGAGCUGAAGCUGUUGAUCAAGGCUUCUAUCCUUGCAUGGUCCGUGGACCUCAGCCUAAGAGUGCCAAUCCCACCUCAUUACUCUGGUGUCGGGAUGAUGCCCUCUUCAAGCGCAACUUCCAGCACGCAAAGGCUUCGGCCAAGGAAAACAAGAAAUCAUUGGGAUUAGACUUCAACCCUGGUCCCUCUGCUCCUCGUGCUGACGGCUCUCGUGAUGCAGAACCAAAUGUCAUUGGCCCCUUCACCAACCUUGACGGCCUCAUCACUUACAUCAUGGUCCAAUGCGCCAAAGUUGAUCAUUCUGAUCAUGAUGUUGAUACUGAUGAAGCCCCUGCUCCUACUCCAAAGGCGCAGAAGCAAAAGAAACUAAAGGAUUCAACCUCAGCUGCACCUCCAAAGACUUCUCAUGCGAAGCCACUGGCCACUGCACCACCUGAAGCCAGUGUGCAAUCUGAAGAUCUGUCUCGUGUCUCCAAGAGAACGGACAAGAAGAAGCAACUUGUUAGACCAUCUGAUCAAAGAGCCUUGACUCCUGCCGCAAUUCUGCGCGAUGAUCCCAUUGAUCUUUCAAGUGAUGAAGAUAUUACUGAUGAUGCCCUUGAGCAAUUGAUCAAAAGCAAAGAAGAAGCAGAAAUCUUCAACAACCUGCCUCUCUUUGAUGUGGCAAUUAUUCACAACUUCAUUGAUGAAUGGUUCGACACCCCCAAUGUUAGUUUUGAUGACUUGCAGCUUCCCAUUGGCCUCAGCGUCGCCUUCAAUGGCGCCAUUGCUUCUGAGCUGGCUAUCGCUCAGCGAAUCGUUGAGCUCAAGAACAAGAUUGAUUUUGAGAAGGCUCAAUUCAAGAAGCAUGUGGCCAGUCUAAGUGUUCAAGACGUCAAAAACUUCAAGGUCAUGAUGCAUGAGCUCAAAAAAGCCUUUCUCAAGAAGCGUCAAGAAGCUCAAGGCUCUCGCGAGCGUAUGAAGCUUUUGGCUGAUAAGUGUGUGCUUGCCUACAAUGAGGCUGAGAAGCGAAAGUCACUUGGUCGUCCUGGCAUUGACCCCAGGAUGGGUGCAAAGAAAAAGAAGAAGCUUCCUACUGACCAGCCUGCACCCUCAAGCCAAGAAGCCCCUCGCAUUGUCUUCCCCAGCAGCAUGACUGGCUCGAAGCCAAAGGUCACAACAACCGCUUCAGAACAGAAGAAGACAAGGGUUGCAGAGGCUGAAGCCAGAAAGAGGAAGAAUACUGAAGCCUCUGAUGCUGCUCCCUCCAAGAAGAAGCGCAAGACAAAGAAAAAUUGGGCUGCUCCCUCAAAGCCCCUCAUGGUUGAACCCAUCUCAAUGGUUCGCCCUGAGUCUGAACAUCAAGAAAGACAGAUUAUAGUCCAUGAGCCUGCUACCACAGAGGCUCAUGUGACUGAAGAUAUUCCAGCAGCUGAACCCAACGCUGCUGAAGACAUUGGUCAAGAUGACAAUGUAGCUGAUGAUGAAGUUCUUCCUCAGAUCGAAAAUGACUUGGUAUCAUCGCCUGUUCAUACGAACAGCGAACUCAUCAUCAUUGGUCGUCCAUUGACGCCAAUUGCUCAGGAUGCAUCGUGGGCUGAUCACCCACAACUACAAGACUCCCCCAGUACUCCCCUACAACAACAACAAGCUACCCCCAACGUGCAAGAAGAGGAUGAAGACGUUCAGGCUCAGCCAACUCCAUCUCCUAAAGUGAAGCCAGCUCUUCGCAGGCUUCGCAGAGGACAAAGGCCUGAAGUCCCUCUGUCGAGCGUUCCAGAAGCAAGAGUGCAACGCUCACCUGUUGCACGGCAAGUAUUUUCUGAACCUGCUCCAACUGUGAAUGUCUCCGAGUCUGAAGCACAUGCUGCUAAAGACAUUCCGGCUGCAUGAGCCGACGAAAAUCAAGAAGAAGUGCGUGUACCAACCCCCCAGUGAUUGAAGAAGAAGCAGUUCAUGAUCUGAACGUGUCUGUGCCCGACCCUCCUAUUCGUCAAGAGGAGGUUGAAAAUGUUGAGGCGGCCACCACCAACGUCAAUACAGCCAGUGACGUGGUCAUGGCUGAUGCUAAUGUGGAGCCUGCACUAACUGUGCCUGAAACCAAUGAGGCCACUGUGCCUGAAGCAAAUGUGGCUACUGAACCUAAAGUCAAUGAAGAUGCUGCACCUGAAGCCAAUGAGGAUGCUGCACCUGAAGCCAAUAUGACAACUGCUCCCGAAGCACCUGUCGUGCAGCCUGCCUCCGAUGUUGCCCCUGCUCCUGUUCUGCCUCCAAGGCCUCACACAAUUGAGCAAGCAUACAGUCAUGGUCAGCUCACUACUGUCCGAUGGCCCGUUCUGGUGCCUCCACCCUCUGCCUCAGGACCGCAAUUUGACUAUCAUGUUGGGCAUAGGCCUCAAGUGCAGAAGCCAAAGCGCAGGUUGCCAAGGUUUCCAGGUACUGCCAACUCCCCCGGGUCCUUCAAUGCUAAUGGCUUCAAAAGCCACAAUACCUUCUUUGACAGCGCCAAGAACCCCUACUCCAAGCCAAGAAUAUCAACAGAUAGGUUCUGGAUCUAUCAGCAGAGAAGCUAUUACUCAUGCGUGUUAUAUGAUCAAGGGCGCAUUUUCCCUCAUAUGCGCCUUGACACUGAAGCCAUGCUGGACUGCCGUGCAUAGAAGAAGCACUUGAUUGCUUUCGAGAUGCUGGUCUGCUCCAUUUUGUGACAGACAAAGAACAUUGGAACGAAGAGCUAUUGCUUCAAUUCUAUGCCACUCUGCACAUUCGCGGUUACUACAGAGACAUCAAGACUUGGGUUCUCGAGUGGAUGACUGGAAAUGUUCAUCAUGAAGCAAAAGCUAUGGAUAUCAUUGAGCUUACAGGGCUAGCCACUCUAGGAGAACUAUAUGAGCCUAACUGUCAGUUACACCGCAAUGCUGUGGAGAGCAUCUUUCAUAAGCCAGAACCCAAUAUGAGCCAGAUGUUGAGCAUGAUGAAGCCUUUGCCAUCUGACACUGAGUAUCCCACACAUUUCUUUGUUGAAGACCUUGAGUAUCUGCCUCGAACCAUAUAUCAUAUCAUCAUGCGAACUCUAUGGCCAGUCAAGGGACACUCAUCAGUGGCCAAGCUUGAAGGAGCUAUGAAGACAUUGGUCUUCUAUAUUCUCAAUGGCAUCAGCUUCAACACUCAGGAAUUCUUCAUAAGGCAACUUGCUGCUUCCGGCUCUGACCUAUUUGGUCUGAAGUUUUAUGCUCCAUGGGUCAUGCGCCUCAUCAAGCGACACUCAUCUGUCAAUUAUCAGCCCUCUGCUCGCAAUCAUAUAAUAUUUCUACCAGAAGUUGAAUGUCAGUUGAUGCUAUAUACCCAGAUCCUGCCAAGAAGCCUCUUUGUCUUCAGAAUGCCGAGCAUCAUAGCUCCACUCAGCCUAUUGAAGGUGUUCAAGCAGCAACCAGAAUCUAUCCACUUGCUGGUAACACUCGUCUGCCUCAUCGAGCACCCACUGAAGCCACUGAAAGCACCAUUGCCCAAAGGCGUCCGAAGCAUUCUCGUGUUCUGAAUGACCGAGAACUUCUUGUGGCCCUUCAUCAGAAACAGGAUAAACAUCACUUUUGGCUCAAGAGACAGAUGCAAAGCCUCUUGAUGGAUGUCAAUCGCAUUCGCAACCUUGCCACCAAGAAUGCCUUUGUUGCUCACAAAACUUGCCGAAGAUCAUGGAAGAGUUUGACCCUGGUCAGUGCUGAAGCGGAUCUUCAAGAUGAUGGCUUCAAUGAACGAUUUUAUUUCGACUCCACUCCACCACGGACUGCUACCCUGCGUCGAACUCCAUCUCUUGAAGACUCUGAAUAUUCCUCCUCCGCGGCAACAGUCAAUGCCAGAGUGAUCGAUGAUGAAGAUGAUGCUACUUCACUGCCUCCAACUGCUGCCCGCAUCGACACUGCACCAAGUUCAUCUGCACCGCCAACCAACGACAAUGACCCAACUGCUUCACCUACUCAUGACGAGUAGAUGCUCUAUGUCUUCAAACCUUUUUGGUCAUUACUGACAAAAGGGGGAGAAGCGUAUGAGUUGAUAGUCUUCAAGCGGGUUCAUAUGGGCGGUUGCAUUAUAUUUUGCUGCGUGCUUACAACUCUUGCAUUUUGAUACAUUUGGUUAUUUGAGUUGUAACACCUAAACCUGAUGGUCGUUUGCUACUUCUGCUACGUGUUUGCUUUACUCUGAUGCGAUGAUAAAUCCCGCAUGUGCGAUGAUAACUUCCGCACUUAGAUCAUUUUGCAGACAUCCAUUUUUCAUUAUGCAUGUCAUUCUACUUGUUAUAUCAGUUCAUGCAUGAUCAAUUAUCUUCAUAAGUUGAAGUGGAUCUCCAUAAAUAAAACCUGCCAUGUGCAUUUGCGUUCCAAAAGAAAAUUACUUAUAUGCACAUCUUCAGGGGGAGCCCUUGCUACUUACGAAGACAAUUCUCUAUCCUUACAAUUUCACAUACUUUAUCCCCGUUGAAAACUUCAACCAGUUUGUCAUCAAUCACCAAAAAGGGGGAGAUUGUAAGUGCAUCUAGUGCCACCCCUAGUUGGUUUUGGAGUAUUGACGACAAAGUUGGUUCAGGGACUAAUGCGUUUGUGAGAAUUGCAGGAUAACGCAGGUUGUGUCCCUCAUUGAUUCGGUUUACCUACCGGAGAUGACCCCUAAAAAUGUAUGAAGACAUUGAAGACAAUGGUGGUAUGAGAAGAUAUUCAUAUUGAAGACUAUGUCAUGAGAAGACAUUACGCGAAGACAAUGGAGCGCGAAGACUGUGUGGUUUCGUCGUUUCCUUUCUUCUUUGUUGAGUCAUAGGAACCGCCGUACUGUUAAGUGGGGUCCAAGUGAACUAAGUCAGAGUGACUGAAGUGAUGCUCAACCCAAAUCCUAUGUCUUCGAGCGAAGACAAUGAGAGCAAAUCUUAUCCAGAGCUGAAUGAGUCAGCUUUGCUUGUAGCCCAAGUAAAGUUGUCGCGUGUGUUUGAAAUCUGACCAUUGGAACACGUGUCAGUUCCUUAGUGACCCAGGGUCAUUUUGGACAAAUCAGGUCGGGUUGCCUAGUGGCUAUAAAUAGCCCACCCCCUACACCAUAAAUUGGUGGCUGCUCAGAGUUUGUGCACGGCUUUUGUCGUUUGAGAGCAACCCACCUCGAAGCAUUUGAGAGAGAGAAAUCCUUGCGAGGACAAAGCCCAAAACACCCAGAGCCAAAGAGUGUUAGGCAUCACUAAAGUCUUUCUGUCUGUGUGACCUGAAGACUUAUUACACUUGAGGACUGUGUAUCCUCCAGCCGGUUAGGUGUCGCGUUCUGAGCAUCCAAGAGUCAUUGUGGAUUGCCGGUGAACGAAGUCUGUGAAGGUUUGGAAGUCUCCCUUGAAGACUUACCAGAGUGAUUGGGCGAGGACUGGGUGUCCUUAGCUCAAGGGGAAUAAGGUGAAGACACGGUCUUCUGAGUUAAAUCUCAGCCUCCCUAACCAGACGUACAGUUGUCACAGCAACUGGAACUGGUCCAACAAAUCCUGUGUCUUCAACAAGCAACUGGUUCUAUCCCUUCCAACCUUACUUAAGUUUGUCUUCAUGAAGUCAUUGCUUAUCUGUAUAUUUGUUUGACUUCAUUGCUUGACUACUAUUGUUGAUUGGCUUCACACUUUCUUCCAUCUUGAUCCUUACUACCUAACUGCUAUUGGUCCUGAGUUUUCACAUCAUUACAUACUUGACUAUGGCAUGUUUAGGGUAGUUUAUCUUCCGCUGCAUAUCAAUUAGGUUGUUUCUGUUGUUUGUCUUCGAAACUUCCGAGUUUUGAAAACUUUCAUAAAAAUCGCCUAUUCACCCCCCCCCCUCUAGUCGAUACUAGCACUUUCACUUUACAAGACAGAUCCUGAAGAGAAUUAUAAUCAGCGCAAGACACGAAUCCAAUGGAUUCGACGAAAUUGGGCUGAACAAUGGUUCAAAUACAAGUUUGUGACCCAGGAAUACGAUGAGAAGAAUGCUAUCAAAAGUCCUUGGGGUGAUAUUCUCUAUCGAGGCCUUCCACCCAAGAACAGAGCAGAAGCUAUUGCACAGGGUUUCUAUCCUUGUAUGGUCCAUGGACCUCAGCCUGAAAAUGCCGACCCAUCGUCAUUGCUCUAGUGUCGUGACGAUAAUCUCUUCAAGUGAAACUUCCGGCACGCAAAAGCAUCGGCCAAGGAAAACAAGAAGUCAUUGGGAUUAGACUUCAACCCUGGUCCCUCUGCUCCCCGUGCUGACGGCUCACGUGAUGCAGAACCCAAUGUCAUCGGUCCUUUCUACAACCUUGAUGGCCUCAUCACUCACAUCUUGGUCCAAGGUGCCAAAGUGGAUCAUUCUGAUGAUGAUGCUGACACUGAUGAAGCCCCAGAUCCUACUACAAAGCCGCAGAAGCCAAAGAAGGCUAAUGCUUCAAGAUCAGCUGCUCCUCCAAAAGCUUCACGUGCGAAGUCACUGGCCACUGCACCUCCUGAAGACAGUGUGCAGUCUGAAGAUCUAUCACGUAUCUCCAAGAAGACGAAGAAGAAAAAGAAAAUCGUCAAAAAUACUGAUCAGACAUUGACUCCUGCUGCCAUUCUACGAGAAGAGCACAUUGAUCUGUCCAGCGAUGAAGAUCUUGCAGAUGAUGCUCUUGAGCAACUGAUCAAGAGCAAGGAAGAAGCAGAGAUCUUCGAUGAUUUGCCUCUCUUUGAUGUGGCAAUCAUCCAUAACUUAAUUGAUGAGUGGUUUGACACCCCAAAUCUCAGCUUUGAAGAUCUGCAACUUCCCAUUGGCCUCAGUGUCUGCUUCAAUGGCGCCAUUGCUUCUGAGCUAGCUCUUGCUCAGCGCAUCGUUGAACUAAAGCACACGAUCGAGUGUGAGAAAGCUUAGUUCAAGAAGCAUGUGGCAAAGCUCAGCGUGCAAGAUGUCAAAAACUUCAAGAUCAUGCUGCACGAGCUCAAAGAAGUCUUUCUCCAGAAGCGCGAAGAAGCUAAAGGCUCUCGUGAUCGUAUGAAGAGUCUGGCUGACAAGUGUGUGCGAGCCUACAAUGAGGCUGAGAAGCGCAAGGCUCUUGGACGUCCUAGCAUUGACCCCAGAAUGGCUGCAAAGAAGAAGAAGCCAUCAACUGACCAAUCUGCACCUUCAAGACAGGAAGGACCUCGCAUAGUCUUCCCAAGCAGCAUGACUGGCUCCAAGCCAAAGGUCAAGUCAACCGCUUCAGAACUGAAGAAGACGAGGACUGCCGAGGCUGAAGCCAGAAAAAGGAAAAAUCCUGAAGCCUAUGAUGUUGCUCCCUCCAAGAAGAAGCGCAAAACGAAGAAGAAUCGGCUGCUCCCAUAGAGCCCUUAGUUGUUGAACCUAUCUUAAUGGUUCGCCCUGCAUCUAAACACCAAGAACGACGGAUGAUAGUUCAUGAGCCUGCUUCCACAGAGGCUCAUGAAGCUGAAGACAUUCCAGCAGUUGAUCCCACCGCUGCUGAAGACAUUGGUCACAAUGACAAUGUUGAAGAUGAUGUAGUUCUUCCUCAGAUCGAACACAACUUGGUAUCAUCGCCCGUUCUCACGAACAGCGAACUCAUCAGCAUUGGUCGUCCUUUGACGCCAAUUGCUCAGGAUGCAUCAUGGGCUGAUCACCCACAACAACAAGACUCCCCGAGUACUCCCCAACAACAACAAGUCACACCACCUGUGCAAAAAGAAGAGGAUGACUUUGAGGCCAAGCCAACUCCAUCUCCAAAGGCGUCGCCAGCAUUACACAGGCUUCGCAAAGGACCAAGGCCUCAAGUCUCUCUUUCGAGCGUUCCAGAAGGAGAAGUGCACCACCAAUCUGUUGCAUGUCAAGUGUUUCCAGAAGCCAAUCUGACUGUGAAUGUCUCCGUGUCUGAAGCCAAAGCUGCUGAAGACAAUCUGGCUGCAUCAGCCGAUGACAACCAAGAAGAAGAACGUGUCCCUACUCCCCCCAUUACUGAAGAAGUUGUUCCUAAAGUGAACGUGCCAGUGCCCGACCCUCCAGCUCAUCAAGUGGAGGUUGAAAAUCUUGAGGCUGCCACCACCAACACAAAUGAAGCCAACGACAUAGUCAUGGCUGAAGCAAAUGUGGAGCCUGCACCAACCAAUGUCCCAGAAGCCAAUGAUGCAACUGCUCCUGAAGCAUCUGUUCUGCAGCCUGACGACUCUGUUAUUGCCACUGCUCUUGUUCCGCCACCAAGGCCCCAUACAAUUGAGCAAGCAUACAACUAUGGUCAGCUGAUCACUAUCAAAUGGCCUGUUCUGGUCCCUCCGCCUAAUGCCUUUGGUCCUCAGUUUGAUUAUCAUGUUGAGCAUAGGCCUCUGGUCCAGAAACCAAAGCCAAGACUACCAAGGUUCCCAGGUACUGCCACCUCUACAGGGUCCUUCAAUGCAAAUGGCUUCAAAGCCCACAACACCUUCUUUGACAGAGCAAAGAACCCCUACUCAAGGCCAAGAAUAUCAUCUGAUCAUUUCUAGAGCUAUCAGCAGCGAAGCUAUUACUCCUGCGUUCUCUAUGAUCAAGGGCGCAUUUUCCCUCAUAUGCGCCUCGACACUGAAGCCAUUGCUGGACUGCCAUGCUUAGAAGAAGCACUUGACUGCUUUCGUGAUGCAGGUCUGCUCAGCUUUGUGACAGACAAAGAACAUUGGAAUGAGGAACUUUUGCUUCAAUUCUAUUCUACCCUCCACAUUCGUGGCUACUACAGGGAUACAAAGACAUGGGUUCUCGAGUAGAUGACAGGAAAUGUUCAUCAUGAAGCCAAAGCUAUUGACGUCAUUGAGCUUACAGGCCUACCCACUCCCGGAGAGCUGUUCGAACCUGAUUGUCAACUCCACCGCAAUGCACUGGAGAGCAUCUUCCAUAAGCCAGAGCCCAACAUGAGCCAGAUGUUGAGCAUGAUGAAGCCUCUGCCACCUGACGCUGAAUACCCAAAGGAGUUCUUUGUUGAUGACCUUGAGUAUCUGCCUCGCACAAUAUAUCACAUCAUCAGGCGAACUCUAUGGCCUAUCAAAGGGCAUUCAUCAGCUGCAAAACUUGAAGGAGCCAUGAAGACAUUGGUCUUUUACAUCCUCAAUGGCAUCAGCUUCAGUACACAAGAAUUCUUCAUCCGGCAACUGGCUGCGUCUGGAUCUGACCUUUUUGGCCUAAAAUUCUAUGCUCCAUGGGUCAUGCGCCUCAUCAACCUACACUCUGCUAUCAACUAUCAGCCCUCUGCUCGCAAUCAUCUAAUCUUUCUACCAGAGGUUGAUAUGUCAAUUGAAGCCAUAUACCCUGAGCCUGCCAAGAAGCCUCUUUGUCUUCAAAAUGCUGAUCACCAAAGCUUCACUCAACCCAUGGAAGGAGUCCAAGCAGUAACUCAUGUCUAUCCAAUGGCUGGGAACACUCGUCUGCCUCACCAUGCGCAAACUGAAGCUACUGAGAGCACAAUUGCCCAAAGGCCUAAGAAGUGCUCUCGCGUCCUAAAUGACCGAGAACUUCUUGUGGCACUGCAUCAGAAACAAGACAAGCAUCACUUCUGGCUCAAGCGACAGAUGCAAAGCCUCUUGGUGGACGUCAAUAGCAUUCGAAAUCUUGCCACCAAGAAUGCUUUUGUCACUCACGAGACCUGUCGGCGAUCAUGGAAGAGUUUGACGUUGCUCAGUGCUGAAGCAGAUCUUCAAGACGGUGGCUUCACUGAAAGAUUCAAGUAUGACUCCACUCCUCCACGGAAUGUUGUCCUACGUCGAACUCCAUCCCUUGAAGACUCUGACUAUUCUUCCUCCGCAGCAACUGUGAAUGCCAAAGUGCUCGAUGAUGAAGACGAUGCUACUUCACCGCCCCCUACUUCUGCAUGCAUCGACACUGCACCAAGUUCGUCUGCGCCGCCAAACAACAACGACAACCCUGCUGCUUCACCUACUCCUCAUGGAAACGAGUAGAUGCUCUAUGUCUUCAAACCUUUUUGGUCCUUACUGACAAAAGGGGGAGAAGCAUAUGAGUUUGAUAGUCUUCAAGCGGUUUCAUAUGGGCGGUUGCUUUAUAUUUUGCCUAGUGUUUACAACUCUCGCUUUUGAUACAUUUGGUUCUUUGAGUUGUAACACUUAAACUCGAUGGUCGUCUGCUACUUAUUUGCUUUUCUGUGAUGCGAUGAUAAAUUCCGCAUGUGCGAUGAUAACUUCCGCACUUAGAUCAUUUUGCAGACGUCCAUUUUUCAUUAUGCACAUCAUUUCAUGCAUGAUGAAUUAUCUUCAUAAGUUGAAGAGGAUCUCCACAAGUACAACCUGCCAUGUGCAUUUGCAUUCCAAAAGCAAAUUACUAAUAUGCACAUCUUCAGGGGGAGCCUUUGCCACUUAUGAAGACAAUACCCUAUCCUUUACAAUUUCACAUACUUUAUCCCCGUUGAAAACUUCAACCAGUUUGUCAUCAAUCACCAAAAAGGGGGAGAUUGUAAGUGCAUCUAGUGCCACCCCUAGUUGGUUUUGGAGUAUUGACGACAAAUUUGGUUGAGGGACUAAUGCGUUUGUGAGAAUUGCAGGAUAACGCAGGUAGUGUCCCUCAUUGAUUCGGUUUACCUACCGGAGAUGACCCCUAAAAAUGUAUGAAGACAUUGACGACAAUGGUGGUAUGUGAAGAUAUUCAUAUUGAAGACUAUGACAUGAGAAGACAUUGAGUGAAGACUAUGGAGCGCGAAGACUGUGUCGUUUCGUUGUUUCCUUUUCUUCUUUGUUGAGUCAUAGGAACCACCAUACUAUUAAGUGGGGUCCAAGUGAAAAAGUCAGAAUGACUGAAGUGAUGCUCAACCCAAAUCCUAUAUCUUCGAGCGAAGACAAUGAGAGCAAAUCUUAUCCAGAGCUGGAUGAGUCAGCUUUGCUUGUAGCCCAAGUAAAGUUGCCGUGUGUGUUUGAAAUCUGACCGUUGGAACACGUGUCAGUUCCUUAGUGACCCAGGGUCAUUUCAUACAUAUCAGGUCGGGUUGCCUAGUGGCUAUAAAUAGCCCACCCGCUACACCAUAAAUUGGUGGCUGCUCAGAGUUAGUACACGGCUUUUGUCGUUUGAGAGCAACCCACCUCGAAGCCUUUGAGAGAGAGAAAUCCUUGCGAGGACAAAGCCCAAACACCCAGAGCCAAAGAGUGUUAGGAAUCACUAAAGUCUUUCUGUCUGCGUGACCUGAAGACUUAUUACACUUGAGGACUGUGAAUCCUCCAGUCGGUUAGGCGUCGCGUUCUGAGCAUCCAAGAGUCAUUGUGGAUCGCCGGUGAACGAAGUCUGUGAAGGUUCGGAAGUCUACCUUGAAGACUUACCAGAGUGAUUGGGCGAGGACUGUGUGUCCUUAGCUCAAGGGGAAUAAGGUGAAGACGUGGUCUUCUGAGUUGAAUCUCAGCCUCCCUAACCAGACGUACAGUUGUCACAGCAACUGGAACAGGUCCAACAAAUCUUGUGUCUUCAACAAGUGACUGGUUCUAUCCUCUCCCUCCCUUUACUUAGUGUUUGUCUUCGUGAAGUCAUUGCCUAUUUGUCGUACCUGUUUGACUUCAUUGCUUGACUACUAUUGUUGGUUGGCUUCAUACUAUCUUCCAUCCUGAUCCUUACUACUAAGCUGCUAUUAGUCUUUGUACUUUCACAUUAUUGCAUACUUGACUAUGGUUUGCUUGUUGUAGUUUAUCUUCCGCUUCAUAUCAAUUAGGUCAUUUCUAUUGUUUGUCUUCCAAACUUCCACGUUUUGAAGACUUUCAUAAAAAUCGCCUAUUCAACCCCCUCUAGUCGAUAACUAGCACUUUCACUCUAUGACACAGUCCUGAUAAUUUGCCUGAUCACGUCAUCAAUUACAUGACCAAGUGCCUCCUUAAUGAAAGUCUAAUAGACUGUGCCAAGGUGGGCUUAAGCCCUUUCUGCGCAACCAAUCCGGCUCCAGCGGUAAGUCGCCAAGCUGAACAAAUCAAUUCCAAUAUUGAUGUUUUACCUAUACUCAAACUUUUGCUGAUUUUCACAGGCUGAUAACAAAUUCUGGAAAGUCAAAUAUGAUCAUGAGGCUGCAAAAAGAGACAGGAAGGCCAGGAGAGCCGCUAGGAGAGCCACCACAAAGAAACAUGGAAAGAAAACCAGUGCUUCUGAGCAGCUUCGGUUAGAUGAUUCUUCUAAGUCGGAGGUAGCCCUUGACUCCCUUGGCUUAAUUUUUAAUCACCUUAUUGAUACUGAUUAUGACCAGGAUGACACGGGCACGAGCCGCGGGGUGGAUGAAGAGGUAACUAUUAUUUCCUCCGACUCAGAGCCUUUGCCGUGCCAAAAACUCUGCCAAGUAACUUGGAAAGUAAGAUUUUCACAUCCUUUUGCUUAUCAAGAUCCUUGAUUUCUUUUGAAGCGACAGAUUCAUGAGAGUUGGAGGCAGACCCAUACCAGCAAAGACACAGAGCUCUCCUCCGGCUUGCCCAAUACACCACGGAAGCGCCGGAACAAGGUCAUCUCCGUCUUAGAUUCCUCUUAUCCUUUGGCAGGUCUCACUCGUCAGCCACUGAACCCUUCUGACUCGAAUUAUCAGGAAACUUCUCCUUCAUCCGGCGACUCAAUUCAAUCCAACUUGCCAGCUUUCAAAGCCGCUCCAGGGUAAUGAUGACUUGCCUAUCUUGUUCUUUGAAUUUUUAUACUUAUACUGACCUUUUGAUCUUUAUGUAAUGGCAAAGCAAAGGUUAGCAAGGCCAACAAGGACAAGCCGGUCGAUGAGCCAACCCUCAAAGAACCGGCACUUCAGACGGUCAUACCGGAAACCUCUGCUACUGAGCCACCACCUGAGCCAGCGUAUGAACCGCCAACCUUAACCGCUGACCUGCCUAGCGAGCAAGCUCUUGAUGACUCGCGUAUGAACCGCCAACCUUAGUCUCAAGCCCAGUCAAGACAAACGACACUCAAGAAGCUGAGGUUGAAAUUACCAAGACCAGUUACAUUGAGCCAGGAAGGCCUGCUGUGCUUGCCAAAUGCACUGCCAAAGAAGAAUUCCUGGAAUGCCGUAAGGUCAGAUUUGACCUUAUGGAUUACUCUCACAUGAGUGCCGGAGAAGUUUUGUCUGGCUAUCUCAGCCAAGUGCACAGUAGCCGUGACGUCGAAAUUGACAUGGUGAAGCAGAUGCACCAUAAAUUUGAGGUAUGAUCUCCUCUUUUCCCUGAAUCAUUCUUAUUACGCCAUCCCCGAAGUCUACUGCUUAAGAUGAAUAUGUUGUAGACUUUAGAAAAACGUCAAACAAUUAUUAACAAUGUCUUUAGAUCAAAAACCUGUAGAAAUCCGGCUUAAUCCGUAGCCCCCAAGGGCCGUUUUAAUCAAAAUGAAUGAGCCGGUCCUUCACAUGCUUGUGUAGAACAUAUUAACUGCAUAGUUUGAACUGCAAUAUGCAUUAGCCCCCAAGUGCCAAGUAGUCUUGCUUGCAAAGUGCUUGGGACUUUAAUUUUGUGAACCGCCAAUCUCAUGAACCGCCACUAUAAAUAUACUUCCGCGGUAGACAUUAGCCCCCAAGUGUCAAGUGCUUUGCUUGCAAAGUGCUUGGGACUUGAAUAUUAUAUGCUCAUAGUCAUGAUUUUAACCCGGCAUUUAUGCAGGUCACCACCAAUCAAUUUCAAUCAGAAAUAUCCGACUUGAAGAACUGCCUGAAAUCACAAGAGACAGAAACCGAAAGGGCCAACUCCAAGUUUGAAUUCAGUGUAUCUGAACAAGAGAAGCUGAAGGCCAACUUUGAGGUGGAAAGAAAAGCUUGGGCUGAUGAAAAGAAGGCCGUAACCCAACAAGCUGACAAGGCAGAGGCGGCUCUUGAAAAGGCAACCAAUGAAUUGUCCGGCUUAAAACGCCACGUGACCCAGAUGGUUAAAGCAAUCUUUGGUAAGUCAUCCUGCAAGUUAUAAAUAUUUGAAACUUUCUAAUGAUCAUAUAAACUGUUAUUAACGCACCUGACAUUGCUAUGCAGGCCUCAGGAGUUCAAAUCUCAGCCAAAAUAUGUUGACAAAGCUGAAGGCGGUUUAUACACUGGUGGAGCAACUCUACACCGGAUCUCAGCUGGCCUUAGCCACCGUGGCCCUGUCUAAUGAAGUUUCCACACUUUUGGCGGAUGUACUAAGGAAACUUUCUGUGCUACCUCAACGGAUCACUGAACUGAAGCGAUCGUCUGUGAGAGCCGGAGCUGUGGCCACAUUAAGCCAGGCCAAAGCUUGGCUUCCGGAACUAGACCCGGCGGACAUCGCUAUUGGUUAUCCAAGCCUAAAACAAGAUGGUACGCCCUUUGAACAGGAAGAUUUUGCUGCUUGUGUGAAGGCAAUACGCCCUGUGGCCACUCUGAUUGCUGAAGAGGCAGAUCUCUCCAAGUACCAGGCGGGUUAUGACACAGAGAACCGGAGGAUUCCGACACCACAGUACACUUUGACAAAUCUGAUUCCACCAAUUCGUAAGCAUAGCUUCGCCCCUGAAGUUGACCCGGCCGGAUUAAUUGAUGAUGAAGCUGAAUUUAAAGCUUUGAGUGGCAUUGACUGGUCGUCAUCAACCUUUCAGGACCGGGAACAAGACGACGAAGUGGAAAGGGUUGAUCCGGAAGCUUCAGGCCAUCAAGAGAAUUGAUCCACCGAACGGCUCAUAUUUGUAGUCUUUGUUAAAAAAACAAUAUUAAUCAUUUUGACUCUGGGAGUCAUGUAAUAGGAGCAGAAAUGAAUUUGCUGUGCCGUGCCUUCGUGCACGUUUUGAUGCUUUAACAAUGUUUAAGCCGCCAUCAUAUCUUUACUCCGUCUUAUGCUUUCCUAUUUUCCUUAUGCAUAAGAAAGCAUGUAAUCUGUCCUGCACAAAGAGAUAGAUCACAGAAAUCCUCGGCGGCUUACCGCAGGGCGGGUCAUAAUUAUCCCAUGUAACUAUAAAUGUGAAAUAUGAGUUAUAAAUAAUCCUGAUGAGAAUCAGAACUUUCAGUAUAACUGUGAUAACAUCAUACCUGAGAUGUCAAAUUUCUACGGCCGAUUUAGAUGACCUGUACAGUAAGGGAGAUGACCUAGUUUAGAAGUCAUGACUUCAAUUGGAGUAUGUCACACGCCUAGCGACUGAUUUUUCGAAGUCAAGCCGGCUCAAACAGAAACCUUAUAUGCCUUAGAACAUGAACACAGGAAAGGUCUCUAGACAAAUCCAAAGAGUGCUUUCAAAAAAGACUUAAGAAAAAAAGAACAGAAAUACAAAUUAAGGCUUCUGAUUCAAAUACGAUCAGUAAACCGUCCCAAAGGGUUAAGCUAGGGUUCCAAUAUGACCAUGUAGCCCAAGUGGCUUUGGCAUUGCGCCGAUCAAGAGGGUACCGACAGCUAUGUUCUCUUUGGUUCGAAUACGACCUAUGUUUGAACAGGAAGCCCCCAAAUGACCUUGAGAAUAUUUAACGACUCUGAUUCGAAUACGAUCUGGGUCGGACCCAAGAGGGGUUAAGCCAUGAUUCGAAUACGAUCAAGAAGCCCCCAAGUAGAUUUUGGCAUUGCGCCAAUCAAGUGGGUACCGACAGCUAUGUUCUCUUUGGUUCGAAUACGACCUAUGUUUGAACAGGAAGCCCCCAAGUGACCUUUAGAAUAUUUAACGACUUUGAAUCGAAUACGGUCAGGGUCGGACCAAAAGGGGUUAAGCUAUGAUUCGAAUACGACCCAGCCCCCAAAUGAUCAAGUUGUUUGAACAACUAUGAUUCGAAUACGAUCAGGAAGCUGUGCCAAAGGAGUUAAGCUAGAUUCGAAUACGAUCAGCCCCCAAUGAUCUUUUUCAAAUUAUGACAAUGAAGACAUCUGAUCUUUGAGGAUGAAAAAGGACAGAGGUCCUGCUUUAUUAUUGAUAAUAUAUACAUCACCAAGAUAUGUACAUCAUGAGAGCCGGUGGCUCAAGUGUAGUAAGGCCGAAGAUGAGCUAUAUUCCACGGUCGGCGGGUCUCCUCCUCCGACUUACGUGAGUCUUUGUGCUCUCGAACAUCGAUAAGGUAGUAUGAUCCAUUGUUCAAAUUCUUGCUGACCACAAAGGGCCCUUCCCAAGGUGGGGAUAACUUGUGUGCAUCAGUCUGAUCCUGGAUGAGCCGGAGCACCAAGUCGCCUUCUUGAAAGGUUCUGGAUUUAACCUAGCGGCUGUGAUAAUACCACAGGUCAUGUUGGUAAAUCGCCGAGCGGGCUGCUGCCAAGUCACGCUUCUCAUCCAACAGGUCAAGUGCCUCCCGACGUGCUUGCUCAUUGUUAGCUUCCAUGUAAGCCGCCACUCGGGGCGAGUCAUGGUGGAUGUCACUAGGAAGAACUGCCUCUGCUCCAUAAACCAUGAAGAAAGGGGUAUAACCCGUAGAUCUAUUGGGGGUAGUACUGAUGCUCCAUAACACUGAUGGUAACUCCUCCACCCAACAAACCGGCGUUCGCUGCAAAGGAACUAGAAGGCGGGGCUUGAUCCCCUUCAAAAUCUCCUGAUUGGCUCUUUCUGCUUGACCAUUGGAUUGGGGGUGAGCCACUGAUGAGACAUCAACCCGGAUAUGCUCACGUUGACAGAACUCCUCCAUAGCCCCCUUGGACAAGUUAGUGCCAUUAUCAGUUAUGAUGCUAUGGGGGAAACCAAAACGGAAAAUCACCUUUUUCAUGAAUUGAACCGCCGUCGCCGCGUCACACUUACUGACCUGCUCUGCUUCCACCCACUUUGUAAACUUAUUGUCGUGAAAAUUUCUAACACCCGUCACGUUUACUGACCAGAUCUUCUGCAUUAGCAUGAGCCGUCGGCCAAUAAAAUCCGUGACGGAAAGCUUUAGCCACAAGGGACUUUGAACCAGCAUGAUGGCCACAAUCUCCUUCAUGAAUCUCAUUAAGAAUCUCUUGGCCUUCCUCAGGAGACACACAACAUUGAAACACCCCAGUGACACUGCGAUGAUGUAACUCGCCAUUGGCAAUCGUCAUUGACUUAGACCGUCAGGUUAUCUGUCUAGCCAAGGUUUCAUGCUCGGGCAAUUCUCCCCGGGUCAUGUAAGACAAAUAUGGCACUGUCCAAUCUGGGAUGACAUGAAGAGCCGCCACCAACUGUGCUUCCGGGUCAGGUACAGCCAAGUCUUCCUCUGUAGGUAACUUGACAGACAGAUUAUGCAAAACAUUCAACAAAGUGUUCGGGGUUACCGGUUUACGCUGAGAUCCAAGCCGGCUUAAAGCAUUAGCCGCCACAUUCUUCCUGCGAUCGAUGUGUUCCACUUGAUAACCCUUGAAGUGUCUAGCAACAGCAUCAACCUCACAGCGAUAAGCCGCCAUGAGAGGGUCUUUGGAAUCCCACUUGCCUGAGACUUGUUGAGCUACCAAAUCUGAGUCGUCGAAGCACCUUACCCGGCUUAAGUUCAUCUCCUUAGCCAUCCCAAGACCAUGGAGAAAGCCCUCAUACUCAGCUGCAUUGUUAGUACAGGGAAACAUCAACCUUAGCACAUAACAAAAUUUAUCACCUCCAGGGGAAGCCAAAACAACUCCAGCCCCCAAGCCUUCCAAUUGCCUGGAUCCAUCGAACUGAAUAGUCUAGUAUGUGUUAUCCGGCUUCUCUUCUGGCGCCUGCAACUCUGUCCAAUCCUUGAUGAAAUCCACCAGUGCUUGAGACUUGAUAGCAGUACGAGGUACAUAUUUUAAACCAUGAGGCCCAAGCUCGAUAACACACUUGGUGACUCAUCCCAUAGCCUCUCUGUUCUGGAUGAUAUCCCCCAAAGGAGCUGAACUGACCACAGUGAUUGGAUGACCCAGGAAAUACUGCUUAAGCUUUCGGCUAGCCAUGAACACCCCAUAAACUAGCUUCUGCCAAUGUGCAUACCUCUGUUUGGACUCAAUAAGCACCUCACUGAUGUAGUAAACCAGCCGUUGAACCGGAUAUUCCUUACCAGUCUCCUUGCGCUCCACCACAAUGGCCACACUAACAACACGUGCGUUAGCAGCCACAUAUAACACCAAUGGCUCCUUACCAAUGGGAGCGGCAAGGACCGGCGGCUCAGCCAGUUGCCUCUUCAAAUCCUCAAAGGCAACGUUAGCAGCAUCACUCCAGACAAAGUCGUCGGUCUUCUUCAACAUUUGAUACAGCGGUAUGGCCUUCUCACCUAACCGGCUUAUGAACCGGCUUAAAGCAGCAAUGCGACCCGCCAAACGCUGAACAUCAUUGAUACACUUGGGUUUUGCCAAAGAUGUGAUAGCCUUGAUCUUCUCCGGGUUUGCCUCAAUGCCUUUGUUAGAAACCAGAAAUCCCAAGAGUUUGCCUGCCGGCACAACAAAGACGCACUUUGCUGGGUUAAGCAUCAUAUUGUAGACCCAGAGGUUAUCAAAGGUCUCCUUGAGAUCAUCUAUCAGUGUUUCCCUCUCUCUGGACUUCACCACAAUAUCAUCCACAUAAGCAUGCACAUUGCGGCCAAUCUGAUUAUGAAGGCAAUUUUGCACACAAUGCAGAUAAGUCGCCUGGGCACUCUUGAGCCCAAAAGGUAUAUAAACAUAGCAGAAGAUUCCAAAGAGAGUAGUGAAUGCCGUCUUUUCCUGGUCCUUAACCGCCAUCUUGAUCUGAUGAUAUCGAGAAUAAGCAUCCAAAAAACCCAAACGCUCACAUCUCGUCGUAGCAUCAAUGAUUUGAUCAAUACACGAGAGAGCAAAGGGAUCAGCCGGACAAGCCUUGUUCAAGUACGUGUAAUCCACACACAUAUGCCAAGUGUCAUUCUUCUGGAGCACUAGCACCAGGUUAGCUAACCACUCUGGAUGAAAUACCUCAAUAAUGAACCCGGCUGCCAAGAGCUGGGCCACCUCCUCGCCAACAGCCUUGCGCCUCUCUUCAUUAAACCACCGAAGAAACUGCUUGACCGGCUUAAACUUCGGAUCAAUGUUGAGAGUGUGCUUAGCGAGUUCUCUCGGUACACCCGGCAUGUCAGAAGGCUUCCAUGCAAAGAUGUCUCGAUUCUCAUGGAUGAACUCGAUGAGCGGGCUUUCCUAUUUGGGAUACAGAUUGGCGUUGAUACUGAACUGCUUAGAUGAAUCGCCAAGAACAAAGUCGACCAUCUUUGCGUCCUUAGCCGAUUUAAAGUUCAUCUCCGGUUCACGCUCUGUGGUGGGCUUCUUCAAGGAUGUCAUGUCUGCCGGGUCAACAUUGUCUUUAUAAUACUUUAACUCUUCUGUAGCACAGACUAACUCAGCAUAACCCGCGUCGCCUUCCUCGCACUCCGGAGCCACCUUCCGACUGCCAUGAACCAUAAUGGUCCCUUUAUGACCCGGCAUCUUCAGCUGCAGAUAAACAUAACACGGCCGUGCCAUGAAUUUGGCGUAAGCCGGUCGCCCAAACAGAGCAUGAUACGGGCUCCUAAUCUUGACCACCUCAAAAGUUAACUUUUUGGCCCUAGAAUCAUACUCAUCUCCAAAGGCUACCUCCAACUCAGUCUUGCCCACUUGGUAUGCCAAUUUACCAGGAACUACACCGUGAAAAACAGUAUUGGACUGCAUAAGAUUUCUCCCGCAUGCCAAACUCCACUGUCCAACCAAUGCGGAACCAACCAGUAACUUGCCGCCCACCAGCAUGGGCCACCACGGUCUUGAUGCCCACCCACACUGCCUCACUGGGAUCACCACCACGAGGCAAAGAGGACGGAGAGAGGAGCGCCAGGAAUCAGGAGUGGCUUGUGCCUCCAACACCGUUGUGGUCGCUGUUCGGACGUGGCAACAGGGGCAUACCAGGCCACCCCUGGCCCGGCCAUGCCCAAAUUGGCCCUGCAAAGCCCCGACUGCCACGUUGCAGCAGGCCGGCGCCAGCGGCCGCCACCAACCACUCCGCCCAAUGCCGCUCCUCCGCUUGCCGGAAACCACACCGUCGACAUGCCCCACCACGCCCCCCGCCUAGACCGAGAUGGGCCCAGAUCUGGGCUGAGCGGGUGUUGCGCCACCCUGCCGCAAAUGUCAGCGCCGCCACCUAGGUGUACUCCAUGGCUCCGCUCUGCCCCGUGUCGGCGUGUCACCAAGAGGGGAAAGGCCAGGGGCCGCCGGUGCCGGUGCCGCUUAGGUGCACCCCACGGCUCCGCUCCGCCCCGCGUCGGCACGCCACCAAGAGGAGAAAGGCCAGGGCCGCCGACGCCAACAUCGCUCGGGCUAGCGAUGACGGCGGGAAGGGAGGAACGAGGGAGGGCUCGAGGGGAGAUGCAACUGAUCACCCGCAAGGGCGACGUGGUCGCGAGAGAGUCCCAUAACAAAUAAUUUGAUAAAACAAAAUACAUACAACAGUAGUAGGAUUUUUGUUUGACACUAUAGAUAUUGAUACUUUUCUUUAAAAAUUUGGUCAAAUAUAUACAUAUUUGAUUUUUAAAAACUAGUAAUACAGUAAAUCUUAUACUCCGUAACAACGGAGGGAGUACUAGUUGGACGCUAAUUCUAGUUCUGACACGCUCCACAUGUCGCGGCGCUUGCGGCAAGAUAGCCAUGCGACAGGUCACUUCGCAAAGAGAGCCAGCUGAGGAAUUGGGCCAAACUGUAAAAAACCACUCCAGAUCUCACAUUCACUAGUCACAGCGACUGCAAUCCUCACCGAUCCCUUUCCCCUCCUCCCCUUCCUAGCCCUCCAACCCUAGAAACCCAUGGCGCCUCUCCGCUCGAGCUCCACUGUGCGAGGCGACAGGCAAGGCGGCGGGUAGAAUCUGCUUCAACACUGGGCCGGCGAGCCGUGGAAGUAGGGCGCGAUGGCACUCAACGCGUCCACCCCCCUCCGUCUCCCCGGCGCUCCCCUUCCUGUGAUCUGCACACUCGGUCCACUGGGUCGCACCAGCCACCGCAGGCUGCUCGGCUGCCCCAACUGCUGUCGUUGAGGAAGGUAAGGGCAGACGUCUUCUUUGUUGCUUCGGUAGGUUAGCACUACAUGAUAAUGCGUGGUAUUCUGUCUGGACAAAGAAAAAUAUCAACUAGUGCUGCUCUGGCAAAAUCGAUCUGUUAAAGUUGGUGGUUUUUAGAGUGGCAAACAUUGUUGUAAUGCUGUUGACGCAAAUUCUACCUCCCAUGGUCCUUUCAGUAUAACAAAUGUACACAAGGGCAGGGAAAAGAGCAUGCUCGUCAUUAUACAGCUAGCUCUCACCUUACCACACCUCACACAUCUGUCAAUUUAACCUUGUUCUCGUAAAAAGGACAAUCUGCAAUCCGCAAUUCAAGUUCUCCAUCUAGCUCAUUUUAGCCUUUUUGCGUGCAAAUGAUGUGCGAGGGUGCAGCCUGUUUCCAUUUUCUCUACUGUGCAUUAUUUUGUUGUUUCUCUACUGGGCAUUAUUAUGACAUCUUGCAUCUUUGUAGACAUUAUCUGACUCACUUCAUCUUUUGAAGAAGGUAAUGGUAAAAUUGUUCUUUUGUUCUUGUGGCAACCUCAGCUAGUUAGUAGUACAUAGUAAUGCCUGGUAUUCUGGAUAAUUAAUUUCUCAACGGCAACGUUUUGUGUGGUAAAUUUUCUUGAGAGAGUGGCAAAUGUUGUGAUGGUGCUGAGUCAAUUUCCUCUUCUCGCAGGCAGAGGCAGAAGCUACCUCAACCUGUUUUGAUCUGCUGAUCAAUGGCCAUGGCAUGAUCCAGGUGGAUGAUGCUCGACCGCUUUGUCUUCCACAGGGGUGACGAGGAAGCAGGUAGUCCCUUCCUAAACGGAUCUUAGGCGCCUUUGAGGGCAAGUUCGCGCACCUCUCUUUGCAAGAAUUUUGACAUCCUCUUCCUCCCUGCCGAGCCCCCGGCCAUCUCCCGCUUCUACAUACGGUGGCCUGACGGUACAAAGUCGGAGGAUGCCAAGGGAACCAAGCUCGUGGCCGCCCACCGUGAUCUGGUUCUCUUCAUGCAAACUUCUUUUGGAAGAUUGGACAAGGACGGUCGCUUACCGAUCAUACAAGACCACUGUAGGACUCAUCCGAGGACAUAUAAAGUGGUCUUGUAUGAUCGGUAAGCGACCGUCCUUGUCCAAUCUUCCAAAAGAAGUUUGCCUGAAGAGAACCAGAUCACCGUGGGCGGCCACGAGCUUGGUUCCCUUGGCAUCCUCCGACUUUAUACCAUCAGGCCACCGCAUGUAGAAGCGGGAGAUGGCCGGGGGCUCGGCAAGGAGGAAGAGGAUGUCGAACUUCUUGCAAAGAGAGGUGCGCGAACUUGCCCUCAAAGGCGCCUCAGAUCCGUCUAGGAAGGGACUGCCCUCUUCCUCGUCACCCCUGUGGAAGACAAAGCGGUCGAGCAUCAUGCACCUGGAUCCAGCAAUGGCCAUUGAUCAGAAGAUUAAAACAGGUUUAGGUAGCUUCCACCUCUGCCUGCGAGAAGAGGGAAUUGACUCAGCACCAUCACAACAUUUGCCACUCUCUCAAGAAAAUUUACCACUCAAAACAUUGCCAUUGAGAAAUUAAUUAUCCAGAAUACCAGGUAUUACUAUGUACUACUACCUAGCUGAGGUUGCCACAAGAACAAAAGAACAAUUUUACCAUUACCUUCUUCACAAGAUGAAGUGAGUCAGAUAAUGUUUACAGAGAUGCAAGAUGUCAUAAUAAUGCCCAGUAGAGAAACAACAAAAUAAUGCACAGUAGAGAAAAUGGAAACAGGCUGCACCCUCGCACAUCAUUUGCACGCAAAAAGGGGCUAAAAUGAGCUAGAUGGAGAACUUGAAUUGCGGAUUGCAGAUUGCCCUUUUUACAAGAACAAGGUUAAAUUGACAGACGUGUGAGGUGUGGUCAGGUGAGAGCUGGCUGUACAAUGACGAGCAUGCUCUUUUCCCUAACCUUGUGUACAUUUGUUAUACUGAAAGGACCAUGGGAGGUAGAAUUUGCAUCAACAGCAUUACAACAACGUUUACCACUCUAAAAACCACCAACUUUAACAGAUCGAUUUUGCCAGAGCAGCACUAGUUGAAAAUUUUCGUCGUCCAGACAGAAUACCAGGCAUUAUCAUGUAGUGCUAACCUACCGGAGCAACAAAAGAAGACGUCUGCCCUUACCUUCCUCAACGACAGCAGUUGGGGCAGCCGAGCAGCCUGCGAUGCCUGGUGCGACCCAACGGACCAAGUGUGCAGAUCACGGGGAGGGGAGCGCCGGGGAGACGGAGGGGGGGUGAAGGGGUCGAGCGCUGUCUCGCCCUGCUUCCGCGGCUCGCCGGCCCGGUUUUGAAGCAGAUUCCAGCCACCGCCUUGCCUGUCGCCUCACACGAUGGAGCUCAAGCGAAGAGGCGCCGCUGGUUUCUAGGGUUCGAGGGAUGGGAAGGGGAGGACGGGAAAGGGAUCGGUGAGGAUCACUAUCGCUGUGAUUAUUGAAUGUGAGAUCUGGAAUGGUUUUUUACAGUUUGGCCCAAUUCCUCAGCUGGCUCUCUUUGCCAAGUGACCCGUCACGUGGCUAUCUUGCCGCAAGCGCCGCGACAUGUGGAGCGUGUCAGAACUAGAAUUAGCAACCAACUAAUGAUCACUCCGUUGUUACGGAGUAUAAGAUUUACUGUAUUACUAGUUUUUAAAAAUCAAAUAUGUAUAUAUUUGACCAAAUUUUUAGAGAAAAGUAUCAAUAUCUAUAGUGUCAAACACAAAUCCUACUACUGCUGUAUGUAUUUUGUUUUAUCAAAUUAUUUGUUAUGGGACCCCCCUCUCUUGCGACCGCGUCGCCCCCGCGGGUGAUCAGCUGCAUCUCCCCUCGAGCCCUCCCCCUUCCUCCCUUCCCGCUGUCGUCGCUAGCCUGAGCGGCGUUGACGCUGGCGGCCCUGGCCUUUCGCCUCUUGGUGGCGCAUCGGUGCGGGGCGGAGCGGGGCCAUGGGUUGCACCUAGGCGGCGCCGGCAUGGACGGCCCCUGGCCUUUCCCCUCUUGGUGACACGCCGACACGAGGCAGAGCGAAGCCAUGGAGUACACCUCGGGGUGGCGCAGAGCCCGCUCGGCCCAGAUCUGGGCCCAUCUCGGUCUACGCGAGGGGCGCGAUGGGGCAUGUCAACGGUGUGGUUUCCGGCAAGCGAAGGAGCGGCGUUGGGCGGAGUGGGUGGUGGCGGCCGCUGGCGCCGGUUUGCUGCAACGUGGUAGUUGGGGCUUUACAGGCCCGAUUUGGGCAUGGCCGGGCCAGGGUGGCCUAGUAUGCCCCUGUUGCCGCGUCCGAAUGGCGCCCGCGGCUGUGUUGGAGGCACAAGCCUCCCGCACAACGACAGUGGAGGUGGUUCCCUCCCGCGCGGCUCCGGUGCUGCGGCUCCUGAUUCCUAGCGCUCCUCUCUCCGUCCUCUUUGCCUCGUGGUGGUGAUCUCAAUGAGGCAGUGUGGGUGGCAUCAAGACCGCGGUGGCCCAUGAUGGUGGGCGGCAAGUUACUGGUUGGUUCCACAUUGGUUGGGCAAUGGAGUUUGGCAUGCGGGAGAAAUCUUAAGCAGUCCAAUACUAUUUUCCACGGCGUAGUUCCUGGUAAAUCGGCAUACGCAGUGGGCAAAAUCGAGUUGGAGGUAGCCUUUGGAGAUGAGUAUGAUUCCAGGGCCGAAAAGUUAACUUUUGAGGUGGUCAAGAUCAGGAGCCUGUAUCAUGCUCUGUUUGGGCAACUAGCUUACGCCAAAUUCAUGGCGCGGCAGUGUUAUGUUUAUCUGUAGCUAAAGAUGUCGGGUCAUAAAGGGACCAUUACGGUUCAUGGCAGUCGGAAGGUGGCUCUGGAGUGCGAGGAAGGCGACGCAGCUUAUGCUGAGUCAGUCUGUGCUACAGAAGAGUUAAAGUAUUAUAAAGACAAUGUUUGACCCGGUAGACAUGACAUCCUUGAAGAAGCCCACCACAGAGCGUGAACCGGAGAUGAAGUUUAAGUCGGCUGAGGAAGCCUAGAUGGUUGACUUUGUUCCUGGCGAUUCAUCUAAGCAGUUCAGUAUCAGUGCCAAUCUGGAUCCCAAAUAGAAAAGCGCGCUCAUUGAGUUCAUCCGUGAGAAUCGGGAGAUCUUUGCAUGGAAGCCUUCUGACAUGCCGGGUGUAUCGAGAGAACUCGCUGAGCAUACUCUCAACAUUGAUCUGAGUUUUUUGGAUGCUUAUUCUCGAUAUCAUCAGAUCAAGAUGGUGGUUAUGGACCAGGAAAAGACGGCUUUCAUUACUCCCUUUGGAGUCUUCUGCUAUGUUUCUAUGCCUUUUGGGCUCAAGAGUGCCCAGGCGACUUAUCUGCGUUGUGUGCAGAAUUGCCUUCAUACUCAGAUUGGCCGUAAUGUGCAUGCUUAUGUGGAUGAUAUUGUGGUGAAGUCCAGAAAGAAGGAAACACUGAUAGAUGAUCUCAAGGAGACCUUUGAUAACCUCCGGGUCUACAAUAUGAUGUUUAACCCGGCAAAGUGCGUCUUUCGUGUGCCGCAGGCAAACUCUUGGGAUUUCUGGUUUCUAACAGAUGCACUGAGGCUAACCCGAAGAAGAUCAAGGUUAUCACCUGUUUCGCAAAACCCAAGUAUAUCAAUGAUGUUCAGCGUUUGGCGGGUCACAUUGGUGCUUUAAGCCGGUUUAUAAGACGGUUAGGUGAGAAGGCCAUACCGCUGUAUCAGAUGUUGAAGAAGACAGACGACUUUGUCUGGAGUGAUGCUGCUAACGUUGCUUUUGAGGAUUUGAAGAGGCAACUGGCUGAGCCGCCGGUCCUUGCUGCUCCCAUUGAUAAGGAGUCAUUGUUGUUAUAUGUGGAUGCUAACGCAUGUGUUGCCAGUGUGGCCUUUGUGGUGGAGUGCAAGGAGACUGGUAAGGAAUAUCUAGUUCAACGGCCGGUUUACUACAUCAAUGAGGUUCUUAUUGAGUCCAAACAGAGGUAUCCACAUUGACAGAAGCUUGUUUAUGGAGUGUUCAUGGCCAACCGAAAGGUUAAGCAGUAUUUCCUGGGUCAUCCCAUCACUGUGGUCAGUUCUGCUCCUUUGGGGGAUAUCAUCUAGAACAGAGAGGCUACAGGACGAGUCGCCAAGUGGGCUAUCGAGCUUGCGCCUCAUGGUUUAAAAUAUGUACCUCGUACUGCUAUCAAGUCUCAAGCACUAGUGGAUUUCAUCAAUGAUUGGACAGAGUUGCAGGCGCCUGAAGAGAAGCCGGAUAACACAUACUGAACUAUUCACUUCAAUGGAUCCAGGCAAUUGGAAGGCUCAGAGGCUGGAGUUCUUUUGGCUUCCCCUCGAGGUGAUAAAUUUUUUAUGUCCUAAGAUUGAUGUUUUCCUGUACUAACAAUGCAGCUGAGUAUGAGGCCUUUCUCCAUGGUCUUCAGAUGGCUAAGGAGAUGAACUUAAGCCAGGUAAGGUGCUUCGGCGACUCAGAUUUGGUAGCUCAAAAAGUCUCAGGCAAGUGGGAUUCCAAAGACCCUCUCAUGGCGGCUUAUCGCCGUGGUUAUCAAGUGGAACACAUCGAUCGCAGGAAGAAUGAGGCGGCUGAUGCUUUAAGCCGGCUUGGAUCUCAGCGUAAACCGGUACCCCCGAACACUUUCUUGAAUGUUUUGCAUAAUCCUUCUAGAUUAUGCAAAAAUGACUUAAUAUCACACAUGUUUCAGAUUUAAUGAAAAUAUGCGCCUAUGCUAUCACAAUAAAAGGAGCAGAAAUAAAAAGCAACCCUUAGGGAACCGCUACAACUAUAUACAUUUGGUACAAAUAAUACAGUCCAUUUAAACGAGACAAAUUUAUUCCAGCAUAUAUCAUAGAAGGGCAAGCACACUCCCUUAAGUUAAUUCAGAACCUCAUCAAGUUGUGACUAUAUUCAUUUUGUAUCUAAGUAGUAGUAGUGAGUACUGAUGCGUUUUUUGGGCCACGACGACAGGUGAGGACGACAUCUACGCAGCAAGUUGGGCCUUUGAGAUUCAUAUAUUUAAUGUAGUGAUUUAUGAAUAUACGUUAGAUACUAAUCGAGAGCUUAGAGAAGACAGCCCUACUAAACAAAGUUAUUUGGUUUGUGCUUUCAGGGAUCGUUGAAACAUACAGAAUGUUGAGGAUUCUGUGCAAGUAGGUGUCAGUUCCAUCGUUGGAUUGCUAUGCUAUGUUCUUCUGUGGAGAAUAGAGUGGCGAGGUGUUAAUCCAUCUGAUGAUCACAUGGAUUUGUUGAGGAGAUGGUCCUGUGAGUUGCUGAAGUUUAGAUUUCGUGUGUGUUCUAUCUAUUUGAUGUGUCAGUCUUGUUAAUUUGCAAACUUGUAUGGGACCCCACUUUCGUUGGGCGCUAAGAGAUAUGGGCUUCUGUACUUUGAUCAACUUGAUAAUGGUGUUUUGAACUUUUAUUUCUAAGUAUCAAUAGUUCACUGAGUUCUUGAAUGGCCAUCUCAGUUAUUAUGACAGUGAUGUCUCUUUUGGUCAAUGCCUCUAUCCCAGUUAUCAUUGAAUAGGGCAUCAGGAAGCAAACCGAGUUCAUCAUCCUGGACAGUCCUCACGCCACUGCCACUGUUAUGUCAGAUUGCAAAGUUUAUUUUUGAUAUAGAUGUAUCAACUGCUUGUCUGCUUUUCUCGGUGUAUGUGAUUGGGCUCUGCUUUUUUAGUAGUGUGGGAGCAAAUUAACAUGCUAGUUUGCUCUGGUUUGACUAAUUACAGAGAGGCUAGUUAAUUCACUGAUAGAUGCACUUGAGAAGCAAGGUGAAACAACGAGGGAUCCGGCUUGCCUGCUCCCUCCCCAUGCUCCCAUCCGUGCUCCCACUUCAUCUUAGGGUUGUCUUUUUUUUUCCUUUCUAAUCUAAUCAUCUCCCCCCCUAAUUUUAAGGGGGUGGGGCCGGGCCUUAUUUUGCUCCAAUUAAAUCAUGCCACAUAUGCGGGAGCACGGAUGGGCACACACACGGGGAGCAGGCAAGUCUCAUCCAAUAACGAGAUGCAUGUCGUGAGAAGAAAAGCUGUUGUAAUGUGGGAGCCAUUGCAUUGAUGGUUUUUUUUCUUAGUUUAGGCAAUUAGCUAGAAUAACUACUAUGCUCUCUUUUUUUGUGUAGGGAAAAAACUAGUAUUUUCUUAGUAAUAUGUAAUAUGUACUCUGGAUCAGCAGCAACAAAAUUAUACUGUAUUUGAUAUGUGUUCUAGAUCAAGUUUUGAAUUAAAUAUGUUAUAAAAAAUAUAUAUGUCCAAAAUGAAAUGUGUAAAUACUAAAAAAGAGUGAGUGAUUGAGUUUUGACAGAUCCGCUGGAUGAAGAGAAGUUUAAUCCCCAGACAGUAGCUUUUUCAGGCAUAAGAGAUUACGAUUUGAGAUUGUAGGACGGGGGUGUCUGCUAGAGAUCCCUUUAGCCAGUAAGUAGUUGUUGUAAAUAAGUGUGCCCCAUUUUGUGCAUUAUGUAUGAAUGAUUGGGGGUCAAAAUCUGCAUGGUAUGGUAUAGUUUUGGUUGCGAGCGUAUAUCUUUUAGUGAACCCUGAAGAAGAAUUCUUGUGUUCUCCAGGACUAACUAGCAGCAUAAGAUGGCUUAAGUUGUCUUUAUCUGAGCCUUAAAUCGAUGAUAAUGUGGGUCCUUUUCUAACAUUCACCUUACAAGAUUUUUUUUCUUCUGAUAAUAAUGCGCGGCAUUGGCUGGCAUGUCGCACGCCAGUAGGGGCCCCUUCCAGCCAAAGGGCGUCUGAAGCAGAGCGCGACUGAGCGUGUGCUUGCCGCUGUGAAAGACUUGUUUGCAUCAUGACAUGCCUCCGGUAAACAGAGGACACGGAGCUUCAGUUUUUUUUUAAAACCUUUUUUUUUCAAUUGGCGUUGACAGGCGUCUCCGAAUCGUAUAAUACUGUCAGAUUCAGACCUAACAAACAAAUUCGAGCGUAUCUCUUGGCUCAAAGAUGACUGCGUCAGGAUGCGCUACUCAUCCACGGACAGUGCAACUUUCCUCGCUCUCAUUCCUGAUCGAGCUCAGACAACAAAUGCUAAGAUUCCGUGGAUUUCAUCAAGGACCCACACACACUAGCAGUUCUACUCCGAAGCUAAAGCUAUGCUAAUUUAGUUGCCUCAAGAAAACUCGAACAACCAAUUUAUGUUCAGGUUCAAAUCCAGUGUUAAAAUAUUUUUGAUGAACACUAGUAGUUUUACCAAGUUAAUUGUGUCACCUUCUCUUCUACUGAUUCGAGUAUUUACAUCGCUCCAAAGUUCCAAACUGAAUAAAAAGGUAACCUCGCUUCUCUAGUUGCCUGCUAGGUGUGUUUUUAGGCACUUUUCCUGUAUGCAUAUGAGAUAUUAUAGAGAUACAGCAUGGUUUAUUUUCGCAUAUGCAGGUAAGAACCAGUGGCGAUCUUUUUGGCGAUCGAUGGUCAUUAUUGGGUUUGGAGCUCUGAAACUAAGCCUAGGAAACGUUAUCCUAAUGUUUGAGCAUCAAUCAGUUUGACUUUAGUUCCAGCUGCCAAGCCAGAGUUGGUUUGGCGUUCCAACCGGCCCAGUUCCAACAAUACAAUUAGGACUGGACGUCUGAGCGAGCUUUUUGGCUCGGCCCGAAGCUCGCUCCAGCUCAGCCCGUUACAGCUCGGCCCGAUACAAUAAACAAGCAAGCCCAGUUGUGAAAAGAGGCCCGAUUCCCGACCUAGCCGAGCCGAGUUUUGCCCGGUUCAACUCGGUGACUCACUCGAGGCCCAGCCCAGUUCCCAUCGGCCACUCUGGCAUUAGGGCACGAGCCCCUCCCUUCCUCCGUUCGGCGCUAUCUCAUCCCUCACCUCACCGCGCCGCAAAAAGUGGACCGAUAGCGACGGGGCGGCGCCUUUCCUCACCACACCGAACGCCGGCGGAUGCGCCUCCCCUGGUUCCUUGCCGAACCCGACGAGCAGGUACUCUCCUUUCUUCCCAUCCCUAUGGCUGGGCGCGCACACGCUCGGCACUCUCGCGCUCCCCUGCACAAGCGCACCGACGGCAAAUGACAUACAUGCUCCCCUGCAUGUAGGAGUCCUACCUACAUGGCUGCACUGCACCUGCGUACACGCGAUGGAGGGAUGGAUGGCUGAAUGCUUCUGUUUGAUUGUGUAGAGUGUAGCCGUCGUCGUCCUCACCAUGCCGGAUGCCAUCGUCGUCCUCGCCACGCCCGACACUGGACGGCGCUCUCAGCACCGAUUGCAGACGCGCCAUGUCAUCGCCGCGUCAGCCGCUGCCUUUCCUGGCUAGCCAAGCAUCCGCCGCCCCGACGAAUGCAAGCACAUACUACAGAGGCGUGUGACACACGAGCUGCCCGGGCUGGACCGAGCCAGAGGCAAAACGAGCCGAGCCACCAGAAACAGGCUCGUUCAACAAACGAGCCGAGCCGAGCUCGGCUCGCUUUAGGCGAGCCAAAGGCUGGCUCGGUCUGAACUUGGCUCGGCUCGGCUCGUGUCCAGCCCUAAAUACAAUGCACUUCAAGAUAACCGCUUUACUAUCUCGGUUUUGCCUUUGCUUGCGUCACCGAAGAUCCUUGCUGUUUUCACUCAUUCCGAAAUAUAAACUUCCGGAAGAAAUUCAACGCUGAAACUAAUAUACCUCGUCUUCUGUCAGAAGACACUGAAAUGUGCAUCUUCUUUCAGGAGUUGUUGACAGAUGAGCGCUGUGUAGCAACUAUGGCAGGUACUCAAUAUUUCUGCACUGUGUACUACGUACUAGCUAUGGAAUGCAGCGUACUAGUAACAACAGAUUGCAAGUCACGGCAGCACAGAGAUGACAUGGGCGGAGGCAGAGCUAGACGCACCUAUGGUCUCCGUCCGUCGUCGUGGAGGUUGACGCCAUGGCUGCGCAGGAUGGCCCGGACAUUGGUGGUGCGUUUACGAUGGUCCUCGACCUUGUGCUCCUCCAAGUAUUCGAGGGAGAAGUGGUCGAUGCGUCUGCUCCUACCCAGAUUACUUACAUACACCAGUGCACGGAUUUCAGAAUCGAAACCAAAAUCAGAUGUGCAAGAGAGGAGUGGGAGGGAGGAGGGGGCUUACCUGAAGGAGGAGGCUUUGCUGCGGACGAGGAGCGCUACGGGGUCACGCGCGACAUGGGCCGCCGAGACCUCGCGCGGCGAGAGCCACCGCCGCCGGUGAAUGCGAGCAGGGUUCGCGAGUGAGCAAGGUGGCCGCUGAGUCCCAGGCCGUUGACGACGGCGCUAGCAGGGAGCGCCACGGCCGCCGCUGAACUGGUCGCUCGCUCGAUCUCCCUCUCGUCUUCUCUUCUCUUCUCGUCUCCUCUGAUGAGGGGAGGGGAGGGGAUGGGAGGGGACGGGGAGAGGCCGGCGGCGAGGUCCAGGGAGACGGGGAGUGGCCGGCGGCGGCGAAGCCCAGGAAGACGGGGAGUGCCCGGCGGCGGCAAUGUGGGAGGGAGCGGAGAGGUCGGGCAGGAACGAAUGAGUUGGGUGGGUGGGUGCGUGUGGGGAUCCAGUUGAUUUCGCUGGGCUAGGAGAGGUCUCCUCGCUGGCAGCUCAUUGGUCAGCCCGGACCUGCCACGGACCCAUGCCCCUCCGCAUCAUAAUCUCAGCCGUUAUUUAUACUAAUAAGACUAGCCACAAUGGAUAGUAACAUGGACUAGUAACAUGUCUACGUUACUACUCUUUGUUACUACCUCUACAAUGAGAAGUAACAUAUAUAUGGUAACAUGCAACACCUCAUUUAUUAGGCUAUAGACUCAUCUUGCUUUGAUAUGUGUGAUGUUACUCAUCUUACUAGUAACUAGCUAUGUUACUACUUCGCUCUCUUUCUUCAUUUAUUGCUUGCCACAUCAUCUAUUUUAUCUAGAUAUGUGUAAUGUUACUACCUAUGUUACUCCCAUUGUGGGUAGUCUAAGUAUGCAAGUGCAACGCACGUCUCGACUUACGAUCAUUAUGUGAAAAUUUAUUUGUGUACGUAAAUGGGUAAUCUGAUAGUAGUAGUAAACUAUUUCAAAUGAAUUGAUGUGUUUGUAAGAUUCAUUUUUCACCUAAAAAGUUAUUGCAUUUUUAUUUGAAACCAUCAGUAGCCUUCUUAUUUCUAUGAAUUUUGAAGAACAUAUUUAGGUACUUAUGUACAAACACUAUUUAAACAUUCUUGUACGAAAAUGAUAUAUAGAUCCAGAACGUUCAAUUUUUUAAGCAUGCCAAUCCGAAUGUUUUCAUGACAAUUUUAGUUCAUGCCAGAUUGGCAAACAUGGCAAUUUUUUAAACAAAAAACAAAAUGAAGAUAAAAUUGCCAUGUUUUAACAAGUAAAAGUUGCCACCUCGCGUCAACUAAAGCUGGCAUAAAAAAACUUUCGGGAUGACAUGCUUAAAAUUCGAACAUUCGAGAUUUUAUCAGGGUCCUCCUUGUAAUAUGAUUAUUUUCUCACAAGUCCUACUUUCCGUAAUCUUCUUUAUGUUCGGACGCCUUUCAACCAACUCUGUUGACUGCCACAGAUCUAUGGAGUAGGGGAACAACCGCUCUGAAGAAAUAUCUAUAUUUAAACAGAAUCAACAAAAAAAAACAUGUGCGGCUCUCAAUUAAAAAUUGUGCGCGUACAAAUACUUAUGGGCCCAUUGCGGAUAAUUAUCUAGUAAUAUAAAAUAUCAACUAAGAGGUCGAGUAAUGUACCCAAAAAAUUCAUGUAACUUGUACUCAAAAUAUAGGCGAACAUAUUUAUCAUGCUGAGCACUUGUGUUGGUAUCAUUUCUUAGCUAGAAAAAAAAUCAAAAUUUGCCAAUCGAGCAUGAUCCAUGUCAUUCUAGUUAAGAUAUAAUCCAAACUUGCCAAUCAAUUAGUUCUUUUUAGCAGAUCAUGUAGCUCAAUGCACACGUGAAGUAAUGAACAAAGAUUUACAAUCAAAUCUUGUCAGACAGAAUGGACGCACCCUAAUACAAUUCACGCAAGCAUUAACAAGACAAACUCUUCUCUUUUCAUCAACAUCUUCACCUCCCCCGACUAUAGUCAACAUCAGUUUAUUCAGUGACCAUGAGCCGAUAUAUUUUGACAAAAAAAACAUAGAACCAAAUUUAAUGGAACUGUAUAUAUUUUAUAUACAACAUGGGCAAGUUUAGUGAACACUGUUAAGAAAAAACUUGCUGCCAAUUACAGAUUGUUCAGACACAAGAGCAGAACAUCUAGUCUUCGCCUUCGAUGGCAACACACCUUUGAGAAUGGGUUGAAAAGGGGGGGGGGGAGAAAAAACAUUAAAUCAAAAAAUAUAUAUGUUUAUCCUUGUAACCAUAAUAAUUCAACAAAAGUAGAAUCAGCUACAUCUGCUUUGUUUAUGAUAUGGAACCUAAUCAGUUUCAAGGUUUGAUCAUAUGCAAAGCAAGCUGUUUGCCAGUUUCAGUUAAAAAAGACAAAAUAAAACGAAGUUUCAGUAGGCUCCCUCACUUGUUGAUGAAAUACAUUGACCAGAAACAGUGACGUAAAAGUGCUUGCGACAUUAUGCUUCUUGCCAUCAUUAUAGUACUUGUUCUUUGGGACAAAAUAGCAGUAUCAUCAGAUGAAACAAUUACCGUCAAUAAAUGAAAUACAUGGGUUAAUAUGAAUUCGAAGCUCAAAACUUCCACCAACCGAAGCAGUGUGCUCAGCUACAUCUGAUGUUGUGUUUUGAAAAGCAAUCAUGUAAUCCAUGGCUCUAUCCUUACUUAAAAGUAAUCUUAGUUUUCUGGCCAGUUUACCUCGAACUAUGUAAGUAUUUCUUAGAACUGGUCAUAUGAGACAUGCAUUCUAUUCUAUGCAAAAUAAAUAAAUGCAGACACCAUGCCGCACUGUCCUCAAAACCCAUUUUGCUAAUCUGCUACCUCUAUGGUUGUGAUCAGCGGAUAAACAUUGUAUAGAACUACAAAAGCACAAAUAGUCAAACAAGUAUGAUUACUACUGUCAUGGUCAUACAUAAAGUACAUGGUUAGAGAACUGAAGUUGUACCUUGCUGCAUCUUGAAGUGCAGUUUGGAUCAUUUUCACGGGGUCAAUGAUACCAUCAUUGAUCAUAUGAACAUACUUCUCUACAGUAACCAAAACGCAAGAGUUAACUACGGAACCUCUAAAGAUUAUAAUGCUGUUGGAGAAAUAUGAAACAAGACAUUUGUAAUGCACUUCAAAAUGAACAGCCAAAACAUGGUUAAAAUGCACAGACCUAUUGUUGCAUCAGAGCCCAAACUAAGAUUGUCUUGUGCCAAGCUUCCCAAUAAAUACGGUGAUCAGGGGAGCCUGAAGAAAAUCAGGAACAAUUAAUAUAUGUAUUAAUAGACCUGAGACAUUAAUGGGAGAGCGCAUACAACAUUUAAUCAGGAUGCAAACAAAGUUACAAGAAAGAAGUGGAGAAAUAUCUUUAAGAUGCUAAAGGAAAAUCUGAUUACGUAGAACAGAGAAUACACAAUAGGAAAAUGACCACAAUUCACUCUCCUGCAAUGUAACAAUAGUGCAUACCCAUCUAUUCCUCCCAAAUCAUUUCAGAAACUAAUGACCAGUCCAAAAAGACAUACAAAUUAUCAUAAAGUCAUCACCAGACUGGCAAUCAGAUAGAAGGGAGAAACGAAUUGGUCAUGCAGCAGACCCUCAGUGGAGAAAAGAAUAUGCAACACACUGGGAUAUGAUUAUGCUGAAAACAAAACAUAAAGGAGAGGUAGUGCUAUCAAGAAUCAUUCUGUGGCGGAGCUAGUUUGAAAAAAAGUGAUGACCAAGGAAGAUUACGUACCCAGCAUUGUACCUUCCCGAUUCCCUAUGACGAGCGUUACAUCGUACUCCUUUGUCGAGCUGCUCAUCGUUGUGCUGCUUGUUGUCAUCUACCUGCGCCUGGCCAUGAUGAAGCACUUUUACAGGCACGCGUGCUUGGAUGGCGUCUCUAGACAAUCGGCCAGUAGCACAGCAGGGUGAUGCGAGGAGGAUGCCGGGAUUACGACCGAAGAAAAAAGUAUCACUGCACCACCAAGAAAAUUAGAAAAUUCACAGAAAAAGGCCAUCAGGCAGACAACAAAGUAGACCUAAACAUAUUUUGAUUAUAAAUAAUGGAGUUUGAGUAGCAUUAACAUAUAGUGGAGUACUUAAAUGUUUUGAAUUGUAGUUAAAUAAAUAGCAAACCUUUCCACUUAUAGUCAAGGUGAAAAUGUACGGAUACAAAUAGGUGAAUUCCCAGAAUGUUGCGCAGAAAUUCUCCUUUGGGAAGGCUAACAAUUUUUAUGUUGCUUCACUUUUAGCUUGUGUCACAAUGACAGGUGGGCUGGUCGAGUAUGUGAUGGUCUUCCUAGAAUCCCAGUCAUCAAGAAAAUCUGAAUGUUCAUCUUGUCGUUUAAUUUGGUCGAUUGUUGAGGCCUGGAUAAAAAGUAUAACUGAAUAAUUAUACACAUCAUGAUUGUAUUCUGAUAUGCUUAUGAGCUAACACAUAUACCUCUCACAUACAUCCAACUAUGGGUCAUCAUCAGGUUCAUGUUCCUGCAAAGGAAUAGGAAAAGCAAUGAGAAAUUUAAUCCGAACAAGGAGAAGAUCAAUAAAAGCUACAGAACAUCAAGAACAGCUAGGCGCCAUGUCAAGAUCCUUAAUAAAAAGCAAACUAUCUUAGUUCAAUAAAUGGCAAUAUGAAAAGCAUACGGAAGCAUUAAUUAAGCCAACAUAUGAUUUCUCCUUCCUGACUCCUUUAUCCUUUCACACUCAGCUCCCUGAGCUCCUCAUCUUUGUUACAUGUAUCUUGAAAAAAUAUUCAUCAUGCAAAAAAAAUAUGUACAAGGGAAUUCCAUUAGCUUUAGGAAAAUUCUAGUACAAGAGAGCUUUUCAGUAGAAGCAGAUUAGUUUUGGAAUCCACACCAUACACAAAUUAAAAUUUAUUUCUAAUAUAUAACUUACAAUCUACGUCAGCGAAACUAUCAACAAAAUAGAAGGACUUUAACCUGCAGCAUCCCAUGUGCAUCCACGCUGCAGCGCCUUCCUCUAAGCCUCUGCUGCUGCAUGAGAUGAAAAAGAGUUAUUUAGAGGGUCAUACACACACCAGAAAUCCUGAAAGCAAAAUUAUCUUUCCAUCCAGCAAUCCUUUCAAGGGAACAUUAGAAGCACAACAUCGGAUGCAGUCGAUCCAUACAUACAAUUUCUGAAUUAAUGUGAACACACAGCAGAACCUUACAGAAAUCUACAAUUUCAUAGAAGCAUGCUAACCAAACACAACAAGGAGGUAAAAGGGAGGCGUCCGAUCUGGGUGUUGACCCAAAAGUUGCGGAAGGCGUCGGCGACCUCCGGCCGGGAACGGCGGGGCUGUGGCUUGGAUAUGCGGUGGCGCUGCGCUCGUGCGGCGGUGUGGCGGCAGGGUUGCCGCUCGGUGAUGCGGCUGCAGGGCAGUCGCGCAUGUUGUUGCCGAUUAGCCGAUAGAACGAAGAACGCUGAGCUCAAGAACGCACGCAACACACGCGAGAGAGGAAAGCCUUUUUGCCGCAGCUAACGACGUCACGUUUUCUGUUUCAUUUCUUUUCCCUUGUCUGUUUACAACUGACUCGUCUACCCUCCCGGUCUGGCCGCUAUGAUCCGCGUUGAUCGCGCCAUCCCACGAUCGCGUCCACAGCGAGAGCCAAAAACGACCAGGAGGGAGAAAACAGAAACAAAAGAAACAGGAGGGCUCGCUACGUGCGCCUCCCCUAGCUACGUGCAUGCUCGGGUCACAUCCGACCCAGCAGGCUUGUUUAUUUUAAACGGAAAAACAAACUAACCUAUCCGACGUGAGCUUACAGCAGGGCUAACAUUUCUCCCCCCUAAGCUCAACGUCCUUUGCCGAUCUCCUUGACUCCAAGUCUCUGACGCUCCUCGAUGAACUUCACACGCCCAAGUGCUUUUGUCAAUGGAUCGGCCACCUGGUCGUCAGAUCCCACAUGAUCAAGCUGCACCUCUCCAUGUUCAACACAAUCUUGGAUGAAAUGGAACUUGACAUCGAUAUGUUUGCUUCGAUCAUGAUGAAUGGUAUUCUUUGCCAGUGCUAUUGCAGAUUUAUUGUCAAUCAAGAGUCUGAAUGCACCAGCUUUUUCUCCCUUCAUUUCAGCGAGCAGACGAUUCAGCCAUAGGCCCUGGCAAGUAGCAGACGCCGCAGCCACGUACUCUGCCUCACAGGAGCUGAUUGCCACAAUCUUUUGCUUUUGGGAAGACCAUGUAACUGGAUUGCUGCCAAGGAAGAAAAUCUGACCAGAUGUGCUCUUACGAUCCUCAACGUCGCCGGCAUGGUCACUGUCACUAUAGCCCAGCAGCUCACUUUUCCCUGAACCACGCCCAUAGCAACACCCAUAGCUCAAAGUACUGCGCACGUACCUAAGUAUCUGCUUCACGGCUGUCCAGUGAGUGACUGUAGGCCUUUCCAUGUAUCUGCUCACUAUUCCAACUGCAUGAGUGAUGUCCGGUCUUGAGUGCACCAGGUACCUUAGGCUACCAAUUAUGCUGCGGUACAGAGAAGGGUCGACAGGUUUUGCAUCGUCAUUCUUCCUCAGUUUGAGCCGACACUCCAUGGGUGUCUGACAUCCAUGGCAGCCUUCCAUUCCAGCAGCUUCAAGAAUUUUCUCUGCAUUGCUCCUCUGACACAGGGUUAUAGAAUCAUUGGAUUGAGUUACCUCGAUGCCCAGAUAGUAGCUCAAGAGACCGAGAUCACUCAUUUUGAACAGCUCUUGCAUUUGAAUUUUGAACUCGUCGAUGGAAGUCUUGCUGGUGCCGGUGAUGAUGAGGUCGUCAACAUACACACCCACUAGCAAAAAUGAGUGUGCAUCACCACGGCGGAGCUGCGCGUGAACCCCAACGUGCUCAUGGUCUCGUCCAGCUUCGCGUACCAGGCCCUCGGAGCUUGCCGCAGCCCGUAGAGCGCCUUCCGAAGCCGAAGAACCUGCUGCUCCUUGCCGGUGGUGACGUACCCCGGUGGCUGCGCCACGUACACUUCCUCGGCGAGGUCACCAUUGAGAAAGGCGGAUUUUACAUCCAUAUGGUGCACCUCCCAGCCGGAGUGUGCGGCGAGCGCGAGAAGAAGCCGCACGGUCUCCAUCCGUGCCACUGGCGCAAAAACUUCCUCAAAGUCCACGCCUUCACGCUGCACAUAACCUUUCGCCACCAGACGCGCCUUGUACUUGACGAUGUUGCCGUCAGGAUCGCGCUUGACGCGGUACACCCACUUCAAGCCAAUGGCUUUGUGACCGGCCGGCAAGUGGGCGAGCUCCCAGGUGCUGUUCUCGCCUAUGGAGUCCAUCUCCGCAUCCAUUGCCGCCUUCCAGGCCCAGUCGCUUAGCACCUCAGUGAUGUCGCGCGGCUCCUCUGCCGUGAGCAAGCAUUGGUCGGGCUCCUCCCAUACAGCCUCAUGUUCUGUCUCGUCGAGAACAUCAGAGAGGCGCCGGUACCGUAUAGGCCCGAAGUCAACGUUGCGCUCAUCAUCAUGUGUGGGCGGCGUGGCCCAACGCAUCUCCCUUGCCGCAGCCGGCGUGCAAGGCUCGGUCUGCGACGUGCCGGGCGCCGAUGCGGCCGGCGUGUCGGCGGAGUUCAGCGGCGACCCCAAUGGUGGCGUAGAGGGUGGUGGUGCCGCGCUCCUUGGUGCAGGCAUAGGCGAGCAGCCCGUGUCCAGCUCGUGCACACCAUGGUCAUUUGCAUAGACCACAGUGAACGUCAUCGGUGCGGGCGCCGUGACCGCGCCCUGUGCAUUCCAAGUCCAUGGCCUGCUCUCCUCAAAUAAAACAUCACGUGUGACUUGUACCUUUUGUGUAGCCGGAUUGUACACAUGAUAGCCCUUGGUUCCUUCCUCGUAGCCUACGAAGAUCAUUGGGGUUGCUCGAUCCGAGAGCUUCGUCACUCCAGGGCCAAGCUUUUUGACAAGCGCCACACACCCAAACACACGUAGGUGCAGCACGCUUGGCUUGUGGCCGUGCCAAGCCUUGCGUCACCCCGUCCAAGCUGCGCGUGGGAGCUCUGUUGAGCAGGUACACCGCGGUCUUCACUGCUUCAGCCCAGAAAUAUGACGGCACGGCCAUGCUUUUGAGCAGGCAACGCGCCAUCUCGACGAUGGUCUGAUUCCGGCGUUCAACCACUGCGUUCUGCUGAGGGGAGGGUGGUCGUGUAGUGUUUGAUGCUCAGCUGCUCGCAGUAUUCUCUGAACUCAAUGGAGUUGAACUCACCGCCCCGGUCAGACCGGAAUGCGCGAAGCCUGCAUUUCCCCUCGUUCUCAGCCAUUGCCUGCACUUUCUUGAAGUUCUGAUGAGCUUCAUCCUUGGAUUUCAGCAACUCCAAUCACAUGUAUCGACUGUAAUCGUCAACUAUCAGCAAGAAAUACUUACUGCCACCCGGUGUGGUUGGUGUGAUUGGCCCACACAAGUCUGUAUGAACAAGCUCAAGGCCUUUCUCUGCUCUGUAUCCGGCCACUUGAGGAAAAGGGGCACGGUGUUGUUUGCCCAAUGCACAACCAUCACAGUACUCCUCGACGCGGUCAGUGACUGGCAUCCCGCGUACCAUUUCCUUGGAAGACAUGGCUCGCAAAGCUCUGAAGUGCAGGUGUCCCAUCCUCGCAUGCGAGCGCCAGGUGACAUCUUCAGUCUUGGUGAGGAGACAGGCUGGGGCGUCAAUGCUCAGUACGCCCGUGUACAAUCUGCUGGUCGCACUACACCAUGACAAAAACUUUGGGGUCACCAUAUCUGCCGGGAAAACUAGCCAAUGGAGGCAGAAAAUCCGCCGGGAAUGAUUUUUGCCGGCAUUUACAGACUGCCCUAGAAAGUCUCGUCGGGAAAGACAAUUCCCGGCAGUUACAAGAAUGCCCGGCAGUUACUCUGACCCACAUGUUAGAAUCUUUACCGGCAGAUAGAACUAUUCCCGGCAUAUAGUUCUUUCCCAGCAGUGUUAUAAUUCAGGGCAGAUAGAAGUAGUUCCCGGCAGUUAUCCCGCCCUUAAUUGUGUACGCUGCUAGCACACAUACCCCCUUCCCAUUCAAAAGCUAAAAUUUAUCUUCACUCCAUUUUGUGCCAUUAGUAUAUAUGUGACACGCAUGCAUAGUAAUUAAAGUUGCAUCACUUAGGCAUAAUAUAUAUGUAUAUCUCAAGGAUCCAUCAUGGUUACAAGCAUAUGUAGGUUCACAAGCCCAGUAUUACAGCACAACAUCCUUCAUGUAAUUCACUAUUCCCAUGCGCACAGAGGCAUACAUAUGUAGGUCAAUAGGUCCAAUAUUGCAUAAUAGAGAAAAGCGCAAAAUACAACAUCUGGUUUCAGCUACAAACAGAUCCCAGCAGAAGAUCCUUCCAGCUCACAAAACACAACUAUUUAAAGUUGUGGAUGCAAGAGAAUUACACCGGUGACCAAUAAAAAAAGAAGCGGCCAAUUAGAUAAGCUGGGAAGAACACAUGUUUCAGAAAUCCACUGCACAACUACUUGCAAGCAAGAGCAGAUCAGAAUUCCACAAGGCACACCCAUAAUGUCUGUUAUGUACUCAUAAGAAUAGAUAAGGCACAUGGUGAUCAUAGUUAAGGUUCUCACUUUGCAAAUCAUCACCAACUUACUUGGAUCAAGGUUUACUUUUCCAAUUUAAUAGAAUAUAAUGAUUAACUUGGAAGUUGCUAUGUUUGUUAUUAGCAAAGAUGGAAAAGCUAUAAUUAUUUUUCAAUAGAAUGGCCCUUGUGAUUAGAAGAAGAAAUUGUAAUUUUAGAUGAACUAAAUAUGGAUCCAUGGUAAUCUAUCUUGAUUGAAAAUUACAAGCUCAGGUAGGCUCUAUUCAGACAGUGUGAGAAUGGCUCUCAGAGAACAAAAAGAAAGAAGAGCGUUGGCCCUAGUCUCUGCUAGCAUUCAUCCCAAACAACCAGGAAAAGUGAGGUCUAAUUUUUUUCAAUAGCUAGUUCAUUGUACACUUUGUCUAGAUGAUAAUGAAAACAGAAUUAGCAAGAAUUCUAGAAUCUGCAAUACCUUCUAGAUGUGGGGACUGCUACCGGCUGUGAUGGUUGCUUCUGCGUAACUUCACAAACAAACUCCAGAACGAGUGAAGCAAAUGGUUUCACAAGGUGAGUAGACCAGCCUUGUAGCAACGUUGCCAACCUGAAGAGGAAAUAAGUCAAUUAACACAUACUCCCUCCGUUCCUAAAUAUUUGUCUUUUUAGAGAUUUCAACAAGUGACUACAUACGGAGUAAAAUGAGUGAAUCUACACUUUAAAAUAUGUCUAUAUACAUCCAUAUGUGGUAGUCCAUUUGAAAUCUCUAAAAAGACAAAUAUUUAGGAACGGAGGGAGUACAUGUAUUGUAGAGGAUUCAUGCAAGAGAGUUCAUGCAGAAAAAAACAAGUGCACCCCAUUUAGGAAAAAUGAAAAGAAGGACAUGCAGAAAAAAAAGUUAAAAUGGAAAAACAAAGGGAAACAGUACUUUUAGUUUGUAUUUCACUUUCCAAGUUAGUUAAGGAGUAAAUCUGGGCCAUUAAAUAUGAUUUAGGGAAGUGAAAACAGUAGAGUACUAGAAGUGCAUGCGAGCACUAUUUAAAGGGUCUAGCUUGCCAUGUACCGGUGGUGAGUUCUUGUUUAGUCAAUUGAAAAAACAAAAAGUCAACAUUUUUUCAUUUGCCGAGCAAAAUUAUCAAACGCACUACACAAGCUUGCAUGAAACUGCAAACAAACAGGUCAUUUUACUAUAUCACCAAGCAGACCAUAAGAAUGGCAGCUCAAACAAGUACAUGUUUUACAAACAAAGUGGUUAUUCUAUAUUAGAACAAUUGUCGGUCAGUGAUUAAGAAAUACAUGUUCGCUCAACCUAAAAGCUGAAGAGCUGAUGUCCAAAUGUGAGUACGUGACUAACUAGACAACAAAUUUUGCUAGCUGAAACUGAACAAGGAUAUGCUGUUUUGGUUUUAUCUGGGAUUUUUUGAACCAUCCAGCAACAGCCUACCUAUGUAUGUACUAGCUGAAGGAGUAGUACUGUUGGGACUUCAGAGUACUCUAGUAGUAUUGGUUUUCGAGAGAUGUCUUUUUUGAAUGACAGCUGAUGUACACUAAAACUGGGUGUCUAAAGCAAGAAAGUUUCAGCUAGGUUUAGAAACAAUUUCUAGUUUUCACACUAACUAUUAUGAAUAAGAAAAUUUCAAACUUUAGAUUUGUGGUACUGAAGCUUAGGCAAUUAGCAAGUUGCAUAGCUAACAGGCUUAGCGUUUGAAGAUGAGCCCUCGUGUCGUCCUAGGCAGGGACAAGGCUUAGUGUUCAUAGAUGAGCCUUCGCGUCGCCCUGGGCGAGGACGAGGCUUAGUGUUUAUAGAUGAGCCCUCCCAUCGCACUGGGCAGGGACAACGCAAGUAGUGCGUUUUCUGUCUAGAGUACAGACGGAUGGUGAAUGGCAGCAAGCAACAAUAAAAACGAGUUUUAUUUUGUAUGCUCGAGGCACAAGAAUCAUUGGGCCUGGAAUGUGAAGCUACAGGAAGUUGCACAUCAGUACAACAAUCCAUCCAACCGAAAACUCCAUCCAGCACUAGCAGGACAACACAAUUUUCAACCCUUGCCUAAAUAUAACCAGCCAACACAAAUCAAUUUUUUUACAAACCUAAAUAAGGCCGUGAAAUCGUAAUUACAAACCGAAGCAACCUUUGACGUAUUCAAAACAUAGUCAAACGAUACCAUACAACGAUAGAACCAAAUUACGAGAUAUUCUAAAUAUAGUCAAACCAUUGGUCGAUAGCACACAACAAUAUAAACGAAUCAAGUCUUCAGUUAAGAUCAAGAAUCUCACCAAAAGAUGCAGUUGGCACUUGUUCAGUUACUGAUGGCUGCAGCUUGAUACCUUCUUCACUUGCCAACCAAGACCUUAAAACUUGUCUUUAAAGUUGAGUUUAUGCCGAUUAGCCUGCAAAGCAGGAAAACGUAAUAAGCAUUGAUGAAGAACAAUCAACAACACAUGUAAUAUUAAUAGAAUAUAUAAGUUAACAAUGUACAACAGUUUAUAUUUGAAUAAGUAAUUUUUCUACAGGCCAAAGCGUCAUGCAAAAGUAAACAUUGGCAAAACAUUACACCGAUAGUGUACAUCACAUAAGUAUUUGUUCAACUAACAAGAACAGCAAGACAAACCUAACUUCUCUAGAUAACCAUCAUAAGGUCACAAACCUUACUUGUGCAAGAUAUGACCAGGAAAUGGCAACUGAUAUACUGUACAUGAGAAGACAGUCAGUAUCAACAACAUAUAAAAUGGGCAAAGGUAGAAGCAUACACCAGCAGUAUUUAUGGCAUGAAAUGCUCUGUUGUAGAUGGAUUUAUAUUUAGCCCAGCAAGAAGUACCACAAACUAGUUAAUGCAUCAUCCAGAUCAUUUAUGAAACUAAAUCAGAAGUACUACAUCAUAUACACUACAUAGCACCUGAUAGGCAUUAACUACGAAUCAUGUUUUGGGCAGUCAUGCAAAUUUUUCCUAGUGGAGGAAAGUUCAAGUUACAAGAAUCUAUUAGACUCAUAGCUCAUAGCCAAAUCUACUAUAUAUGUCGGCACAACAAGACAAUCUUUGCCUGUCCGCGCAAUAAGAACAUGGUUCAAAAAGCAUACCUGUAAAGACCAAGCACGAAUGGAGAACAAAGCUUAGUGGCAGCCUCUAUGUGCGAAUCUGAGAUUGUUGUUGUUGCUGCUGCUUCAGUUAACGAACAUGUGGCAGAGAACAAUCCUGGUAGCACGAACAGACAAUCAAUUAGAUCUUAAUCACGCUGUGCUGUAGUGCGAGGCAAAGCAGGUGACGGGGGUGGCGAGUGGGAUGGGGAGGUGUUGUUGUUGGGGAUCGGGACGACGUUUAGGGUGAUAAGGAGGGGAUGGGGCGGUGUCAUGGUCGGCGAAUGGGGCACCAACGCUGGAUUGGGGGAUACUGGUGCGGCAUGGACGAAGAUGGGGUGCCUGCUGGUUGGGGAAUGCGCGGCGGCGGCUCUGGGAGUGGGAUCCGGGUGUGGUGUGGAUGGGGAUGGGCAGCGGCGUGAGUCGGAGGUGCGAGUGUGUGGGGGGUCGUCGAUGGAGAUUGGGUGGCGGCACGGCUGGGUGGAGGCAUGGAUGGAGGAUGCAGGGGCGUCGGGCGAUGGGUGGGUGACGAAGGGAAUGGAGGCGGCGGUGCCGAGCGGGGCGGGCAAGGAUGGGAGUGAGUCGGCGAGGGCGCUAGGGUUGGCGGAGUCGACGGCGAGAUGUAGUGCGGCGGCUGACAAGGGAGGGAGAGCGGCUGAGGAGAUAUGUUUUUUUUAGUCCAGCUGAGGGGAUAUGUGGAAUUGUGGAGAAGGGGGAAAUUAAGCCCGCGUGGCCGCGGUGGGCUUCGAGUGGCUUCUAAUUUCCAAUCUCCCGCGAGGCUCCUUUUCUUGGGCCUCAAAUUGUUCGUCCCCGCCAGCGUCCUAAAGGGCAGUGCAUUCGCCCUCAAAUGGAUUUCAGGGCAAUUGGGCUGACCCUAAAGAUGCCGGCAGAUGACCUGCCCUUCUAACACUACCAUUGCCGGCAGUUAUCAUGACCUACACAGUCUUUCUCGGCACAUACAGCUUCGUAGGCAGCUAAUUGCCCCUAAUUCCUAAUCAUCCCCGGCAGUUAAUUGCCCCUAAACUUUUAUCAUGGUGUAGUGUCGUCCGUUUGACGCGAGCCAGGAUGCGCCGGCCCGGAUCUUGGAUGGUCAUGAUCCCAUCUUCAAUCCCUAUCCUGCAUCCACCCUCAUCCAACUGCCCUACUGAGAUGAUAUUGCUGCGUAAGCUGGGAAUGUAAUAGACUUCAGAGAGAGCACGUUGAUCACCAUUCUGGCAGCGAAACACAACGGCGCCCCUGCCCUUGAUAGCCACCAGAGAGCCGUCUCCGAAUUUCACUGUGCCGUGUAAACCUUCAUCAAGUGUAGAAAACAUGUUCCUCUCCCCAGUCAUAUGGCUGGACGCCCCUGUAUCAUAGUACCAAAGGCCAUCGGGUGAAGGCAUGGGAAUUACUUUCUCCUCAUUCAAGAACACAGCUUGGGGCGUCACUAGCUCAGGUGUAGAGACGUUGGUGACCACGGCCAUGAGCAGGCCCUGAUCGUGUUCGUCGCGAUCUUCGCGGACGAGGUUAGCCUGUUCCUUCUUCCCUUGUUCUUUUUGCUUCUCCAGCCAUGACCAACAGUCCUUUUCCAGUGUCCGACCUUGCCGCAAUAAUGGCAUUUGCCCUUCUUCUUGCCGCCGCCAGCGCCGCUGUUGCCGGACGCUGGCUUCCCGCCACCGCCGCCGCCCUUGGCUGACGACUUGCCUGGUAACUUGCCCUUUCCGCCGCUGCCGACCGACGAUGAUCCGCCACCGUACUUGUGCUCGCGAGCGGCCCACUCUUCGGCGGUGUACAUGAGCUGGCCGGUGGACUGCUUGGCGUCGUCGAGGUCAUAGUAAUCCUCGCAUGCAGAGAAACGUCCGACGAGAUCCUCAAUGGACAUGGUUUUCAGAUCGAUCAGGGAUUCGAUCGCCAUGGCCAUCGAGCGGUACUUCCGCGGCACCACUCGGAGAAACUUUUGAACGGCCUUGUGCUCGGUGACGGGGUCACCGUAUAGCUCCAGAUCGGCGACGAGGGCAGCGAGACGCAGCCCGAAGUCCUCGACGGACUCCCCGUCUUCGAAGCGGAGAUCCUCGAACUCCCGCCGGCGCACUUGCGCCUUGGCCUCGCGGGCGCGCUCGCUGCUCAUCCGCAUGGUCUUGAUUGUCUCCCACACCAUCUUCGCCGUGUCCUUCGCGGCCAGCACGCGCAGCAUCUCCGGCGGGACGCCGGUGAGGAUGAUCUGCAGCGCGCGCCGGUCGUCGUCCUCGUCGGCGGCGUCGUCGGUCACCGCAGUCCAGACGCGGGCGACCUGCAACUUAACUUGCAUCACCAGCACCCACUCCUGGUAGUUCGUGCGCGUGAGCAUCAUGGACGACCCUGACUCCUCUCGCACGAUGCACUCCACAACGCGGUACUCGCCGCUGCCGCUGCCAGAGAGGCACGCGAGUGGUGCCUUGGAUGUGGGCGUCUUCGACGGCGACCUCGUGCCGCCCUUGUUCUUCCCAUCCGACUCGUCCCCGGACAUGACCACGACGGAUCAAACACCGCCGCUGUGCCAAGGAUCAAACACCUGGGCUCUGAUGCCAAUUGUCGUUGCCGAUUAGCCGAUCGAACGAAGAACGCUGAGCUCAAGAACGCACACAACACACGCGAGAGAGGAAAGCCUUUUUGCCGCAGCUAACGACGCCACAUUUUCUGUUUCAUUCCUUUUCCCUUAUCUAUUUACAACUGACUCGUCUACCCUCCCGGUCUGGCCGCUAUGAUCCGCGUUGAUCGCGCCAUCCCACGAUCGCGUCCACAGCGAGAGCCAAAAACGACCAGGAGGGAGAAAACAGAAACAAAAGAACGGGAGGGCUCGCUACGUGCGCCUCCCCUAGCUACGUGCAUGCUCGGGUCACAUCCGACCCAGCAGGCUUGUUUAUUUUAAACGGAAAAACAAACUAACCUAUCCGACGUGAGCUUACAGCAGGGCUAACAGCGCAGGGCUGCCAACAUGGGGCUAGCAGCAACAGCCUCUGCGUGCCACACUCGCAGCAGAGCUCCGCCUUCAGCACCGCUCGGCCUCCCUUCUCCUGCCCUCAACCGCACCACCUGCUCGUCCGCUGUGACCCUACAGCCGCUGCUCCUAUGUGCUGCACCUGCGCUGCUGCUCCCAGCCGCCGUCGCUGGCGCCCCCUUGAACACCUCUCAAUGGCGAAGACGAAAUCUGGUGAGGAGGGGGAGGAGGAUCACGCCACUUGAGGUCUUGCGAUGGCAAACCGGAUUUACAUCGCACGCUCGAGGAUGAGGGGAUCUGAUUGGGAUUUGUUUCCUCUUUUCGUGCGUGAUUGUUGGGAUCGCGGCCGCAGGUCGUACCGGGACAGCAGAGUUUUCGUCCGCACGAUAAAAUCGCUAAACGCACUUUUGGCUGACAGUUAGGGUAAUCUGGACGGUUAGAUGAAAUUAAGUGAGUCCGAUCGUGGGGCUAUAAUUAAUUAGGAAUGUUAUGUGUAGAUUUGGUUGAGUGCGUUUAGCGAUGUAUACGUUUGUUUAUUUAAUAGUAGUAGAGAUCGGAUGGUAUGCUUCUAUUUUUGGUGUAUUGGGCAUAGGGAACGGUUUGAGGAGAUGACCAAAUCAAAUGGGGUGGGUAGAGAGGCUGGAUUUAAUAGGGUAGACUUCUUCUGAUUAAUUAGCCGGUCUCGAUGAAAAUGCUAACACGAAUUUGUUUAGUGUGUUCUUCGUCCUCUUACUGGUUGAUGAUGUUAGCAUGACUGCAUCGGUUGCCCUUCUCUCCCUUUUUCUCUAGCCCGCUUAGUUUUCAAGAUUUACACAUCCACGUGUUAAUUUGAAAAAACUAUCUUUGCACUAGCUUCUAUCUUUGGUAAAAAUUAAAAUAAAGCUCCUCUCUAGCUGAUCUCAGUCGUCAUCCGCCCACAUCCAACGAGGAAGAGAGCGAGAUGGUUUGGGCCUCUUUUCAAUUUCAUUUGAAGGAACUCACCAUCUGGCAGCGGACCCAAAAAUUUCAGUCUUCCACGGACAUCCCGAGGAUUUAGGAGAACGAUAUUUGGAACGAGUAUGAUGAAGAAAUAACAUGGGAUCCUAUAAAAUUAUGAUUUACAAUGAACAUUUACAUUUAAAUUAUAAUAAGCCCGGCGAUGUGUCAUUUUCUAAUCAUAAGAAAAUCAAUUUCACAAAUGUGAGUGUGAUUUCUACCAUGGAGGAUAGUUAUGCACGCGGCCGUACGUAGCUAUUUCACUUUCUAAGUGUCCGAUUUUGCUUUGUAUCGUUGUCUACUCACUUCACUACCCCUAACCGGCACUUAGCUUUCAGGACUAAGUAUCCCGUGUCUCUUCAUCCCACUGUCCACUUCAUAUCAUUGUUGCAAAAGGUCCACUUGCUUGGUUUAGUGUCUGAAUUGCUAUGCAUCGUAAUCUAAUUCACCUAGUUGUCUCUAACAUUUCAUUUGCCCUGUUACGUGACCAGUGUUCCUUUGUGCCCCUAUUGCUUCUCUCCUCCAAACACUAGGAUACCAUUAUCAUGAAUAGACUGCAUCUAGAUGACUCAAAAAACAUGAACAGAGGGGUUUAGGGAUUCUUUACUUGUCACGAAGGUCGACAUGAUCACCUGCUCGGUGCAGGCGAGGUGGAUGCAGGGCCGGGCCUACAGUGGUGCAAGAAGUGCGGCCCGCACAGGGCCCAGAAAUCUGGGGGGCCCAAAUUUUUACAUAUACAUAGUAUUAAAAAAAAUUAUGCGUUUUGGGCUGCUGGGCGCUGGAGUGGGCUGGACUGCUGGAGUCGAAGCGAGGAGGGCAUCGGAGAGUAUCGAGCGAGCGACCGGCGCUGAACCGGAAUCGGGGAUCGAUCUCCUCCUCGUCCAGUCCUCCUACUCAUCGAUGUCUCGAUCGCUAGUCGCUACAUCCUACAGGAAAGGUCCUUUGAUGAUCCAAGGUGUUCACUUCGCCCUGUGUUGGAGUCUGACUCCUCGUCCCUGGAUCCGAUUGAUCCAAGGUGUGAUGGAGUCUGAUCCCUCGGUCAAAGGUAUUCUGUCCUAGAGACUGGAGUCUGAUCCCUCGCCCCUCGGUCCCUGGAUCGAUCGGAUCACAGCACGACCGGCCGCUGCCGCCAUUGACUUCCUCCGCUCCUCCGUGCUCUCUCAAAUUUGGAUUGAUCGGUGACCCACUCUAGCCUCCAGGUGUUUAGCGAGUCCUUUUCGAUUAACUUCGGUUUCUACUCAUGAUUCCUAUUUUUCUAAUUAAUUAACUAAUAACUAUUGGCAGGGAUCUUCACUUCGUUAGAGAUUGCUUCUUACUUCUCGGUUAAAGAUCACAGGACCCAGAAUUAGGUGAGUUAGACGGUUCGUCUAAAUGGAAAACAUUGAUGCAUGAUAUCCAAUUGAUAUAUGCUACUGUGUAACUUUUAUUUUAUUUUAUUCAUCUUCUUUAUCUUCUUAUAUAAGACAUUAUAUUAUAUNNNNNNNNNNNNNNNNNNNNNNNNNNNNNNNNNNNNNNNNNNNNNNNNNNNNNNNNNNNNNNNNNNNNNNNNNNNNNNNNNNNNNNNNNNNNNNNNNNNNNNNNNNNNNNNNNNNNNNNNNNNNNNNNNNNNNNNNNNNNNNNNNNNNNNNNNNNNNNNNNNNNNNNNNNNNNNNNNNNNNNNNNNNNNNNNNNNNNNNNNNNNNNNNNNNNNNNNNNNNNNNNNNNNNNNNNNNNNNNNNNNNNNNNNNNNNNNNNNNNUUGCUUGUUAAUUCAUUUUUUUGUAACAUAGGGCCCCAUAUUUUUAGUUUCGCACAGGGCCCCAGAUUUUGCCGGCCCGGCCCUGGGUGGAUGGAUGAUCUAUUCUAGUGGUAGCUAGUAGCCGAUCUCCUGGACGUUCCAAUCCCCUCAGUCCUCCACUGGCACUGUCCUGUGACGACAACAAGUAGGCUAGGUCUUCCUGUUGCUGCCACGCACCAUUUGAUUGGAUAGGGUUUUGGAAUAUGGGGAGGAGAGUGAACCUGGCGUGAAUGAAUGAAUCGCGUAGGAGGAGGCUCUCUCCCAUAUCCCUUUAUAUAGCGUUGUGUGCAACAAGGGGACCUAAACCAUAAGUUCGUUUGGGUGCCCCCGAUCAGGGUGGAUUAGUUGUGGUAUAGUUAGUUGGUUUGGUAUGUUCAUGCGUGUGCGUGUAGUUCGAUUCGACCAGAUGAACAUGAGAUAGUGAUUCGUUUUUAUUUUAGCAAAACUCAUUUUGUUUUGAUUGAUGAUUGAUUGAUUGCUCGUGAGGAGACACGCGCGUGACUACCUAGGCAUCUUGCCUCUGACGCGGCGCUACUCUGUGCUUGCUCGAUCGAGCGGCUAUGGCAGGGCCUCUAGGAUCGAGGAGGAGGAGGAGCAGGAGCGUGGCCACCGUCUAGGGCAUCGGCGUGAACACCUUGCAUGCAUGUCGAUCCGUCGUCAUCGCCGUGGCCGUCGCCGUCGCAGGCAGUUUACACCGAGCCCCUGUCCCCGCUGCACAGGCUCAGCUGUACCUGGUCCUAGCUCGGCUGUAAUGGCGCGCACGCGUAGCUAGGCGGUGCCGUGGUUGCCGGCUGCUCCUCGGUCUCUGGCGUAUGAGGACGUUGGAUGGAAUGUCGAUCGCCCUGGAGCGCCCACGUCGGCCGGCUGUUGUGUGCGACCUUACCAAAGAGACCUGCUUCUUGAGCGACGAGCAUCGUCGGAACAAUAUGUGUGCACGCACAAGACAAGAGACAAGAGAGCAGUACUGGAGCUCGUCCAUGGCUGAAAAUAUUUUCUUUUUUACAGAAGCAUCCGUCAUUAGAGCAUCGAGAACCAGAGUGGGCAAAUCGCCCCCUUACACGUCCAUAGACGACGCAUCCACGGAUAGUAGUCGAUCACCCCUCAGAAAUCCGCAUCCACAACUGUGUCCCCCAAAGCAAAUCCUUAAAUCCAUACCAAGAUGCCAUGCAACGUUAAACUUGCACAGGUAGUUGAAUAGACACAUUUCAUCGGAUUACCAAAAGUUGACAUGUUCUACUAAUUAACUAUGCAAGAUAUGACAAUGGAGGAAGUUCAUCCAUGGCCGCCCUUGCCCUUGCCCUUGCCAUCUUUGCUAUGGGAGUUGCGGCCGAAGACGCAAAACGGAUCGGGGCGAAACUUGUCACUGGCGGAGCUGUCCGAUUCGUCGGGUUCCUCCUUCUCCUCUUUUUUUUUUAUUUGGGGGAGGGGGUCCGGCUUUGCUCCCUUGCAAGGGCGUGCACCGUCCUCCUUUACCGCUUCCUGAGGAUGCGACACGAAGGCUUUCUUGUUCCUGUCCAAGCUGGCAUAUGACUCCGCCUCCGCAGCUUGCCAUGCCCUCACCCUCGCACGCCAGUUGGGCCAUGAGGUGUGCCAAUGGGCUUUAGCCGAAGGACGAGGCACCACGGUAGGGAUUGCGGCGUUAGCCGAUGGGCGGUGCACUUGGCUCUGCCGCGGUCAUGUGCCUUGAGCCGCUGGAUACGAACGCCAUUUGCGCGGACGCAAUGGAUUCACGGUGGAGCGGCUUCGAGUGCAGAGUUGCAAGAUUUCCUCCCUGGCCCGACGGAGAGCUAGGUAGCUGGGGGGUCAACUCCUGCUCGUCCCCCUUUGGGAUGAGGUCCUAGUUGACGGAUCUGGAGAUCUCAGAGUUGGAUGCGCGGGUGGCGCGCCACGCCGGAGAAAAGCUUGGGGCUGGAGUGGAGAGUCUAGGGUUUGUUUCGGUAUAUAGGCAUAUAUGUGGGGUUGACGGGCAAUAGCCGAUUUGGCGGACGUGUCCGGACGCCCAACAUAUGGUCUGAUUAUAUAUAGGUUGACUGAUCCAUGCAAUCGUCAUUUUAAAUUAUUAUUUUUUGCGGCGGGGAAUUGAAGGGCCGCAUGCCGACGUGACGUGGAUCGGUUAGUAAUCCGAUUCAAUCGAAUCGAAGUAGUUAAUCCAGGGAAGAGAAGGGAGGGUAGAUCGAUGCGUGCGUGCAUGCAUGCAUGAAGUUAAAGUAGGAGCAAAAUCAAUGGUGGGAUGCAGCAGUGAACGAAGGGAGGGCGAUAUAUAUUGCAUCAUUUGACGGUUAAAUAUGUAUGCAAAAUAGGAACAUAUAUAUUACAUCAUUGGACCCAUGCAUAAUAAUGGCUAAGUGUGUAUACAAAAUAGGAACAUAUAUAUUACAUCAUUUGACCGAUAACAUACGGUUCCUCAGCGGUGUCGUUUUCGUUUUUGAGUCAGCUUCUUUCCCUUCUUGUUCGUCGAAGAAUAAUUGAGCCCCUCAUUGUGACUUUGCCUUUUCCAUGGAGUACGAUUUUUCUUAGGUAAUGUAGUAUUGAUUCUUAUUUUGACGUAUACUUCAUCAUCAUCGUCAUCUUCCCUCAUUGGGUUGCCGUACUGAUCAUAGUCUUCCUCGUUGGCGACUCCAUUCAUUCCUAUGAUGUUCCUUUUGCCUCUCCUCACGACAACACGGCUGGGAUUGCGCGGGUCGGUUAUGAAGAAGCAUUGUGUCACGUGCUUAGCGUGUACCCAUGGCUCGUUUUUUGCGAUAGCGUUCUCGGUAGCGCUCUUGGCGUCGGGUAUAGUCAUGGUAGUGAAAAUCCGGCUUUCUCUUUCGACAUUAUUAGCCCAUCUGACACGGAACAUCAUCGUGUUGUGCAGUCCAGAGUAGUCAAGCUCCCAGAUCUCCUUGACCCUUCCAUAAAAUCGUUCAGUUGCGCCAUUGUCGCUGCCGGUCAUGCAUUCCAUCGUCACCCCUGAGUUCUGAUCAUCACUGUCCAUAUCUUUGGCCUCCGUGUAGAACGUGUAUCCGUUGAUAUCAUAUGCCGGAUAAGUUACGAGGUUGGGCGAGGGGCCAUGUGCUAAGGCGUAUAUGAGCAAUCCGUCCUUAGAGCCCUCCUCCGGGGGAUUAGCAAUAAUAUGCUCUUUGAACCAAUGCAGGAAAGUGGAGUUGUGCUCUCUAGUAACUUCGGGUUCAUCCUGCAUACCCCCCGGUCACAAUACUUCUUUGCGAUAAUUUCUUUGUGCAGUGCCACGAAAGGAUCUACCUCGUCUAGGUGUUGUAGCACUACCAAGUUUGCUCUGUCAAAGUCGUUGCGCCGAUCUGAGUAUGCCACGUGCAGUUCCCUGCGACCGUUGCACUGACCAUCUCCUUCGAUCCUCCCAUCGUGCUUGUUAACGGGCAAACCAACACUAACACCAGGCUGCUGGUCUGCGCCAUAUAGAAAAUUCUCACAGAAAGAGAUGCACUCUUGUGUCAAAUAGCCCUGGACGAUGCUUCCAUCCGGACAGGACAUGUUAUGAACGAAUCCUUUGAUGAUCCCAUUCAUCCUCUCAAACGGCAUCAUGUUGAGGAAUGACGGCCCCAGGUCUAUUAUGUCAUCCAUAAUAUGGACACACAGAUGCAGCAUCACGUCAAAGAACGCGGGCGGGAAGUACAUCUCAAGCUCAUUCAGUAUCACAACGAUCUCUUCCUGUAGCCUUCGGAGCUGCUUCACACUGAUCGACUUUCGAGAGAUGACGUCGAAAAAGUUGCAGAGACCAAUAAGCGUGUCACGGACGGGCUUGUCCAUUAUCCCUCUAAGGGCAACAGGUAGUAUCUGCGUCAUCAUCACCUGACAGUCAUGAGACUUCAUCCCGCUGAACCUUUUCAUGUCUGUGUCUAGAUAUCUGCUUAUCUUGCCAAAGUAAUCGGAACUAACUUUGACUCCGGUAAGGCACUUAAAGAAGGCAUUGAUCUCAGCCUGACUUAAGGUGAAGCAAGAAGGGGGGCAAUAAUCCUCUUUCUUUAUUUUCUUGCCCUUCUUCUCCCGUGCCUCUGUCUCCGUCUCUUUCCCGUCUGACAUUUUACAGGGCGGCAUGUGCAGAUCUUCCCUGAUUUUCAAAUCUUGCAAGUCUUUUCUUGCCUUCAGCCCAUCCUUGGUCUUAUCCGGCAUGUUCAUCAGUGUUGCGAGCAAGCUCUCAAGGACAUUCUUACAGAUAUGCAUUUGAUCAAGGCAAUGAGGUGUAUCGAGUUUGUGCCAGUACUCCAAGUCCCAGAACACAGACCUCGUCUUUCAUACCUUCAGCAGCGGCUCCGGCGCCUUUCUCAUCGUCUUUCCCAGCGCGGGGCACUCCUUCCAGUUUUUCAACAGCUCAUUGAUUUCGGCACCGCUCCGCUUACGUGGAGGUCCUCGAUGCUCAACGUGACCAUUGAAUAGAUCUCCACGGUUUCUCCAUGGGUCGUCCUUUCAAGCCAUCUUCGAUGCCCCAUGUACACGAUUUUCCUAGACCCGCCAUCUUUCCUUGACUUUAGCUGCUGAGACGUCGCAUCAUCCAUGCACAGCGUGCAUCCGCAAUAUCCAUGGCACACCUGGCCUUCCACAUAUCCGUAACCGAGAUAGUCCUGCACUGUCGUGAUCAGCGCGGCUCUCAUGUUGAAAUACUUGCCUUUGCUGGCGUCCCAUGUCUUGGCCGGUGUUUUCCAUAACGUGUCUAACUCCUCUUGAAGUAGCCCCAGAUACAAAUUAAUAUUAUUUCCUGGUUGUUUCGGCCCUUGAAUAAGCAUGCUCAUGUGAAUGUACUUCGAUUUCAUGCACAACCAGGGGGGAGGUUGUACAUCCAUACAAACACGGGCCAUGUGCUUUGGUUGGUGUUCUGGUUGCCAAACGGAUUCAUGCCAUCGGUACACGCGCCAAGCAUGAUGUUCCUUGCAUCACAUUCAAAAUAUCAAUAGAAGCUGUUCAAUGCUCUCCAUUGGCUUCCAUCCUUCACGUGUCUCAGCUUCGGAUCAUCUCCAUCGUCGGGCUUCUUCCUCUCCGCGUGCCAGCGCAUUAGCUUUGCUUCCUUGGGAUCUACAAAAUACCUCUGGAGACGGGGAGUGAUCGGUAAGUACCAUACAACUUUCUGGGGACAUUUCUUCCCGGCCUUCUUGUAUCGAGAAGCAUUGCACACCAGACAGCUUGUUUUUUCCGCGUGCUCCUUCCGAUAAAUUAUGCAAUCGUUGAUGCAUGCAUGGUAUCUAACGUGUGGUAGAUCAAGAGGGCACACGAUCUUCUUGGCGUCAUCAACACUAGUAGGACAUAUAUUACCCGCGGGAAGAACAUCCUUUAGGUACUUGAAAUGGUCAUCGAGGAUAGUGUCGGUCCAUUUGUUUUUAGCCUUCGUCUUCAGGAGUUAGAGUGUGAAACUCAAGUGGGUCACCUCAGGAUUGCAACCAUCAUACAAUGGAGUGUUCGAGUCUACCACCAGUUGCUCCAGCUUAGCCUCCUCUCUAGAAGCAGCUCUCUAAGUACUCGUCUCCUUGCGAAGCAAUGCUUGAACAUGAGGGUCCCGCAUGAUUGAACUUAGUAUCGACGAUCUCUGCUGCGUGGAGUCCAUGUCGUUCUCUCCGCCGCCAUGUUCGGCCCCUUCUCCUCCGCCAUGUCCGGCCCCUCCUCCGCCGCCAUGUCCGGCCUCUUCCCCGCCGCCGUUAUCGAUCAUCUCUUCGUCUUGCCCCGUGUCAUCAUUGCUUGCCCCGUCGGCAUCCUCAACAUCAUCAUCCUCAUCUUCCGUUAUCCACCGAGUAUAGCCAUACAUGAAACCAUUCAUGAGAAGGUCCGCUUCGACACGACCAUAGUCAUAGGGGUCGAGCCAAACUAUUCCUUUGCAUUUUCGACAUGGACAUAAAACCUCUGUCAGGUUAUUUUCUUUCAUGUCCUGCACCGCCGACCGCAACCACCUGUCCACCAUCGUUCCACUGACCAUCAUGAACGUCUGCAUGGUAAUAAUAAAACAAAUUGAUUAUAAAAAUGCGUGCAUGCAUCAAAGUCAUACAAAAAUUCGGCAUGACCUUCCCUAAAAAUAGGACAUAUAUGGAUCUAGAGUUUGCCCGGAAUUCGCCGAAACGGAAAUAAAUCGACAUUUUGGCAAAACAUAGGCAACUCAAAAGCACAAUUUGGUGUCAACUCAUGCCACACACACAAUUUCCAACAACAUAUCACACACACAUAAAGAUAUUUCCAUUUUGCAAAAGCAUGAAAUUUUCAUCACCUCUAUCUCGAGAUCGAGCACACGGUGAUGAGAUGAUGAUGUAGGGAGAUCAAAAGUGCCCAAAGCUCUUCUUGACAAAGAUAGAUCUAGUUAGGAGGCAAAUAGGUCACUUAACUAAAUGCUACAUCUACCUAGCUACCUAAUUUGGGAGGAGACAACUUCAACUAGUGGAGGAGGAAGGAAAAAGAGAAAGAAGAUGCAUUAAUGGAGAUGGUGUAGUUAGGUAGGAGUAAUGAAGAGAGAGAAAGGUAGGUAGAAGAGGGAGAGUAAUGGGGGAGAAGUGUUGAGGAAGAAGAAGAGGGAGAGUGGGAGGAUGUGGGAGGUAGGGGAAAGGGAAGAGAGGAGGGUGAGGGGAGGGGACGGGUGGGGAAAAGGUGGUGGGUUGGUGCGGAUUAGCAGUAGCGUAGGACGUAAAACGCUCUGCUGAUAAGAAAGUAGCAGCAGCGUGCUUUCGGCAGAAGCGCUACUGCUAACCGGGACAAAAAGUGUGUCCGAUUUGAAUAUUAGCAGCAGCGACCUCAGAAAAAGCACGCUACUACUACAUCCAUAGCAGUAGCGCGGCUAGCGGAACUGCGCUGCUACUAAAUGGAGUUUCGAGGUGUCGGUGACAAAACCGGCGGAUCUUGGGUAGGGGGUCCCGAACUGUGCAUCUAGGCGGAUGGUAACAGGAGACAAGGGAAACGAUGUUUUUACCCAAGUUCGGGCCCUCUCGAUGGAGGUAAAACCCUACUCCUGCUUGAUUAAUAUUGAUGAUAUGGGUAGUACAAGAGUAGAUCUACCACGAGAUCAGAGAGGCUAAACCCUAGAAGCUAGCCUAUGGUAUGAUUGUUGUUCGUCCUACAGACUAAAACCCUCUGGUUUAUAUAGACACCGGAGAGGGCUAGGGUUACACAGAGUCGGUUACAAUGGGAGGAGAUCUACAUAUGUAUCGCCAAGCUUGCCUUCCACGCCAAGGAAAGUCCCAUCCGGACACGGGACGAAGUCUUCAAUCUUGUAUCUUCAUAGUCCAAGAGUCCGGCCAAAGGCUAUAGUCCGGCCAUCCGGACACCCCCUAAUCCAGGACUCCCUCAGGGGGCACUGUCGGUCGAUAUUUGUAGCAGCGUGGGUAACACCAAGCGCGCUACUGCUAAACACUUGUCAGUCGUGGGUUUUACACACCUGCGCUACUGCUAAUUAGCAGCAGCGCUCCUUUUUGAGCCGCGCUGCUGCUAAGAUUCUGUGUAUAGGCUUUUCCCUAGUAGUGGGCAGUGCCACAAAUAAAUUGCACUAUCAUUAUCAACUCUGCAUCUUUUGGCUUCAAUAUUAUGAAUAUGUGUAUCACUACUAUCGAGAUUCAAUAAAAAUAGACCACUCUUCAAGGGUGCAUGACCAUAAAAGAUAUUACUCAUAUGAAUAGAACAACCAUUAUUCUCAGAUUUAAAUGAAUAACCGUCUCGCGUCAAACAAGAUCAAGAUAUAAUGUUCAUGCUCAACGCUGACACCAAAUAACAAUUAUUCAGGUCUAAAACUAAUCCCAAAGCUAGAUGUAGAGGUAGCGUGCCGACCGUGAUCACAUCGACUUUGGAACCAUUUCCCACGCGCAUCGUCACUUCGUCCUUAGCCAAUCUUCGCUUAAUCCGUAGUCCAUGUUUCGAGUUGCAAAUAUUAGCAACAGAACCAGUAUCAAAUACCCAGGCACUACUGUGAGCAUUAGUAAGGUACACAUCAAUAACAUGUAUAUCACAUAUACCUUUGUUCACCUUGCCAUCCUUCUUAUCCGCCAAAUACUUGGGGCAGUUUUGCUUCCAGUGACCAGUCCCUUUGCAGUAGAACCACUCAGUCUCAGGCUUAGGUACAGACUUGGGCUUCUUCACUUGAGUAGCAACUUGCUUGCCGUUCUUCUUGAAGUUCCCCUUCUUCCACUUACCCUUUUUCUUAAAACUGGUGGUCUUGUUGACCAUCAACACUUGAUGCUCCUUCUUGAUUUCUACCUCCACAGCCUUUAGCAUCGCGAAGAGCUCAGGAAUUGUCUUAUUCAUCCCUUGCAUAUUAUAGUUCAUCAAGAAGCUCUUGUAGCUUGGUGGUAGUGAUUAAAGAAUUCUGUCAAUGACAUUAUCAUCAGGUGGUUAUUAUACCCAGACAUUUUGAGUAUAUGUUCACUGACAGAACUAUUAUCCUCCAUCUUGCAGCUGUAGAACUUAUUAGAGACUUCAUAUCUCUCAAUCCGGCCAUUUGCUUGAAAUAUUAACUUCAACUCCUGGAACAUCUCAUAUGCUCCAUGACGUUCAAAACAUCGUUGAAGUCCCGGUUCUAAGCCGUAAAGCAUGGCACACUGAACUAUCGAGUAGUCAUUAGCUUUUCUCUGCCAAACGUUCACAACGUCUGGCGUCGCUCCUACAACGGGUCUUGCACCUAGCGGUGCUUCCAGGACGUAAUUCUUCUAUGUAGCAAUGAGGAUAAUCCUCAAGUUACGGACCCAUUCCGUGUAAUUGCUACCAUCAUCUUUCAACUUAGCUUUCUCAAUGAACGCAUUAAAAUUCGACGGAACAACAGCACGGGCCAUCUAUCUACAACAACAUAGACAUGCAAAAUACUAUCAGGUACUAAGUUCAUGAUAAAUUAAAGUUCAGUUAAUCAAAUUACUUAAGAACUCCCACUUAGAUAAACAUCCCUCUAAUCAUCUAAGUGAUCACGUGAUCCAGAUCAACUAAACCAUGUCCGAUCAUCACGUGAGAUGGAGUAGUUUUCAAUGGUGAACAUCACUAUGUUGAUCAUAUCUACUAUAUGAUUCAUGCUCGACCUUUCGGUCUCAGUGUUCCGAGGCCAUAUCUGCAUAUGCUAGGCUCGUCAAGUUUAACUCGAGUAUUCUGCGUGUGCAAAAUAGGCUUGCACCCAUUGUAUGUGAAUGUAGAGCUUAUCACGCCCGAUCAUCACAUGGUGUCUCGGCACGACUAACUUUCGUAAUGGUGCAUACUCAGGGAGAACACUUAUACCUUGAAAUUCAGUGAGAGAUCAUCUUAUAAUUCUACCGUCGAUCUAAGCAAAAUAAGAUGCAUAAAAGAUAAACAUCACAUGCAAUCAAUAUAAGUGAUAUGAUAUGGCCAUCAUCAUCUUGUGCCUUUGAUCUCCAUCUCCAAAGCACCGUCCCGAUCACCAUUGUCACCGGCGCGACACCUUGAUCUCCAUCGUAGCAUCGUUGUCGUCUCGCCAACUAUUGCUUCUAUGACUAUCGCUACCGCUUAGUGAUAAAGUAAAGCAAUCACAUGGCGAUUGCAUUUCUUACAAUAAAGCGACAACCAUAUGGCUCCUGCCAGUUGUCGAUAACUCCGUUACAAAACAUGAUCAUCUCAUACAAUAAAAUUUAGCAUUAUGUCUUGACCAUAUCACAUCACAACAUGCCCUGCAAAAACAAGUUAGACAUCCUCUACUUUGUUGUUGCAAGUUUUACGUGGCUGUUACGGGCUAAGCAAGAACUGUUCUUACCUAUGCAUCAAAACCAAAACGAUAUUGCAUCAAGUAUGUGUUGUUUUAACCUUCACAAGGACCGAGCGCAGCCACAGUCGAUUCAACUAAAGUUGGAGAAACAGACACCCUCCAACCACCUUUGUGCGAAGCACGUCGGUAGAACCAGUCUCGCGUAAGUGUACACAUAAUGUCGGUCCGGGCCGCUUCAUCCAACAAUACCGCCGAAUCAAAGUAUGACAUGCUAGUAAGCAGUAUGACUAGUAUCGCCCACAACUCACUUGUGUUCUCGUGCAUAUAACAUCUACGCACAAACCUGGCUCGGAUGCCACUGUUGGGGAACAUAGUAAUUUCAAAAAAAAAUCCUACGCACACGCAUGAUCAUGGUAAUGCAUAGCAACGAGAGGAGAGAGUGUCGUCCAUGUACCCUCGUAGACCGUAAGUGGAAGCAUUAUGACAACGCGGUUGAUGUAGUCGUACGUCUUCAUGAUCAACCAAUCCUACUACCGAAUGUACGACACCUCCGCGAUCUGCACACGUUCAGCUCGGUGACGUCCCAUGAACUCACGAUCCAGUAGAGCUUUGAGGGAGUGUUCCGUCAGCACGACGGCGUGAUGACGGUGUUGAUGAAGCUACCGACACAGGGCUUCGCCUAAGCACCGCAACGAUAUGACCGAGGUGGAUUAUGGUGGAGGGGGCACCGCACACGGCUAAAGAUCAAUGAUCUCCUUGUGUGUCUUGGCAUGCCCCCUGCCCCCGUAUAUAAAGGAGCAAGGGGGGAGGCGGCCGGCCUAGGAGGAGGGCGCGCCAAGGGAGGAGUCCUACUCCCACCGGGAGUAGGACUCCCAUUUCCUAGUAGGAGUAGGAGAAGGGGGAAGGAAAGGAGGGGAGGGGAAGGAAGGAGGGGGCGCCGCCCCUCCCUCUAGUCCAAUUCAGACUAGGAUUGGGGGGCGUGCGGCCCAGCCAUAGACAGUCCCUCUCUCUCUCUCCCAUAAAGCCCAUUAAGGCCCAUAUACUCCCAGGGGGGUUCUGAUAACCUCCCGGUACUCCAGUAUUUAUCCGGUGACCCCCGGAACCCUUCCGAUGCCCGAAUAUAACCUUCCAAUAUAUCAAUCUUUAUGUCUCGACCAUUUCGAGACUCCUCGUCGUGUCCUUGAUCUCAUCUGGGACUCCAAACAACCUUCGAUACAUCAAAACACAUAUACUCAUAAUACCGAUCAUCACCGAGACAUGUCUCCGGUCAAUAACCAAUAGCGGAACCUAGAUGCUCAUAUUGGCUCCUCUAUAUUCUACGAAGAUCUUUAUCGGUCAAACUGCAUGACAACAUACAUUGUUCCCUUUGUCAUCGGUAUGUUACUUGCCCGAGAUUCGAUCGUCGGUAUCUCAAUACCUAGUUCAAUCUCAUUACUAGCAAGUCUCUUUACUCGUUCUGUAAUGCAUCAUCCCGCAACUAACUCAUUAGUCACAUUGCUUGCAAGGCUUAUAGUGAUGUGCAUUACUGAGAGGGCCCAGAGAUACCUCUCCGUCAAUCGGAGUGACAAAUCCUAAUCUCGAUCUAUGCCAACUCAACAAGUACCAUCGGAGACACCUGUAGAGCACCUUUAUAAUCACCCAGUUACGUUGUGACGUUUGGUAGCACACAAAGUGUUCCUCCGGUAUUCGGGAGUUGCAUAAUCUCAUAGUCAUAGGAACAUGUAUAAGUCAUGAAGAAAGCAAUAGCAACAAACUAAACGAUCAAGUGCUAAGCUAACGGAAUGGUUCAAGUCAAUCACAUCAUUGUCUAAUGAUGUGAUCCCGUUAAUCAAAUGACAACUCAUGUCUAUGGCUAGGAAACUUAACCAUCUUUGAUUGAACGAGCUAGUUAAGUAGAGGCAUAGUAGUGACACUUUGUUUGUCUAUGUAUCCACACAUGUACUAAGUUUCCGUAUAAUAAAAUUCUAUCAUGAAUAAUAAACAUGUAUCAUGGUAUAAGGAAAAAUAAACAAUAACUUUAUUAUUGCCUCUAGGUCAUAUUUCCUUCAUUAAUUUCACAAGAUUCAGCAUUGGUAGUAGGAGCAAUCGGAGUGCUAAUAAAAUCAUUGUUGUUGGUGUUGGAAAAUUCACACAAUUUAGUAUUAUCUUGAGCCAUCGUGACAAGCAAUCAAUCCAACACACAAGCACACAAGAAGCAAGCAAAAAGAGACGAACGGAAGAGGGCGAAGAAAAGGCAAAGGUUUUUGAAAAUCGUUUUAGAAGUGGGGGAGAGGAAAACGAGAGGCGAAUGGCGAAUAAUGUAAUGCAAGGGAGAAGAGUUUAUGAUGGGUACUUGGUAUGGCUUGAGUUGGCGUAGAUCUCCCCAGCAACGGCACCAGAAAUCCUUCUUGCUACCUCUUGAGCUUGUGUUGGUUUUCCCUUGAAGUGGAAAGGGUGAUGCAGCAAAGUAGCGUAAGUAUUUCCCUCAGUUUUGAGAACCAAGGUAUCAAUCCAGUAGGAGACGACGCACAAGUCACCGAAUACCUGCACAAACAAUCAAGAACUUGCAACCAACGCGAUAAAGGGGUUGCCAAUCCCUUCACAGUCACUCGCAAAAGUGAGAUUUGAUAGAGAUAGAUAAACGGUAAAGUAAAUAUUUUUGGUAUUUUUGGUUUAUAGAUUGGAAAGUAAAGAUUGCAAAAUAGUAGAUCGGAAACUAGCAAGAUGUAAACAAGAUUCAGUAAUACGGAAAAGAGACCCGGGGGCCAUAGGUUUCACUAGUGGCUUCUCUCGAGAUAGCAUAUAUUAUGGUGGUUGAACAAAUUACUGCCAAGCAAUUGAUAGAAAAGCGCAAAACUAUGAUGACAUCUAAGGCAAUAAUCAUGAACAUAGGCAUCACGUCCGUGUCAAGUAGAGCGACUCCUGCCUGCAUCUACUACUAUUACUCCACACAUCGACCGCUAUCCAGCAUGCAUCUAGAGUAUUAAGUUCAUAAAAACAGAGUAACGCAUUAAGCAAGAUGACAUGAUGUAGAGGAAUUAACUCAAGCAAUAUGAUGAAAACCCCAUCUUGUUAUCCUCGAUGGAAACAAUACUAUACGUGCCUUGCUGCCCCUACUGUCACUAGAAAAGGACACCGCAAGAUUGAACCCAAAGCUAAGCGCUUCUCUCAUGGCUAUAGAGAUCAAUCUAGUAGGUCAAACUAAACCGAUAAUUCGAAAAGACUUGCAAAGAUAUCAAAUCAUGCAUAUAAGAAUUCAGAGAAGAACCAAAUAAUAUUCAUAGAUAAUCUUGAUCAUAAAUCCACAAUUCAUCGGAUCACGGCAAACACACCGCAAAAGAGUAUUACAUCGAACAGAUCUCCAAGAACAUCGAGGAGAACUUUGUAUUGAGAAUCAAAGAGAGAGAAAAAGCCAUCUAUCUAAUAACUAUGGACCCGAAAGUCUGUGGUAAACUACUCACGCUUCAUCGAAGAGGUAAUGGUGUUGAUGUAGAAGCCCUCCAUGAUCGAAUCCCCCUCUGGCAGAUCGCCGGAAAAGGUCCCAAGAUGGGAUCUCACGGGUACAGAAGGUUGCAGCGGUGGAAAAGUGGUUUCGCGGCUCCCCCUGAUGUUUUUGGGGUAUAAGAGUAUAUAUAGAUGAAGGAACUAGGUCAGGGGUGUUACGAGGGGCCCACAAGGGUGGGGGGCACGCCUAACCACCUUGGGCGUGCCCUCCUGCCUCGUGGCCGCCUUGUUGCCUCUCUGACUUCAUCUCCAAGUCUUCUUGUUUGCUUUCGGUCCAAGAAAGAUCUUCGCAAAGGUUUCAUUCCGUUUGGACUCCGUUUGGUAUUCCUUUUCUGGAAAACUCUAAAAUAGACAAAAAAAUAGAAAUUGCCACUAGACCCUCGGUUAAUAGGUUAGUCCCAAAAAUAAUAUAAAAUAGCUUAUUAAAGCCCAUUAAACAUCCAAAACAGAUAAUAUAAUAGCAUGGAACAAUCAAAAAUUAUAGAUACGUUGGAGAUGUAUCAGUGAGCUCAAGACACUAGGGCGCGCCAGGCCCCCCAGGUGCGACCUGGUGGGUUGUGCUCAGCCCAGCCCACCUCCCGUGCCCCUCUUAUGGUAUUUAGGUCAUUUUGACCUAGAAAAAAUAAGGGAAGGACUUUCGGGACGAAGCGCCGCCGUCUCGAGGCUGAACUUGGCAGGAACACUUUUGCCCUCCGGCGCAGCGAUUCCGCCGGGGGAACUUCCCUCCCGGAGGGGGAAAUCAUCGUCAUCAUCAUCACCAACAACUCUCCCAUCUUGGGAAGGGCAAUCUCCAUCAACAUCUUCAACAGCACCAUCUCCUCUCAAACCCUAGUUCAUCUCUUGUGUUCAAUCUUUGUACCAGAACUGUAGAUUGGUGCUUGCGGGUGACUAGUAGUGUUGAUUACAUCUUGUAGUUGAUUAUUAUAUGGUUUAUUUGGUGGAAAAUUAUAUGUUCAGAUCCAUUAUGCUAUUUAAUACCCCUCCAAUCAUGAGCAUGAUUAUCAUUUGUGAGUAGUUACUUUUGUUCUAGAGGUCACAGGAGAAAUCAUGUUGCAAGUAAUCAUGUGAACUUGAUAUGUGUUCGAUAUUUUGAUGAUAUGUAUGUUGUGAUUCCCUUAGUGGUGUCAUUGAACAUCGACUACAUGACACUUCACUAUAUUUGGGCCUAAGGGAAUGCAUUGUGGAGUAGUUAUUAGAUGAUGUGUUGCGAGAGUAACAGAAGCUUAAACCCUAGCUUCUAUGCUAUUUCGUAAGGGACCGAUUGGAUCCAAAAGUUUAAUGCUAUGGUUAGAAUUUAUUCUUAAUACUUUUCUCGUAGUUGCAGAUGCUUGCGAGGGGGUUAAUCAUAAAUAGGAGGUUUGUUCAAGUAAUAACAACACCUAAGCACCGGUCCACCCACAUACCAAAUUAUCAAAGUAGCAAACACGAAUCGAACCAACAUGAUGAAAGUCACUAGAUGAAAUUCCCGUGUACCCUCAAGAACACUUUGCUUGUCAUAAGAGACCGUUUUGGCCUGUCCUUUGCCACAAAAGGAUUGGGCUACCUUGCUGCACUUCUGUUACUACUACCGUUACUUGCUCGUUACAAAUUAUCUUGCUAUCAAACUACUCUGUUACUUACAAUUUUAGCACUUGUAGACAUUACCUUGCUAAAAACAACUUGUCAUUUCCUUCUGCUCCUUGUUGGGUUCGACACUCUUACUUAUCGAAAAGGCUACAAUUGAUCCCAUAUACUUGUGGGUCAUUAGAGGAUGGACACCACCGACACCCUUCAGGAAGGAAUGACGGCACCCGCAGGCGGCAUCUCGUCAGUGCCGGAUGAACCGGCGGUGUCGUGGAAUUGUCACGUCAGAUGUCCUAGCGUAAGGACUUAGUCAUGGAGCCAUCGCAACUAGGAAGCUUAAGGGGGUUUAACGGGACAAAGGACAUGAGGUUUAUACUCGUUCGACCCCUUGCGGUGAAGGUAAAAGCCUACGAUCUAGUUUUGGGUGGGAUUUCUAAUGACUCGAUAACGAGGGAGCGAAUCCGCUUGACCUAGUUCUCGAUCUGAUGUUACUUGCCCUGAACCACUGCCGGUUCAUCCCUUUAUAUACAGAGGUUGACGCCCAGCGGCUCACAGAGUCCCGGACGGUUCAUAAACAGUGUCCAGCUCGGUCUCUCUCUAUUCUUGUCUUACAAUACAAGUUAUACAUACAUGGCAGUUUAUCUCUACUGGCCUUAAGUCUCCUCUGGGCCUUGGGCCUUUAAGUGAGCCGCCAUCUUCAAGUAUCUUCAGUGGGCUUCGUCAUAAGGUGUGACCUGAACCCUCCCGGGCAGGUCAUGCCUAAUAUUUAUAUCCCCAACAUUAGGCCCCAGCUUGAUUUUAACUGGUUCAUGUCAAUCUUCAACACUUAAGAAAAAUCUUCUGCUCCCUGCUUAUGAAAUUUUUGUAACCCGCCAUGACGUCAUCCUUUGGACCUGUGGUAACCCACCAUGAUGUCAUCUGUCAUAAAUGUAUGUUUUAUCCAACAUACCUCAAUGGAUCUUUAUCUUAAUGACCAUCCCGAAAAUUGAGGCGUCCUUGUAGUUGGAUAAUUAUGUCUUUGGCCUCCUUGUUGUUCGCGCCUGCUCAUCAGUUUUUUUCUUAUAAAUAGACCUGACCAGGUCUUUCCUCAUUCUUCUCCUUUCCUCAUCUUCUUCCUUGCACACCCUACUGCUGCUCGAGCUCCGCCGCCGCCGCCGCGCACCUCGCCUUCGUCGACCUUGGCCGCUACAUCGACCUGAAUCUGUCCAGAGAAUGGCGGCGAGCCUCCGCAGCAGCCCUGCAGCCGUAAGUUUUCCUCUUCCCCUACUUCAGAUCUGCAUUAGGGUUUGCAAGUUCCUUCCAUGUUCUUCGCUGUUCACCUCGGCUUCUUCAUAGUUCUACCACUGCAGCCUCCUUUGAUCCAAAAAGAUUAUAAGACUCAUGCAAUAACUGUUUCGCACUCAUUUUUGAUACUAGCAGAUCCCUUUAUCUUGCAAAGAAGCCUUGUUAGAACUGAUGAACCCAUCCGCAUUUCGUUUUUAGGUCUAGAAUAUUUUCCUUUCUGAACAGCCGGUUGAUCCAAAAUAGUUGCUGCAACUUGUGAAAACUUGUUUAUGCAACACUUAGGCAAAAAAUUGUGUUUACUAGAUCCACCUAGCCAUGGCGACUCUUAUCACCGACUUAAAUGACAAUGCUUAGUUGAUAAUCUUGACCGCCCAUGGCGGCUUAAAUAACUGAAUUGUCAAUGAUGCUUAUGGCGGCUUAAAUAAUCUGACAUAAUUAGUCUUAUACCAUUAGGCCCUUCAUAAGCCACCAUCUUGAAUAUGCACUGAUAUUUCCUCCAGCUUAAAUUUGAACCAGAAAUUUUAUCCUUUCUUAGGCUUCCAUCACAAUGGCCCCUAAGACAAGCACCUCAUGCAACUGGGUCCCGUCCAUUGUCACUGAACAGACCCUUGAAGAUUUUGUGAAACUCGGCUAUCUGCUGAAAAGGGAUGUCAUUUCGUACCGUGCCCCUGACCCAACAGAAGAAAUACCUCAACCCAAGGAGGGGGAAGUGAUCGUCUUGACAGAUCAUAUGAACCGGGGUUUCUCACCACCUGACUCAAAAUUCUUUCGGGAUGUCCUGCAUUUCUUUGAUCUCCGUCCUCAAGACAUCAGACCGAAUUCCGUGUCUAAUAUCUGCAAUUUUCAAGUAUUCAGCGAGGUGUAUCUUGGAGAAGAACCCAACAUGUUACUCUUCAGAGAGUUAUUCUAUUUGAACCGCCAAAAUGAAUGUGCCAGCGGACAGAGCUUGGAACUUGGCGGCAUCUCAAUCCAGCGUCGGAGAGACGUUUUUUCCUUAUGCCAAUCCGCCAAGCCACUCUAAAGACUGGAAUCAAAUGUGGUUUUAUUGUCAAGACACUUCCCCGGCUGAUGAGAAUCCUCUGCCCGGUUUUUGCGCCUUGCGUCUUGAUUCCAAUCAUCCACUGCCUAACAAGAUAUCACCCACCAAACGCAAAACGCUCACCCCCGCCUUGGCCAAAAUCAAAGCUCUUCUGGGGAACGGGUUGAAUGGUAUUGAUUUGGUCGAGGUCUGGCAUGCCUGGCGGAUUAUUCCAUUAAGCCACCGCCCCGGUCUAAUGUGCAACUAUUUAGGCAAGAAAGAUGAUCCUCUGUGUAAGUGCAUCUAGUGCCACCCCUAGUUGGUUUUGGAGUAUUAACGACAAAUUUGGUUGAGGGACUAAUGCGUUUGUGAGAAUUGCAGGAUAACGCAGGUAGUGUCCCUCAUUGAUUCGGUUUACCUACCGGAGAUGACCCCUAAAAAUAUAUGAAGACAUUGACGACAAUGGUGGUAUGUGAAGAUAUUCAUUGAAGACUAUGACAUGAGAAGACAUUGAGUGAAGACUAUGGAGCGCGAAGACUGUGUCAUUUCGUUGUUUCCUUUUUCUUCUUUGUUGAGUCAUAGGAACCACCGUACUGUUAAGUGGGGUCCAAGUGAACAAAGUCAGAAUGACUGAAGUGAUGCUCAACCCAAAUCCUAUAUCUUCGAGCGAAGACAAUGAGAGCAAAUCUUAUCCAGAGCUGGAUGAGUCAGCUUUGCUUGUAGCCCAAGUAAAGUUGCCGUGUGUGUUUGAAAUCUGACCGUUGGAACACGUGUCAGUUCCUUAGUGACCCAGGGUCAUUUCGGACAUAUCAGGUCGGGUUGCCUAGUGGCUAUAAAUAGCCCACCCCCCACACCAUAAAUUGGUGGCUGCUCAGAGUUAGUACACGGCUUUUGUCGUUUGAGAGCAACCCACCUCAAAGCCUUUGAGAGAGAGAAAUCCUUGCGAGGACAAAGCCCAAACACCGAGAGCCAAAGAGUGUUAGGCAUCACUGAAGUCUUUCUGUCUGCAUGACCUGAAGACUUAUUACACUUGAGGACUGUGAAUCCUCCAGCCGGUUAAGCGUCACGUUCUGAGCAUCCAAGAGUCAUUGUGGAUCGCCGGUGAACGAAGUCUGUGAAGGUUCGGAAGUCUACCUUGAAGACUUACCAGAGUGAUUGGGCGAGGACUGUGUGUCCUUAGCUCAAGGGGAAUAGGGUGAAGACGCGGUCUUCUGAGUUGAAUCUCAGCCUCCCUAACCAGACGUACAGUUGUUACAGCAACUGGAACUGGUCCAAAAAAUCAUGUGUCUUCAACAAGUGACUGGUUCUAUCCUCUCCCUCCCUUUACUUAGUGUUUGUCUUCGUGAAGUCAUUGCCUAUUUGUCGUACCUGUUUGACUUCAUCGCUUGACUACUAUCGUUGGUUGGCUUCAUACUAUCUUCCAUCCCGAUCCUUACUACUAAGCUGCUAUUAGUCUUUGUACUUUCACAUUAUUGCAUACUUGACUAUGGUUUUCUUGUUGUAGUUUAUCUUCCGCUGCAUAUCAAUUAGGUCAUUUCUAUUGUUUGUCUUCGAAACUUCCACAUUUUGAAGACUUCCAUAAAAAUCGCCUAUUCAACCCCCCUCUAGUCGAUAACUAGCACUUUCAAUUGGUAUAAGAGCAAGGUACUCCCUUGUUCUGUGUGAUUCGGUUUAACCACCUGGAGUUUUAGCUAUGUCGACUGUAGGGAUAAUCAAAGUCUCUGCUGCUUGCCCUGUGUUCGAUGGAACUGAAUAUCCCUACUGGAAGAAUAAGAUGAGCAUGCAUCUUGAAGCCAUUGAUGUCGACCUCUAGUAUGUCGUCAAGAACGGCGUUGCCAAAACUGGUGAAGGUGUCACCCCUGCUGAUGUCAAGAAGUUCAUUCAACUGGACUCUACUACCAGGAACAUCAUCUGUGGUCAUCUGACCAAAGGACAGUAUGGCCGUGUGAGUGCUUUGGAAACGUCGAAGCUAGUCUGGGACUGGCUAUCCAAGGUCAACGAAGGCGUCUCAACCCAUAGAGAUCAAAGGAUCAGUGUUCUUCGCAACCUCUUCAACCGCUUCAAAAGAAACAACAAUGAAAAUGUCCAGCUCACGUUUGAUCGCCUCACCGACAUCGCAAAUGAGCUUCGUGCUCUCGGCGCCACUGAGAUUACCAAGCAUGAAAUCGUCAAGACACUACUGAGAUCACUUGACAGCUCCUUUGACACCCUUGCCCUCAUGAUACAAGAAUGCCCUGACUUCAAGACACUCGAUCCGUCUGAUAUACUUGAGAGGCUCAACACACAUGAGUUCCAGCUUUCUGAGAAAAGAGAUAUCUAUGGUCCCAACUAUGGCCAAACUCGCGCUUUGGAGGCAAAAGUUGUUUCCUCAUCUGAAGAAGAAUCUGACUGCAGUUUUGAUGAUCCUGAAGACAUUGGAAAGGAACUUGCUAUGCUUGUGAAGAAAUUCCAGAAAUUCACUAAGAAGAAGGGCUUCAGAAAGUCUUCACGAUCUAGCUCAAGAAAUGAUGAAGCUUCCACUCAUGACUACAAGAAGAGAACAUGUCACAAGUGCAAGAAACCUGGACACUAUAUCUCUGAGUGUCCACAGUGGGACAAUGAGGAGAAGAAGAAGAAGAAGAGCAAGGAAUAUGAUUCUGAUGACAAGAAGAAGAAGAAAUCUUCAAAGUCUUCUUCCAAGUCCUCAUCGAAGUCUUCAUCUCAUAAGAAGAGAUCAUCUGGCAAGGCUCGUGCUUUUGUUGGCAAGGAAAUGGAUUCAGAGGAGGAGUCUGCUUCUGAGGAGGCGGAGGUGGAGUCUGAAGAGGAGUCCGACCCUCGCGUUGCAAGUCUGGCUCUAGCCACAGCCUAUGUUGCCAAGUCCAUCUUCAACACUGAAGACAAUGACUUCCACACCAACGCUGAAGCUGAUGACAAAGACGACCCUGCUCCCACCUACUGCUUCAUGGCACGUGGUGCCAAGGUAAAAUCACGUGAUGCUUACUUUCAAACAUCAAGUGAAGAUGUCUCUGAUUAUGAAUCCAAACCCAGCUACAAAACACUUGCUAAAAUUGCAACCAAACAACAAAAAGCUAUGGAACAUACUCAAAAACUGUUAGACAAAAGCGAUGACCUGUUGGACGCGGAAAUGACACAUUCACAGUCCCUAGUUGAAGAAAUAAAAAAUCUUCAUGCUAAGUACCAAGAACUUGAAAGUCGUCAUGAAACGCUCUCAACCACUCAUGAAAAGCUCUCCUAUGAUUAUCUUCAAAGGAAGCAAGAGCUUGAGAAAUUGAGAGCGGCUCAUGAAGAUCUUCAAAAAGAGAAUGAGUCACUUCACGCUCAACAGAUUAGUCCCGCUCAGGAUGGAUUUGAACCACCGUGUCUAAAAUGCCUUGAGCGUGAUAACGCUACCUCUGUUGCUGAAUGUUCCACUGCUGCUACUGUUGCAUUGUCUUUAACUACUGAUGUGGUAACUAACCCCUCUGCGGAGGAUACCACUACUAUUGCUGAUGAAAAUGCUAGGUUGAAGACAUUGCUUGAAACAGGGAUGUAUAAAAGUCUGAAAGGACAUCAGACACUUUGCGAUGUCCUCAAAAAGCAGAUUCUGAACCGAAACCCUAGGAAAGAGGGUGUUGGGUUCGAGAGGAAAAUGAAUGUUGAUGGUUCCUACUGAAAGCCUGAGCAGUAUCCCAAAACCACAUGGGUUGCUGCAAAGGGACCUUCAGUGGAUCCAUCCACCUUAUCUAGCUUUACCUGUGCUAAUCCUGUUAUAAUUGAUGAAUCCCUUGAUGCAAACUAUAAGCUAUUCAAGAAUCAGAAUGGUGAAGUGUUUGCCAGCUAUAUUGGUACUAACUGCAGGAAUGGACCACCUAUGAAGAAUAUCUGGGUUCCCAAAAGCUGUCUUGAGAAUCUUCCAGUGAAUGUGAUCAUGACACCACAUGGGAAGAAGACAAACCCCAGACCUAAGGCAUCAUAUGGUCCAAAGGCUUCAUACAGACAGAGGACUCACCUGAGUCACUCUAACGCCAAUGUUUUGCAGGGAAACCGUCCUCAAACUUAUGAAUAUGAGCGUGUGUCUUCAAACCGCUAUGUUCAUAGAACUGAGAACUUUUCUGCUUAUUCAUAUGAGUAUAAUUCAUCUCCUGCAAGGCUAUUUGCUAGGGCUCCAAAGCCGAAGUUCUCAGAUGCUGCACUUAGACUCAUUGCUUCUAAGCCACCCCUGAAGAUGUGGGUGGUUAAGAAGAAUUAACUUUCAUUUGCAGGGAAGGGUCUCCAGCCGAAAAUCAAAGGCGUCUGAUGCUAUUGCUGGGGACCUAAAACAUCUUGUAGGGCGCAAGAUCAAAUGCCCAAAUGGUCUCACUAUGUAUUUUGUUCCUGAAUUGUUUGCCAUUCAUCCUAUCAGUCCUAAUCUUGAUCCGAGCUUCAAUAAUCCUCUUGCCCGUCAAAUGUUUAUGCUUCACAAUACUCUUGGUGAAGCCUAUCCCCCUAACUGUACUGUAGGGUAUGACACCUCAUGCUUCAGAAUGGAUUAUGGAUAGCGGAUGCACUAAUCAUAUGACUGGUGAUCGAAGUCUUCUCAUGGACUCAACCUUACGUCCAUCAGACAAGAGUCACAUCACAUUUGCUGACACUAGUAAAAGCAAGGUAUUGGGUCUAGGUAAAGUUGCAAUCUCAAAGGAUCAACACAUGGAUAAAGUGAUGCUUGUUGAAUCCCUUGGUUUCAACUUAAUGUCUCUCUCGAUUCUUUGUGACUUGAACAUCAUUCUGCUAUUCGGAAAAUAUCGUUGCCUUGUACCAAUGGAAUCUGACAAGUCUCUAGUCUUUGAAGGGUAUCGGAAAGAUGAUCUAUACAUGGUAGAUUUCUCAGCAGGUCCACAGCUUGCCAUAUGUCUUCUUGCAAAAGCUUUAGAAUGCUGGCUCUCGCAUCGGAGGCUGGGGCAUGCUGGCAUGAGGAACUUACACACACUCACCAAGAAGAAGCAUGUCAUAGGCAUCGAGGGUGUCAAGUUCAAGAAGGAUCAUCUGUGUGGUGCCUACGAAGCUGGAAAGAUGACUAGGGAAAAGCACCCCUCGAAGACAAUCAUGACGACAUCUCAACCCUUCGAGCUGUUACACAUGGACUUAUUUGGCCCUACUCACUACUCUACCCUCACAACAACUGCUUGUCUCUAUGGCUUCGUCAUUGUUGAUGACUACUCAAGAUAUACAUGGGUGCACAUAAUUCUCUACAAGACUGAAGUGCAAGAUGUCUUCAGACGCUUCGCCAAUCGAGCCAUGAACAAUUAUGGUGUCAAGAUCAAGCAUAUCAGAAGUGACAAUGGCACUGAGUUCAAGAACACCGGACUUGAUCUUUAUCUAGAUACAAUAGGAAUCACUCAUGAGUUCUCAGCUCCAUACACACCUCAGCAAAAUGGCAUCGUAGAGCGCAAGAACAGAACCCUCAUUGAGAUGGCUCGAACAAUGCUCGACGAGUACAAGACACCAAGAAAGUUCUGGCCCGAAGCUAUUGAUACAGCAUGUCACGUCAUCAACCGUGUUUACAUCCAUAAGCUUCUGAACAAAACAUCCUAUGAGCUCCUUACUAGCAAGAAGCCAAAUGUCAGCUACUUCAGAGUAUUUGGAGCUAGGUGCUGGAUCAAGGAUCCCCAUCACAAGUCAAAAUUUGCACCUAAAGCUCACGAAGGCUUCAUGCUCGGUUACGAAAAGGACUCGCACUCUUACAGAGUCUUCAACCUCUAUCUCUACAAAAUCGUCGAAACUAAGGACGUGCGAUUUGAUGAAACCAAUGGUUCACAAAGAUAGCUCCUGGCAAGUACACUAGACGAAGCUCCGCCCAGCGAAUCUAUCAAGCUGAUGGGAACUGGUGAAAUCAUGCCUUCUGAAGCACAGCCUGAAGAGGAACUUAUCAUUUGGUCUUCAAAUUCGUCAGCAAAGGAAUGGCAUCUUCAUAUCUCUAGAAAAAUACCUCAAAGAUUGUCUAAAGAAGUUUGGAAUGCAAGAUUGCAAAGGUUACACAACGCCAAUGCCAGCCAAACAGCAUCUGGGUCCCGACGACAAUGGUAAAGAGUUCGAUCAAAAGGUAUACCGCUCCAUGAUUGGUUCCUUACUUUACCUAUGUGCAUCUAGGCCAAAUAUUAUGCUUAGUGUUUGCAUGUGUGCUCGAUUCCAAGCGGCACCAAAGGAAUCGCAUCACUUAGCCGUGAAGCGAAUUCUUCGAUAUUUGGCUUAUACCCCAACACUCGGAUUAUGGUAUCCAAAGGGCUUAAAAUUUGAUCUGGUUGGAUUCUCGGAUGCUGAUUAUCCUGGUGACAAGGUGGAUCGCAAGUAUACAUGAGGCACAUGUCACUUUCUGGGACGAUCACUUGUCUGUUGGUCUUCAAAGAAGCAGAACUGUGUAUCACUCUCAAUUGCUGAAUCUGAAUACAUUGCUGCUGGAUAUUGCUGCGCUCAGCUUCUAUGGAUGAAGCAAACUCUCAAGGACUAUGGCAUCAAUAUGAAACAAGUACCUCUCUUCUGCGACAACGAAAGCGCCAUCAAGAUUGCCAACAAUCCAGUCGAGCACUCGAAGACAAAGCACAUUGAAAUUCGUCAUCACUUUCUCAAAGAUCAUGUCAUGAAGAAAGAUAUUGACAUCAUUCACGUCAACACUGAAGAGCAACUGGCAGAUAUGUUCACAAAGCCCUUGGAUGAGAAAAGGUUUUGCAAGUUACGGUGUGAGCCGAAUAUCUUGGAAUCCUCAAAUGUCCUGUGAUCAGGCACACAUCCUAACACUUAUGCAUGUUGAUGACUUAGAUGUGCAACACACGACGUAAAGUAUAUCUUCAAUCAAUGAAGACUUACAUUCUGAGUGUGAAUACAUUAACGUGGAAUUUGACUUCGGAGCGCCACGAUAAUUGUGCACCGUGUCUGGGUCUAAUACUUCCUAUACGGUGGGUAACGCCACCACCAAAUUUCUCGGUUUGAAGUGUUUCACUCAUGGCGUUAUUUUUGCUAUGUCUUCUCAUUUGGUUUAUCUUCAAUUUCAACUUAUCUUCAUGAUUUUCUUCAUUACGUUGAUUUGAUUGCUUUCUGAUAUAUAUACUAGUGUUCUGUCCUCUACAGCAUUCACUUACAGCUAUGUCUUCCUAGUUGAAUCUUUUGAACUAAGUGAAUGUGAUCGGACCCUAAUCUCUCUAUGCUUUCUAUCUCAAACUCUAUCUGUCCAAAUCAUAUGCAUUAUGUUGAAACUGUCGAAUGUCUUAUGCGUUCUUGUCAGCAAAAGACAUAGAGACAAACAUUAAGUCUGUUUUAAAUGCUUCAUCCUUAUUGUUUCAAAUCCGAAGAAGCCGGAACAACCAUCCGACAAACCUGGCGGGCGUGGGAACAUGGGACAACUCUGAGUAUGUUGCAUGCUUGCCACAUGCCCCUCAGAUGUGAACCGCCAGGGGCACCUGUGUAAUUGCGCUGUGCCGCACACUUCCUUAUAAAUACAUAUCCCCUGCGGUAAACAAAACCUUCUUCCACCUCUCCACCUCGUCAAAACCCUAGCGCCACCGCUAGCUCUCGACGACGCCAGCGACGAACAGCUUAGCUGCCGCGACUUCUCCGACGCCGUCCUCAUGCCGGCCGCGGACAUCGUCCUCUCCGCCGCCAUCGUAGGUGUCCUCCAUCGCCAAGUUAGGGCACGGUGGAUUGAACUACUCGGUCUCUGAUUCAUUCCAUCUAGCAGUUCUUCGUGUGGUAAAUACAACUCUAUUUUUACCAUCUUUUGAUCCUCAAAGAUUCAUCCUAUUUACCAAAAUUGGUUUCUGCCUAUACAAUGUUAGAUCUAUUCUGUCUGCAUCUCAUACUGCCUAGUAUAUUCACUUAAGCUUCAUAUCUAGUUAGAUUCCUCACUUGUACUUAUUCACGGAUUCGUACAAAUUUGGAAUCAACUCUCAACAUAUAAGUGAAUGUCUUCGCAUCAUGAGGUCAAUGUCUUCAAACUGAUUCAUCUUCAAAAUCUUCUGAGAAUGCAUAUGACCUCUUCCCCUUCCCUCGCAUCUGUAAUGCUGUCAUAGGUACAUGUCCAUGGGAGAAUCCCUUGGUUCUCAUAGUCUGCAUUCGUUUGCAGAAUUCUUACAGCAUCACAUUAACUCUCCCGAAGCCAGUUCCUGUUUGUCCAGCAAGCGAAAGCGUUAGAAGCCUUUGAACGUGUUGAAGCCAUUCAGUUUGAAGUUCAUGGCUGCAGAGAAAUCAAUAAGGAAGGGUGGUAGACAACGUCGUGGGGGAACAUCAAGAGAUUUGCAUGAUGACCUCGCAGAGCUUUAUGUAAGUGCAUCUAGUGCCACCCCUAGUUGGUUUUGGAGUAUUGACGACAAAGUUGGUUGAGGGACUAAUGCGUUUGUGAGAAUUGCAGGAUAACGCAGGUUGUGUCCCUCAUUGAUUCGGUUUACCUACCGGAGAUGACCCCUAAAAAUGUAUGAAGACAUUGAAGACAAUGGUGGUAUGAGAAGAUAUUCAUAUUGAAGACUAUGACAUGAGAAGACAUUACGCGAAGACAAUGGAGCGUGAAGACUGUGUGGUUUCGUUGUUUCCUUUCUUCUUUGUUGAGUCAUAGGAACCACUGUACUGUUAAGUGGGGUCCAAGUGAACUAAGUCAGAGUGAUUGGAGUGAUGCUCAACCCAAAUCCUAUGUCUUCGAGCGAAAACAAUGAGAGCAAAUCUUAUCCAGAGCUGGAUGAGUCAGCUUUGCUUGUAGCCCAAGUAAAGUUGUCGCGUGUGUUUGAAAUCUGACCGUUGGAACACGUGUCAGUUCCUUAGUGACCCAGGGUCAUUUUGGACAAAUCAGGUCGGGUUGCCUAGUGGCUAUAAAUAGCCCACCCCCUACACCAUAAAUUGGUGGCUGCUCAGAGUUUGUGCACGGCUUUUGUCAUUUGAGAGCAACCCACCUCGAAGCAUUUGAGAGAGAGAAAUCCUUGCGAGGACAAAGCCCAAAACACCCAGAGCCAAAGAGUGUUAGGCAUCACUGAAGUCUUUCUGUCUGUGUGACCUGAAGACUUAUUACACUUGAGGACUGUGUAUCCUCCAGCCGGUUAGGCGUCGCGUUCUGAGCAUCCAAGAGUCAUUGUGGAUUGCCGGUGAACGAAGUCUGUGAAGGUUUGGAAGUCUCCCUUGAAGACUUACCAGAGUGAUUGGGCGAGGACUGGGUGUCCUUUGCUCAAGGGGAAUAAGGUGAAGACACGGUCUUCUGAGUUAAAUCUCAGCCUCCCUAACCAGACGUACAGUUGUCACAGCAACUGGAACUGGUCCAACAAAUCAUGUGUCUUCAACAAGCAACUGGUUCUAUCCCUUCCAACCUUACUUAAGUUUGUCUUCAUGAAGUCAUUGCUUAUCUGUAUAUCUGUUUGACUUCAUUGCUUGACUACUAUUGUUGAUUGGCUUCACACUUUCUUCCAUCUUGAUCCUUACUACCUAACUGCUAUUGGUCCUAAGUUUUCACAUCAUUACAUACUUGACUAUGGCAUGUUUAGGGUAGUUUAUCUUCCAUUGCAUAUCAAUUAGGUUGUUUCUGUUGUUUGUCUUCGAAACUUCCGAGUUUUGAACACUUUCAUAAAAAUUGCCUAUUCACCCCCCCUCUAGUCGAUACUAGCACUUUCACUUUACAAGACAGAUCCUGAAGAGAAUUAUAAUCAGCGCAAGACACGAAUCUAAUGGAUUCAACGAUAUUGGGCUGAACAAUGGUUCAAAUACAAGUUUGUGACCCAGGAAUACGCUGAGAAGAAUGCUAUCAAAAGUCCUUGGGUGAUAUUCCCUAUCGAGGCCUUCCACCCAAGAACAGAGUUGAAGCUAUUGCACAGGGUUUCUAUCCUUGUAUGGUCCGUGGACCUCAGCCUAAAAAUGCCGACCCAUCAUCAUUGCUCUAGUGUCGUGACGAUAAUCUCUUCAAGUGAAACUUCCGGCACGCAAAGGCAUCGGCCAAGGAAAACAAGAAGUCAUUGGGAUUAGACUUCAACCCUGGUCCCUCUGCUCCCCGUGCUGACGGCUCACAUGAUGCAGAACCCAAUGUCAUCGGUCCUUUCUACAACCUUGAUGGCCUCAUCACUCACAUCUUGGUCCAAGGUGCCAAAGUGGAUCAUUCUGGUGAUGAUGCUGACACUGAUGAAGCCCCAGCUCCUACUACAAAGCCGCAGAAGCCAAAGAAGGCUAAUGCUUCAAGAUCAGCUGCUCCUCCAAAAGCUUCACAUGCGAAGCCACUGGCCACUGCACCUCCUGAAGACAGUGUGCAGUCUGAAGAUCUAUCACGUAUCUCCAAGAAGAUGGAGAAGAAAAAGAAAAUCGUCAAAAAUACUGAUCAGACAUUGACUCCUGCUGCCAUUCUGCGAGAAGAGCACAUUGAUCUGUCCAGCGAUGAAGAUCUUGCAGAUGAUGCUCUUGAGCAACUGAUCAAGAGCAAGGAAGAAGCAGAGAUCUUUAAUGAUUUGCCUCUCUUUGAUGUGGCAAUCAUCCAUAACUUAAUUGAUGAGUGGUUUGACACCCCAAAUCUCAGCUUUGAAGAUCUGCAACUUCCCAUUGGCCUCAGCGUCUCCUUCAAUGGCGCCAUUGCUUCUGAGCUAGCUCUUGCUCAGCGCAUCGUUGAACUAAAGCACACGAUCGACUAUGAGAAAGCUCAGUUCAAGAAGCAUGUGGCAAAGCUCAGCGUGCAAGAUGUCAAAAACUUCAAGAUCAUGCUGCACGAGCUCAAAGAAGCCUUUCUCAAGAAGCGCGAAGAAGCUAAAGGCUCUCGUGAGCGUAUGAAGAGUCUGGCUGACAAGUGUGUGCUAGCCUGCAAUGAAGCUGAGAUGCGCAAGGCUCUUGGUCGUCCUAGCAUUGACCCCAGAAUGGCUGCAAAGAAGAAGAAGCCAUCAACUGACCAAUCUGCACCUUCAAGACAGGAAGAACCUUGCAUAGUCUUCCCAAGCAGCAUGACUGGCUCCAAGCCAAAGGUCAAGUCAACCGCUUCAGAACUGAAGAAGACGAGGACUGCCGAGGCUGAAGCCAGAAAAAGGAAAAAUCCUGAAGCCUAUGAUGUUGCUCCCUCCAAGAAGAAGCGCAAAACCAAGAAGAAUCGGGCUGCUCCCAUAGAGCCCUUAGUUGUUGAACCUAUCUUAAUGGUUCACCCUGCAUCUGAACACCAAGAACGACAGAUGAUAGUUCAUGAGCCUGCUUCCACAGAGGCUCAUGAAGCUGAAGACAUUCCAGCAGUUGAUCCCACCGCUGCUAAAGACAUUGGUCACAAUGACAAUGUUGAAGAUGAUGUAGUUCUUCCUCAGAUCGAACACAACUUGGUAUCAUCGCCCGUUCUCACGAAUAGCGAACUCAUCAGCAUUGGUCGUCCUUUGACGCCAAUUGCUCAGGAUGCAUCAUGGGCUGAUCACCCACAACAACAAGACUCCCCGAGUACUCCCCAACAACAACAAGUCACACCACCUGUGCAAGAAGAAGAGGAUGACUUUGAGGCCAAGCCAACUCCAUCUCCAAAGGCGUCGCCAGCAUUACACAGGCUUCGCAAAGGACCAAGGCCUCAAGUCUCUCUUUCGAGCGUUCCAGAAGCAGAAGUGCACCACCAAUCUGUUGCAUGUCAAGUGUUUCCAAAAGCCAAUCCGACUGUGAAUGUCUCCGUGUCUGAAGCCAAAGCUGCUGAAGACAAUCCGGCUGCAUCAGCCGAUGACAACCAAGAAGAAGAACGUGUCCCUACUCCCCCCAUUACUGAAGAAGUUGUUCCUGAAGCGAACGUGCCAGUGCUCGACCCUCCAGCUCAUCAAGUGGAGGUUGAAAAUCUUGAGGCUGCCACCACCAACAUAAAUGAAGCCAACGACGUAGUCAUGGCUGAAGCAAAUGUGGAGCCUGCACCAACCAAUGUCCCAGAAGCCAAUGAUGCAACUGCUCCUGAAGCAUCUGUUGUGCAGCCUGACGACUCUGUUGUUGCCACUGCUCCUGUUCCGCCACCAAGGCCCCAUACAAUUGAGCAAGCAUACAACUAUGGUCAGCUGAUCACUAUCAAAUGGCCUGUUCUGGUCCCUCCGCCUAAUGCCUCUGGUCCUCAGUUUGAUUAUCAUGUUGAGCAUAGGCCUCUGGUCGAGAAACCAAAGCCAAGACUGCCAAGGUUCCCAGGUACUGCCACCUCUAUAGGGUCCUUCAAUGCAAAUGGCUUCAAAGCCCACAACACCUUCUUUGACAGAGCAAAGAACCCCUACUCAAGGCCAAGAAUAUCAUCUGAUCGUUUCUAGAGCUAUCAGCAGCGAAGCUAUUACUCCUGUGUUCUCUAUGAUCAAGGGCGCAUUUUCCCUCAUAUGCGCCUCGACACUGAAGCCAUUGCUGGACUGCCAUGCUUAGAAGAAGCACUUGACUGCUUUUGUGAUCCAGGUCUGCUCAGCUUUGUGACAGACAAAGCACAUUGGAAUGAGGAACUUUUGCUUCAAUUCUAUUCUACCCUCCACAUUCGUGGCUACUACAGGGAUACAAAGACAUGGGUUCUCGAGUGGAUGACAGGAAAUGUUCAUCAUGAAGCCAAAGCUAUUGACGUCAUUGAGCUUACAGGCCUACCCACUCCCGGAGAGCUGUUCGAACCUGAUUGUCAACUCCACCGCAAUGCACUGGAGAGCAUCUUCCAUAAGCCAGAGCCCAACAUGAGCCAGAUGUUCAGCAUGAUGAAGCCUCUGCCACCUGACACUGAAUACCCAAAGGAGUUCUUUGUUGAUGACCUUGAGUAUCUGCCUCGCACAAUAUAUCACAUCAUCAGGCGAACUCUAUGGCCUAUCAAAGGGUUCAUCAGUUGCAAAACUUGAAGGAGCCAUGAAGACAUUGGUCUUUUACAUCCUCAAUGGCAUCAGCUUCAAUACACAAGAAUUCUUCAUCCGGCAACUAGCUGCGUCUGGAUCUGACCUUUUUGGCCUAAAAUUCUAUGCUCCAUGGGUCAUGCGCCUCAUCAAGCUACACUCUGCUAUCAACUAUCAGCCCUCUGCUCGCAAUCAUCUAAUCUUUCUACCAGAGGUUGAUAUGUCAAUUGAAGCCAUAUACCCUGAGCCUGCCAAGAAGCCUCUUUGUCUUCAAAAUGCUGAUCACCAAAGCUUCACUCAACCCAUGGAAGGAGUCCAAGCAGUAACUCAUGUCUAUCUAAUGGCUGGGAACACUCGUCUGCCUCACCGUGCGCAAACUGAAGCUACUGAGAGCACAAUUGCCCAAAGGCCUAAGAAGCGCUCUCGCGUCCUAAAUGACCGAGAACUUCUUGUGGCACUGCAUCAGAAACAAGACAAGCAUCACUUCUGGCUCAAGCGACAGAUGCAAACCUCUUGGUGGACGUCAAUCGCAUUCGAAAUCUUGCCACCAAGAAUUCUUUUGUCACUCACGAGAAGUGUCGGCGAUCAUGGAAGAGUUUGACGCUGCUCAGUGCUGAAGCAGAUCUUCAAGACGAUGGCUUCACCGAAAGAUUCAAGUAUGACUCCACUCCUCCACGGAAUGCUGUCCUACGUCGAACUCCAUCCCUUGAAGACUCUGACUAUUCUUCCUCUGCAGCAACUAUGAAUGCCAAAGUUCUCGAUGAUGAAGACGAUGCUACUUCACCGCCCCCUACUUCUGCACGCAUCGACACUGCACCAAGUUUGUCUGCGCCGCCAAACAACAACGACAACCCUGCUGCUUCACCUACUCCUCAUGGGAACGAGUAGAUGCUCUAUGUCUUCAAAACUUUUUGGUCCUUACUGACAAAAGGGGGAGAAGCAUAUGAGUUUGAUAGUCUUCAAACGGGUUCAUAUGGGCGGUUGCUUUAUAUUUUGCCUAGUGUUUACAACUCUCGCUUUUGAUACAUUUGGUUCUUUGAGUUGUAACACUUAAACUCGAUGGUCAUCUGCUACUUAUUUGCUUUUCUGUGAUGCGAUGAUAAAUUCCGCAUGUGCGAUGAUAACUUCCGCACUUAGAUCAUUUUGCAGACGUCCAUUUUUCAUUAUGCACAUCAUUUCAUGCAUGAUGAAUUAUCUUCAUAAGUUGAAGAGGAUCUCCACAAGUACAACCUGCCAUGUGCAUUUGCAUUCCAAAAGCAAAUUACUUAUAUGCACAUCUUCAGGGGGAGCCUUUGCCACUUAUGAAGAGAAUACCCUAUCCAUUACAAUUUCACAUACUUUAUCCCCGUUGAAAACUUCAACCAGUUUGUCAUCAAUCACCAAAAAGGGGGAGAUUGUAAGUGCAUCUAGUGCCACCCCUAGUUGGUUUUGGAGUAUUGAUGACAAAUUUGGUUAAGGGACUAAUGCGUUUGUGAGAAUUGCAGUAUAACGCAGGUAGUGUCCCUCAUUGAUUCGGUUUACCUACCGGAGAUGACCCCUAAAAAUGUAUGAAGACAUUGACGACAAUGGUGGUAUGUGAAGAUAUUCAUAUUGAAGACUAUGACAUGAGAAGACAUUAGUGAAGACUAUGGAGCGCGAAGACUGUGUCGUUUCGUUGUUUCCUUUUCUUCUUUGUUGAGUCAUAGGAACCACCAUACUGUUAAGUGGGGUCCGAGUGAACAAAGUCAGAAUGACUGAAGUGAUGCUCAACCCAAAUCCUAUAUCUUUGAGCGAAGACAAUGAGAGCAAAUCUUAUCCAGAGCUGGAUGAGUCAGCUUUGCUUGUAGCCCAAGUAAAGUUGUCGUGUGUAUUUGAAAUCUGACCGUUGGAACACGUGUCAGUUCCUUAGUGACCCAGGGUCAUUUCGAACAUAUCAGGUCGGGUUGCCUAGUGGCUAUAAAUAGCCCACCCCCUACACCAUAAAUUGGUGGCUGCUCAGAGUUAGUACACGGCUUUUGUCGUUUGAGAGCAACCCACCUCGAAGCCGUUGAGAGAGAGAAAUCCUUGCGUGGACAAAGCCCAAACACCUAGAGCCAAAGAGUGUUAGGCAUCACUAAAGUCUUUCUGUCUGCGUGACCUGAAGACUUAUUACACUUGAGGACUGUGAAUCCUCCAGCCGGUUAGGCGUCGCGUUCUGAGCAUCCAAGAGUCAUUGUGGAUCGCCGGUGAACGAAGUCUGUGAAGGUUCGGAAGCCUACCUUGAAGACUUUCCAGAGUGAUUGGGCGAGGACUGUGUGUCCUUAGCUCAAGGGGAAUAAGGUGAAGACGCGGUCUUCUGAGUUGAAUCUCAGCCUCCCUAACCAGACGUACAGUUGUCACAGCAACUGGAACAGGUCCAACAAAUCUUGUGUCUUCAACAAGUGACUGGUUCUAUCCUCUCCCUCCCUUUACUUAGUGUUUGUCUUCGUGAAGUCAUUGCCUAUUUGUCAUACCUGUUUGACUUCAUUGCUUGACUACUAUCGUUGGUUGGCUUCAUACUAUCUUCCAUCCUAAUCCUUACUACUAAGCUGCUAUUAGUCUUUGUACUUUCACAUUAUUGCAUACUUGACUAUGGUUUGCUUGUUGUAGUUUAUCUUCCGCUGCAUAUCAAUUAGGUCAUUUCUAUUGUUUGUCUUCGAAACUUCCACGUUUUGAAGACUUUCAUAAAAAUCGCCUAUUCACCCCCCCUCUAGUCGAUAACUAGCACUUUCACUCUAUGACAGUCCUGAUAAUUUGCCUGAUCACGUCAUCAAUUACAUGACCAAGUGCCUCCUUAAUGAAAGUCUAAUAGACUAUGCCAAGGUGGGCUUAAGCCCUUUCUGCGCAACCAAUCCGGCUCCAGCGGUAAGUCGCCAAGCUAAACAAAUCAUUUCCUAUAUUGAUGUUUUACCUAUACUCAAACUUUUGCUGAUUUUCACAGGCUGAUAACAAAUUCUGGAAAGUCAAAUAUGAUCAUGAGGCUGCAAAAAGAGACUGGAAGGCCAGGAGAGCCGCUAGGAGAGCCACCACAAAGAAACGUGGAAAGAAAACCAGUGCUUCUGAGCAGCUUCGGUUAGAUGAUUCUUCUAAGUCGGAGGUAGCCCUUGACUCCCUUGGCUUAUUUUUUAAUCACCUUAUUGAUACUGAUUAUGAUCAGGAUGACACGGGCACGAGCCGUGGGGUGGAUGAAGAGGUAACUAUUAUUUCCUCCGACUCAGAGCCUUUGCCGUGCCAAAAACUCUGCCAAGUAACUUGGAAAGUAAGAUUUUCACAUCCUUUUGCUUAUCAAGAUCCUCGAUUUCUUUUGAAGCGACAGAUUCAUGAGAGCCGGAGGCAGACCCGUACCAGCAAAGACACAGAGCUCUCCUCCGGCUUGCCCAAUACACCACGGAAGCGCCGGAACAAGGUCAUCUCCGUCUUAGAUUCCUCUUAUCCUUUGGCAGGUCUCACUCGUCAACCACCGAACCCUUCUGACUCGAAUUAUCAAGAAACUUCUCCUUCAUCCGGCGACUCAAUUCAAUCCAACUUGCCAGCUUUCAAAGCCGCUCCAGGGUAAUGAUGACUUGCCUAUCUUAUUCUUUGAAUUUUUAUACUUAUACUGACCUUUUGAUCUUUAUGUAAUGGCAAAGCAAAGGUUAGCAAGGCCAACAAGGACAAGCCGGUCGAUGAGCCAACCCUCAAAGAACCGGCACUUCAGACGGUCAUACCAAAAACCUCUGCUACUAAGCCGCCACCUGAGCCAGCGUAUGAACCGCCAACCUUAGCCGCUGACCCGCCUACCGAGCAAGCUCUUGAUGACCCGCGUAUGAACCGCCAACCUUAGUCUCAAGCCCAGUCAAGACAAACGACCCUUAAGAAGCUGAGGUUGAAAUUACCAAGACCAGUUACAUUGAGCCGGGAAGGCCUGCUGUGCUUGCCAAAUGCACUGCCAAAGAAGAAUUCCUGGAAUGCCGUAAGGUCAGAUUUGACCUUACGGAUUACUCUCACAUGAGUGCCGGAGAAGUUUUGUCUGGCUAUCUCAGCCAAGUGCACAGUAGCCGUGACGUCGAAAUUGACAUGGUGAAGCAGAUGCACCAUAAAUUUGGUAUGAUCUCCUCUUUUCCCUGAAUCAUUCUUAUUACGCCAUCCCCGAAGUCUACUGCUUAAGAUGAAUAUGUUGUAGACUUUAGAAAAACGUCAAACAAGUAUUAACAAUGUCUUUAGAUCAAAAACCUGUAGAAAUCCAGCUUAAUCCGUAGCCCCCAAGGGCCGUUUUAAUCAAAAUGAAUGAGCCGGUCCUUCACAUGCUUGUGUAGAACAUAUUAACUUCAUAGUUUGAACUGCAAUAUGCAUUAGCCCCCAAGUGCCAAGUAGUCUUGCUUGCAAAGUGCUUGGGACUUUAAUUUUGUGAACCGCCAAUCUCAUGAACCGCCACUAUAAAUAUACUUCCGCGGUAGACAUUAGCCCCCAAGUGUCAAGUGCUUUGCUUGCAAAGUGCUUGGGACUUGAAUAUUAUAUGCUCAUAGUCAUGAUUUUAACCCGGCAUUUAUGCAGGUCGCCACCAAUCAAUUUCAAUCAGAAAUAUCUGACUUGAAGAACUGCCUGAAAUCACAAGAGACAGAAACCGAAAGGGCCAACUCCAAGUUUGAAUUCAGUGUAUCUGAACAAGAGAAGUUGAAGGCCAACUUUGAGGUGGAAAGAAAAGCUUGGGCUGAUGAAAAGAAGGCCGGAACCCAACAAGCUGACAAGGCAGAGGCGGCUCUUGAAAAGGUAACCAAUGAAUUGUCCGGCUUAAAACGCCACGUGACCCAGAUGGUUAAAGCAAUCUUUGGUAAGUCAUCCUGCAAGUUAUAAAUAUUUGAAACUUUCUAAUGAUCAUAUAAACUGUUAUUAAUGCACCUGACAUUGCUAUGCAGGCCUCAGGAGUUCAAAUCUCAGCCAAGAUAUGUUGACAAAGCUGAAAGCGGUUUAUACACUGGUGGAGCAACUCUACACCGGAUCUCAGUGGGCCUUAGCCACCGUGGCCCUGUCCAAUGAAGUUUCCACACUUUUGGCGGAUGUACUAAGGAAACUUUCUGUGCUGCCUCAACGGAUCACUGAACUGAAGCGAUCGUCUGUGAGAGCCGGAGCUGUGGCCACACUAAGCCAGGCCAAAGCUUGGCUUCCGAAACUAGACCCGGCGGACAUCGCUAUUGGUUAUCCAAGCCUAAAAGAAGAUGGUACGCCCUUUGAAUAGGAAGAUUUUGCUGCUUGUGUGAAGGCAAUACGCCCUGUGGCCACUCUGAUUGCUGAAGAGGCGGAUCUCUCCAAGUACCAGGCGGGUUAUGACACAGAGAACCGGAGGAUUCUGACACCACAGUACACUUUGACAAAUCUGAUUCCACCAAUUCGUAAGCAUAGCUUCGCCCCUGAAGUUGACCCGACCGGAUUAAUUGAUGAUGAAGCUGAAUUUAAAGCUUUGAGUGGCAUUGACUGGUCGUCAUCAACCUUUCAGGACCGGGAACAAGACGACGAAGUGGAAAGGGUUGAUCUAGAAGCUUCAGGCCAUCAAGAGAAUUGAUCCACCGAACGGCUCAUAUUUGUAGUCUUUGUUGAAAAACCAAUAUUAAUCAUUUUGACUCGGGGAGUCAUGUAAUAGGAGCAGAAAUGACUUUGUUGUGCCGUGCCUUCGUGCAUGUUUUGAUGCUUUAACAAUGUUUAAGCCGCCAUCAUAUCUUUACUCCGUCUUACACUUUCCUAUUUUCCUUAUGCAUAAGAAAGCAUGUAAUCUGUCCUGCACAAAGAGAUAGAUCACAGAAAUCCUCGGUGGCUUACCGCAGGGCGGGUCAUAAUUAUCCCAUGUAACUAUAAAUGUGAAAUAUGAGUUAUAAAUAAUCCUGAUGAGAAUCAGAACUUUCAAUAUAACUGUGACAACAUCAUACCUGAGAUGUCAAAUUUCUACGGCCGAUUUAGAUGACCUGUAUAGUAAGGGUGAUGACCCAGUUUAGAAGUCAUGAUUUCAAUUGGAGUAUGUCACACGCCUGGCGACUGAUUGUUCGAAGUCAAGCCGGCUCAGACAGAAACCUUAUAUGCCUUAGAACAUGAACACAUGAAAGGUCUCUAGACAAAUCCAAAGAGUGCUUUCAAAAAAGACUUAAGCAAAAAGAACAGAAAUACAAAUUAAGGCUUCUGAUUCGAAUACGAUCAGUAAACCGUCCCAAAGGGUUAAGCUAGGGUUCCAAUACGACCAUGUAGUCCCAGUGGCUUUGGCAUUGCGCCGAUCAAGAGGGUACCGACAGCUAUGUUCUCUUUGGUUCGAAUAUGACCUAUGUUUGAACAGGAAGCCCCCAAAUGACCUUGAGAAUAUUUAACGACUCUGAUUCGAAUAUGAUCUCGGUCGGACCCAAGAGGGGUUAAGCUAUGAUUUGAAUACGAUCAAGAAGCCCCCAAGUAGAUUUUGGCAUUGCGCUGAUCAAGUGGGUACCGACAGCUAUGUUCUCUUUGGUUCGAAUACGGCCUAUGUUUGAACAGGAAGCCCCCAAGUGACCUUCAGAAUAUUUAACGACUUUGAUUCGAAUACGAUCAGGAUCGGACAAAAAGGGGUUAAGCUAUGAUUCGAAUACGACCCAGCCCCCAAAUGAUCAAGUUGUUUGAACAACUAUGAUUCGAGUAUGAUCAGGAAGCUGUGCCAAAGGAGUUAAGCUAGAUUCAAAUACGAUCGGCCCCCAAUGAUCUUUUUCAAAUUAUGACAAUGAAGACAUCUGAUCUUUGAGAAUGAAAAAGGACAGAGGUCCUGCUUUAUUAUUGAUAAUAUAUACAUCACCAAGAUAUGUACAUCAUGAGAGCCGGUGGCUCAAGUGUAGUAAGGCCGAAGAUGAGCUAUAUUCCACGGUCGGCGGGUCUCCUCCUCCGACUUACGUGAGUCUUUGUGCUCUCGAACAUCGAUAAGGUAGUAUGAUCCAUUGUUCAAAUUCUUGCUGACCACAAAGGGCCCUUCCCAAGGUGGGGAUAACUUGUGUGCAUCAGUCUGAUCCUGGAUGAGCCGGAGCACCAAGUCGCCUUCUUGAAAGGUUCUGGAUUUAACCCGGCGGCUGUGAUAACACCACAUGUCAUGUUGGUAAAUCGCCGAGCGGGCUGCUGCCAAGUCACGCUUCUCAUCCAACAGGUCAAGUGCCUCUCGACGUGCUUGCUCAUUGUUAGCUUCCACGUAAGCCGCCACUCGGGGCGAGUCAUGGUGGAUGUCAUUAGGAAGAACUACCUCUGCUCCAUAAACCAUGAAGAAAGGGGUAUAACCCGUAGGUCUAUUGGGGGUAGUAUUGAUGCUCCAUAACACUGAUGGUAACUCCUCCACCCAACAAACCGGUGUUCGCUGCAAAGGAACUAGAAGUCAGGGCUUGAUCCCCUUCAAAAUCUCCUGAUUGGCUCUUUCUGCUUGACCAUUGGAUUGGGGGGAGCCACUGAUGAGACAUCAAGCCGGAUAUGCUCACGUUGAUAGAACUCCUCCAUAGCCCCCUUGGACAAGUUAGUGCCAUUAUCAGUUAUGAUGCUAUGGGGGAAACCAAAACGGAAAAUCACCUUUUUCAUGAAUUGAACCGCCGUCGCCGCAUCACACUUACUGUCCGGCUCUGCUUCCACCCACUUUGUAAACUUAUUGUCGUGAAAAUUUCUGACACCCGUCACGUGUACUGACCAGAUCUUCUGCAUUAGCAUGAGCCGUCGGCCAAUAGAAUCCGUGACGGAAAGCUUUAGCCACAAGGGACUUUGAACCAGCAUGAUGGCCACAAUCUCCUUCAUGAAUCUCAUUAAGAAUCUCUUGGCCUUCCUCAGGAGACACACAACAUUGAAACGCCCCAGUGACACUGCGAUGAUGUAACUCGCCAUUGGCAAUCGUCAUUGACUUAGACCGUCAGGUUAUCUGUCUAGCCAAGGUUUCAUGCUCGGGCAAUUCUCCCAGGGUCAUGUAAGCCAAAUAUGGCACUGUCCAAUCUGGGAUGACGUAAGAGCCGCCACCAACUGUGCUUCCGGGUCAGGUACAGCCAAGUCUUCCUCUGUAGGUAACUUGACAGACAGAUUAUGCAAAACAUCCAACAAAGUGUUCAGGGGUACCGGUUUACGCUAAGAUCCAAGCCGGCUUAAAGCAUCAGCCGCCACAUUCUUCCUGCGAUCGAUGUGUUCCACUUGAUAACCCUUGAAGUGUCUAGCAACAGCAUCAACCUCACAUCGAUAAGCUGCCAUGAGAGGGUCUUUGGAAUCCCACUUGCCUGAGACUUGUUGAGCUACCAAACCUGAGUCGCCGAAGCACCUUACCCGGCUUAAGUUCAUCUCCUUAGCCAUCCGAAGACCAUGAAGAAAGCCCUCAUACUCAACUGCAUUGUUAGUACAGGGAAACAUCAACCUUAGCACAUAACAAAAUUUAUCACCUCAAGGGGAAGCCAAAACAACUCCAGCCCCCGAGCCUUCCAAUUGCCUGGAUCCAUCGAACUGAAUAGUCUAGUAUGUGUUAUCCGGCUUCUCUUCAGGCGCCUGCAACUCUGUCCAAUCCUUGAUGAAAUCCACCAGUGCUUGAGACUUGAUAGCAGUACGAGGUACAUAUUUUAAACCAUGAGGCCCAAGCUCGAUAGCGCACUUGGUGACUCGUCCCAUAGCCUCUCUGUUCUAGAUGAUAUCCCCCAAAGGAGCUGAACUGACCACAGUGAUUGGAUGACCCAGGAAAUACUGCUUAAGCUUUCGGCUAGCCAUGAACACCCCAUAAACAAGCUUCUGCCAAUGUGCACCUCACUGAUGUAGUAAACCAGCCGUUGAACCGGAUAUUCCUUACCAGUCUCCUUGCGCUCCACCACAAUGGCCACACUGACAACACGUGCGUUAGCAGCCACAUAUAACACCAAUGGCUCCUUACCAAUGGGAGCGGCAAGGACCGGCGGCUCAGCCAGUUGCCUCUUCAAAUCCUCAAAGGCAACAUUAGCAGCAUCACUCCAGACAAAGUCGUCGGUCUUCUUCAACAUCUGAUACAGCGGUAUGGCCUUCUCACCUAACCGGCUUAUGAACCGGCUUAAAGCAGCAAUGCGACCUGCCAAAUGCUAAACAUCAUUGAUACACUUGGGUUUUGCCAAAGAUGUGAUAGCCUUGAUCUUCUUUGGGUUUGCCUCAAUGCCUUUGUUAGAAACCAGAAAUCCCAAGAGUUUGCCUGCCGGCACAACAAAGACGCACUUUGCUGGGUUAAGCAUCAUAUUGUAGACCCAGAGGUUAUCAAAGGUCUCCUUGAGAUCAUCUAUCAGUGUUUCCCUCUCUCUGGACUUCACCACAAUAUCAUCCACAUAAGCAUGCACAUUGCGGCCAAUCUGAGUAUGAAGGCAAUUUUGCACACAAUGCGGAUAAGUCGCCUGGGCACUCUUGAGCCCAAAAGGUAUAUAAACAUAGCAGAAGGUUCCAAAGAGAGUAGUGAAUGCCGUCUUUUCCUGGUCCUUAACCGCCAUCUUGAUCUGAUGAUAUUGAGAAUAAGCAUCCAAAAAACCCAACCGUAGCAUCAAUGAUUUGAUCAAUACACGAGAGAGCAAAGGGAUCAGCCGGACAAGCCUUGUUCAAGUACGUGUAAUCCACACACAUACGCCAAGUGUCGUUCUUCUGGAGCACUAGCACCAGGUUAGCUAACCACUCUGGAUGAAAUACCUCAAUAAUGAACCCGACUGCCAAGAGCCGGGUCACCUCCUCGCCAACAGCCUUGCGCCUCUCUUCAUUAAACCGCCGAAGAAACUGCUUGACCGGCUUAAACUUCGGAUCAAUGUUGAGAGUGUGCUCAGCGAGUUCUCUCGGUACACCCGGCAUGUCAGAAGGCUUCCAUGUAAAGAUGUAUCGAUUCUCACGGAUGAACUCGAUAAGCGGGCUUUCCAAUUUGGGAUACAGAUUGGCAUUGAUACUGAACUGCUUAGAUGAAUCGCAAAGAACAAAGUCAACCAUCUUUGCGUCCUUAGCCGACUUAAAGGUCAUCUCCGGUUCACGCUCUGUGGUGGGCUUCUUCAAGGAUGUCAUGUCUGCCAGGUCAACAUUGUCUUUAUAAUACUUUAACUCUUCUGUAGCACAGACUGACUCAGCAUAAGCCGCGUCGCCUUCCUCGCACUCUGGAGCCACCUUCCGACUGCCAUGAACCAUAAUGGUCCCUUUAUGACCCGGCAUCUUCAGCUGCAGAUAAACAUAACACGGCCGUGCCAUGAAUUUGGCGUAAGCCGGUCGCCCAAACAGAGCAUGAUACGGGCUCCUGAUCUUGACCACCUCAAAAGUUAACUUUUUGGCCCUAAAAUCAUACUCAUCUCCAAAGGCUACCUCCAACUCAAUCUUGCCCACUUGGUAUGCCAAUUUACCAGGAACUACACCAUGAAAAACAGUAUUGGACUGCAUAAGAUUUCUCCCGCAUGCCAAACUCCACUGUCCAACCAAUGCGGAACCAACCAGUAACUUGCCGCCCACCAGCAUGGGCCACCACGGUCUUGAUGCCCACCCACACUGCCUCACUGGGAUCACCACCACGAGGCAAAGAGGACGGAGAGAGGAGCGCCAGGAAUCAGGAGCGGCAGCACCGGAGCCGCGCGGGAGGGAACCACCUCCACUGCUGUUGUGCGGGAGGUUUGUGCCUCCAACACCGUCGUGGUCGCUGUUCGGACGUGGCAACAGGGGCAUACCAGGCCACCCCUGGCCCGGCCAUGCCCAAAUCGGCCCCGCAAAGCCCCGACUGCCACGUUGCAGCAGGCCGGCGCCAGCGGCCGCCACCACCCACUCCGCCCAAUGCCGCUCCUCCGCUUGCCGGAAACCACACCAUCGACGUGCCCCACCACGCCCCCUGCCUAGACCGAGAUGGGCCCAGAUCUGGGCUGAGCGGGUGCUGCGCCACCCUGCCGCAAAUGUCAGCGCCGCCACCUAGGUGUACUCCAUGGCCCGCUCUGCCUCGUGUCGGCGUGUCACCAAGAGGGGAAAGGCCAGGGGUCGCCGGUGCCGGUGCCGCCUAGGUGCACCCCACGGCUCCGCUCCGCCCCGCGUCGGCACGCCACCAAGAGGAGAAAGGCCAGGGCCGUCGGCGCCAACAUCGCUCGGGCUAGCGAUGACGGCGGGAAGGGAGGAACGAGGGAGGGCUCGAGGGGAGAUGCAGCUGAUCACCCGCAGGGGCGACGUGGUCGCGAGAGAGGGGGUCCCAUAACAAAUAAUUUGAUAAAACAAAAUACAUACAACAGUAGUAGGAUUUGUGUUUGACACUAUAGAUAUUGAUACUUUUCUUUAAAAAUUUGGUCAAAUAUAUAGAUAUUUGAUUUUUAAAAACUAGUAAUACAGUAAAUCUUAUACUUCGUAACAACGGAGGGAGUAUUAGUUGGUCGCUAAUUCUAGUUCUGACACGCUCCACAUGUUGCGGCGCUUGUGGCAAGAUAGCCAGCGACAGGUCACUUUGCAAAGAGAGCCAGCAGAGGAAUUGGGCCAAACUGUAAAAAACCACUCCAGAUCUCACAUUCACUAGUCACAGCGACUGCAAUACUCACCGAUCCCUUUCCCCUCCUCCCCUUCCUAGCCCUCCAACCCUAGAAACCCACGGCGCCUCUCCGCUCGAGCUCCACUAUGCGAGGCGACAGGCAAGGCGGCGGGUAGAAUCUGCUUCAACACCGGGCCGGCGAGCCGCGGAAGUAGGGCGCGAUGGCGCUCGACGCGUCCACCCCCCUCCGUCUCCCCGGCGCUCCCCUUCCCGUGAUCUGCACACUCGGUCCGCUGGGUCGCACCAGCCACCGCAGGCUGCUCGGCUGCCCCAACUGCUGUCGUUGAAGAAGGUAAGGGUAGACGUCUUCUUUUGUUGCUUCGGUAGGUUAGCACUACAUGAUAAUGCGUGGUAUUUUGUCUGGACAAAGAAAAUUUUCAACUAGUGCUGCUCUGGCAAAAUCGAUCUGUUAAAGUUGGUGGUUUUUAGAGUGGCAAACGUUGUUGUAAUGCUGUUGAUGCAAAUUCUACCUCCCAUGGUCCUUUCAGUAUAACAAAUGUGCACAAGGGCAGGGAAAAGAGCAUGCUCGUCAUUAUACAGCUAGCUCUUACCUUACCACACCUCACACAUCUAUCAAUUUAACCUUGUUCUCGUAAAAAGGACAAUCUGCAAUCCGCAAUUCAAGUUCUCCAUCUAGCUCAUUUUAGCCUUUUUGCGUGCCAAUGAUGUGCGAGGGUGCAGCCUGUUUCCAUUUUCUCUACUGUGCAUUAUUUUGUUGUUUCUCUACUGGGCAUUAUUAUGACAUCUUGCAUCUCUGUAGACAUUAUCUGACUCACUUCAUCUUUUGAAGAAGGUAAUGGUAAAAUUGUUCUUUUGUUCUUGUGGCAACCUCAGCUAGUUAGUAGUACAUAGUAAUGCCUGGUAUUCUGGAUAAUUAAUUUUUCAACGGCAAUGUUUUGUGUGGUAAAUUUUCUUAAGAGAGUGGCGAAUUUUGUGAUGGUGCUGAGUCAAUUCCCUCUUCUCGCAGGCAGAGGCAGAAGCUACCUCAACCUGUUUUGAUCUGUUGAUCAAUGGCCAUGGCUGGAUCCAGGUGGAUGAUGCUCGACCGCUUUGUCUUCCACAGGGGUGACGAGGAAGCGGGUAGUCCCUUCCUAAACGGAUCUUAGGCGCCUUUGAGGGCAAGUUCGCGCACCUCUCUUUGCAAGAAUUUUGACAUCCUCUUCCUCCCUGCCGAGCCCCCGGCCAUCUCCCGCUUCUACAUACGGUGGCCUGACGAUACAAAGUCGGAGGAUGCCAAGGGAACCAAGCUCGUGGCCGCCCACCGUGAUCUGGUUCUCUUCAUGCAAACCUCUUUUGGAAGAUUGGACAAGGACGGUCGCUUACCGAUCAUACAAGACCACUUUAUAUGUGUAGCGUCAUGUGAGACUAAGCCGUCCCUGCAGCUCAAACAGCUCCCUAUCUGCAACAAGCCAAUGAUCUUCCCUUUUGGAGAGGGAGAGGAGAAGGCAAUGGCUGAGCAGCGUCUGUUCUUCCCGGACACUGUAGGACUCAUCCGAGGCCAUGGCGAAAGCGUUGAAGCAGAAUUUGCAGUGGCGCAGCUGGCUAUGGUCAGCGAAAUACCUGGCUCGCUCAACAUGGAAGCAGAAGUUUGUGUGUUCCUCUCACUUGUAUCUGGUAAUGAUGGUGAUGGCAAAUGGGAUGUGAGGAAGAUACCAAUCGACCAUAAGGAGGAUGAGCAUAAGGAGUUAUACUAUUGGUCAACUGAUGCUGUCAUCACAUUCAACUCUUGCAUUUGUUGGAUUAGUUAUUACAGAGGUGGUAUGCUAGUUUAUGAUGUACUUGAAGAAAAUCCGCGGAUCUUAUACCUCUGAUUGCCUAUUGUUGACCAUCCUAGAAGUUAAGCUCAAGGCAAAGCAUUCUAUGAGGUGAAUCGUGGUGUGUGCGCCACAAUAGAGCUGAGCAAAAAUGGCUCUGUUCUCAGAUUCACUGAUGUUAUCCGCUCUGAUGGGGAGUCGUUUGGGCCACUUCGGAAAGGUUCUAGUUUCACCAUUCACUCCUAUAUUUUGUCCUCCUUAGAUGGGCCAUGGGAUGAGCAUGUGGCCAUCACAUCUGAAGAGCUGUGGGCUUUAAACAGAUAUAUAGGUCUGCUGUGUGAUAUCCUGAUGUUCCCUCUUGUGAGCAUGCUGAAUUCCAACAUCGCAUACUUUUUGGUCUCAGAGUCUGCCGAAGAAGAAAAAAGCAAGGUUUCUUUGGUCACAAUUCAGUUAAGUACCAAGAAAGUGCUCGUAGUUCAUCCAUAUAUUUUAAGAGAAGAAGGCAGCCCCAGUGGCCCAGAUGCUGACAUGAUCGAGGAAAAGUCUCAUCUCCUAAGGAGUUUCAUUUCCUCCAGGUUUCCCCGCGUACUUAAAACAAGUAUUUCUAUCUUGUAUAUUUAUCUGUCCAUAAAUUAAGUUUUGCUGAAUACUGUUAGUUUUUGCUACAUUCCUGAUCUCAGUGUUGGAUAACCGAAAUAGCUGGUAUUUUUUAUGACAAUAGCAAAGUCCACUGAGCUAAAGUUUAGGAUGUUGCCUUAAAGUUUGUGUUUCUUCUUAAAUUCGUGAACAGGUUGUUGCCUUAGUGUUUUAGAACAAAACUCCAGCCCUCGUUGCCUGGUAUUGUGGAAGAUCAAAAUUAUGAUAACACUGUAUUUUUUUUAGGAAUUUAUCUCAUUGCUAAUACAGAAAGUGAGCAUGUAAAAUUGAAGCCUAAUUAAAAUACUAGUAAAAUAUAGCUCUGUUGCAGCACCAAUUAAUUUGUGUAUUCAUCUUUUGCUACCAUAGAUUAGCUACUACUUGUCAUCCUUGCUACUAUACCAUUUGUCACCAGCUUUUGAGUAUGGUUCAAAGUUUGCACAGCUCAAUACAAGUAGUACAUUUAUCAUUACAUUCCUGUCUGAUGGGAUCCAACACAUUGGUUGGAGCUCCAUCAAAUAUCAUAUUAUCACUCAAGACACCCUCCCUGGCUAGCACUAGCUAAUUGAUGGGCAACGCCAUUCUCCUUCCUAUGCAGAUGUAGAACCUUGAAACCUGAUAAUUGAUUCGAUAGAUGAUUACUUUCCAAGUAGACCCCAUUGAAGGUUGAUCCAUCCUUUUUCUUCCUCACCUAGUCCAAAUCACAAGCAUAGUAACACUGCCAGUGAUCACCGGGAGGUUGGCAAUGGCAAUGAUGCCUCUCACGCCUUUCAUGCAUGCUAGAGCUUCUGUCCUUCCUGCACUAUUGACAUAUACAGACACUGCCAUACUCUGACCAAAUGAUGUUUAAUUAAGAGGAGCGCAACACUGCUCCCAAUGAGCUUUUGCCUGUUUCAGUCACGAAGGUUGUGUCUGUUCAACUUCAGUUCCGGUCCGAACAACCUGUUGAUAGGUCGAUCACUUGCAUUCACAAACUUGAUGGUGUACAUGUUAAUUACUGAUUUGUCUUGAAUAUCCAGGGUCUUGGUGCCAGGGUGUGUGAACUCCAUGCUCUAAUGGUAGCUCUUACUAAACUGGACUGAGGCUUGGGUCGUUGCACCUCCUUUGCCAAAGAUUGUAUCAUUUCGUAAAUGGCAUGCUCUGCACCGGCAAGCAAAUUCAAACACAUCUCUUGGCUCAAAGAUGACUGCAUCAGGAUGUGCUACUCAUCCACGGAUAGUGCAAGUUUCCUCGCUCUCAUUCUUGAUCGAGCUGAGACAACAAAUGCUAAGAUUCCAUGGAUUUCAUCAAGGACCCACACACACCUGCACCACAUGAAUUUAAGCGGCCCGCAAACUCAGGGGACGGUGGAUUUCUAGCAAUUCCCAUUAAAAGUAGCACAAAUUCCAAAAUGUUCGCUAACAAGCCCAAUUGUUCACUAAGUCCUCCAAGACCUGAGACACAACAUUUGAUGGAGAGAACAAGACGGGAUCAAGCAGCUCCAAUUUCUCAGGGAUUGUAUCUCAUCCAUACAAAAGGCCUGACCUUACGACACUCUAGCGCACACUUCACUUGACCCUUGAUCUACAAAUCUUCUUCCUCCAGCAUUUCCUUCCUAAGUCUAGUCACUAACCUCAUUACGCCAGCCAGUGUCUGCAAUACGGUAAGCCAAUGAUAAAUUAGUGAAAAAGCUCCCGCAUGAUCAUUAUGGAAUUAUUCUGCAAGUACAAUGACCCUACAAAUUAGUUGAUUGGCUUUCUAAACAUCAUGGUGAAUUAACACACAUAUAAUGUCACAAGUCACCAUUCUUACAAAAAUAAUAAUGGCGAAUUAAUAAAAAUCUGUUUUCUCAUGCAGACUCGCCCAUAUAUCUCGAGGUUAUUUCAGCAAUGUAUCCAGGUUACCCACGACAAAAAAACAUAGUCCACAUCUUUUAAAUGCGAGACAUGAAAAAGACAUGAAAAAUGAAGAUAACAACAUAGUGAAAUCCCAUCAAUUUCGUGCCUAUGAAUAUUGAAGUAGCCAUACCAAGUGCAUCAAAUGAACUUAAAUAAUAAGGACAUGCAUCAUAUAAUCGGGCUAGCCAAGUUCGACAAAAAGAAAGACAAGCGAACCGCAGGCCAACUCCUUAGCCCAGGAGCGUUCUCCAUGGCCAGGAAACAAAUGUAAAGUGGCUGGUGGUAUGGCACUGUCAAAUACAAACGAUUGGGAAGUAUCUAAGCUUGCCAAUUCUAGAAGGGAGGAUAAAGAAUGCAGGUUCUAGCUUCUCAAGGAUAAUGAUAGAAAGAACUGUUCAGGUUUGUCUGAGAGAUACCAAUGAACAUGGUAAAGAGGUCUUGGGUUGAAUCAGUUGUGCAGGCCCUCCCCACCUAUUAACCGUAAGAGUCCUCAAGUCAUCGGCAAGCCUCUGUGAGGAUCUUAUGCAAAUUAUGAGGAUUGUUUGGUGGGGUGACGAGGAAGACAGAAGAAAAGUCCGUUGGUGGUUGUGGGAAAAACUUACAAAAGUCAGAGCAAUGGACUUAAAUUAAUUGAAUUCCAGGACAGGCUCUGCACUAGAAUACUAAAAGCUCACUGCUACCCAAACAGGGAAGGAACACGUUGACCGUUUGGCAGGGAAUCGAGCAUGGUUCAGAUUCACUGAAAAAUAGUGACAUCUAGUGAAUCGGCUCAGGUAGAAAAGUGAGGCUGUGGAGGGACAAUUGAUUACCACAUGGCAACCUUGAACUCUCUUCCAAUACAUGAUAGUCACGGCUUUGACUGGGUAUCAGACCUCUUCAUCCACUAGAUCGAACGGAGAGAGGCUGCUAUGCAACCUGAUCUGGAAACAAAAGUACCGCCAAAUGUGUGUGUUAUUGCUUGGAAGCUGGCAACGGAUUCUAGAUUCUUUGGCUGUCCAAAGAAACCGAUGGCGGCAGAAUAUGGAUGUUCUCCCUACCUGCAACAUCUGUGGGACAGGGGAGGGAGAUGGAUAUCAUGUUGUAAUGUUGUGUAUGAAAGCAAGGUCCCUGAGAUGUGCCCUUCGGUAAGACUGGAACUUGUAGGCUGACAGAGAGUUGACUCAUAAAGACAGAGGCUGGGCACUUAUGGCUUUGAGCAAACUAAAUGAAGGGGUGUGCACCAAGCUUCUAUUCCUUUGGUGCAGAGCAUGCCAUUUACGAAAUGAUACAAUCUUUGGCAAAGGAGGUGCAACGACCCAAGCCUCAGUCCAUUUUAGUAAGAGCUACCAUUAGAGCAUGGAGUUCACACACCCUGGCACCAAGACCCCGGAUAUUCAAGACAAAUCAGCAACUAACAUGUACACCAUCAGGUCUGUGAAUGAAAGUGAUCGACCUAUCAAUAGGUUGUUCGGACCGGGAUUGAAGUUGAACAGACACAGCCUUCGUGACUGAAACGGGCAAAAGCUCAUUGGGAGCAGUGAUGCGCUCCUCUUCAGGCAACAUCAUUUGGUCAGAGUAUGGCAGUGUCUGUAUAUGUCAAUAGUGCAGGAAGGACAGAAGCUCUAGCAUGCAUGGAAGGCAUGAGAGGCAUCAUUGCCAUUGCCAACCUCCCGGUGAUCACUGGCAAUGUUACUGUGCUUGUGAUUUGGACUAGCUGAGGAAGAAAAUGAUGGAUCAGCCUUCAAGGGGGUCUAGUUGGAAAGUAAUCAUUUGUCGAAUCAACUAUCAGGUUACAAGGUUCUACAGCUGCACAGGGAGGAGAAUGGUGUUGCCCAUCAAUUAGCUAGGGCUAGCCAGGGAAGGUGUCUUGAGUGAUAAUAUGAUAUUUGAUGGAGCUCCAACCAGUGUGCUGGAUCCCAUCAAACAGGAACGUAAUGAUAAAUGUACUACUUGUAUUGAGCUGUGCAAACUUUGAACCAUACUCAAAAGCUGGUGACAAAUGGUGUAGUAGCAAGGAUGACAAGUAAUAGCUAAUCUAUGGUAGCAAAAGAUGAAUACACAAAUUAAUUGGUGCUGCAACAGAGCUACAUUUUACUAGUAUUGUAAUUAGGCUUCAAUUUUACAUGCUCACUUUCUAUAUUAGCAAUGAGAUAAAUUUCUAAAAAAAAUACAAUGUUAUCAUAAUUUUGAUCUUCCACAACACCAGGCAACGAGGGCUGGAGUUUUGUUCUAAAACACUAAGGGAACAACCUAUUCACGAAGUUAAGAGGAAACACAAACUUUAAGGCACCAUCCUAAACUUUAGCUCAGUGGACUUUGCUAUUGUCACAAAAAAUAGCAGCUAUUUCGAUUAUCCAACACUGAGAUCAAUAAUGUAGCAAAAACUAACAGUAUUCAGCAAAACUUAAUUUAUGGACAGAUAAAUAUACAAGAUAGAAAUACCUGUUUUAAGUACGUGGGGAACCUGGAGGAAAUGAAACUCCUUAGAAGAUGAGACUUUUCCUCGAUCAUGUCAGCAUCUGGGCCACUGGGGCUGCCUUCUUCUCUUGAAAUAUAUGGACCAACUACGAGCACCUUCUUGGUACUUAACUGAAUUGUGACCAGAGAAACCUUGCUAUUUUCUUCUUCGGCGGACUCUGAGACCAAAAAGUAUGCGAUGUUGGAAUUCAGCAUGCUCACAAGAGGGAACAUCAGGAUAUCACACGGCAGACCUAUAUAUCUGUUUAAAGCUCAUAGCUCUUCAGAUGUGAUGGUCAUAUGCUCAUCCCAUGGCCCAUCUUAGGAGGAGAAAAUAUAGGAGUGAAUGGUGAAACUAGAACCUUUCCCAAGUGGCCCAAACAGUUCCCCAUCAGAGCGGAUAACAUCAGUGAAUCUGAGAACAGAGCUCUUUUUGCUCAGCUCUAUCAUGGCGCACACACCACAAUUCACCUCAUAGAAUGCUUUGCCUUGAGCUGAACUUCUAGGACGGUCAACAAUAGGAAAUCAGAGGUAUAAGAUCUGGGGCUUUUCUUCAAGUACAUCAUAAACUAGCAUACCACCUCUGUAAUAGUUGAUCCAACAAAUGCAAAAGUUGAAUGUGAUGACAGCAUCAGUUGACCAAUAGUAUAACUCCUUAUGCUCAUCCUCCUUAUGGUCGAUUGGUAUCUUCCUCACAUCCCAUUUGCCAUCACCAUCAUUUCCAGAGACAAGUGAGCGGAACACACAAACUUCUGCUUCCAUCUUGAGCGUGCCAGGUAUUUCGCUGACCAUAGCCAGCUGCGCCACUGCAAAUUCCGCUUCAACGCUUUCGCCAUGGCCUCGGAUGAGUCCUACAGUGUCCAGAAAGAACACACGUUGCUCAGCCACAGCCUUCUCCUCUCCCUCUCCAAAAGGGAAGAUCAUUGGCUUGUUGCAGACAAGGAGCCGUUUGAGCUGCAGGGACGGCUUAGUCUCACACGACGCUACACAGAUAAAGUAGUCUUGUAUGAUCGGUAAGCAACCGUCCAUGCCCAAUCUUCCAAAAGAAGUUAGCCUGAAGAGAACCAGAUCACAGUGGGCGGCCACAAGCUCGGUUCCCUUGGCAUCCUCCGACUUUAUACCAUCAGGCCACCGCAUGUAGAAGCGGGAGAUGGCCGGGGGCUCGGCAAGGAGGAAAAGGAUGCCGAACUUCUUGCAAAGAGAGGUGUGCGAACUUGCCCUCAAAGGCGCCACGGAUCCGUCUAGGAAAGGACUGCCCUCUUCCUCAUCACCCCUGUGGAAGACAAAGCGGUCGAGCAUCAUGCACCUGGAUCCAGCAAUGGCCAUUGAUCAGCAGAUUAAAACAGGUUUAGAUAGCUUCCGCCUCUGCCUGCGAGAAGAGGGAAUUGACUCAGCACCAUCACAACAUUUGCCACUCUCUCAAGAAAAUUUACCACUCAAAACAUUGCCAUUGAGAAAUUAAUUAUCCAGAAUACCAGGUAUUACUAUGUACUACUACCUAGCUGAGGUUGCCACAAGAACAAAAGAACAAUUUUACCAUUACCUUCUUAAAAAGAUGAAGUGAGUCAGAUAAUGUUUACAGAGAUGCAAGAUGUCAUAAUAAUGCCCAUUACAGAAACAACAAAAUAAUGCACAGUAGAGAAAAUGGAAACAGGCUGCACCCUCGCACAUCAUUUGCACGCAAAAAGGGGCUAAAAUGAGCUAGAUGGAGAACUUGAAUUGCGGAUUGCAGAUUGCCCUUUCUACGAGAACAAGGUUAAAUUGACAGAUGUGUGAGGUGUGGUCAGGUGAGAGCUGGCUGUACAAUGACGAGCAUGCUGUUUUCCCUACCCUUGUGUACAUUUGUUAUACUGAAAGGACCAUGGGAGGUAGAAUUUGCAUCAACAGCAUUACAACAACGUUUGCCACUCCAAAAACCACCAACUUUAACAGAUCGAUUUUGCCAGAGCAGCACUAGUUGAAAAUUUUCGUUGUCCAGACAGAAUACCAGGCAUUAUCAUGUACUGCUAACCUACCGGAGCAACAAAAGAAGACGUCUGCCCUUACCUUCCUCAACGGCAGCAGUUGGGGCAGCCGAGCAGCCUGCGGUGGCUGGUGCGACCCAACGGACCAAGUGUGCAGAUCACGGGGAGGGGAGCGCCGGGAAGACAGAGGGGGGUGAAGGGGUCGAGCGUUGUCUCGCCCUGCUUCCGCGGCUCGCCGGCCCGGUGUUGAAGCAGAUUCCACCCACCGCCUUGUCUGUCGCCUCACACGAUGGAGCUCGAGCGAAGAGGCGCCGCGGGUUUCUAGGGUUCGAGGGCUGGGAAGGGGAGGAGGGGAAAGGGAUCGGUGAGGAUCACUGUCGCUGUGACUAGUGAAUGUGAGAUCUGGAAUGGUUUUUUACAAUUUGGCCCAAUUCCUCAGCUGGCUCUCUUUGCCAAGUGACCCGUCGCGUGGCUAUCUUGCCGCAAGCGCCGCGACAUGUGGAGCGUGUCAGAACUAGAAUUAACAACCAACUAAUGCUCACUCCGUUGUUACGGAGUAUAAGAUUUACUGUAUUACUAGUUUUUGAAAAUCAAAUAUGUAUAUAUUUGACCUUAUUUUUAGAGUAAAAUAUCAAUAUCUAUAGUGUCAAACACAAAUCCUACUACUGUUGUAUGUAUUUUGUUUUAUCAAAUUAUUUGUUAUGGGACCCCCUCUCUUGCGACCGCGUCGCCCCCGCGGGUGAUCAGCUGCAUCUCCCCUCGAGCCCUCCCCCUUCCUCCCUUCCCGCUGUCAUCACUAGCCUGAGCGGCGUUGACGCUAGCGGCCCUGGCCUUUCCCCUCUUGGUGGCGCAUCGGCGUGGGGCGGAGCGGGGCCGUGGGUUGCACCUAGGCGGCGCCGGCACGGAUGGCCCCUGGCCUUUCCCCUCUUGGUGACACGCCGACACGAGGCAGAGCGGAGCCAUGGAGUACACCUCGGGGUGGCGCGGCACCCGCUCGGCCCAGAUCUGGGCCCAUCUCGGUCUACGCAGGGGGCGCGAUGGGGCAUGUCAACGGUGUGGUUUCCGGCAAGCGAAGGAGCGGCGUUGGGCGGAGUGGGUGGUGGCGGCCGCUGGCGCCGGUUUGCUGCAACGUGGUAGUUGGGGCUUUGCGGGCCCGAUUUGGGCAUGGCCGGGCCAGGGGUGGCCUAGUAUGCCCCUGUUGCCGUGUCCGAACGGCGACCGCGACUGUGUUGGAGGCACAAGCCUCCCGCACAACGGCAGUGGAGGUGGUUCCCUCCCGCGCGGCUCCGGUGCUGCGGCUCCUGAUUCCUGGCGCUCCUCUCUCCGUCCUCUUUGCCUCGUGGUGGUGAUCUCAAUGAGGUAGUGUGGGUGGCAUCAAGACCGUGGUGGCCCAUGAUGGUGGGCGGCAUGUUACUGGUUGGUUCCACAUUGGUUGGGCACUGGAGUUUGGCAUGCGGGAGAAAUCUUAAGCAGUCCAAUACUAUUUUCCACGGCGUAGUUCCUGGUAAAUCGGCAUACGCAGUGGGCAAGAUCGAGUUGGAGGUAGCCUUUGGAGAUGAGUAUGAUUCCAGGGCCGAAAAGUUAACUUUUGAGGUGGUCAAGAUCAGGAGCCUGUAUCAUGCUCUGUUUGGGCAACUGGCUUACGCCAAAUUCAUGGUGCGGCAAUGUUAUGUUUAUCUGCAGCUAAAGAUGUCGGGUCAUAAAGGGACCAUUACGGUUCAUGGCAGUCGGAAGGUGGCUCUGGAGUGCGAGGAAGGCAACGCAGCUUAUGCUGAGUCAGUCUGUGCUACAGAAGAGUUAAAGUAUUAUAAAGACAAUGUUUGACCCGGCAGACAUGACAUCCUUGAAGAAGCCCACCACAGAGCGUGAACCGGAGAUGAAGUUUAAGUCGGUUGAGGAAGCCUAGAUGGUUGACUUUGUUCCUGGCGAUUCAUCUAAGCAGUUCAGUAUCAGUGCCAAUCUGGAUCCCAAAUAGGAAAGCGCGCUCAUCGAGUUCAUCCGUGAGAAUCGGGACAUCUUUGCAUGGAAGCCUUCUGACAUGCCGGGUGUACCGAGAGAACUCGCUGAGCACACUCUCAACAUUGAUCCGAAGUUUAAGCCGAUCAAGUAGUUUCUUCGGCGGUUUAGCGAAGAAAGGCACAAGGCCAUUGGCGAGGAGGUGGCCCGGCUCUUGGCAUCCGGGUUCAUUAUUGAGGUAUUUCAUCCAGAGUGGUUAGCUAACCCGGUGCUAGUGCUCAAGAAGAACGGCACUUGGCGUAUGUGUGUGGAUUGAUCAAAUCAUUGAUGCUAUGGCGGGAUGUGUGUGGUCCGACUGAUCCCUUUGCUCUCCCUUUGCUCUCCCACGUAUUGAUCAAAUCAUUGAUGCUAUGGCGGGAUGUGAGGUCUGAGUUUUUUGGAUGCUUAUUCUCGAUAUCAUCAGAUCAAGAUGGCGGUUAAGGACCAGGAAAAGACGGCGUUCAUUACUCCCUUUGGAGCCUUCUGCUAUGUUUCUAUGCCUUUUGGGCUCAAGAGUGACUAGGCGACUUAUCUGCGUUGUGUGCAGAAUUGCCUUCAUACUCAGAUUGGCCGUAAUGUGCAUGCUUAUGUGGAUGAUAUUGUGGUGAAGUCCAGAAAGAAGGAAACACUGAUAGAUGAUCUCAAGGAGACCUUUGAUAACAUCCGGGUCUACAAUAUGAUGUUUAACCCAGCAAAGUGCGUCUUUCGUGUGCCCGCAGGCAAACUCUUGGGAUUUCUGCUUUUUAACAGAUGCACUGAGGCUAACCCGAAGAAGAUCAAGGCUAUCACCUCUUUGGCAAAACCCAAGUAUAUCAAUGAUGUUCAGCGUUUGGCGGGUCGCAUUGCUGCUUUAAGCCGGUUUAUAAGACGGUUAGGUGAGAAGGCCAUACCGCUGUAUCAGAUGUUGAAGAAGACAGACGACUUUGUCUGGAGUGAUGCUGCUAACGUUGCCUUUGAGGAUUUGAAGAGGCAACUGGCUGAGCCGCCGGUCCUUGCUGCUCCCAUUGAUAAGGAGUCAUUGCUGUUAUAUGUGGAUGCUAACGCAUGUGUUGCCAGUGUGGCCUUUGUGGUGGAGUGCAAGGAGACUGGUAAGGAAUAUCCAGUUCAACGGUCGGUUUACUACAUCAAUGAGGUUCUUAUUGAGUCCAAACAGAGGUAUCCACAUUGACAGAAGCUUGUUUAUGGAGUGUUCAUGGCCAACCGAAAGCUUAAGCAGUAUUUCCUGGGUCAUCCCAUCACUGUGGUCAGUUCUGCUCCUUUGAGAGAUAUCAUCUAGAACAGAGAGGCUACAGGACGAGUCGCCAAGUGGGCUAUCGAGCUUGCGCCUCAUGGUUUAAAAUAUGUACCUCGUACUGCUAUCAAGUCUCAAGCACUAGUGGAUUUCAUCAAUGAUUGGACAGAGUUGCAGGCGCCUGAAGAGAAGCCGGAUAACACAUACUGAACUAUUCACUUCGAUGGAUCCAGGCAAUUGGAAGGCUCAGGGGCUGGAGUUCUUUUGGCUUCCCCUCGAGGUGAUAAAUUUUUUUAUGUCCUAAGAUUGAUGUUUUCCUGUACUAACAAUGCAGCUGAGUAUGAGGCCUUUCUCCAUGGUCUUCAGAUGGCAAAGGAGAUGAACUUAAGCCAGGUAAGGUGCUUCGGCGACUCAGAUUUGGUAGCUCAAAAAGUCUCAGGCAAGUGGGAUUCCAAAGACCCUCUCAUGGCGGCUUAUCGCCGUGGUUAUCAAGUGGAACACAUCGAUCGCAGGAAGAAUGAGGCGGCUGAUGCUUUAAGACGGCUUGGAUCUCAGCGUAAACCGGUACCCCCGAACACUUUCUUGAAUGUUUUGCAUAAUCCUUCUAGAUUAUGCAAAAAUGACUUAAUAUCACACAUGUUUCAGAUUUAAUGAAAAUAUGCGCCUAUGCUAUCACAAUAAAAGGAGCAGAAAUAAAAAGCAACCCUUAGGGAACCGCUACAACUAUAUACAUUUGGUACAAAUAAUACAGUCCAUUUAAACGAGAAAAAUUUAUUCCAGCAUAUAUCAUAGAAGGGCAAGCACACUCCCUUAAGUUAAUUCAGAACCUCAUCAAGUUGUGACUAUAUUCAUUUUGUAUCUAAGUAGUAGUAGUGAGUACUGAUGCGUUUUUUGGGCCACGACGACAGGUGAGGACGACAUCUACGCAGCAAGUUGGGCCUUUGAGAUUCAUAUAUUUAAUGUAGUGAUUUAUGAAUAUACGUUAGAUACUAAUCGAGAGCUUAGAGAAGACGGCCCUACUAAACAAAGUUAUUUGGUUUGUGCUUUCAGGGAUCGUUGAAACAUACAGAAUGUUGAGGAUUCUGUGCAAGUAGGUGUCAGUUCCAUCGUGGAUUGCUAUGCUAUGUUCUUCUGUGGAGAAUAGAGUGGCGAGGUGUUAAUCCAUCUGAUGAUCACAUGGAUUUGUUGAGUAGAUGGUCCUGUGACUUGCUGAAGUUUAGAUUUCGUGUGUGUUCUAUCUAUUUGAUGUGUCAGUCUUGUUAAUUUGCAAACUUGUAUGGGACCCCAGUUUCGUUGGGCGCUAAGAGAUAUGGGCUUCUGUAGUUUGAUCAACUUGAUAAUGGUGUUUUGAACUUUUAUUUCUAAGUAUCAAUAGUUCACUGAGUUCUUGAAUGGCCAUCUCAGUUAUUAUGACAGUGAUGUCUCUUCUGGUCAAUGCAUCUAUCCCAGUUAUCAUUGAAUAGGGCAUCAGGAAGCAAACCGAGUUCAUCAUCCUGGACAGUCCUCACGCCACUGCCACUGUUAUGUCAGAUUGCAAAGUUUAUUUUUGAUAUAGAUGUAUCAACUGCUUGUCUGCUUUUCUCGGUGUAUGUGAUUGGGCUCUGCUUUUUUAGUAGUAGUGUGGGAGCAAAUUAACAUGCUAGUUUGCUCUGGUUUGACUAAUUAAAAUUGAUGCUAGACUACUACUAUCGAUCACUUACAGAGAGGCUAGUUAAUUCGCUGAUAGAUGCACUUGAGAAGCAAGGUGAAACAACGAGGGAUCCGGCUUGCCUGCUCCCUCCCCAUGUUCCCAUCCGUGCUCCCACUUCAUCUUACGGUGGUAUUUUUUUCUUUUUCCUUUCUAAUCUAAUCAUCUCCCCCUCCUGAUUUUAAGGGAGUGGGGCCGGGCCUUAUUUUGCUCCAAUCAAAUCAUGCCACAUAUGCAAGAGCACGGAUGGGCACACACACGGGGAGCAGGCAAGUCUCGUCCAACAACGAGAUGCAUGUCGUGAGAAGAAAAGCUGUUGUAAUGUGGGAGCCAUUGCAUUGAUGGUUUUUUUUCUUAGUUUAGGCAAUUAGCUAGAAUAACUACUAUGCUCUCUUUUUUUGUGUAGGAAAAAAACUAGUAUUUUCUUAGUAAUAUGUAAUAUGUACUCUGGAUCAGCAGCAACAAAAUUAUACUGUAUUUGAUAUGUGUUCUAGAUCAAGUUUUGAAUUAAAUAUGUUAUAAAAAAUAUAUAUGUCCAAAAUGAAAUGUGUAAAUACUAAAAAAGAGUGAGUGAUUGAGUUUUGACAGAUCCGCUGGAUGAAGAGAAGUUUAAUCCCCAGACAGUAGCUUUUUCAGGCAUAAGAGAUUACGAUUUGAGAUUGUAGGACGGGGGUGUCUGCUAGAGAUCCCUUUAGCCAGUAAGUAGUUGUUGUAAAUAAGUGUGCCCCAUUUUGUGCAUUAUGUAUGAAUGAUUGGGGGUCAAAAUCUGCAUGGUAUGGUAUAGUUUUGGUUGCGAGCGUAUAUCUUUUAGUGAACCCUGAAGAAGAAUUCUUGUGUUCUCCAGGACUAACUAGCAGCAUAAGAUGGCUUAAGUUGUCUUUAUCUGAGCCUUAAAUCGAUGAUAAUGUGGGUCCUUUUCUAACAUUCACCUUACAAGAUUUUUUUUCUUCUGAUAAUAAUGCGCGGCAUUGGCUGGCAUGUCGCACGCCAGUAGGGGCCCCUUCCAGCCAAAGGGCGUCUGAAGCAGAGCGCGACUGAGCGUGUGCUUGCCGCUGUGAAAGACUUGUUUGCAUCAUGACAUGCCUCCGGUAAACAGAGGACACGGAGCUUCAGUUUUUUUUUAAAACCUUUUUUUUUCAAUUGGCGUUGACAGGCGUCUCCGAAUCGUAUAAUACUGUCAGAUUCAGACCUAACAAACAAAUUCGAGCGUAUCUCUUGGCUCAAAGAUGACUGCGUCAGGAUGCGCUACUCAUCCACGGACAGUGCAACUUUCCUCGCUCUCAUUCCUGAUCGAGCUCAGACAACAAAUGCUAAGAUUCCGUGGAUUUCAUCAAGGACCCACACACACUAGCAGUUCUACUCCGAAGCUAAAGCUAUGCUAAUUUAGUUGCCUCAAGAAAACUCGAACAACCAAUUUAUGUUCAGGUUCAAAUCCAGUGUUAAAAUAUUUUUGAUGAACACUAGUAGUUUUACCAAGUUAAUUGUGUCACCUUCUCUUCUACUGAUUCGAGUAUUUACAUCGCUCCAAAGUUCCAAACUGAAUAAAAAGGUAACCUCGCUUCUCUAGUUGCCUGCUAGGUGUGUUUUUAGGCACUUUUCCUGUAUGCAUAUGAGAUAUUAUAGAGAUACAGCAUGGUUUAUUUUCGCAUAUGCAGGUAAGAACCAGUGGCGAUCUUUUUGGCGAUCGAUGGUCAUUAUUGGGUUUGGAGCUCUGAAACUAAGCCUAGGAAACGUUAUCCUAAUGUUUGAGCAUCAAUCAGUUUGACUUUAGUUCCAGCUGCCAAGCCAGAGUUGGUUUGGCGUUCCAACCGGCCCAGUUCCAACAAUACAAUUAGGACUGGACGUCUGAGCGAGCUUUUUGGCUCGGCCCGAAGCUCGCUCCAGCUCAGCCCGUUACAGCUCGGCCCGAUACAAUAAACAAGCAAGCCCAGUUGUGAAAAGAGGCCCGAUUCCCGACCUAGCCGAGCCGAGUUUUGCCCGGUUCAACUCGGUGACUCACUCGAGGCCCAGCCCAGUUCCCAUCGGCCACUCUGGCAUUAGGGCACGAGCCCCUCCCUUCCUCCGUUCGGCGCUAUCUCAUCCCUCACCUCACCGCGCCGCAAAAAGUGGACCGAUAGCGACGGGGCGGCGCCUUUCCUCACCACACCGAACGCCGGCGGAUGCGCCUCCCCUGGUUCCUUGCCGAACCCGACGAGCAGGUACUCUCCUUUCUUCCCAUCCCUAUGGCUGGGCGCGCACACGCUCGGCACUCUCGCGCUCCCCUGCACAAGCGCACCGACGGCAAAUGACAUACAUGCUCCCCUGCAUGUAGGAGUCCUACCUACAUGGCUGCACUGCACCUGCGUACACGCGAUGGAGGGAUGGAUGGCUGAAUGCUUCUGUUUGAUUGUGUAGAGUGUAGCCGUCGUCGUCCUCACCAUGCCGGAUGCCAUCGUCGUCCUCGCCACGCCCGACACUGGACGGCGCUCUCAGCACCGAUUGCAGACGCGCCAUGUCAUCGCCGCGUCAGCCGCUGCCUUUCCUGGCUAGCCAAGCAUCCGCCGCCCCGACGAAUGCAAGCACAUACUACAGAGGCGUGUGACACACGAGCUGCCCGGGCUGGACCGAGCCAGAGGCAAAACGAGCCGAGCCACCAGAAACAGGCUCGUUCAACAAACGAGCCGAGCCGAGCUCGGCUCGCUUUAGGCGAGCCAAAGGCUGGCUCGGUCUGAACUUGGCUCGGCUCGGCUCGUGUCCAGCCCUAAAUACAAUGCACUUCAAGAUAACCGCUUUACUAUCUGGGUUUUGCCUUUGCUUGCGUCACCGAAGAUCCUUGCUGUUUUCACUCAUUCCGAAAUAUAAACUUCCGGAAGAAAUUCAACGCUGAAACUAAUAUACCUCGUCUUCUGUCAGAAGACACUGAAAUGUGCAUCUUCUUUCAAGAGUUGUUGACAAAUGAGCGCUGUGUAGCAACUAUGGCAGGUCCUCAAUAUUUCUGCACUGUGUACUACGUACUAGCUAUGGAAUGCAGCGUACUAGUAACAACAGAUUGCAAGUCACGGCAGCACAGAGAUGACAUGGGCGGAGGCAGAGCUAGACGCACCUAUGGUCUCCGUCCGUCGUCGUGGAGGUUGACGCCAUGGCUGCGCAGGAUGGCCCGGACAUUGGUGGUGCGUUUACCAUGGUCCUCGACCUUGUGCUCCUCCAAGUAUUCGAGGGAGAAGUGGUCGAUGCGUCUGCUCCUACCCAGAUUACUUACAUACACCAGUGCAUGGAUUUCAGAAUCGAAACCAAAAUCAGAUGUGCAAGAGAGGAGUGGGAGGGAGGAGGGGGCUUACCUGAAGGAGGAGGCUUUGCUGCGGACGAGGAGCGCUACGGGGUCACGCGCGACAUGGGCCGCCGAGAGCUCGCGCGGCGAGAGCCACCGCCGCCGGUGAAUGCGAGCAGGGGUCGCGAGUGAGCAAGGUGGCCGCCGAGUCCCAGGCCGUUGACGACGGCGCUAGCAGGGAGCGCCACGGCCGCCGCUGAACUGGUCGCUCGCUCGAUCUCCCUCUCGUCUUCUCUUCUCUUCUCGUCUCCUCUGAUGAGGGGAGGGGAGGGGAUGGGAGGGGAGGGGAGGGGACGGGGAGAGGCCGGCCGCGAGGUCCAGGGAGACGGGGAGUGGCCGGCGGCGGCGAAGUCCAGGAAGACGGGGAGUGCCCGGCGGCGGCAAUGUGGGAGGGAGCGGAGAGGUCGGGCAGGAACGAAUGAGUUGGGUGGGUGGGUGCGUGUGGGGAUCCAGUUGAUUUCGCUGGGCUAGGAGAGAUCUCCUCGCUGGCAGCUCAUUGGUCAACCCGGACCUGCCACGGACCCAUGCCCCUCCGCAUCAUAAUCUCAGCCGUUUAUCUAUACUAAUAAGACUAGCCACAAUGGAUAGUAACAUGGACUAGUAACAUGCCUAUGUUACUACUCUUUGUUACUACCUCUACAAUGAAAAGUAACAUAUGUAUGGUAACAUGCAACACCUCAUUUAUUAGGCUAUAGACUCAUCUUGCUUUGAUAUGUGUGAUGUUACUUAUCUUACUAGUAACUAGCUAUGUUACUACUUCGCUCUCUUUCUUCAUUUAUUGCUUGCCACAUCAUCUAUUUUAUCUAGAUAUGUGUGAUGUUACUACCUAUGUUACUUCCAUUGUGGGUAGUCUAAGUAUGCAAGUGCAACGCACGUCUCGACUUACGAUCAUUAUGUGAAAAUUUAUUUGUGUAUAUAAAUGGGUAAUCUGAUAGUAGUAAUAAAGAACUAUUUCAAAUGAAUUGAUGUGUUUGUAAGAUUCAUUUUUCACCUAAAAAGUUAUUGCAUUCUUAUUUGAAACCAUCAGUAGCCUUCUUAUUUCUAUGAAUUUUGAAGAACAUAUUUAGGUACUUAUGUACAAACACUAUUUAAACAUUCUUGUACGAAAAUGAUAUAUAGAUCCAGAACGUUCAAUUUUUUAGUUAGGAAUGUUAUGUGUAGAUUAGGUUGAGUGCGUUUAGCGAUGUAUACGUUUGUUUGUUUAAUAGUAGUAGAGAUCGGACGGUAUGCUUCUUUUUUUGGUGUAUUGGGCAUACGGAACGGUUUGAGGAGAUGACCAAAUCAAAUGGGGUGGGUAGAGAGGCUGGAUUUAAUAGGGUAGACUUCUUCUGAUUAAUUAGCGGGUCUCGAUGAAAAUGCUAACAUGAAUUAUUUUCUCACAAGUCCUACUUUCCAUAAUCUUCUUUAUGUUCUGACGCCUUUCAACCAACUCUGUUGACUGCCACAGAUCCAUGGAGUAGGGGAACAACCGCUCUGAAGAAAUAUCUAUAUUUAAACAGAAUCAACAAAAAAAAACAUGUGCGGCUUUGAAUUAAAAAUUGUGCGCGUACAAAUUUUUUUGGGCCCGUUGCGGACAAUUAUCUAGUAAUAUAAAAUAUCAACUGAGAGGUCGAGUAAUGUACCCAAAAAAUUCAUGUAACUUGUACUCAAAAUAUAGGCGAACAUAUUUAUCAUGCUGAGCACUUGUGUUGGUAUCAUUUCUUAGCUAGAAAAAAAAUCAAAAUUUGCCAAUCGAGCAUGAUCCAUGUCAUUCUAGUUAAGAUAUAAUCCAAACUUGCCAAUCAAUUAGUUUUUUUUAUCAGAUCAUGUAGCUCAAUGCACACGUGAAGUAAUGAACAAAGAUUUACAAUCAAAUCUUGUCAGACAGAAUGGACGCACCCUAAUACAAUUCACGCAAGCAUUAACAAGACAAACUCUUCUCUUUUCAUCAACAUCUUCACCUCCCCCGACUAUAGUCAACAUCAGUUUAUUCAGUGACCAUGAGCCGAUAUAUUUUGACAAAAAAAAACAUAGAACCAAAUUUAAUGGAACUGUAUAUAUUUUAUAUACAACAUGGGCAAGUUUAGUGAACACUGUUAAGAAAAAACUUGCUGCCAAUUACAGAUUGUUCAGACACAAGAGCAGAACAUCUAGUCUUCGCCUUCGAUGGCAACACACCUUUGAGAAUGGGUUGAAAGGGGGGGGACAUUAAAUCAAAAAAUAUAUAUGUUGAUCCUUGUAACCAUAAUAAUUCAACAAAAGUAGAAUCAGCUACAUCUGCUUUGUUUAUGAUAUGGAACCUAAUCAGUUUCAAGGUUUGAUCAUAUGCAAAGCAAGCUGUUUGCCAGUUUCAGUUAAAAAGACAAAAUAAAAUGAAGUUUCAGUAGGCUCCCUCACUUGUUGAUGAAAUACAUUGACCAGAAAACAGUGACGUAAAAGUGCUUGCGACAUUAUGCUUCUUGCCAUCAUUAUAGUACUUGUUCUUUGGGACAAAAUAGCAGUAUCAUCAGAUGAAACAAUUAUCGUCAAUAAAUGAAAUACAUGGGUUAAUAUGAAUUCGAAGCUCAAAACUUCCACCAACCGAAGCAGUGUGCUCAGCUACAUCUGAUGUUGUGUUUUGAAAAGCAAUCAUGUAAUCCAUGGCUCUAUCCUUACUUAAAAGUAAUCUUAGUUUUCUGGCCAGUUUACCUCGAACUAUGUAAGUAUUUCUUAGAACUGAUCAUAUGAGACAUGCAUUCUAUUCUAUGCAAAAUAAAUAAAUGCAGACACCAUGCCGCACUGUCCUCAAAACCCAUUUUGCUAAUCUGCUACCUCUAUGGUUGUGAUCAGCGGAUAAACAUUGUACAGAACUACAAAAGCACAAAUAGUCAAACAAGUAUGAUUACUACUGUCAUGGUCAUACAUAAAGUACAUGGUUAGAGAACUGAAGUUGUACCUUGCUGCAUCUUGAAGUGCAGUUUGGAUCAUUUUCACGGGGUCAAUGAUACCAUCAUUGAUCAUAUGAACAUACUUCUCUACAGUAACCAAAACGCAAGAGUUAACUACGGAACCUCUAAAGAUUAUAAUGCUGUUGGAGAAAUAUGAAACAAGACAUUUGUAAUGCACUUCAAAAUGAACAGCCAAAACAUGGUUAAAAUGCACAGACCUAUUGUUGCAUCAGAGCCCAAACUAAGAUUGUCUUGUGCCAAGCUUCCCAAUAAAUACGGUGAUCAGGGGAGCCUGCAGAAAAUCAGGAACAAUUAAUAUAUGUAUUAAUAGACCUGAGACAUUAAUGGGAGAGCACAUACAACAUUUAAUCAGGAUGCAAACAAAGUUAUAAGAAAGAAGUGGAGAAAUAUCUUUAAGAUGCUAAAGGAAAAUCUGAUUACGUAGAACAGAGAAUACAUAAUAGGAAAAUGACCACAAUUCACUCUCCUGCAAUGUAACAAUAGUGCAUACACAUCUAUUCCUCCCAAAUCAUUUCAGAAACUAAUGACCAGUCCAAAAAGACAUACAAAUUAUCAUAAAGUCAUCACCAGACUGGCAAUCAGAUAGAAGGGAGAAAUGAAUUGGUCAUGCAGCAGACCCUCAGUGGAGAAAAGAAUAUGCAACACACUGGGAUAUGAUUAUGCUGAAAACAAAACAUAAAGGAGAGGUAGUGCUAUCAAGAAUCAUUCUGUGGCGGAGCUAGUUUGAAAAAAAGUGAUGACCAAGGAAGAUUACGUACCCAGCAUUGUACCUUCCCGAUUCCCUAUGAUGAGCGUUACAUCGUACUCCUCUGUCGAGCUGCUCAUUGUUGUGCUGCUUGUUGUCAUCUACCUGUGCCUGGCCAUGAUGAAGCACUUUUACAGGCACGCGUGCUUGGAUGGCGUCUCUAGACAAUCGGCCAGUAGCACAACAGGAUGAUGUGAGGAGGAUGCCGGGAUUACGACCGAAGAAAAAAGUAUCACUGCACCACCAAGAAAAUUAGAAAUUUCACAGAAAAAGGCCAUCAGGCAGACAACAAAGUAGACCUAAACAUAUUUUGAUUAUAAAUAAUGGAGUUUGAGUAGCAUUAACAUAUAGUGGAGUACUUAAAUGUUUUGAAUUGUAGUUAAAUAAAUAGCAAACCUUUCCACUUAUAGUCAAGGUGAAAAUGUACGGAUACAAAUAGGUGAAUUCCUAGAAUGUUGCGCAGAAAUUCUCCUUUGGGAAGGCUAACAAUUUUUAUGUUGCUUCACUUUUAGCUUGUGUCACAAUGACAGGUGGGCUGGUCGAGUAUGUGAUGGUCUUCCUAGAAUCCCAGUCAUCAAGAAAAUCUGAAUGUUCAUCCUGUCGUUUAAUAUAUAACUUACAAUCUACGUCAGCGAAACUAUCAACAAAAUAGAAGGACUUUAACCUGCAGCAUCCCAUGUGCAUCCAUGCUGCAGCGCCUUCCUCUAAGCCUCUGCUGCUGCAUGAGAUGAAAAAGAGUUAUUUAGAGGGUCAUACACACACCAGAAAUCCUGAAAGCAAAAUUAUCUUUCCAUCCAGCAAUCCUUUCAAGGGAACAUGAGAAGCACAACAUCGGAUGCAGUCGAUCCAUACAUACAAUUUCUGAAUUAAUGUGAACAUACAGCAGAACCUUACAGAAAUCUACAAUUUCAUAGAAGCAUGUUAACCAAACACAACAAGGAGGUAAAAGGGAGGCGUCCGAUCUGGGUGUUGACCCAAAAGUUGCGGAAGGCGUCGGCGACCUCUGGCCGGGAACGGCGGGGCUGUGGCUUGGAUAUGCGGUGGCGCUGCGCUCGUGCGGGGGUGUGGCGGCAGGGUUGCCGCUCGGUGAUGCGGCUGCAGGGCACUCGCGCAUGUUGUUGCCGAUUAGCCGAUCAAACGAAGAACGCUGAGCUCAAGAACGCACGCAACACACACGAGAGAGGAAAGCCUUUUUGCCGCAGCUAACGACGCCACAUUUUCUGUUUCAUUCCUUUUCUCUUAUCUAUUUACAACUGACUCGUCUACCCUCCCGGUCUGGCCGCUAUGAUCCGCGUUGAUCGCGCCAUCCCACGAUCGCGUCCACAGCGAGAGCCAAAAACGACCAGGAGGGAGAAAACAGAAACAAAAGAAACGGGAGGGCUCGCUACGUGCGCCUCCCCUAGCUACGUGCAUGCUCGGGUCACAUCCGACCCAGCAGGCUUAUUUAUUUUAAACGGAAAAACAAACUAACCUAUCCGACGUGAGCUUACAGCAGGGCUAACAUUUCUCCCCCCUAAGCUCAACGUCGUUUUCCGAUCUCCUUGACUCCAAGUCUCUGACGCUGCUCGAUGAACUUCACACGCCCAAGUGCUUUUGUCAAUGGAUCGGCCACCUGGUCGUCAGAUCCCACAUGAUCAAGCUGCACCUCUCCAUGUUCAACACAAUCUCGGAUGAAAUGGAACUUGACAUCGAUAUGUUUGCUUCGAUCAUGAUGAACGGGAUUCUUUGCCAGUGCUAUUGCAGAUUUAUUAUCAAUCAAGAGUCUGAAUGCACCAGCUUUUUCUCCCUUCAUUUCAGCGAGCAGACGAUUCAGCCAUAGGCCCUGGCAAGUAGCAGACGCCGCAGCCUCGUACUCUGCCUCACAGGAGCUGAUUGCCACAAUCUUUUGCUUUUGGGAAGACCAUGUAACUGGAUUGCUGCCAAGGAAGAAAAUCUGACCAGAUGUGCUCUUACGAUCCUCAACGUUGCCGGCAUGGUCACUGUCACUAUAGCCCAGCAGCUCACUUUUCCCUGAACCACGCCCAUAGCAGCAUCCAUAGCUCAAAGUACUGCGCACGUACCUAAGUAUCUGCUUCACGGCUGUCCAGUGAGUGACUGUAGGCCUUUCCAUGUAUCUGCUCACUAUUCCAACUGCAUGAGUGAUGUCCGGUCUUGAGUGCACCAGGUACCUUAGGCUACCAAUUAUGCUGCGGUACAGAGAAGGGUCGACAGGUUUUGCAUCGUCAUUCUUCCUCAGUUUGAGCCGACACUCCAUGGGUGUCUGACAUCCAUGGCAGCCAUCCAUUCCAGCAGCUUCAAGAAUUUUCUCUGCAUAGCUCCUCUGACAAAGGGUUAUAGAAUCAUUGGACUGAGUUACCUCGAUGCCCAGAUAGUAGCUCAAGAGACCGAGAUCACUCAUUUUGAACAGCUCUUGCAUUUGAAUUUUGAACUUGUCGAUGGAAGUCUUGCUGGUGCCGGUGAUGAUGAGGUCGUCAACAUACACACCUACUAGCAAAAAUGAGUGUGCAUCACCACGGCGGAGCUGCGCAUGAACCCCAACGUGCUCAUGGUCUCAUCCAGCUUCGCGUACCAGGCCCUCGGAGCUUGCCGCAGCCCGUAGAGCGCCUUCCGAAGCCGAAGAACCUGCUGCUCCUUGCCGGUGGUGACGUACCCCGGUGGCUGCGCCACGUACACUUCCUCGGCGAGGUCAUCAUUGAGAAAGGCGGAUUUUACAUCCAUAUGGUGCACCUCCCAGCCGGAGUGUGCGGCGAGCGUGAGAAGCAGCCGCACGGUCUCCAUCCGUGCCACUGGCGCAAAAACUUCCUCAAAGUCCACGCCUUCACACUGCACAUAACCUUUCGCCACCAGACGCGCCUUGUACUUGACGAUGUUGCCGUCAGGAUCGCGCUUGACGCGGUACACUCACUUCAAGCCAAUGGCUUUGUGGCCGGCCGGCAAGUGGGCGAGCUCCUAGGUGCUGUUCUCGCCUAUGGAGUCCAUCUCCGCAUCCAUUGUCGCCUUCCAGGCUCUGUCGCUUAGCGCCUCAGUGAUGUCGCGCGGCUCCUCUGCCGUGAGCAAGCAUUGGUCGUGCUCCUCCCAUACAGCCUCAUGUUCUGUCUCGUCGAGAACAUCGGAGAGGCGCCGGUACCGUAUAGGCCCGGAGUCAACGUCGCGCCCAUCAUCAUGUGUGGGCGGCGUGGCCCAACGCAUCUCCCUCGCCGCAGCCGGCGUGCAAGGCUCGGUCUGCGACGUGCCGGGCGCCGAUGCGGCCGGCGUGUCGGCGGAGUUCAGCGGCGACCCCAAUGGUGGCGUAGAGGGUGGUGGUGCCGCGCUCCUUGGUGCAGGCGUAGGCGAGCAGCCCGUGUCCAGCUCGUGCACACCAAGGUCAUUUGCAUAGACCACAGUGAACAUCGUCGGUGCGGGCGCCGUGACCGCGCCCUGUGCAUUCCAAGUCCAUGGCCUGCUCUCCUCAAAUAAAACAUCACGUGUGACUUGUACCUUUUGUGUAGCCGGAUUGUACACACGAUAGCCCUUGGUUCCUUCCUCGUAGCCUACGAAGAUCAUUGGGGUUGAUCGAUCCGAGAGCUUCGUCACUCCAGGGCCAAGCUUUUUGACAUGUGCCACACACCCAAACACACGUAGGUGCAGCACGCUUGGCUUGUGGCCGUGCCAAGCCUUGCGUCACCCCGUCCAAGCUGCGCGUGGGAGCUCUGUUGAGCAGGUACACCGCGGUCUUCACUGCUUCAGCCCAGAAAUAUGACGGCACGGCCAUGCUUUUGAGCAGGCAACGCGCCAUCUCGACGAUGGUCUGAUUCCGGCGUUCAACCACUCCGUUCUGCUGAGGGGAGGGUGGUCGUGUAGUGUUUGAUGCCCAGCUGCUCGCAGUAUUCUCUGAACUCAAUGGAGUUGAACUCACCGCCCCGGUCAGACCGGAAUGCGCGAAGCCUGCAUUUCCCCUCGUUCUCAGCCAUUGCCUGCACUUUCUUGAAGUUCUGAUGAGCUUCAUCCUUGGAUUUCAGCAACUCCAAUCACAUGUAUCGACUGUAAUCGUCAACUAUCAGCAAGAAAUACUUACUGCCACCCGGUGUGGUUGGUGUGAUUGGCCCACACAAGUCUGUAUGAACAAGCUCAAGGCCUUUCUCUGCUCUGUAUCCGGCCACUUGAGGAAAAGGGGCACGGUGCUGUUUGCCCAAUGCACAACCAUCACAGUACUCCUCGACGCGGUCAGUGACUGGCAUCCCGCGUACCAUUUCCUUCGAAGACAUGGCUCGCAAAGCUCUGAAGUGCAGGUGUCCCAUCCUCGCAUGCCAGCGCCAGGUGACAUCUUCGGUCUUGGUGAGGAGACAGGCUAGGGCGUCAAUGCUCAGUACGCCCGUGUACAAUCUGCUCGUCGCACUACACCAUGACAAAAACUUUGGGGUCACCAUAUCUGCCGGGAAAACUAGCCAAUGGAGGCAGAAUAUCCGCCGGGAAUGAUUUUUGCCGGCAUUUACAGACUGCCCUAGAAAGUCUCAUCGGGAAAGACAAUUCCUGGCAGUUACAAGAAUGCCCGGCAGUUACUCUGACCCACAUGUUAGAAUCUUUACCGGCAGAUAGAACUAUUCCCGGCAUAUAGUUCUUUCCCAGCAGUGUUAUAAUUCAGGGCAGAUAGAAGUAGUUCCCGGCAGUUAUCCCGCCCUUAAUUGUGUACGCUGCUAGCACACAGACCCCCUUCCCAUUCAAAAGCUAAAAUUUAUCUUCACUCCAUUUUGUGCCAUUAGUAUAUAUGUGACACGCAUGCAUAGUAAUUAAAGUUGCAUCACUUAGGCAUAAUAUAUAUGUAUAUCUCAAGGAUCCAUCAUGGUUACAAGCAUAUGUAGGUUCACAAGCCCAGUAUUACAGCACAACAUCCUUCAUGUAAUUCACUAUUCCCAUGCGCACAGAGGCAUACAUAUGUAGGUCAAUAGGUCCAAUAUUGCAUAAUAGAGAAAAGCGCAAAAUACAACAUCUGGUUUCAGCUACAAACAGAUCCCAGCAGAAGAUCCUUCCAGCUCACAAAACACAACUAUUUAAAGUUGUGGAUGCAAGAGAAUUACACCGGUGACCUAUAAAAAAAGAAGCGGCCAAUUAGAUAAGCUGGGAAGAACACAUGUUUCAGAAAUCCACUGCACAACUACUUGCAAGCAAGAGCAGAUCAGAAUUCCACAAGGCACACCCAUAAUGUCUGUUAUGUACUCAUAAGAAUAGAUAAGGCACAUGGUGAUCAUAGUUAAGGUUCUCACUUUGCAAAUCAUCACCAACUUACUUGGAUCAAGGUUUACUUUUCCAAUUUAAUAGAAUAUAAUGAUUAACUUGGAAGUUGCUAUGUUUGUUAUUAGCAAAGAUGGAAAAGCUAUAAUUAUUUUUCAAUAGAAUGGCCCUUGUGAUUAGAAGAAGAAAUUGUAAUUUUAGAUGAACUAAAUAUGGAUCCAUGGUAAUCUAUCUUGAUUGAAAAUUACAAGCUCAGGUAGGCUCUAUUCAGACAGUGUGAGAAUGGCUCUCAGAGAACAAAAAGAAAGAAGAGCGUUGGCCCUAGUCUCUGCUAGCAUUCAUCCCAAACAACCAGGAAAAGUGAGGUCUAAUUUUUUUUCAAUAGCUAGUUCAUUGUACACUUUGUCUAGAUGAUAAUGAAAACAGAAUUAGCAAGAAUUCUAGAAUCUGCAAUACCUUCUAGAUGUGGGGACUGCUACCGGCUGUGAUGGUUGCUUCUGCGUAACUUCACAAACAAACUCCAGAACGAGUGAAGCAAAUGGUUUCACAAGGUGAGUAGACCAGCCUUGUAGCAACGUUGCCAACCUGAAGAGGAAAUAAGUCAAUUAACACGUACUCCCUCCAUUCCUAAAUAUUUGUCUUUUUAGAGAUUUCAACAAGUGACUACAUACGGAGUAAAAUGAGUGAAUCUACACUUUAAAAUAUGUCUAUAUACAUCCAUAUGUGGUAGUCCAUUUGAAAUCUCUAAAAAGACAAAUAUUUAGGAACGGAGGGAGUACAUGUAUUGCAGAGGAUUCAUGCAAGAGAGUUCAUGCAGAAAAAAACAAGUGCACCCCAUUUAGGAAAAAUGAAAAGAAGGACAUGCAGAAAAAAAAGUCAAAAUGAAAAAACAAAGGGAAACAGUACUUUUAGUUUGUAUUUCACUUUCCAAGUUAGUUAAGGAGUAAAUCUGGGCCAUUAAAUAUGAUUUAGGGAAGUGAAAACAGUAGAGUACUAGAAGUGCAUGCGAGCACUAUUUAAAGGGUCUAGCUUGCCAUGUACCGGUGGUGUGUUCUUGUUUAGUCAAUUGAAAAAACAAAAAGUCAACAUUUUUUCAUUUGCCGAGCAAAAUUAUCAAACGCACUACACAAGCUUGCAUGAAACUGCAAACAAACAGGUCAUUUUACUAUAUCACCAAGCAGACCAUAAGAAUGGCAGCUCAAACAAGUACAUGUUUUACAAACAAAGUGGUUAUUCUAUAUUAGAACAAUUGUCGGUCAGUGAUUAAGAAAUACAUGUUCGCUCAACCUAAAAGCUGAAGAGCUGAUGUCCAAAUGUGAGUACGUGACUAACUAGACAACAAAUUUUGCUAGCUGAAACUGAACAAGGAUAUGCUGUUUUGGUUUUAUCUGGGAUUUUUUGAACCAUCCAGCAACAGCCUGCCUAUGUAUGUACUAGCUGAAGGAGUAGUACUGUUGGGACUUCAGAGUACUCUAGUAGUAUUGGUUUUCGAGAGAUGUCUUUUUUGAAUGACAGCUGAUGUACACUAAAACUGGGUGUCUAAAGCAAGAAAGUUUCAGCUAGGUUUAGAAACAAUUUCUAGUUUUCACACUAACUAUUGUGAAUAAGAAAAUUCAAAACUUUAGAUUUGUGGUACUGAAGCUUAGGCAAUUAGCAAGUUGCAUAGCUAACAGGCUUAGCGUUUGAAGAUGAGCCCUCGUGUCGUCCUAGGCAGGGACAAGGCUUAGUGUUCAUAGAUGAGCCUUCGCGUCGCCCUGGGCGAGGACGAGACUUAGUGUUUAUAGAUGAGCCCUCCCAUCGCACUGGGCAGGGACAACGCAAGUAGUGCGUUUUCUGUCUAGAGUACAGACGGAUGGUGAAUGGCAGCAAGCAACAAUAAAAACGAGUUUUAUUUUGUAUGCUCGAGGCACAAGAAUCAUUGGGCCUGGAAUGUGAAGCUACAGGAAGUUGCACAGCAGUACAACAAUCCAUCCAACCGAAAACUCCAUCCAGCACUAGCAGGACAACACAAUUUUCAACCCUUGCCUAAAUAUAACCAGCCAACACAAAUCAAUUUUUUUACAAACCUAAAUAAGGCCGUGAAAUCGUAAUUACAAACCGAAGCAACCUUUGACGUAUUCAAAACAUAGUCAAACGAUACCAUACAACGAUAGAACCAAAUUACGAGAUAUUCUAAAUAUAGUCAAACCAUUGGUCGAUAGCACACAACAAUAUAAACAAAUCAAGUCUUCAGUUAAGAUCAAGAAUCUCACCAAAAGAUGCAGUUGGCACUUGUUCAGUUACUGAUGGCUGCAGCUUGAUACCUUCUUCACUUGCCAACCAAGACCUUAAAACUUGUCUUUAAAGUUGAGUUUAUGCCGAUUAGCCUGCAAAGCAGGAAAACGUAAUAAGCAUUGAUGAAGAACAAUCAACAACACAUGUAAUAUUAAUAGAAUAUAUAAGUUAACAAUGUACAACAGUUUAUAUUUGAAUAAGUAAUUUUUCUACAGGCCAAAGCGUCAUGCAAAAGUAAACAUUGGCAAAACAUUACACCGAUAGUGUAUAUCACAUAAGUAUUUGUUCAACUAACAAGAACAGCAAGACAAACCUAACUUCUCUAGAUAAUCAUCAUAAGGUCACAAACCUUACUUGUGCAAGAUAUGACCAGGAAAUGGCAACCGAUAUACUGUACAUGAGAAGACAGUCAGUAUCAACAACAUAUAAAAUGGGCAAAGGUGGAAGCAUACACCAGCAGUAUUUAUGGCAUGAAAUGCUCUGUUGUAGAUGGAUUUAUAUUUAGCCCAGCAAGAAGUACCACAAACUAGUCUAAUGCAUCAUCCAGAUCAUUUAUGAAACUAAAUCAGAAGUACUACAUCAUAUACACUACAUAGCACCUGAUAGGCAUUAACUACGAAUCAUGUUUUGGGCAGUCAUGCAAAUUUUUCCUAGUGGAGGAAAGUUCAAGUUACAAGAAUCUAUUAGACUCAUAGCUCAUAGCCAAAUCUACUAUAUAUGUCGGCACAACAAGACAAUCUUUGCCUGUCCGCGCAAUAAGAACAUGGUUCAAAAAGCAUACCUGUAAAGACCAAGCACGAAUGGAGAACAAAGCUUAGUGGCAGCCUCUAUGUGCGAAUCUGAGAUUGUUGUUGUUGCUGCUGCUUCAGUUAACGAACAUGUGGCAGAGGACAAUCCUGGUAGCACGAACAGACAAUCAAUUAGAUCUUAAUCACGCUGUGCUGUAGUGCGAGGCAAAGCAGGUGACGGGGGUGGCGAGUGGGAUGGGGAGGUGUCGUUGUUGGGGAUCGGGACGGCGUUUAGGGUGAUAAGGAGGGGAUGGGACGGUGUCAUGGUCGGCGAAUGGGGCACCAACGCUGGAUUGGGGGAUACUGGUGCGGCAUGGACGAAGAUGGGGUGCCUGCUGGUUGGGGAAUGCGCGGCGGCGGCUCUGGGAGUGGGAUCCGGGUGUGGUGUGGAUGGGGAUGGGCAGCGGCGUGAGUCGGAGGUNNNNNNNNNNNNNNNNNNNNNNNNNNNNNNNNNNNNNNNNNNNNNNNNNNNNNNNNNNNNNNNNNNNNNNNNNNNNNNNNNNNNNNNNNNNNNNNNNNNNNNNNNNNNNNNNNNNNNNNNNNNNNNNNNNNNNNNNNNNNNNNNNNNNNNNNNNNNNNNNNNNNNNNNNNNNNNNNNNNNNNNNNNNNNNNNNNNNNNNNNNNNNNNNNNNNNNNNNNNNNNNNNNNNNNNNNNNNNNNNNNNNNNNNNNNNNNNNNNNNNNNNNNNNNNNNNNNNNNNNNNNNNNNNNNNNNNNNNNNNNNNNNNNNNNNNNNNNNNNNNNNNNNNNNNNNNNNNNNNNNNNNNNNNNNNNNNNNNNNNNNNNNNNNNNNNNNNNNNNNNNNNNNNNNNNNNNNNNNNNNNNNNNNNNNNNNNNNNNNNNNNNNNNNNNNNNNNNNNNNNNNNNNNNNNNNNNNNNNNNNNNNNNNNNNNNNNNNNNNNNNNNNNNNNNNNNNNNNNNNNNNNNNNNNNNNNNNNNNNNNNNNNNNNNNNNNNNNNNNNNNNNNUGGCGGCACGGCUGGGUGGAGGCAUGGAUGGAGGAUGCAGGGGCGUCGGGCGAUGGGUGGGUGACGAAGGGAAUGGAGGCGGCGGUGCCGAGCGGGGCGGGCAAGGAUGGGAGUGAGUCGGCGAGGGCGCUAGGGUUGGCGGAGUCGACGGCGAGAUGUAGUGCGGCGGCUGACAAGGGAGGGAGAGCGGCUGAGGAGAUAUGUUUUUUUUAGUCCAGCUGAGGGGAUAUGUGGAAUUGUGGAGAAGGGGGAAAUUAAGCCCGCGUGGCCGCGGUGGGCUUCGAGUGGCUUCUAAUUUCCAAUCUCCCGCGAGGCUCCUUUUCUUGGGCCUCAAAUUGUUCGUCCCCGCCAGCGUCCUAAAGGGCAGUGCAUUCGCCCUCAAAUGGAUUUCAGGGCAAUUGGGCUGACCCUAAAGAUGCCGGCAGAUGACCUGCCCUUCUAACACUACCAUUGCCGGCAGUUAUCAUGACCUACACAAUCUUUCUCGGCACAUACAGCUUCGCAGGCAGCUAAUUGCCCCUAAUUCCUAAUCAUCCCCGGCAGUUAAUUGCCCCUAAACUUUUAUCAUGGUGUAGUGUCGUCCGUUUGACGCGAGCUAGGAUGCGCCGGCCCGGAUCUUGGAUGGUCAUGAUCCCAUCUUCAAUCCCUAUCCUGCAUCCACCCUCAUCCAACUGCCCUACUGAGAUGAUAUUGCUGCGUAAGCUGGGAAUGUAAUAGACUUCAGAGAGAGCACGUUGAUCACCAUUCUGGCAGCGAAACACAACGGCGCCCCUGCCCUUGAUAGCCACCAGAGAGCCGUCUCCGAAUUUCACUGUGCCGUGUAAACCUUCAUCAAGUGUAGAAAACAUGUUCCUCUCCCCAGUCAUAUGGCUGGACGCCCCUGUAUCAUAGUACCAAAGGCCAUCGGGUGAAGGCAUGGGAAUUACUUUCUCCUCAUUCAAGAACACAGCUUGGGGCGCCACUAGCUCAGGUGUAGAGACGUUGGUGACCACGGCCAUGAGCAGGCCCUGAUCGUGUUCGUCGCGAUCUUCGCGGACGAGGUUAGCCUGUUCCUUCUUCCCUUGUUCCUUUUGCUUCUCCAGCCAUGACCAACAGUCCUUUUUCCAGUGUCUGACCUUGCCGCAAUAAUGGCAUUUGCCCUUCUUCUUGCCGCCGCCCGCGCCGCUGUUGCCGGACGCUGGCUUCCCGCCACCGCCGCCGCCCUUGGCUGACGACUUGCCUGGUAACUUGCCCUUUCCGCCGCUGCCGACCGACGAUGAUCCGCCACCGUACUUGUGCUCGCGAGCGGCCCACUCUUCGGAGGUGUACAUGAGCUGGCCGGUGGACUGCUUGGCGUCGUCGAGGUCAUAGUAAUCCUCGCAUGCAGAGAAACGUCCGACGAGUUCCUCAAUGGACAUGGUUUUCAGAUCGAUCAGGGAUUCGAUCGCCAUGGCCAUCGGGCGGUACUUCCGCGGCACCUCUCGGAGAAACUUUUGAACGGCCUUGUGCUCGGUGACGGGGUCACCGUAUAGCUCCAGAUCGGCGACGAGGGCAGCGAGACGCAGCCCGAAGUCCUCGACGGACUCCCCGUCUUUGAAGCGGAGAUCCUCGAACUCCCGCCGGCGCACUUGCGCCUUGGCCUCGCGGGCGCGCUCGCUGCCCAUCCGCAUGGUCUUGAUUGUCUCCCACGCCAUCUUCGCCGUGUCCUUCGCGGCCAGCACGCGCAGCAUCUCCGGCGGGACGCCGGUGAGGAUGAUCUGCAGCGCGCGCCGGUCGUCGUCCUCGUCGGCGGCGUCGUCGGUCACCGCAGUCCAGACGCGGGCGACCUGCAACUUAACUUGCAUCACCAGCACCCACUCCUGGUAGUUCGUGCGCGUGAGCAUCAUGGACGACCCCGACUCCUCUCGCACGAUGCGCUCCACAACGCGGUACUCGCCGCUGCCGCUGCCAGAGAGGCGCGCGAGUGGUGCCUUGGAUGAGGGCGUCUUCGACGGCGACCUCGUGCCGCCCUUGUUCUUCCCGUCCGACUCGUCCCCGGACAUGACCACGACGGAUCAAACACCGCCGCUGUGCCAAGGAUCAAACACCCGGGCUCUGAUGCCAAUUGUCGUUGCCGAUUAGCCGAUCGAACGAAGAACACUGAGCUCAAGAACGGACGCAACACACGCAGAGAGGAAAGCCUUUUUGCCACAGCUAACGACGCCACGUUUUCUGUUUCAUUCCUUUUCCCUUAUCUGUUUACAACUGACUCGUCUACCCUCCCGGUCUGGCCGCUAUGAUCCGCGUUGAUCGCGCCAUCCCACGAUCGCGUCCACAGCGAGAGCCAAAAACGACCAGGAGGGAGAAACACAGAAACAAAAGAACGGGAGGGCUCGCUAAGUGCGCCUCCCCUAGCUACGUGCAUGCUCGGGUCACAUCCGACCCAGCAGGCUUGUUUAUUUUAAACGGAAAAACAAACUAACCUAUCCGACGUGAGCUUACAGCAGGGCUAACAGCGCAGGGCUGCCAACAUGGGGCUAGCAGCAACAGCCUCUGCGUGCCACACUCGCAGCAGAGCUCCGCCUUCAGCACCGCUCGGCCUCCCUUCUCCUGCCCUCAACCGCACCACCUGCUCGUCCGCUGUGACCCUACAGCCGCUGCUCCUAUGUGCUGCACCUGUGCUGCUGCUCCCAGCCGCCGGCGCCGGCGCCCCCUUGAACACCUCUCAAUGGCGAAGACGAAAUCUGGUGAGGAGGGGGAGGAGGAUCACACCACUUGAGGUCUUGCGAUCGCAAACCGGAUUUACAUCGCCCGCUCGAGGAUGAGGGGAUCUGAUUGGGAUUUGUUUCCUCUUUUCGUGCGUGAUUGUUGGGAUCGCGGCCGCAGGUCGUACCGGGACAGCAGAGUUUUCGUCCGCACGAUAAAAUCGCUAAACGCACUUUUGGCUGACAGUUAGGGUAAUCUGGACGGUUAGAUGAAAUUAAAUGAGUCCGAUCGUGGGGCUAUAAUUAAUUAGGAAUGUUAUGUGUAGAUUAGGUUGAGUGCGUUUAGCGAUGUAUACGUUUGUUUAUUUAAUAGUAGUAGAGAUCGGACGGUAUGCUUCUAUUUUUAGUGUAUUGGGCAUAGGGAACGGUUGAGGAGAUGACCAAAUCAAAUGGGGUGGGUAGAGAGGCUGGAUUUAAUAGGGUAGACUUCUUCUGAUUAAUUAGCCGGUCUCGAUGAAAAUGCUAACACGAAUUUGUUUAGUGUGUUCUUCGUCCUCUUACUGGUUGAUGAUGUUAGCAUGACUGCAUCGGUUGCCCUUCUCUCCCUUUUUCUCUAGCCCGCUUAGCUUUUCAAGAUUUACACAUCCACGUGUUAAUUUGAAAAAACUAUCUUUGCACUAGCUUCUAUCUUUGGUAAAAAUUAAAAUAACGCUCCUCUCUAGCUGAUCUCAGUCGUCAUCCGCCCACAUCCAACGAGGAAGAGAGCGAGAUGGUUUGGGCCUCUUUUCAAUUUCAUUUGAAGGAACUCACCAUCUGGCAGCGGACCCAAAAAUUUCAGUCUUCCACGGACAUCCUGAGGAUUUAGGAGAACGAUAUUUGGAACGAGUAUGAUGAAGAAAUAACAUGGGAUCCUAUAAAAUUAUGAUUUACAAUGAACAUUUACAUUUAAAUUAUAAUAAGCCCGGCGAUGUGUCAUUUUCUAAUCAUAAGAAAAUCAAUUUCACAAAUGCGAGUGUGAUUUCUACCAUGGAGGAUAGUUAUGCACGCGGCCGUACGUAGCUAUUUCACUUUCUAAGUGUCCGGUUUUGCUUUGUAUCGUUGUCUACUCACUUCACUACCCCUAACCGGCACUUAGCUUUCAGGACUAAGUAUCCCGUGUCUCUUCAUCCCACUGUCCACUUCAUAUCAUUGUUGCAAAAGGUCCACUUGCUUGGUUUAGUGUCUGAAUUGCUAUGCAUCGUAAUCUAAUUCACCUAGUUGUCUCUAACAUUUCAUUUGCCCUGUUACGUGACCAGUGUUCCUUUGUGCCCCUAUUGCUUCUCUCCUCCAAACACUAGGAUACCAUUAUCAUGAAUAGACUGCAUCUAGAUGACUCAAAAAACAUGAACAGAGAGGGUUUAGGGAUUCUUUACUUGUCACGAAGGUCGAUAUGAUCACCUGCUCGGUGCAGGCGAGGUGGAUGCAGGGCCGGGCCUACAGUGGUGCAAGAAGUGCGGCCCGCACAGGGCCCAGAAAUCUGGGGGGCCCAAAUUUUUACAUAUACAUAUUAUUAAAAAAAUUUAUGCGUUUUGGGCUGCUGGGCGCUGGAGUGGGCUGGACUGCUGGAGUCGAAGCGAGGAGGGCAUCGGAGAGUAUCGAGCGAGCGACCGGCGCUAAACCGGAAUCGGGGAUCGAUCUCCUCCUCGUCCAGUCCUCCUACUCAUCGAUGUCUCGAUCGCUAGUCGCUACAUCCUACAGGAAAGGUCCUUUGAUGAUCCAAGGUGUUCACUUCGCCCUGUGUUGGAGUCUGACUCCUCGUCCCUGGAUCCGAUUGAUCCAAGGUGUGAUGGAGUCUGAUCCCUCGGUCAAAGGUAUUACGUCCUGGAGACUGGAGUCUGAUCCCUUGCCCCUCGGUCCCUGGAUCGAUCGGAUCACAGCACGACCGGCCGCUGCCGCCAUUGACUUCCUCCGCUCCUCCGUCCUCUUUCAAAUUUGGAUUGAUCGGUGACCGACUCUAGCCUCCAGGUGUUUAGCGAGUCCUUUUCGAUUAACUUCGGUUUCUCCUCAUAAUUCCUAUUUUUCUAAUUAAUUAACUAAUAACUAUUGGCAGGGAUCUUCACUUCGUUAGAGAUUGCUUCUUACUUCUCGGUUAAAGAUCACAGGACCCAGAAUUAGGUGAGUUAGACGCUUCGUCUAAAUGGAAAACAUUGAUGCAUGAUAUCCAAUUGAUAUAUGCUACUGUGUAACUUUAAUUUUAUUUUAUUCAUCUUCUUUAUCUUCUUAUAUAAGACAUUAUAUUAUAUACAUACANNNNNNNNNNNNNNNNNNNNNNNNNNNNNNNNNNNNNNNNNNNNNNNNNNNNNNNNNNNNNNNNNNNNNNNNNNNNNNNNNNNNNNNNNNNNNNNNNNNNNNNNNNNNNNNNNNNNNNNNNNNNNNNNNNNNNNNNNNNNNNNNNNNNNNNNNNNNNNNNNNNNNNNNNNNNNNNNNNNNNNNNNNNNNNNNNNNNNNNNNNNNNNNNNNNNNNNNNNNNNNNNNNNNNUUCAUUUUUUUGUAACAUAGGGCCCCAUAUUUUUAGUUUCGCACAGGGCCCCGGAUUUUGCCGGCCCGGCCCUGGGUGGAUGGAUGAUCUAUUCUAGUGGUAGCUAGUAGCCGAUCUCCUGGACGUCCCGAUCCCCUCAGUCCUCCACUGGCACUGUCCUGUGACGACGGCGAGUAGGCUAAGUCUUCCCGUUGCUGCCACGCACCAUUUGAUUGGAUAGGGUUUUGGAAUAUGGGGAGGAGAGUGAACCUGGCGUGAAUGAAUGAAUCGCGUAGGACAAGGCUCUCUCCCAUAUCCCUUUAUAUAGCGUUGUGUGCAACAAGGGGACCUAAACCAUAAGUUGGUUUGGGUGCCCCCGAUCAGGGUGGAUUAGUUGUGGUAUAGUUAGUUGGUUUGGUAUGUUCAUGCGUGUGCGUGUAGUUCGAUUCGACCAGAUGAACAUGAGAUAGUGAUUCGUUUUUAUUUUAGCAAAACUCAUUUUGUUUUGAUUGAUGAUUGAUUGAUUGCUCGUGAGGAGACACGCGCGUGACUACCUAGGCAUCUUGCCUCUGACGCGGCGCUACUCUGUGCUUGCUCGAUCGAGCGGCUAUGGCAGGGCCUCUAGGAUCGAGGAGGAGGAGGAGCAGGAGCGUGGCCACCGUCUAGGGCAUCGGCGUGAACACCUUGCAUGCAUGUCGAUCCGUCGUCAUCGCCGUGGCCGUCGCCGUCGCAGGCAGUUUACACCGAGCCCCUGUCCCCGCUGCACAGGCUCAGCUGUACCUGGUCCUAGCUCGGCUGUAAUGGCGCGCACGCGUAGCUAGGCGGUGCCGUGGUUGCCGGCUGCUCCUCGGUCUCUGGCGUAUGAGGACGUUGGAUGGAAUGUCGAUCGCCCUGGAGCGCCCACGUCGGCCGGCUGUUGUGUGCGACCUUACCAAAGAGACCUGCUUCUUGAGCGACGAGCAUCGUCGGAACAAUAUGUGUGCACGCACAAGACAAGAGACAAGAGAGCAGUACUGGAGCUCGUCCAUGGCUGAAAAUAUUUUCUUUUUUACAGAAGCAUCCGUCAUUAGAGCAUCGAGAACCAGAGUGGGCAAAUCGCCCCCCUUACACGUCCAUAGACGACGCAUCCACGGAUAGUAGUCGAUCACCCCUCAGAAAUCCGCAUCCACAACUGUGUCCCCCAAAGCAAAUCCUUAAAUCCAUACCAAGGUGCCAUGCAACGUUAAACUUGCACAGGUAGUUGAAUAGACACAUUUCAUCGGAUUACCAAAAGUUGACAUGUUCUACUAAUUAACUAUGCAAGAUAUGACAAUGGAGGAAGUUCAUCCACGGCCGCCCUUGCCCUUGCCCUUGCCAUCUUUGUUAUGGGAGUUGUGGCCGAAGACGCAAAACGGAUCGGGGCGGAACUUGUCACUGUCGGAGCUGUCCGAUUCGUCGGGCUCCUCCUUCUCCUUUUUUUUAUUUGGGGGAGUGGGUCCGGCUUUGCUCCCUUGCGAGGGCGUGCACCGUCCUCCUUUACCGCUUCCUGAGGAUGCGACACGAAGGCUUUCUUGUUCCUGUCCAAGCUGGCAUAUGACUCCGCCUCCGCAGCUUGCCAUGCCCUCACCCUCGCACGCCAGUUGGGCCAUGAGGUGUGCCAAUGGGCUUUAGCCGAAGGACGAGGCACCACGGUAGGGAUUGCGGCGUUAGCCGAUGGGCGGUGCACUUGGCUCUGCCGUGGUCAUGUGCCUUGAGCCGCUGGAUACGAACGCCAUUUGCGCGGGCGCAAUGGAUUCACGGUGGAGCGGCUUCGAGUGCAGAGUUGCAAGAUUUCCUCCCUGGCCCGAUGGAGAGCUAGGUAGCUGGGGGGUCAACUCCUGCUCGUCCCCCUUUGGGAUGAGGUCCUAGUUGACGGAUCCGGAGAUCUCAGAGUUGGAUGCGCGGGUGGCGCGCCACGCCGGAGAAAAGCUUGGGGCUGGAGUGGAGAGUCUAGGGUUUGUUUCGGUAUAUAGGCAUAUAUGUGGGGUUGACAGGCAAUGGCCGAUUUGGCGGACGUGUCUGGACACCCAACAUAUGGUCUGAUUAUAUAUAGGUUGACUGAUCCAUGCAAUCGUCAUUUUAAAUUAUUAUUUUUUGCGGCGGGGAAUUGAAGGGCUGCAUGCCGACGUGACGUGGAUCGGUCAGUAAUCCAAUUCAAUUGAAUCGAAGUAGUUAAUCCAGGGAAGAGAAGGGAGGGUAGAUCGAUGCGUGCGUGCAUGCAUGCAUGAAGUUGAAGUAGGAGCAAAAUCAAUGGUGGGAUGCAGCAGUGAACGAAAGGAGGGCGAUAUAUAUUGCAUCAUUUGACGGUUAAAUAUGUAUGCAAAAUAGGAACAUAUAUAUUACAUCAUUGGACCCAUGCAUAAUAAUGGCUAAGUGUGUAUACAAAAUAGGAACAUAUAUAUUACAUCAUUUGACCGAUAACAUACAGUUCCUCAGCAUUGUCGUUUUCGUUUUUGAGUCAGCUUCUUUCCCUUCUUGUUUGUCGAAGAAUAAUUGAGCCCCUCAUUGUGACUUUGCCUUUUCCAUGGAGUAUGAUUUUUCUUAGGUAAUGUAGUAUUGAUUCUUAUUUUGACGUAUACUUCAUCAUCAUCGUCAUCUUCCCUGAUUGGGUUGCCGUACUGAUCAUAGUCUUCCUCGUUGGCGACUCCAUCCAUUCCAAUGAUGUUCCUUUUUCCUCUCCUCACGACAACGCGGCUGGGAUUGCGCGGGUCGGUUAUGAAGAAGCAUUGUGUCACGUGCUUAGGGUGUACCCAUGGCUCGUUUUUUGCGAUAGCGUUCACGAUAGCGCUCUUGGCGCCGGGUAUAGUCAUGGUAGUGAAAAUCCGGCUUUCUCUUUCGACAUUAUUAGCCCAUCUGACACGGAACAUCGUCGUGUUGUGCAGUCCAGAGUAGUCAAGCUCCCAGAUCUCCUCGACCCUUCCAUAAAAUCGUUCAGUUGCGCCGUUGCCGCUGCCGGUCAUGCAUUCCAUCGUCACCCCUGAGUUCCGAUCAUCACUGUCCAUAUCUUUGGCCUCCGUGUAGAACGUGUAUCCGUUGAUAUCAUAUGCCUGAUAGGUUACGAGGUUGGGCGAGGGGCCAUGUGCUAAGGCGUAUAUGAGCAAUCCGUCCUUAGAGCCCUCCUCCGGGGGAUUAGCAAUAAUAUGCUCUUUGAACCAAUGCAGGAAAGUGGAGUUGUGCUCUCUAGUAACUUCGGCGUUCAUCCUGCAUACCCCCCGGUCACGAUACUUCUUUGCGAUAAUUUCUUUGUGCAGUGCCACGAAAGGAUCUACCUCGUCUAGGUGUUGUAGCACUACCAAGUUUGCUCUGUCAAAGUCGUUGCGUCGAUCUGAGUAUGCCACGUGCAGUUCCCUGCGACCGUUGCAGUGACCAUCUCCUUCGAUCCUCCCAUCGUGCUUGUUAACGGGCAAACCAACACUAACACCAGGCUGCUGGUCUGCGCCAUAUAGAAAAUUCUCACAGAAAGAGAUGCACUCUUUGUCAAAUAGCCCUGGACGAUGCUUCCAUCCGGACGGGACAUGUUACAAACGAAUCCUUUGAUGAUCCCAUUCAUCCUCUCAAACGGCAUCAUGUUGUGCAGGAAUGACGACCCCAGGUCUAUUAUGUCAUCCACAAUAUGGACACAAAGAUGCACCAUCACGUCAAAGAACGCGGGCGGGAAGUACAUCUCAAGCUCAUUCAGUAUCACAACAAUCUCUUCCUGUAGCCUUCGGAGCUGCUUCACACUGAUCGACUUUCGAGAGAUGAGAUCGAAAAAGUUGCAGAGACCAAUAAGCGUGUCACGGAUGGGCUUGUCCAUUAUCCCUCUAAGGGCAACAGGUAGUAUCUGCGUCAUCAUCACCUGACAGUCAUGAGACUUCAUCCCGCUGAACCUUUUCUUGUCCGUGUCUAGAUAUCUGCUUAUCUUGCCACAGUAAUCGGAACUAACUUUGACUCCGGUAAGGCACUUAAAGAAGGCAUUGAUCUCAGCCUGACUUAAGGUGAAGCAAGAAGGGGGGCAAUAAUCCUCUUUCUUUAUUUUCUUGCCCUUCUUCUCCCGUGCCUCCGUCUCCAUCUCUGUCUCGUCUGACAUUUUACGGGGCGGCAUGUGGAGAUCUUCCUUGAUUUUCAAAUCUUGCAAGUCUUUUCUUGCCUUCGGCCCAUCCUUGGUCUUAUCCGGCAUGUUCAUCAGUGUUGCGAGCAAGCUCUCAAGGACAUUCUUACAUAUAUGCAUUUGAUCAAGGCAAUGAGGUGUAUGGAGUUUGUGCCAGUACUCCAAGUCCCAGAACACAGACCUCGUCUUCCAUACCUUCAGCAGCGGCUCCGAUGCCUUUCUCAUUGUCUUUCCCGACGCGGGUCACUCCUUCCAGUUUUUCAACAGCUCAUCGAUUUCGGCACCGCUCCGCUUACGUGGAGGUCCUCGAUGCUCAGCGUGACCAUUGACUAGAUCUCCACGGUUUCUCCAUGGGUCGUCCUUUCAAGCCAUCUUCGAUGCCCCAUGUACACGAUUUUCCCAGACCCGCCAUCUUUCCUUGACGUUAGCUGCUGAGACGUCAUAUCAUCCAUGCACCGCGUGCAUCCGCAAUAUCCAUGGCACACCUGGCCUGCCACAUAUCCGUAACCGAGAUAGUGCAGCACCGUCGUGAUCAGCGCAACUCUCAUAUUGAAAUACUCGCCUUUGCCGGCGUCCCAUGUCUUGGCCGGUGUUUUCCAUAACGUGUCUAACUCCUCUUGAAGUAGCCCCAGAUACAAAUUAAUAUUAUUUCCUGGUUGUUUCGGCCCUUGAAUAAGCAUGCUCAUGUGAAUGUAUUUCGAUUUCAUGCACAACCAGGGGGGAGGUUGUACAUCCAUACAAACACGGGCCAUGUGCUUUGGUUGGUGUUCUGGUUGCCAAACGGAUUCAUGCCAUCGGUACACGCACCGAGCAUGAUGUUCCUUGCAUCACAUUCAAUAUACCGAUAGAAGCUGUUCAAAGCUCUCCACUAGCUUCCAUCCUUCACGUGUCUCAGCUUCGGAUCAUCUCCAUCGUCGGGCUUCUUCCUCUCUGCGUGCCAGUGCAUUAGCUUUGCUUCCUUGGGAUCUACAAAAUACCUCUGGAGACGGGGAGUGAUCGGUAAGUACCAUACAACUUUCUGGGGACAUUUCUUCCCGGCCUUCUUGUAUCGAGAAGCAUUGCACACCGGACAACUUGUUUUUUCCGCGUGCUCCUUCCGAUAAAUUAUGCAAUCGUUGAUGCAUGCAUGGUAUCUAACGUGUGGCAGAUCAAGAGGGCACACGAUCUUCUUGGCCUCAUCAACACUAGUAGGACAUAUAUUACCCGCGGGAAGAACAUCCUUUAGGUACUUGAAAUGGUCAUCGAGGAUAGUGUCGGUCCAUUUGUUUUUAGCCUUCGUCUUCAGGAGUUGGAGCGUGAAACUCAAGUGGGUCACAUCAGGAUUGCAACCAUCAUACAAUGGAGUGUUCGAGUCUACCACCAAUUGCUCCAGCUUAGCCUCCUCUCUAGAAGUAGCUCUCUCAGUACUCGUCUCUUUGCGAAGCAAUGCUUGAACAUGAGGGUCCCGCACGAUUGAACUUAGUAUCGACGAACUCUGCUGCAUGGAGUCAAUGUCGUUCUCUCCGCCGCCAUGUCCGGCCCCUUCUCCUCCGCCAUGUCCGGCCCCUUCUCCGCCACCAUGUCCAGCCUCUUCCCCGCCGCCAUUAUCGAUCAUCUCUUCGUCUUGCCCCGUGUCAUCAUUGCCUGCCCCGUCGGCAUCCUCAACAUCAUCAUCCUCAUCUUCAGUUAUCCAUCGAGUAUAGCCAUCCAUUAAACCAUUCAUGAGAAGGUCCGCUUCGACACGACCAUCGUCAUAGGGGUCGAGCCAAACUAUUCCUUUGCAUUUUCGACACGGACAUAAAACCUCUUUCAGGUUAUUUUCUUUCAUGUCCUGCACCGCCGACCGCAACCACCUGUCCACCAUCGUUCCACUGACCAUCAUGAACGUCUGCACGGUAAUAAUAAAACAAAUUGAUUAUAAAAAUGCAUGCAUGCAUCAAAGUCAUACAAAAAUUCGGCAUGACCUUCCCUAAAAAUAGGACAUAUAUGGAUCUAGAGUUUGUCCGGGAUUCGCCGAAAUGGAAAUAAAUCGACAUUUUGGCAAAACAUAGGCAACUCAAAAGCACAAUCUGGCGUCAAGUCAUGCCACACACACAAUUUCCACAAACAUAUCACACACACAUAAACAUAUUUCCAUUUUGCAAAAGCAUGAAAUUUUCAUCACCUCUAUCUCGAGAUCGAGCACACGGUGCUGAUAUGAUGACGUAGGGAGAUCAAAAGUGCCCAAAGCUCUUCUUGACAAACAUAGAUCUAGUUAGGGGGCAAAUAGGUCACUUAACUAAAUGCUACAUCUACCUAGCUACCUAAUUUGGGAGGAGACAACUUCAACUAGAGGAGGGGGAAGGAAAAAGAGAAAUGAGAUGCAUUAAUGGAGAUGGUGUAGUUAGGUAGGAGUAAUGAAGAGAGAGAAAGGUAGGUAGUGUUGGAAAUAUGCCCUAGAGGCAAUAAUAAAAGUUUUAUUAUUAUAUUUCUUUGUUCAUGAUAAUAGUCUUUUAUUCAUGCUAUAACUGUAUUAUCCGGAAAUCGUAAUACAUGUGUGAAUACAUAGACCACAAUAUGUCCCUAGUGAGCCUCUAGUUGACUAGCUCGUUGUGAUCAACAGAUAGUCAUGGUUUCCUGGCUAUGGACAUUGGAUGUCGUUGAUAACGGGAUCACAUCAUUAGGAGAAUGAUGUGAUGGAGAAGACCCAAUCCUAAGCCUAGCAUAGAGAUCGUGUAGUUCGUAUGCUAAAGCUUUUCUAAUGUCAAGUAUCUUCUCCUUAGACCAUGAGAUUGUGCAACUCCCGGAUACCGUAGGAAUGCUUUGGAUGUACCAAACGUCACAACGUAACUGGGUGGCUAUAAAGGUGCAUUACAAGUAUCUCCGAAAGUGUCUGUUGGGUUGGCACGAAUCGAGACUGGGAUUUGUCACUCCGUGUAAACGGAGAGGUAUCUCUGGGCCCACUCGGUAGGACAUCAUCAUAAUGUGCACAAUGUGACCAAGGGGUUGAUCACGGGAUGAUGUGUUACGGAACGUGUAAAGAGACUUGCCGGUAACGAGAUUGAACAAGGUAUCGGUAUACCGACGAUCGAAUCUCGGGCAAGUAUAAUACCGCUAGACAAAGGGAUUUGUAUACGGGAUCGAUUGAGUCCUUGACAUCGUGGUUCAUCCGAUGAGAUCAUCGUGGAACAUGUGGGAGCCAACAUGGGUAUCUAGAUCCCGCUGUUGGUUAUUGACCGGAGAACGUCUCGGUCAUGUCUACAUGGUUCCCGAACCCGUAGGGUCUACACACUUAAGGUUCGAUGAUGCUAGGGUUAUAAAGGAAGUUUGUAUGUGGUUACCGAAUGUUGUUCGGAGUCCCGGAUGAGAUCCCGGAUGUCACGAGGAGUUCCGGAAUGGUCCGGAGGUAAGGAUUUAUAUAUGGGAAGUCCUGUUUUGGUCACCGGAAAAGUUUCGGGUUUUAUCGGUAACGUACCGGGACCACCGGGAGGGUCCCGGGGGUCCACCAAGUGGGGCCACCGGCCCCGGAGGGCUGCAUUGGCCAAGUGUGGGAGGGGACCAGCCCCAGGUGGGCUGGUGCGCCCCCCACCAAGGCCUAAGGCGCCUAGGGCUGGGGGAAACCCUAAAGGGGGGCGCCUCCCUUGCCUUGGGGGGCAAGGCAACCCCCCUGGCCGCCGCCCCCUCCUCAGAUUGGACCUGAGGGGGGCGGCCUCCCUCUCCCUUGCCCCUAUAUAUAUGUGGGGGGUGGGAGGGCAGCCGUACCACAAGUUCUGGCGCAGCCCUUCCCCUCUCCCAAGUCCUCCUCUCUCGCGGUGCUUGGCGAAGCCCUGCAGGAUUGCCACGCUCCACCACCACCACGCCAUUGUGCUGCUGCUGGAUGGAGUCUUCCUCAACCUCUCCCUCUCUCCUUGCUGGAUCAAGGCGUGGGAGACGUCACUGGGCUGUAUGUGUGUUGAACGCGGAGGUGCCCUCCGUUCGGCACUAGGAUCUCCGGUGAUUUGGAUCACGACGAGUACGACUCCUUCAACCCUGUUCUCUUGAACGCUUCCGCUUAGCGAUCUACAAGGGUAUGUAGAUGCACUCUCCUUCCCCUUGUUGCUGGUUUCUCCAUAGAUAGAUCUUGGUGACAUGUAGAAAAAUUUUGAAUUUCUGCUACGUUCCCCAACAGAAGUGGCAUCAUGAGCUAGGUCUAUUGCGUAGAUUCUUUGCACGAGUAGAACACAAAGUAGUUGUGGGCGUUGAUUUUGUUCAAUAUGCUUACCGUUACUAGUCCAAUCUUGUUUCGACGGUAUUGUGGGAUGAAGCGGCCCGGACCGACCUUACACAUACUCUUACGUGAGACAGGUUCCACCGACUGACAUGCACUUGGUGCAUAAGGUGGCUAGCGGGUGCCAGUCUCUCCCACUUUAGUCGGAACGGAUUCGAUGAAAAGGGUCCUUAUGAAGGGUAAAUAGCAAUUGGCAUAUCACGUUGUGGUUUUGCGUAGGUAAGAAACGUUCUUGCUAGAAACCCAUAGCAGCCACGUAAAACAUGCAAACAACAAUUAGAGGACGUCUAACUUGUUUUUGCAGGGUAUGCUAUGUGAUGUGAUAUGGCCAAGAAGAAUGUGAUGAAUGAUAUGUGAUGUAUGAGAUUGAUCAUGUUCUUGUAAUAGGAUUCAUGACUUGCAUGUCGAUGAGUAUGACAACCGGCAGGAGCCAUAGGAGUUGUCUUAAAUUUAUUGUAUGACCUGCGUGUCAUUGAACAACGCCAUGUAAUUACUUUACUUUAUUGCUAACUGGUAGCCAUAGUAGUAGAAGUAAUAGUUGGCGAGACAACUUCAUGAAGACACGAUGAUGGAGAUCAUGAUGAUGGAGAUCAUGGUGUCAUGCCGGUGACGAUGAUGAUCAUGGAGCCCCGAAGAUGGAGAUCAAAAGGAGCAAAAUGAUAUUGGCCAUAUCAUAUCACUAUUUGAUUGCAUGUGAUGUUUAUCAUGUUUAUGCAUCUUGUUUACUUAGAACGACGGUAGUAAAUAAGAUGAUCCCUUACAACAAUUUCAAGAAGUGUUCUCCCCUAACUGUGCACCGUUGCUACAGUUCGUCGCUUUGAAGCACCACGUGAUGAUCGGGUGUGAUAGAUCCUUACGUUCACAUACAACGGGUGUAAGACAGAUUUACACAUGCAAUACACUUAGGGUUAGCUUGACGAGCCUAGCAUGUACAGACAUGGCCUCGGAACACGGAGACUGAAAGGUCGAGCAUGAGUCGUAUAGUAGAUACGAUCAACAUGAAGAUGUUCACCGAUGAUGACUAGUCCGUCUCACGUGAUGAUCGGACACGACCUAGUUGACUCGGAUGAUGUAAUCACUUAGAUGACCAGAGGGAUGUCUAUCUGAGUGGGAGUUCAUAAGAUGAACUUAAUUAUCCUGAACAUAGUCAAAAGAUCUUUGCAAAUUAUGUCGUAAGCUCGCGCUUUAGUUCCACUGUUUAGAUAUGUUCCUAGAGAAAAUAUAGUUGAAAGUUGACAGUAGCGAUUAUGCGGACAGUAGAAAGCUUAUGUCCUUAAUGCACCGCUCAGUGUGCUGAACCCCAAACGUCGUUUGUGGAUGUUGCGAACAUCGGACAUACAAGUUUUGAUAACUACGUGAUAGUUCAUUUAAACGGUUUAGAGUUGAGGCACCAAAGACGUUUUUUCGAAACGUCACGGAACAUAUGAGAUGUUUUCGAGGGCUGAAAUUGGGAUUUCAGGCACGUGCCCACAUCAAGAGGUAUGAGACCUCCGACGAUUUUCUUAGCCUGCAAACUAACGGAGAAAAGCUCAAUCGUUGAGCUUGUGCUCAGAUUGUCUGAGUGCAACAAUCACUUGAAUCAAGUGGGAGUUGAUCUUCCAGAUGAGAUAGUAAUGUUUCUCCAAAGUCAUUGCCACCAAGCUGCUAGAGCUUCGUGAUGAACUAUAACAUAUCAGGGAUAGAUAUGAUGAUCCUUGAGGUAUUCGCGAUGUUUGACACCGCGAAAGUAGAAAUCAAGAAGGAGCAUCAAUUGUUGAUGGUUGGUGAAACCACUAGUUUCAAGAAGGGCAAGGGCAAGAAGGUAUACUUCAUGAAACGGCAAAUCAGCUGCUGCUCUAGUGAAGAAACCCAAGGUUGAACCCAAACCCGAGACUAAGUGCUUCUUUGAUAAGGGGAACAGUCACUAGCACUACUAGGAAAAUGGCUAUAGAUGGGAUUGACACUAAUGGCGCAUCAGAAAGAUGGUGCGCCAUUAGUAUAUACUAAUGGCGCACCACAAUCUAAUGCGCCAUUAGAGUUUAAACAACUAAUGGCGCACCAUGCUACGGGUGCGCCAUUAGUAUCAAAUUUUUUUUUAACUAGUGCGCCUGUCCAAACAUACUAAUGGCGCAUCCCGGCAAAGUGCACCAUUAGUAGUUGUAACUACUAAUGGCGCACUAGGCAGCAGGUGCGCCAUUAGUAUAGAAUUUUUUUUUUUGAACUAGUGCGCCUAUCCAAACAUACUAAUGGCGCAUCCUGCCCAAGUGCGCCAUUAGUAGUUGUAACUACUAAUGGCGCACCAGGCAGUGGGUGCGCCAUUAGUAUAGGAUUUUUUUUUGAACUAGUGCGCCUAUCCAAACAUACUAAUGGCGCAUCCUGCCCAAGUGCGCCAUUAGUAGUUGUAAGUACUAAUGGCGCACCAUGCAAGAGGUGCGCCAUUAGUAAGUGGGCAGCAACAAGAUAUUUGGGACAGCCUCUCCUACCCACACACUCACUUUCUCCCCACUUCAUUCUCUCCACCUCCUCCUUGUCUCGGGUGCCUCCUCUUUUUCACCUCAUUUCCACCAUAGAUUCAUUCAAAUUAAGUGGUUAAAUUACCUUGUUUUAAUAGGUAAGUAAGGGGGGAAGCUAUAUUUAGGUUGUUCUCCUUACAACAAUGUGCACAUGCACUUUUUACGGCCUAGCUAGAUCUAUGUAUGUUCGUGGUGUUGCAUAUGUUUGUGGUGUUGCAUAUGUGUUUGUGUUUGGAGGUGUACCGGUAUUUGAUAUGCGAUAGUUGUCAAUAUUUUGCCGGAAUGUUGAUUCAUUUCCGUUUCGGCGAGAAUUUUGGCAUUAAGCAUUCUUUUUGGUCCUAUUUUUAGGGAAGGUCAUGCCAAAUUUUUGUUUGGUUCUAAAAUAUCAUUUUGCUCUACCCCGCAGGCGACCAUGGUCCGCACGAUGACCGAAGGCAUCGUGAAUAGGUUUUUGAGGUCCGCGAAGGCCGAGAUGCUUCAAAAGAACGAGACGGAGAUAAGAUGUCCGUGUCGAAGAUGCAAGCUGAAGAGCCUUAUUGCGGACCCGGAUUCCGGGCAGGUGCGGGACCACCUGCUGUUGCGUGGUUUCAUGGAUGGCUAUCGGUGGCAAGGUGAUGAAGAUGACUACGAAGUCGUCCAUGCGGGCCGGGCAAGAAAUGAGGAAGGGCAGCAAGACAACCACCGCGGCUCGGGCGGGCGAGAAGACGAAGAAUCCCCAGGAGAUGAUCACGACUGUGAUGCUGUACACAGUCAUCAUGUAGAAGAUGCAGGACAUGAUGAUGAGGAAGAUGCCGGAGCAGGCGACGGGCAUGAUCAUGAAGAUGAUGAUGCCGGCGGAGCAGACGACGCUGGACCAUCGAUGGGCUGGGUGCAGGACCCUCAUAUUCAAGAGCUGCUUCUCAAGCAGACGGAUAACGCAAGAGCUGCCGCUCGAGAGAAAGCCAAGAUGGAUCAACUUGAGUUAGACGCGGUUACUCCAUUGUAUGAAGGAUGCAGGCCCGAGGAUACCCGCCUGAAAGUAACGCUCAUGGCCCUGGAGAUGAAGGUAAAACACAAAAUGACCGACGCAUGCUUCGACGAGAACAUGUCAUUCUGGCACGAACGUCUUCCCAAGGGGAACAAGUGCCCGACCAGUUUGGAGGAGGCGAAGAAAAUCGUGUGUCCUCUGGAUUUACCGCACGUGAAAUACCAUGUGUGCAUGAACAAUUGCAUCAUUUAUCGGGACGAGCACGCGGAGUCUACAAUAUGUCCGGUGUGCGGUGUCACUCGAUACAAGAAGAGGAAGAAAGCUCCUCGAAAAGUGGUGUGGUACUUUCCGAUCACUCCUCGUCUGCAGCGGUAUUUUGCGGAUCCUAAGGUAGCAAAGCUCCUACGUUGGCACGCAGAUAGGGAGGAGAAGAAGCGAGAAGAUGACGCAAAUGAUCCGGAGAUAGAUAAAAAAGACAAGAUGCUGAGUCACCCUAAGGAUGCGAGCCAGUGGCAAGCAUUGAACUUCGAAUACCCAGAAUUUGGGAACGAUCCAAGGAACAUCGUGCUGGGCGCGAGCACCGAUGGAGUCAAUCCAUUUGGCAGCCAGAGAAGCACACAUAGCACCUGGCCUGUGUUUGUGUGGAUGUACAACCUUCCCCCCUGGUUGUGCAUGAAGAGGAAGUACAUUCACAUGAGUAUGCUAAUUGAAGGGCCGAAACAACCAGGGAACGACAUCAAUCUGUAUCUGAGGCUGCUGAAAGAGGAGCUUGACACGCUGUGGAAAACGCCAGCAAAUACGUGGGACGCCGCAGAGAAAGAAUAUUUCCCUAUGAGAGCCGCACUGCUCACGACGGUGCACGACUAUCUCGGUUACGGAUAUCUUGCGGGGCAGGUAGUCCACGGAUUUUCUGGAUGCGUAAGGUGCAUGGAUGACACAACGUAUCGCCAGCUAGAUAGAGAUCCCGGGUCUUCGAAAACCGUGUUCAUGGGACAUCGAAGGUGGCUUCGCGACGAUGACCCGUGGAGGAAACGCAAGGAUCUGUUCGAUGGUGAAACCGAACCCCGAAAAUGCCCGUGUACGAGGAGCGGCGAGGAAAUAGACAAGCUGUUGAAAAAUUGGAAAGACUGCCCACUGCCGGGAAAGAAGCAAAAGGCGCCAGAGCCGGGAAAGAAGCGAAAGGCGCCAGAGCNNNNNNNNNNNNNNNNNNNNNNNNNNNNNNNNNNNNNNNNNNNNNNNNNNNNNNNNNNNNNNNNNNNNNNNNNNNNNNNNNNNNNNNNNNNNNNNNNNNNNNNNNNNNNNNNNNNNNNNNNNNNNNNNNNNNNNNNNNNNNNNNNNNNNNNNNNNNNNNNNNNNNNNNNNNNNNNNNNNNNNNNNNNNNNNNNNNNNNNNNNNNNNNNNNNNNNNNNNNNNNNNNNNNNNNNNNNNNNNNNNNNNNNNNNNNNNNNNNNNNNNNNNNNNNNNNNNNNNNNNNNNNNNNNNNNNNNNNNNNNNNNNNNNNNNNNNNNNNNNNNNNNNNNNNNNNNNNNNNNNNNNNNNNNNNNNNNNNNNNNNNNNNNNNNNNNNNNNNNNNNNNNNNNNNNNNNNNNNNNNNNNNNNNNNNNNNNNNNNNNNNNNNNNNNNNNNNNNNNNNNNNNNNNNNNNNNNNNNNNNNNNNNNNNNNNNNNNNNNNNNNNNNNNNNNNNNNNNNNNNNNNNNNNNNNNNNNNNNNNNNNNNNNNNNNNNNNNNNNNNNNNNNNNNNNNNNNNNNNNNNNNNNNNNNNNNNNNNNNNNNNNNNNNNNNNNNNNNNNNNNNNNNNNNNNNNNNNNNNNNNNNNNNNNNNNNNNNNNNNNNNNNNNNNNNNNNNNNNNNNNNNNNNNNNNNNNNNNNNNNNNNNNNNNNNNNNNNNNNNNNNNNNNNNNNNNNNNNNNNNNNNNNNNNNNNNNNNNNNNNNNNNNNNNNNNNNNNNNNNNNNNNNNNNNNNNNNNNNNNNNNNNNNNNNNNNNNNNNNNNNNNNNNNNNNNNNNNNNNNNNNNNNNNNNNNNNNNNNNNNNNNNNNNNNNNNNNNNNNNNNNNNNNNNNNNNNNNNNNNNNNNNNNNNNNNNNNNNNNNNNNNNNNNNNNNNNNNNNNNNNNNNNNNNNNNNNNNNNNNNNNNNNNNNNNNNNNNNNNNNNNNNNNNNNNNNNNNNNNNNNNNNNNNNNNNNNNNNNNNNNNNNNNNNNNNNNNNNNNNNNNNNNNNNNNNNNNNNNNNNNNNNNNNNNNNNNNNNNNNNNNNNNNNNNNNNNNNNNNNNNNNNNNNNNNNNNNNNNNNNNNNNNNNNNNNNNNNNNNNNNNNNNNNNNNNNNNNNNNNNNNNNNNNNNNNNNNNNNNNNNNNNNNNNNNNNNNNNNNNNNNNNNNNNNNNNNNNNNNNNNNNNNNNNNNNNNNNNNNNNNNNNNNNNNNNNNNNNNNNNNNNNNNNNNNNNNNNNNNNNNNNNNNNNNNNNNNNNNNNNNNNNNNNNNNNNNNNNNNNNNNNNNNNNNNNNNNNNNNNNNNNNNNNNNNNNNNNNNNNNNNNNNNNNNNNNNNNNNNNNNNNNNNNNNNNNNNNNNNNNNNNNNNNNNNNNNNNNNNNNNNNNNNNNNNNNNNNNNNNNNNNNNNNNNNNNNNNNNNNNNNNNNNNNNNNNNNNNNNNNNNNNNNNNNNNNNNNNNNNNNNNNNNNNNNNNNNNNNNNNNNNNNNNNNNNNNNNNNNNNNNNNNNNNNNNNNNNNNNNNNNNNNNNNNNNNNNNNNNNNNNNNNNNNNNNNNNNNNNNNNNNNNNNNNNNNNNNNNNNNNNNNNNNNNNNNNNNNNNNNNNNNNNNNNNNNNNNNNNNNNNNNNNNNNNNNNNNNNNNNNNNNNNNNNNNNNNNNNNNNNNNNNNNNNNNNNNNNNNNNNNNNNNNNNNNNNNNNNNNNNNNNNNNNNNNNNNNNNNNNNNNNNNNNNNNNNNNNNNNNNNNNNNNNNNNNNNNNNNNNNNNNNNNNNNNNNNNNNNNNNNNNNNNNNNNNNNNNNNNNNNNNNNNNNNNNNNNNNNNNNNNNNNNNNNNNNNNNNNNNNNNNNNNNNNNNNNNNNNNNNNNNNNNNNNNNNNNNNNNNNNNNNNNNNNNNNNNNNNNNNNNNNNNNNNNNNNNNNNNNNNNNNNNNNNNNNNNNNNNNNNNNNNNNNNNNNNNNNNNNNNNNNNNNNNNNNNNNNNNNNNNNNNNNNNNNNNNNNNNNNNNNNNNNNNNNNNNNNNNNNNNNNNNNNNNNNNNNNNNNNNNNNNNNNNNNNNNNNNNNNNNNNNNNNNNNNNNNNNNNNNNNNNNNNNNNNNNNNNNNNNNNNNNNNNNNNNNNNNNNNNNNNNNNNNNNNNNNNNNNNNNNNNNNNNNNNNNNNNNNNNNNNNNNNNNNNNNNNNNNNNNNNNNNNNNNNAUAAGUAUCAAACAGCUUUUUAAAUGCUAAAAAAAAAUUUGUGGAGCCCACCUCGAUCCCCCUCCAUCUCGACCGCUAUCCCACCUCGCCAGAUCCGGUCCCCCUCGGCGCCGAGCACCCCUCAAGUCCACCGGCCGCCGCCGCCGACCCACCGCACCCUCGAUUCCCCUACCCAACCGCCGCCGCCGACCCCCCGCACCCCGCGCACCGUCUUAUAAAAAAAUAAGUAUCAAACAGCUUUUUAAAUGCUACCGUCUUAUAAAAAAAUAUUACUAUUAUUAUUUAAACAAGUUUGAACAUAUUUAAACAUAAAUAAGUAUCAAACAGCUUAUUAAAUGAUAAAAAAAAAUUUGUGGAGCCUGGGAGUUGAACCCAGGACCUCCUGGUGUGAGAACUGGCUACUGACCAGUCGAGCUAGUAGAGUGGGCUUGACGUGGAUAGGUUCUGGUAGUACAUAACCUUUUGGCUCGAGUUGAAAUAAAAAAAAGUACUAAUGGCGCACCACGGUGAGAUGCGCCAUUAGUAUGGACAUGCUAAUGGCGCACCACGGUGAGGUGCGCCAUUAGUAUUGUGGCCCGAUCCCCCUUCGCCCGAUCCCCCCUUCGCCCGAUCCCCCCUUCCCUCUCCCCCUCGCCAGUUCUCUCCCUCUCGAUCCACCGCCGCCGCCGCCGCUGCCCUCGCCCUCGCCCUCGCCCUCGCCCUCGCCCUCUCCCUCCCUCGCCCUCUCCUCGCCGCCCGGACGCCGCCCGGACGCCGCGCCGACGCCGCCUCGACCCCGCCCCNNNNNNNNNNGCCGCCCGGACACCGCCCCGGACGCCGCCCCGACCCCGCCGCCCGGACGCUGCCCCGCCGCCCCGACGCCGCCUCGACCCCUGCCUCUCUACGAGGAGGUAACCCUAACCCCACCCGCGCACGUGGUGAUCUAAGGUUAUAGGGUAUAGAUCCUUUGAUCCGUGCUUGGUAUGGAAAUGUUGCUCUCCGAUCUCCUUAGGGCGAUUCUAUGACUUGCUUGUGGUGUUUGGUAAUUUAGUGCAACUCUGCCUGCUCAUAUCUGGAGUAUGAAGAAAAUUGGGUGAUUUUGUGCAGUCCUUUAGCUUGCUGUAGACUUGUAGAUAUGUAGCGAAAGCAAGUAGGGUUUGGUAUGUGAGUUUUGUAGCUUUUAUUAUGAUACAUUCUUUAAACAUGUGCUAUGGUUUACCUGUUAUUAGCAUCCGUAGCGGGAAUGGUUGCCGAUCUCUGUUGGACACACUCGGAUGGCAGUUCGGUGUGUGCAUCAAAUAACUGUAUCCAUUUUAGUUCUGCUUGCUCUGAUUAAAGUGGAAAGUACUGCCGUUAUCUUAUAUGUUGUUCUGUUAGGAUUGAAUACAACAAGAGACAUGCCCAUUUCUGUUAUAGUACCCCUGAAUAAAAUGGUAAAUACUGCAGUUAUCAUAUACAAUCUCUCAGGAGUGAAUACCACAAGAAGCACAUUUUUGUUAAUAUCCCCUGCUUCCUGAUGUAUUUGUUUCUUGGUAAAAGUGAACUUCCAAUGAAUAUUUUUGUGCUGGAGCAGGCUGGAGGGGUAUUCGGCUGUGCACAUUUAAUUAUAGUAUCUGGUGGAGAUACCCUGUUCAAGGACAGGGGGGCGGGGGUGUGAACUUUGUGAAAUCCUGUCCUAUUGAUGACUUUGCAAACUUAUCAGGAGGUGGUGUUAGGAAAUCUAAAUAGUUUAAACUAUAUAGGAAGACAUUUAUAGGUUAGAAACAAUCUGUUCUACUUCUGCAGAUUAUCUAGAUAAGUGAUGAAGUUUACUUAGUAUAGUAUUUUUUUUCUGUCACUUCUUUAUCUACCAAAAGUGUGAACCCAUGGUAUGAGCCACUAAUGCAAGCAUCGUCAUUCUUUUCUGAGUUUGUCUAAUUCACAUCUAAAUGUUUUCUAAGGAUGUCACAUCUAAGCUCCCACAAAUAACGUAGCAACAAGGAACAAAAAAAAGUUGGGGCAAAAAAAAAUACACCACAAACAUAGUGGACACAAGGUUAGACGUGACAUAAAUGUGUCCUAGACAGACCCUUCUUUUCUUAGUGAAACAUCAACUUUCCAAAGACAAUAUUCCAAACUGGACAGUUGAUACAUAGAGCUAUUUUACUUUAACAUUUAAAGUGUGGCUGCAAAUCUGGGAUGCAGGAGGUGAAAAUUCAUUGUCUAAUCUGUUUCUCAGUUUCCUCUUUCAGAAACGAGAGAUUUUUCAAGACCUUGCUCCACUGCUGUGGCACUCCUUUGGCACUGUUGCUGCACUGCUCCAGGUAGGUUACAGUUAUUGCACUGUUCUAAAUUCAGUCGCAAUGGCAAGAGUACAUAUGUACUUGUGCAGUUCUUGUUAUUUAAGUAAGGGUGGUUGUCCAUGGUACUGAGCGCUGCUGUUUCUAUGCCAAGUAUUAAAUAUUUCCAUUGUUUAUUGUUAAAAAGCUUUCCUCAUUUUGGUGACUUUAUAGAAUAAGUAAAUCUUAACUAGCAGUGGUUAAUAAUUAAGUCUUCUUCUUUUUCCUUUGCAGCUCACAUCCCACUGUACCUGUACCCGUUCCUGAAUACUACCAGCAAGACAAGACCUUUUGAGUACUUGAGGCUUACCAGCUUGGGUGUUAUUGGUGCUCUUGUGAAGGUAAAUUAAAACUAGAUACUUAUGCAAACUAGGAAUGGAUGGUCCAUAUAGAUUUUUGCUUUAAAUGGUGAGAGGGUUGAACCAGAGGGGAAAAUAGUGAUGGGGAUUGGCUGUAUCCUUUCUUUUUUUUGUAGACUAUAUCUUGUUCUUUUGGUAUUCUCAUUCCAGUAAUCCAGUCAUUUUAAUCAAAUGGACUGGUUGGGAUUGGAUCCCAGGAAUCUCAACAGGAACUGUUAUUUUUGAAGCAAACAGGCUAAUGAUUUGUUAGAAAUUAUAUUGUUUCUUCUUUUGGAUAUCCGAUUCUGAUAUGUCAGAAACACAACAUAUCAAAAGUUAGCAAUGACCAAACUGGCAUGUAACAGAGACACUAUAAAAGAUAGCCAACAUCCAGUUAGGCCAACAUAACAGUGAACAAAACUACUGUUAAUCAGCUCAGUUCUAGUGCUGUUGGAUUUUUCUCGAUUGUAUUCUUGCAGUUUUGAAAAUUCAGUUCAUUCGGUUACUGAAAAUUCAGUUAAUUCAGUUAGGCACACAAAUUUCAGAACUUUUGUGUGCCCUAGUACUUGGUGUUUGUAGAAAACCAGGAGUGUCAAUGGGACUAGAAUUCACUUGUUCUUAUCUGGGUUUGUAAAACUUGUUCAUGUACUGAACUACUAAUGCCUUGUGAUGCUCUGAAUUACUUGUGAUCACAUUGAGAAAGACUUGUAAAGAUGAUGAUCAUCUUUAACAGAAAACAAUUUGUGAUGAUUUUGCUAGUUUGCUGGAUUAUCUGGGUUAUGUCUCCGACCAUCGUGUCGUGAUGAUUUUGCAGGUACCCCGAGAGGCCCUUGAGUUUGCCGGAAUGUCGAUUAACUUCCGUUCCGGCAAAUUUGGGUACUCCAUAUGUCCUAUUUUCAGCAAAGGUCAUGCUGAAAUUUUCCGUGAAUUUUAGCAUGACUUUGCUAAAAAUAGGACAUAUGGGGUACUUGUGACUAAUGCAUGGGCCGGGGUAUCUUAGUAGUUAAUUAAGUAGGAUCAAGUGCCCCGGCGUACUUGUGACUAAUGCAUGGCUUUUAGGGUGCCUCGGUGUCGAUAAAAACCGAAAUGAUGAAAAGUUAGGCUUUUAGGGUGCCUUGGCGUCGAAAAACCCUCAAUGAUAAAAGCUUAGAUUUUAGGAUGCCUCGGUGUCGACAAACCCUAAAUGAUGAGACCAUGAUCUUGUUCCUUGACAAUAACCAACUUUUUGACCAAACUUUGUUUCUAUUUAGAGAGAAACAUGGCCCACAACGAUGAGGCUGGGGGUUCGGGCGGCAAGGCAUUCUGGGAACUGUCCCAGGAGAUGGAGGAACAACCUCACUUGUAUGAGGCCGCCGCCUUCCCCACCGAUCCUGAGACCACGGAUGGUGCCGCUGAGGAUGACCACACUGAUGCCACCACUGAUGGUGCCGCCGAGGAUGCCACCACUGAUGAUGGCGGCGCACGCACAGAUAGCAGCCAGCCGAAGAGGCAACGGAAGGACCGGCGCCCGAUCGUGCUCCGCACCCUCAAGGAGGAAGUUACUGAAGUGGACUCCAACGGGAAUCCAACGGCGCCCGAACGAAUAGUCAAGGGGUACUCGCUUCAGCUCGGGUGCAUUGUCCGGAGCACCGUCUCGAUCAACACCGAGAACCUGAGGCAUCCUGACCGGGGGAAUUUGCGCCACCUCCUCUUCACGAAGCUGCACGAACGAUACAAGUUCCCCGCUGAAUUCGAAAACACAAGCCUCAAAGGGAAUAAAGUGAACAAUGCUGCCCUCACGAAGAUGAGCAAGGCCCUGUCUACUUGGAAAAGCAAUGUGAAGAGAAUGAUCGAGAAAGGUGAGAGUUAUGAGAAGAUCAAGGAGAAAAAUCCUUCGAUCACCGAAGAUGACUACAACGACUUGAAGAUCAAUUGCUCGAGCACCGCAAGCUCCCAAUCAAGUGAGUGGGGGAAACAAAUGCGGGAGCUGAACAUAGGGGAACACACACUCGGUCCCGGCGGUUACAGAGUGGCGGAGCCUAUAUGGGACAAGGAGGAGGCGGACCGUGCCGAGCAAGGCCUACCGCCCCUCUUCGAUAAAUACGGUGACAAGCAGACCAGGAACUUUGUUAGGGCCCGGUACAAGAAGGACCCGAAAACAAAGGAGCUUACCACGGAUCCAAAGACCAGGCAGCUUGAGCUUGUUCUGGUAAGGAAUACACCCCCGCGUAAUUAGCUCCAUAUGGUUGCAUUCUAAUUAAUGAAGCCGAAUUUCUAAAUGGUUCACAUUCCUUCCGCAGGCGACUGAAAGCAGUAGCGCGGGGUCGACUCAGAGCAACCCUUGGGACACCACUCUAAAUAGGGGGUUGAAUAUAAUGAAGAACAAGGAUAAGCUCAGUAAGCCGACAUCAGCUGGUCGUGUGGCCGGCAAAGGCUUGUCGACAAAAUGGGGGUCAUACUAUACCGCUGGUGUGCGGAAGGAGAAAAAGACCAGCUCGGAAAGCCAGGCGCGAGAGGUUCAAGAACUCAAGGCACACGUGGCGCGGAUUCCGGAGAUUGUCCAAGAGCAAGUGGAACAACGACUCGGAGCGACGAUCACCGCCCUUGUGCCUACCUUGAUCUCGGGGUUGAGUGCGUGGAUUGCGGGCGGCCAACAGGGGCCGCCCCCGAUUCCUAGCUUCACGGCCAGCAACUCGCAUAAUGCGAUGGCGGGGCCAUUGGUGCCUCCGGCGGAGGCGGCAUUGGUGUCUCCGAUGCCGGCACGGGAGCUUAAUGCACCCGGGUGUACGCCAGCCGGCACCUCUUCAGCAAGCGGCCACUCCGUCAACUGCACGCCCGCCGUUGGCGGUGCCUCGACAUUAGCCGAGCUCGACGCCAUCAUCACGGUAACUAAUUAAGCCUCUCUCGGCCGAGGACUUCAUCUCCUUGCCUUUGACUGGGCAUCCCUGACGCCCUACAUGUUUUCGCAGGGCGCCGCCGACGUUCCGUGCAGUCUCCUCCACUUCGUGAACAACGAGUUGGUCGAUGUCGCCAAGGGCAAAAUCGUUCAACCGGGCAACCCCUUGUUCCACGGUACCCAGAUGCCACCCAACUUGUUUAGGGUUCAACUGGUUCGGGUGCUGCCAGGCUGCGACGACUUGUUACCUCCGAUUCGACCCGUCGGGGCCGACGAUGAUGACGUGAUGACCCUCAGCGCCUGCCUGAGCUGGCCCCUGCUUUGGCCGAAGAGCCAAAUUCGUUUGGGGGCGGGGGACACCACCCCAAAGACAACACCGCCAGUCGUGCCGGCGCCAAGUCGGCCCCAUGGCAAGACCGCCGUAACGGUGCCGGACAUCCCUAUGCCACUGGAUCCAAACAUGCAUAUGGCACAGGAUCAGAACGACGACGACGACGACGAUGAUACAUUUGGCAACGUCGAUCAGUACUUUGCCGAGCAUGGGUACGAUGGCGACUUCAUGGGGCCUCCUUCUCAAGAACCAAACCCAACAAAAGACGUGUGCGAUCUAGCUCGUACCGCGGAGAAGCCAAGUUGCAACAGGCGCCGUCUGGCGUUCAGCUCUCAGGAGACGCCUCCAGCUGCCGACUUCACCGAUCCUCAAAUAGGCGAGGUGCGAAAUAUUAUCAGCCCCAACACACUCAAGAAGGAGGUCUGUGAGCAGAACUCGGUCCCAUUACAGGAGAAGAAGAAGGCACGCAAAAGAAAGACUAAGAAGGGUGCGAGCCAGCCGGCACCGAGUACGAUCCGUGCUCAGGACGGGCCACCUUCACCGCAGGAUAUCUCGAGGAGGGUGCAUGUGGCGGGUAGGGCGAUGCUACCACCAAAUAUGCUCAAUGCUGCAACCGGUGCUAUGCGGAGUCUGCACGACAGUGUUCUUUCUUUGGAGAAGCGGCGUCUCAGAGAGAAGGAUGUGGCAUAACCGGUUUUCGUGGCCAAGGUGCCAGAGGGCAAGGGCUUUGUGGAUGGCGACAUCGGGGGUACGAUCGUCCUGUGGUUUGAUGACAUCUUUGCUAUGUUUAACCUUCAUCCGCCGCACUACACCUUCGUUCGGCUAUUUUCGCUGAGUAUGAAGAUGCGGAUCAUUCGCGACAAGACCCCGGACAUCGUGAUAGUCGACCCCUUCUACAUGCGUGCCAAGAUCUUGGGCAGCGCUGGGGACCGGCAAGUCGCGAGUUCUUACCUCGAAGGCGUCAUUCUGGCAAACCAAGAUAAGGAUAACUUCCUCGUGCCUUACUUUCCCGAGUAAGUCCUCCCCUCAACCGGCCCGUAACAUAUGAAUUCUUACUUUUCGAUCGUUUUUCUUUUAACAUUCCGUGUUUUCUGCAGUGACACACGUUGCACGCUCAUCCUCCUAAGCCCCAAAUAUUCCAUGGCCACGUAUUUCGACCUGGACCGUCAGUCGAACGUAGACUACACAAAUGUCAAGAAGGUUCUUGAUGAUGUUCUCCCCGGCUACGCCCAAUCUGGAGGCACCUUCACCAGGCCUAUUCGUAAGUACGGCAAGCACGUGUUCUCCCACAAUACGACGUUCUGCUGCGUCAAGCAGCCGCCUGGCGGUCAGAAGGGUGCCUACUACGCCAUCCAUCACAUGCGGGCGAUCGUACGGGACCAUCAUCAACUUCUGGUACCGAGUAAACUCCAAGAUUGGGCCGCGAGCGUGUCGGCAAUCCAGGACGCGGACCUCCGACAAGAAUUCUUUCGCAUCCAGUCGGAGUUUGCGGAAAUCAUCCAUCAAGAUGUCCUUCGUACCUCGGGGCAGUUCUACCUCAGAAAUCAACCGUCCAACAGUGACAUCGACACAAUGCUACAAAUGCAGGAUGACAACGCCCGUUCUUUCAUGACUCCCACGAUAGACGGCGGCUUCAUCCACGCUCCGGUCCCUUGAGUCGAGUUGUCUAGUUCUGAAACAUCGAUUGGCUCAUGUUGUAAUUAAACUUUAAUGAACUUGUAGUAUGUCUCUUUGGUUUUGAGAGUCGUUCAACUUAGAUGUAAUCGAUGCUAUUAAUGUCUUGCUUUUCUCUUCCGAUUGUUCUGUUGCAUAAUUAUAUAUUGCUUAUGUAUUGUCUGUGAAUUGGUACUAACGUUUCGUUUGGCUAGUGCAUAGUGAUGCCGACGUAUGUCGUGUACAAGGGUAAGGUUCCCGGAGUCUACGAUGACCGGGAGGAGUGUCGGAGACAGGUUCACCGAUUCAGCGGUAACAGUUACAAAGAGUACACCACUAGGGCCGAGGCCGAAUCUAGAUACGCCCGCUAUCUAGCGGGAGAGGGGAGGGAGCGUUGGAGGAACCGGAUGAAGACGAGUUUCAUCGUGAUGAUGCUCAUCGUGAUGACCGCAGCUCUCUUCUAUGUGAUGGUAGUUUAGAUGAUCGAUAUCGACUUGUAAUGCGAAGACAAACUCGCUACUCGCGGUCUCGAGACUUGUAAUAUAAUGUUCUAUCUUUGUUCGGUCUUUUUAAUUCGGAGACUAAUAUGAUGAAUUGUAUUCAGAGACUAAUAUGAUGAAUUGUAUUCAAAGACUAAUCUUCUAUUGUAUUUGAUGAAUCUAUUGUUGAUGUGUGCUGUCUAUAUUUUGUCAAAUUAUACAUUUUGUAACCUGUGCAAAAAGCAGAAAAUAAAAAAAUAAAAAAAAACCUAAUAUUCAUACUAAUGGCGCAUCACACGACAGUGCGCCAUUAGUAUGACAGUGCAUACUAAUGGCGCAUCACCGGGUAGUGCGCCAUUAGUAUGCUGCGGUUACUAAUGGCGCAUCCAGAGGUGGUGCGCCAUUAGUAUGCCAAAGCACCUGGGUAUACAUGCCAACUGGGAGGCAUACUAAUGGCGCACCCUCGCAUAUACUAAUGGCGCACCAGGUGGUGCGCCAUUAGUAUACCAGAUACUAAUGGCGCACCAGCUGGUGCGCCAUUAGUAAAAAUUACUAAUGGCGUGCUAUCAAUGGCGCACCAGUGAUGCGCCAUUAAUGGCCAUAUUAGGUGCGCCAUUAGUAGUGGUAUUUCUAGUAGUGUAGAGAGGAAUUACCCUAGAUACUUGGUAGAUGAGAAGGCUGGCAAGGUCGAUAGAAGUAUAUUGGAUAUACAUUAUGUUAAUGUGUACUUUACUAGUACUCCUAGUAGCACCAGGGUAUUAAGAUACCGGUUCGGUUGCUAAGUGUUAGUAACUCGAAAUCAAAAGAGCUACGGAAUAAACGGAGACUAGCUAAAGGUGAGCUGAUGAUAUGUGUUGGAAGUAUUUCCAAGUUCGAUGUGAUCAAACAUCGCACGCUCCCUCUACCAUCAAGAUUAGUAUUAAACCUGAAUGAUUGUCAUUUGGUGUUUGCGUUGAGCAUAGACAUGAUUGGAUUAUGUCUAUCGCAAUACGGUUAUUCAUUUAAGGAGAAUAAUGGUUACUCUGUUUAUUUGAAUAAUACCUUCAAUGGUCUUGCACCUGAAACGAAUGGUUUAUAAAAUCUCGAUCGUAGUGAUACACAUUUUCAUGCCAAAAGAUAUAAGAUAGUAAUGAUAAUACCACUUACUUGUGGCACUGCCAUGUAAGUCAUACUGGUAUAAAAUGCAUGAAGAAGCUCCAUGUUGAUGGAUCUUUGGACUCACUCGUUUUUGAAAAGUUUGAGACAUGCGAACCAUGUCUAUUGGUGUAUACGCAUGAAGAAACUCCAUGCAGAUGGAUCGUUUGGACUCACUUGAUUUUGAAUCACUUGAGAUAUGCAAAUCAUACCACAUGGGCAAGAUGACUGAAAGCCUCGUUUUCAGUAAGAUGGACCAAGACAGCAACUUGUUGGAAGUAACACAUUUUGAUGUGUGCAGUCCAAUGAGUGCUGAGGCAUGCAGUGAAUAUCGUUAUGUUCUUACUUCACAGAUGAUUCGAGUAGAUGUUGAGUAUAUUUACUUGAUGAAACAAAAGUCUGAAUUAUUGAAUGGUUCAAGUAAUUUCAGAGUGAAGUUGAAGAUCAUCAUGACAAGAGGAUAAAAUGUCUAUGAUAUGAUCAUAGAGAUGAGUAUCUGAGUUACGAGCUUUGGCACGCAAUUAAGACAUUGUGGAAAUUGUUUCACAAUUAAUACCGCCUGGAACACCAUAGUGUGAUGGUGUGUCCGAACAUCAUAGUUGCACCCUAUUGGAUAUGGUCCGUACCAUGAUGUCUCUUAUCGAAUUACCACUAUCGUUCAUGGGUUAGGCAUUAGAGACAACCGCACUCACUUUAAUAGGGCACCACGUAAUUCCGUUGAGACGACACCGUUUGAACUAUGGUUUGGAGAAACCUAAGUUGUCGUUUCUUGAAAAGUUUGGGGCUGCGAAGCUUAUGUGAAAAAGUUUCAGGUUGAUAAGCUCGAACCCAAAGCGGAUAAAAUGCAUCUUCAUAGGACACCCAAAAACAGUUGGGUAUACCUCCUAAUUCAGAUCCUAAAGCAAUAGGGAUUGUUUCCAUAAUCGGGUCCUUUCUCGAGGAAAGGUUUCUCUCGAAAGAAUUGAGUGGGAGGAUGGUGGAGACUUGAUGAGGUUAUUGAACUGUCACUUCAACAAGUGUGUAGCAGGGCACAGGAAGUUGUUCCUGUGGCACCUACACCAAUUGAAGUAGAAGCUUAUGAUAGUGAUCAUGAAGUUUCGGAUCAAGUCACUACCGAACCUCGUAGGGUGACAAGGAUACGUACUACUUCAGAGUGGCACAGUAAUCCUGUCUUGAAGGUCAUGUUGCUAGACAACAAUGAACCUACGAGCUAUGGAGAAGCGAUGGUGGGCCCAAAUUCCGACAAAUGGUUAGAAGCCAUGAAAUCCGAGAUAGGAUCCAUGUAUCAGAACAAAGCAUGGACUUUGGUGGACUUGCCCGAUGAUCGGCAAGCCAUUGAGAUAAAUGGAUCUUUAAGAAGAAGACGGACGUGGAUGGUAAUGUCACCAUCUAUGAAGCUCGACUUGUGACGAAGAGUUUUUCACAAGUUCAAGGAGUUGACUACGAUGAGAUUUUCUCAUCCGUAGCGAUGCUUAAAGUCCGUCGGAUUCAUGUUAGCAUUAGCUGCAUUUAUGAAAUCUGGUAGAUGGAUGACAAAACGAGUUUCCUUACCAGUCUUCGUAAGGAAAGGUUGUAUGUGAUACAAUCAGAAAAGGUUUUGUCGAUCAUAAGGAUGCUGAAAGGUAUGCUAGCUCCAGCGAUCCUUCUAAGGACUGGAGUAAGCAUCUCGGAGUUGGAAUGUACGCUUUGAUAAGAUGAUCAAAGAUUUUGGGUUUAUACAAAGUUUAUGAGAAACUUGUAUUUCCAAAGAAGUGAGUGGGAGCACUAUAGACUUUCUGAUGAGUAUAUGUUGUUGACAUAUUGAUGAUCAGAAAUGAUGUAGAAUUUCUGGAAUGCAUAUAGGGUUAUUUGAAAAGGUGUUUUUCAAGUGAAAACCUGGAUUAAGCUACUUGAACAUUGAGCAUCAAGAUCUAUGAGGAUAGAUCAAAAACGCUUAAUGAUACUUUCAAAUGAGCAUAUACCUUGACAUGAUCUUGAAGGUGUUCAAGAUGGAUCAGUCAUAGAAGGAGUUCUUGCCUGAGAUGUAAGGUAUGAAGUUAAGACUUAAAGCUCGACCACGGCAGAAAAGAGAGAAAGGACGAAGGUCGUCCCUUAUGCUAUAGACGUAGGCUCUACAGUAUGCUAUGCUGUGUACCGCACCUGAUGUGUGCCUUGCUACAUAUCUGGCAAGAGAGUACAAAGGUGAUCAAGGAGUGGAUCACCAGAUAGCGGUCAAAAUUAUCCUUAGAAGAAUAAGGAUAUGUUUCUCGAUUAUGGAGGUGAUAAAGAGUUCGGCGUAAAGGGUUACGUUGAUGCAAGCUUUAACACCUAUCCGAGUGACUCUGAGGCAAACCGGAUACGUAUAGUGGAGCAACCAUUUGGAAUAGCUCCAAGUGGAGCGUGGAAGCAGCAUUUACAAUAUGACCUAGAGAUUUGCGAAGUACAUACGGAUCUGAAUGUUGCAGACCCGUUGACUAAAACCUCUCUCACAAGCAGAACAUGAUCAAACCCCAGAUCUCAUUGAGUCUUAAUCACAUGAUGAUGUGAACUAGUUUAGUGACACUAGUAAACUCUUUGGAUGUUGGUCACAUGGUGAUGUGACCUGUCAGUGUUAAUCACAUGGUGAUGUAAACUAGAUUAUUGACUCUAGUGCAAGUGGGAGACUGUUGGAAAUAUGCCCUAGAGGCAAUAAUAAAAGUGUUAUUAUUAUAUUUCUUUGUUCAUGAUAAUAGUCUUUUAUUCAUGCUAUAACUGUAUUAUUCGGAAAUCGUAAUACACGUGUGAAUACAUAGACCACAAUAUGUCCCUAGUGAGCCUCUAGUUGACUAGCUCGUUGUGAUCAACAGAUAGUCAUGGUUUCCUGGCUAUGGACAUUGGAUGUCGUUGAUAACGGGAUCACAUCAUUAGGAGAAUGAUGUGAUGGACAAGACCCAAUCCUAAGCCUAGCAUAGAGAUCGUGUAGUUCGUAUGCUAAAGCUUUUCUAAUAUCAAGUAUCUUUUCCGUAGACCAUGAGAUUGUGCAACUCCCGGAUACUGUAGGAAUGCUUUGGGUGUACCAAACGUCACAACGUAACUGGGUGGCUAUAAAGGUGCAUUACAGGUAUCUCCGAAAGUGUCUGCUGGGUUGGCACGAAUCGAGACUGGGAUUUGUCACUCCGUGUAAAUGGAGAGGUAUCUCUAGGCCCACUCGGUAGGACAUCAUCAUAAUGUGCACAAUGUGACCAAGGGGUUGAUCAUGGGAUGAUGUGUUACGGAAAGAGUAAAGAGACUUGCCGGUAACGAGAUUGAACAAGGUAUCGGUAUACCGACGAUCGAAUCUCGGGCAAGUAUAAUACCGCUAGACAAAGGGAUUUGUAUAUGGGAUCGAUUGACUCCUUGACAUCGUGGUUCAUCCGAUGAGAUCAUCGUGGAACAUGUGGGAGCCAACAUGGGUAUCCAGAUCCCGCUGUUGGUUAUUGACCGGAGAACGUCUCGGUCAUGUCUACAUGGUUCCCGAACCCGUAGGGUCUACACACUUAAGGUUCGAUGAUGCUAGGGUUAUAAAGGAAGUUUGUAUGUGGUUACCGAAUGUUGUUCGGAGUCCCGGAUGAGAUCCCGGACGUCACGAGGAGUUCCAGAAUGGUCUGGAGGUAAAGAUUUAUAUAUGGGAAGUCCUGUUUUGGUCACCGGAAAAGUUUCGGGUUUUAUCGGUAACGUACCGGGACCACCGGGAGGGUCCCGGGGGUCCACCAAGUGGGGCCACCGGCCCCGGAGGGCUGCAUGGGCCAAGUGUGGGAGGGGACCAGCCCCAGGUGGGCUGGUGCGCCCCCCACCAAGGCCCAAGGCGCCUAGGGAUGGGGGAAACCCUAAAGGGGGGCGCCUCCCUUGCCUUGGGGGGCAAGGCAACCCCCCUGGCCGCCGCCCCCUCCUCAGAUUGGAUCUGAGGGGGCCGGCCUCCCUCUCCCUUGCCCCUAUAUAUAUGUGGGGGGUGGGAGGGCAGCCGUACCACAAGUUCUAGCGCAGCCCUUCCCCUCUCCCAAGUCCUCCUCCUCUCUCGCGGUGCUUGGCGAAGCCCUGCAUGAUUGCCACGCUCCUCCACCACCACCACGCCGUUGUGCUGCUGCUGGAUGGAGUCUUCCUCAACCUCUCCCUCUCUCCUUGCUGGAUCAAGGCGUGGGAGACGUCACCGGGCUAUACGUGUGUUGAACGCGGAGGUGCCCUCCGUUCGGCACUAGGAUCUCCGGUGAUUUGGAUCACGACGAGUACGGCUCCUUCAACCCCGUUCUCUUGAACGCUUCCGCUUAGCGAUCUACAAGGAUAUGUAGAUGCACUCUCCUUCCCCUCGUUGCUGGUUUCUCCAUAGAUAGAUCUUGGUGACACGUAGGAAAAUUUUGAAUUUCUGCUACGUUCCCCAACAGGUAGAAGAGGGAGAGUAAUGGGGGAGAAGUGUUGAGAAGAAGAAGAGUGAGAGUGGGAGGAUGUGGGAGGCAGGGGAAAGGGAAGAGAGGAGGGGGAGGGAAGGGGACGGGUGGGGAAAAGGUGGUGGGUUGGUGCGGAUUAGCAGUAGCGCAGGACGUAAAACGCGCUGCUGAUAAGAAAGUAGCAGCAGCGCGCUUUCGGCAGAAGCGCUACUUUUAACCGGGACAAAAAGUGUGUCCGAUUUGAAAAUUAGCAGCAGCAACCUCAGAAAAAGUGCGCUACUACUACAUCCAUAGCAGUAGCGCGGCUAGCGGAACCGCGCUGCUACUAAAUGGAGUUUGGGGGUGUCGGUGUCAAAACCGGCGGAUCUCGGGUAGGGGGUCCCGAACUGUGCGUCUAGGCGGAUGGUAACAGGAGACAAGGGAAACGAUGUUUUUACCGAGGUUCGGGCCCUCUCGAUGGAGGUAAAACCCUACUCCUGCUUGCAAACAACUUCCUUAUGGUUUAUAAACUAAUGUCUACCGCGGACGUAUAUUUAUAGUGGCGGUUCAUGAGCUUGGCGGUUCACAAAAUUAAAGUCCCAAGCACUUUGCAAGCAAGACUACUUGGCACUUGGGGGCUAAUGCAUAUUGCAGUUCAAACUAUGCAGUUAAUAUGUUCUACACAAGCAUGUGAAGGACCAGCUCAUUCAUUUUGAUUAAAACAGCCCUUGGGGGCUACGGAGGGCUACGGAUUAAGCCGGAUUUCUACAGGUUUUUGAUCUAAAGACAUUGUUAAUACUUGUUUGACGUUUUUAUAAAGUCUACAACAUAUUCAUCAUAUGCAGUAGACUUCGGGGAUGGCGCAAUAAGAAUGAUUCAGGGAAAAGAGGAGAUCAUACCUCAAAUUUAUGGUGCAUCUGCUUCACCAUGUCGGUUUCGACGUCACGGCUACUGUGCACUUGGCUGAGAUAGCCAACCAAAACUUCUCCGACACUCACGUGAGAGUAAUCCGUAAGGUCAAAUCUGACCUUACGACAUUCCAGGAAUUCUUCUUUGGCAGUGCAUUUGGCAAGCACAGCAGACCAUCCCGGCUCAAUGUAAUUGGUCUUGGUAAUUUCAACCUCAGCUUCUUGAGGGUCGUUUGUCUUGACUGGGCUUGAGACUAAGGUUGGCGGUUCAUACGCGGGUCAUCAAUAGCUUGCUCGGUAGGCGGGUCAGCGGCUAAGGUUGGCGGUUCAUACGCUGGCUCAGGUGGUGGCUCAGUAGCAGAGGUUUCCGGUAUGACCGUCUGAAGUGCCGGUUCUUUGAGGGUUGGCUCAUCGACCGGCUUGUCCUUGUUGGCCUUGCUAACCUUUACUUUGCCAUUACAUAAAGAUCAAAAGGUUAGUAUAAGUAUAAAAAUUCAAAGAACAAGCUAGGAAAGUCAUCAUUACCCUGGAGCGUCUUUGAAAGCUGGCAAGUUGGAUUGAAUUGAGUCACCGGAUGAAGGAGAAGUUUCCUGAUAAUUCGAGUCAGAAGGGUUCAGUGGCUGACAAGUGAGACCUGCCAAAGGAUAAGAGGAAUCUAAGACGGAGAUGACCUUGUUCCGGCGCUUCCGUGGUGUAUUGGGCAAGCCGGAGGAGAGCUCUGUGUCUUUGCUGGUACGGGUCUGCCUCCGACUCUCAUGAAUUUGUCGCUUCAAAAGAAAUUGAGGAUCUUGAUAAGCAAAACGAUGUGAAAAUCUUACUUUACAAGUUACUUGGCGGAGUUUUUGGCGCGGCAAAGGCUCUGAGUCGGAGGAAAUAAUAGUUACCUCUUCAUCCACCCCGCGGCUCGUGCCCGUGUCAUCCUGAUCAUAAUCAGUAUCAAUAAGGUGAUUAAAAAAUAAGCCAAGGGAGUCAAGGGCUACCUCCGACUUAGAAGAAUCAUCUAACCGAAGCUACUCAGAAGCACUGGGUUUCUUUCCACGUUUCUUUGUGGUGGCUCUCCUAGCGGCUCUCCUGGCCUUCCUGUCUCUUUUCGCGGCCUCAUGAUCAUAUUUGACUUUCCAGAAUUUGUUAUCAGCUUGUGAAAAUCAACAAAAGUUUGAUUAUAGAUAAAACAUAAAUAUUGGAAAUGAUUUGUUCAGCUUGGCGACUUACCGCUGGAGCCAGAUUGGUUGCGCAGAAAGGGCUUAAGCCCACCUUGGCGCAGUCUAUUAGGCUUUCAUUAAGGAGGCACUUGGUCAUGUCAUGUCGGAGGGGUAUUAAACAGCAUAAUGGAUCUGAACAUAUAAUUUUCCACCAAAUAAACCAUAUAAUAAUCAACUACAAGAUGUAAUCAACACUACUAGUCACCCGCAAGCACCAAUCUACAGUUCCGGUACAAAGAUUGAACACAAGAGAUGAACUAGGGUUUGAGAGGAGAUGGUGCUGUUGAAGAUGUUGAUGGAGAUUGCCCUUCCCAAGAUGGGAGAGUUGUUGGUGAUGAUGAUGACGAUGAUUUCCCCCUCCGGGAGGGAAGUUCCCCCGGCGGAAUCGCUGCGCCGAAGGGCAAAAGUAUUCCUGCCAAGUUCAGCCUCGAGACGGCGGCCCUUCGUCCCGAAAGUCCUUCCCUUAUUUUUUCUAGGUCAAAAUGACCUAAAUACCAGAAGAGAGGCACGGGAGGUGGGCUGGGCUGAGCACAACCCACCAGGUUGCGCCUGGGGGGCCUGGCGCGCCCUGGUGUCUUGAGCUCACUGAUACAUCUCCAACGUAUCUAUAAUUUUUGAUUGUUCCAUGCUAUUAUAUUAUCUAUUUUGGAUGUUUAAUGGGCUUUAAUAAGCUAUUUUACAUUAUUUUUGGGACUAACCUAUUAACCGAGGGUCUAGUGGCAAUUUCUAUUUUUUUGUCUAUUUUAGAGUUUUGCAGAAAAGGAAUACCAAACGGAGUCCAAACGGAAUGAAACCUUUGCGAAGAUCUUUCUUGGACCGAAAGCAAACAAGAAGACUUGGAGAUGAAGUCAGAGAGGCAACAAGGCGGCCACGAGGCAGGAGGGCGCGCCCAAGGCGGUUAGGCAUGCCCCCACCCUUGUGGGUCCCUCGUAACACCCCUGACUUAGUUCCUUCGUCUAUAUAUAUUCUUAUACCCCAAAAACAUCAGGGGGAGCCGCGAAAUCACUUUUCCACUGCUGCAACCUUCUGUACCCGUGAGAUCCCAUCUUGGGACCUUUUCCGGCGAUCUGCCAGAGGGGGAUUCGAUCAUGGAGGGCUUCUACAUCAACACCCACUACUAGGGAAAAGCCUAUACACAGAAUCUUACCAGCAGCGCUCCUCAAAAUACCACGCUACUACUAUUUAGCAGACGCGCAUUUCACCAAAACCCGCUGCUGAAAGGAAAAUAGCAGUAGCGCGUCCACCACAAACCGCGCUACUGCUAUAAUUGCAAUGACCUCGCCCCCCCGCUAGUUAUAGCAGUAGCGCUCUGUACAGAACAGCGCUACUGCUACAGAAGUUAGCAGUAGCGCGCUUCUAGGAAAACCGCUACUGCUAAGAUCAACCCACAAGUUUAGUCCCACCUCGCUCCGUGAACAGGGUGUUUACCACCUUAAAUUUGUUAUUUCCGAAACUACCACAACCAGUUGGUCUUCACUGAACUCAAAAAGAUCAUUGAUAGCCAAUGUAUUUUUGCAUUGAUGUAUUUUUUGUAUAGUUACACUUAGCAGUAGCGGUUUAUACGCAAAGCGCUACUGCUAUUCAGAUUAGCUGUAGCAUGUUUUGGCAAACGCGCUACAACUAUCCCUACCUUAUCCCCACGCGCACGACCGGCCCUCACUCACACUGAUCUCACUCUCGCCCGCGUGCCGAUAACCGUCGUCGUGCGUCGCCGCCGCCGCCGCCUUCGUCCGUCCGCCGCCGAGGUACUCCCCUCCUUCCGUCCCUCCUUCCUCCUCCUCCCUCCUCCCUCCGCCUGCGGCCGCCCCUCCCUCCUCCUCCGCCGCCCUCCUCCCUCCGCCUGCGGCCGCCCCUCCUCCCUCCUCCGUCGGCAGCCCUCCUCCCACCGCCCUCGACCUCGCCGCCCCUAGCUACCUCUCUGUCGCCCCCACCCCCUGCCACUAGUUAGUACUAGAUUUAGUAGUAGUAGAUGUUAAUUUAGGGUUCAUAGCUAGUACUAGAUGUUGCUUAGUUAGUACUAGAUUUUUAGUAGUAGUAGUGGUAGUUGAACUACUUUAGUUGUAGUUGAACUAGUUUAUUAAGUAAAUUAAUAAACUACUUGAACUAGUUGAAUUAAUAGAACUAAUGUAUUUUUAGUAAGAUAAUUAAUAUAACUAGUUGAACUACUUUAUUUUUACGAACUAGUUUUUUUCUAUUUAUAGUAAGUUUAUAUUUAUUAAGAACUAGUUGAAUUAAUAAAACUAGUUGAACAUGUCAUAUUUGUUGUUAUUUUUUAGUUUAAGCAAUUAUUCAGGAUGUAUUAGUGAUAACUUAUAUGGUUUCAGGUGACCACCGUCGUCCCCGUCACCGACCCCCUCCGACAUCCCCGCCGUCGUCCCAGUCACCGACCCCCUCCGACAUGGAGGUGAGACCAGCCAAAUAUCCUUGUAUAUCUUGUGUUGUUGCUCAAAUAGGAUAUGUGGUUGCCCAAGUGGCCGUUCAUGUUCAAUUUACAUAUCUGAGUGGCCUAUGUUUUGCCGGAGUGUUGAUUAAUUUCCCUUCGGCAAAUUUCAGGCGCUCGAUAUGUCCUUUUUUAGCAAAGGUCAUGCCGGAUUUUUUCGUGAAUUCUGGCAUGACUUGUGCUAGAAUAUGUACAAGUUUAAUCUUUGAAUUAUGAUUGUAGGAAAUGUCGUACUCGGUCGACGACAGUCUCCCGGGGGAGUGUAGCUGGUGCCACGACGAUCGAGGUAUGUGCGACAGGUUCGUUCGGCUGGACGAAGAUCGGCGCUUCAGCAUUAAGCUCGAGGAGACCUUCGAUUGUGAAACGGUACGCAACAACGACAAGUGUUUUUUUUGUAAUUAAGCAUGACUUCAACUAUUUCAACGUCUAAUUUUCAUAUUUUACAAUUAGACUAGCUUAUCCCAUGCCAUGCAAGACACUAUGUCUUGGAGAGGAUGGGUUUUGAAGACCAUGAAAAUUUCGAAACAAAGAAAAUACACCUAAGGACCCAUCAUGAUAAGGAUUUUGAAGUAAAUCUGUGCAAUGCUCAGAGCGUAACCCAUUUUGGUUGCCAAAAUUGGGAAGCACUUUGCAAAAUGUAUGGUUUUUAUGAGGGUAUGAUUGUCACCAUGGAUCUUGGUGAUCCUAACAUCGAGCAAGACAAUAUGGACAUUUGGGUCCUUGUUGAUACGCUUCCGAUUGUACCGCUAUGUGAGUUUCUCAAGCAUAGUUAUUAACUAAUUUAUAUUGUUUAUUUAAAAAUAGUUGAUAGCUUAUUUCCAUUGAUAGCUUAUUUUGAUUCUUCAAAGACUGUGCGGAAGAUGGUAGAUAAAACCCACUACACCGAUGGCACCGAAUUAACGUAUAAGGAGAAAAAUCAUCUGAUCACAUUUUGUACUCUUCUUGAGAAUUACAAUAACUAUUAUCGAACUCCUCCAAAUUAUGGUGAAUACGUGCCACUAGUGCAUGUGUUGAACCACGGUAACUUCUCUGGAGAUACCUUGGUAAGAUUUUUUACUAUUACGACAUCCGUGCAUCUUUGGCAUACUUCUAAAACUAGUACAUCAUUUCUAACUACGAUGUUGUUAUUAUGUUUUUCAACAGAAACUCCCGAUGGAUUGUGUGCCUCAUCUGAUGUCUCUGCAUGGUCGCCUCUUAGUUCUGAACAUACUGCCAGGUAAAUCUACGGAGGUCACCUGUGCAUAUCGGAUUUCUAAAACCCGUGAACACAUGUUCAUCAAAGAAUGGAAGAAAUGUAUGGACAUUCGCAAGGAGGUUCUUGGAAGUAACAUUUAGCGAAAGGCAAGAAUUGGAGACAGGCUAAUCUCCAUUCUCCAUAAUGGAGAGUCAGGGGCUAUCUUGUUUUUUGCUAUUUUACUUUAGAAAAUGUAGUAGGUCUUAAUCGAAUGUAAUAGGUCCUAUGAGGUACAAUAUGUUUAUUAUGUGGUAAUGUGUUAGAGUUGAUAAUGAUGAUCUUGAGGAGGUGUUAUGUGAUGUCAAUGAUGAAAACAAUGAUCUUGAGGAGGUGUUAUAUGACAAUGAUGUAUUAUGAUGAUAAGUUGUUAAUGAUAUGAUGAUGAUGAUGAUAUUAUUAUAUCAUUCGGUGAAAGAACCGCGGAUUAGUUUCAAGUGGAUGGACAUCCACUUGAAACUAGUCCACGGUUCUUUCACCCCAUGAUGUAAUAACUCAUUAUUAUGUAAAAACAAUCUCUAAAUUCCUGUUGUAUGAAAACUUGUGUAAAGGUGUAUGAAUACAACAUGAAAUAAAAAAGAAAUAAAAUACUAAAUAACAGUAGUAGCGCGGGAGAGGAGAAGCGCUACUACUAAUUACCAGUAGCGCUGUCCUGAAGGAGCGCUACUACUAAGUCAAUUUACCAGUAGCGUGGGUCGAGGCGCGCUAUUGCUAAGCAUUAGCUGUAGCGCCUUAUCAGUAGCGCUCCUGCCCGCGCUACUGAUAGGCCAAAAACCCGCGCUGUUGCUAGGCUUUUUCCUAGUAGUGACCAUUACCUCUUCGAUGAAGCGUGAGUAGCUUACCACAGACUUUGGAGUCCAUGGUUAUUAGCUGGCUUUUUCUCUCUCUUUGAUUCUCAAUACAAAGUUCUCCUCGAUGUUCUUGGAGAUCUGUUCGAUGUAAUACUCUUUUGCGGUGUGUUUGCCGAGAUCUGAUGAAUUGUGGAUUUAUGAUCAAGAUUAUCUAUGAAUAUUAUUUGGUUCUUCUCUGAAUUCUUAUAUGCAUGAUUUGAUAUCUUUGCAAGUCUUUUCGAAUUAUCGGUUUAGUUUGACCUACUAGAUUGAUCUCUAUAGCCAUGAGAGAAGCGCUUAGCUUUGGGUUCAAUCUUGUGGUGUCCUUUUCCAGUGACAGUAGGGGCAGCAAGGCACGUAUAGUAUUGUUGCCAUCGAGGAUAACAAGAUGGGGUUUUCAUCAUAUUGCUUGAGUUAAUUCCUCUACAUCAUGUCAUCUUGCUUAAUGUGUUACUCCGUUUUUAUGAACUUAAUACUCUAGAUGCAUGCUGGAUAGCGGUCGAUGUGUGGAGUAAUAGUAGUAGAUGCAGGCAGGAGUCGCUCUACUUGACACGGACGUGAUGCCUAUGUUCAUGAUUAUUGCCUUAGAUGUCAUCAUAAUUAUGCGCUUUUCUAUCAAUUGCUUGGCAGUAAUUUGUUCAACCACUGUAAUAUAUGCUAUCUCGAGAGAAGCCACUAGUGAAACCUAUGGCCCCCGGGUCUCUUUUCCAUAUUACUGAAUCACGUUUACAUCUUGCUAGUUUCCGAUCUACUAUUUUGCAAUCUUUACUUUCCAAUCUAUAAACCAAAAAUACCAAAAAUAUUUACUUUACCGUUUAUCUAUCUCUAUCAGAUCUCACUUUUGCGAGUGACCGUGAAGGAUUGACAACCCCUUUAUCGCGUUGGUUGCAAGUUCUUGAUUGCUUGUGCAGGCAUUCAGUGACUUGUGCGUCGUCUCCUGCUGGAUUGAUACCUUGGUUCUCAAAACUGAGGGAAAUACUUACGCUACUUUGCUGCAUCACCCUUUCCACUUCAAGGGAAAACCAACACAAGCUCAAGAGGUAGCAAGAAGGAUUUCUGGUGCCGUUGCCGGGGAGAUCUACGCCAACUCAAGCCAUACCAAGUACCCAUCAUAAACUCUUCUCCCUUGCAUUACAUUAUUCGCCAUUUGCCUCUCGUUUUCCUCUCCCCCACUUCUAAAACGAUUUUAAAAAACCUUUGCCUUUUCUUCGCCCCUCUUCCGUUCGUCUCUUUUCGCUUGCUUCUUGUGUGCUUGUGUGUUGGAUUGAUUGCUUGUCACGAUGGCUCAAGAUAAUACUAAAUUGUGUGAAUUUUCCAACACCAACAACAAUGAUUUUAUUAGCACUCCGAUUGCUCCUACUACCAAUGCUAAAUCUUGUGAAAUUAAUGAAGGAAAUAUGCCCUAGAGGCAAUAAUAAAGUUAUUAUUUAUUUUUCCUUAUACCAUGAUACAUGUUUAUUAUUCAUGAUAGAAUUUUAUUAUACGGAAACUUAGUACAUGUGUGGAUACAUAGACAAACAAAGUGUCACUACUAUGCCUCUACUGAACUAGCUCGUUCAAUCAAAGAUGGUUAAGUUUCCUAGCCAUAGACAUGACUUGUCAUUUGAUUAACGGGAUCACAUCAUUAGAUAAUGAUGUGAUUGACUUGACCCAUUCCAUUAGCUUAGCACUUGAUCAUUUAGUUUGUUGCUAUUGCUUUCUUCAUGACUUAUACAUGUUACUAUGACUAUGAGAUUAUGCAACUCCCGAAUACCGGAGGAACACUUUGUGUGCUACCAAAUGUCACAACAUAACUGGGUGAUUAUAAAGGUGCUCUACAGGUGUCUCUGAUUGUCGGAGAGGUAUCUCUAGGCCCUCUCGGUAAUGCACAUCGCUAUAAGCCUUGCAAGCAAUGUGAAUAAUGAGUUAGUUGCGGGAUGAUGCAUUACAGAACGAGUAAAGAGACUUGCCAGUAACGAGAUUGAACUAGGUAUUGAGAUACCAACGAUCGAAUCUCGGGCAAGUAACAUACCGAUGACAAAGGGAACAAUGUAUGUUGUCAUGCAGUUUGACCGAUAAAGAUCUUCGUAGAAUAUAGAUGAGCAAAUAUGAGCAUCCAGGUUCCACUAUUGGUUAUUAACCGGAGACAUGUCUCGGUCAUGUCUACAUAGUUCUCGAACCCGUAGGGUCCGCACGCUUAACGUUCGGUGAUGAUCGGUAUUAUGAGUACAUGUGUUUUGAUGUAUCGAAGGUUGUUUGGAGUCCCGGAUGAGACCAAGGACAUGACGAGGAGUCUCGAAAUGGUCGAGACAUAAAGAUUGAUAUAUUGGAAGGUUAUAUUCGGGCAUCGGAAGGGUUCUGGGGGUCACUGGAUAAAUACCGGAGUACCGGGAGGUUAUCGGAACCCCCCUGGGAGUAUAUGGGCCUUAAUGGGCUUUAUAGGAAAGAGAGAGGGACUGGCUAGGGCUGGGCCACACGCCCCCCAAGCCUAGUCCGAAUUGGACUAGGGGGAGGGACUCCUUAAUGCCCCCACAAGCCCCCUCCUUCCUUCCCCUCACCUCCUUUCCUUCCCCCUUCUCCUACUCCUACUAGGAAAUGGGAGUCCUACUCCCGGUGGGAGUAGGACUCCUCCCUUGGCGCACCCUCCUCCUAGGCCGGCCGCCUCCCCCCUUGCUCCUUUAUAUACGGGGGCAGGGGGCACCCCAAGACACACAAGGAGAUCAUUGAUCUUUAGCCAUGUGCGGUGCCCCCUCCACCAUAAUCCACCUUGGUCAUAUCGUUGCGGUGCUUAGGCGAAGCCCUGUCUCGGUAGCUUCAUCAACACCGUCAUCACGCCGUCGUGCUGACGGAACUCUCCCUCGAAGCUCUACUGGAUCGUGAGUUCAUGGGACGUCACCGAGCUGAACGUGUGCAAAUCGCGGAGGUGUCGACGAGGGUACAUGGACGACACUCUCCCCUCUCGUUGCUAUGCAUUACCAUGAUCUUGCGUGUGCGUAGGAAUUUUUUUGAAAUUACUAUGUUCCCCAACAGUGGCAUCCGAGCCAGGUUUGUGCGUAGAUGUUAUAUGCACGAGUAGAACACAAGUGAGUUGUGGGCGAUACUAGUCAUACUGUUUACCAGCAUAUCAUACUUUGAUUCGGCGGUAUUGUUGGAUGAAGCGGCCCGGACCGACAUUACGCGUACGCUUACGCGAGACUGGUUCUACCGACGUGCUUCGCACAAAGGUGGCUGGAGGGUGUCUGUUUCUCCAACUUUAGUUGAAUCGAGUGUGGCUGCGCUCGCUCCUUGUGAAGGUUAAAACAACACAUACUUGACGCAAUAUCGUUUUGGUUUUGAUGCGUAGGUAAGAACAGUUCUUGCUUAGCCCUUAGCAGCCACGUAAAACUUGCAACAACAAAGUAGAGGAUGUCUAACUUGUUUUUGCAGGGCAUGUUGUGAUGUGAUAUGGUCAAGACAUGAUGCUAAAUUUUAUUGUAUGAGAUGAUCAUGUUUUGUAACGGAGUUAUCGGCAACUGGCAGGAGCCAUAUGGUUGUCGCUUUAUUGUAAGAAAUGCAAUCGCCAUGUGAUUGAUUUACUUUAUCACUAAGCAGUAGCGAUAGUCGCAGAAGCAAUAGUUGGCGAGAUGACAACGAUGCUACGAUGGAGAUCAAGGUGUCGCACCGGUGACAAUGGUGAUCAUGAUGGUGCUUUGGAGAUGGAGAUCAAAGGCACAAGAUGAUGAUGGCCAUAUCAUAUCACUUAUAUUGAUUGCAUGUGAUGUAUAUCUUUUAUGCAUCUUAUUUUGCUUAGAUCGACGGCAGCAUUAUAAGAUGAUCUCUCACUGAAUUUCAAGGUAUAAGUGUUCUCCCUGAGUAUGCACCAUUGCGAAAGUUCGUCGUGCCGAGACACCACGUGAUGAUCUGGCGUGAUAAGCUCUACAUUCACAUACAAUGGGUGCAAGCCAGUUUUGCACACGCAGAAUACUCGAGUUAAACUUUACGAGCCUAGCAUAUGCAGAUAUGGUCUCGGAACACUGAGACCGAAAGGUCGAGCAUGAAUCAUAUAGUAGAUAUGAUCAACAUAGUGAUGUUCACCAUUGAAAACUACUCCAUCUCACGUGAUGAUCGGACAUGAUUUAGUUGAUCUGGAUCACGUGAUCACUUAGAUGAUUAGAGGGAUGUUUAUCUAAGUGGGAGUUCUUAAGUAAUUUGAUUAAUUGAACUUUAAUUUAUCAUGAACUUAGUACCUGAUACUAUUUUGCAUGUCUAUGUUGUUGUAGAUAGAUGGCCCGUGCUGUUGUUCUGUCGAAUUUUAAUGCGUUCCUUGAGAAAGCUAAGUUGAAAGAUGAUGGUAGCAAUUACACGGACUGGGUCCGUAACUUGAGGAUUAUCCUCAUUGCUACACAGAAGAAUUACGUCCUGGAAGCACCGCUAGGUGCAAGACCCGCUGCAGGAGCUACGCCAGACGUUGUGAACGUUUGGCAGAGAAAAGCUGAUGACUACUCGAUAGUUCAGUGUGCCAUGCUUUACGGCUUAGAACCGGGACUUCAACGAUGUUUUGAACGUCAUGGAGCAUAUGAGAUGUUCCAGGAGUUGAAGUUAAUAUUUCAAGCAAAUGGCCGGAUUGAGAGAUAUGAAGUCUGUAAUAAGUUCUACAGCUGCAAGAUGGAGGAUAAUAGUUCUGUCAGUGAACAUAUACUCAAAAUGUCUGGGUAUAAUAACCACCUGAUGAUAAUGUCAUUGACAGAAUUCUUUAAUCACUACCACCAAGCUACAAGAGCUUCUUGAUGAACUAUAAUAUGCAAGGGAUAAAUAAGACAAUUCCCGAGCUCUUCGCGAUUCUAAAGGCUGUGGAGGUAGAAAUCAAGAAGGAGCAUCAAGUGUUGAUGGUCAACAAGACCACCAGUUUUAAGAAAAAGGGUAAAGGGAAGAAGGGGAACUUCAAGAAGAACGGCAAGCAAGUUGCUGCUCAAGUGAAGAAGCCCAAGUCUGGACCUAAGCCUGAGACUGAGUGUUUCUACUGCAAAGGGACUGGUCACUGGAAGCGAAACUGCCCCAAGUAUUUGGCGGAUAAGAAGGAUGGCAAGGUGAACAAAGGUAUAUGUGAUAUACAUGUUAUUGAUGUGUACCUUACUAAUGCUCACAAUAGUGCCUGGGUAUUUGAUACUGGUUCUGUUGCUAAUAUUUGCAACUCGAAACGUGGACUACGGAUUAAGCGAAGAUUAGCUAAGGACGAAGUGACGAUGCGCGUGGGAAAUGGUUCCAAAGUCGAUGUGAUCACGGUCGGCACGCUACCUCUACAUCUAGCUUUGGGAUUAGUUUUAGACCUGAAUAAUUGUUAUUUGGUGCCAACGUUGAGCAUGAACAUUAUAUCUUGAUCUUGUUUGACGCGAGACGGUUAUUCAUUUAAAUCUGAGAAUAAUGGUUGUUCUAUUUAUAUGAGACCCCCUCUUGGGACUUUAAAAAUCCUACUCCAUUAUUCUACCCUACUCUUGGGACUUCAAUUCUGUUUUUCGUGUGUUGUUUGCUUAUUUCAAUGCAUCUAUGGCUAGUAAAUUAGUUUAUAAACCAUAAGGAAGUUGGAAUACAGUGGGUUUAACACCAAAUUAAAUAAAGAAUGAUUUCAUUGCAGUACCUUAUGUGGUGGUUUUGUUUUCUUUCACUGACGGAGCUUAUAAGAUUUCCUGUUGAGUAUUGUGUUGUGAAGUUUUCAAGUUUUGGGUAAAGCUUUUAUGGACUAUGGAAUAAAGGGUGGCAAGAGACUAAGCUUCGGGAUUCCCAAGGCACCCCAAGAUAUUCAAGGAUAGCCAAAAGCCUAAGCUUGGGGAUGCCCUGGGAAGGCAUCCCCUCUUUCGUCUUCGUUCAUUGGUAACUUUACUUGGAGCUAUAUUUUUAUUCGCUACAUGAUAUGUGUUUUGCUUGGAGCGUCGUGUAUUAUAUUAGUCUUUGAUUUUUAGUUUACCACAAUCAUCCUUGUUGUACACACCUUUUUGGGAGAAGCCUAUUUGAUUAGAAUUUGCUAGAAUUCUCUAUGUGCUUCACUUAUAUCUUUUGAGCUUCAUAGUUUUUGCUCUAGUGCUUCACUUAUAUCUUUUAGAGCACAGUGGUGUCUUAAUUUUGAAGAAAUUUCUAGUCUCUCAUGCUUCACUUAUAUUAUUUUGAGAGUGUUUUAGAGCAGCAUGGUAUUUGCUUUAGUCAUCAAGUUGGUCCUAGAAUGGUAGGCAUCCAAGUUGGGUAUAAUAAAAACUAUCAUAUAGGAAGUGAAUUGGAUGCUAUGGUCAACUUGAUACUUGAUAAUUGUUUUGACAUAUGGAGGUAGUGAUAUUAAAGUCAUGCUAGUUGGGUGAUUAUGAAUUUAAAGAAUGCUUGUGUUGAAGUUAGUAAGUCCCGUAGCAUGCACGUCUGGUUAAAGUUGUGUAACAAAUUUGAAACAUGAAGUGUACCUGGCUUGUGCAUCCUUAUGAGUGGCGGUCGGGGACGAGCGAUGGUCUUUUCCUACCAAUCUAUCCCCCUAGGAGCAUGCGCGUAGUACUUGAUUUUUUUGACGACUUCUAAAUUUUUGCAAUAAGUAUAUGAGUUCUUUUGACUAAUGUUGAGUCCAUGGAUUAUACGCACUUUUACCUUUCCGCCUUUGCUAGCCUCUUCAGUACCAUGCAUUGUCCUUUCUCACCUUGAGAGUUGGUGCAAACAUCGCCGGUGCAUCCAAACCACGUGAUAUGAUACACUCUAUCACACAUAAACCUCCUUAUAUCUUCCUCAAAACAGCCACCAUACCUACCUAUUAUGGCAUUUCCAUAGCCAUUCCGAGAUAUAUUGCCAUGCAACUUUCCACUGUUCCGUUCAUCAUCAUCAUGACAUACUUUAGUUUUGUCAUAUUGCCAUUAAAUUAUCAUGUAGUUGACAUCAUAUUUGUGGCAAAGCCACCAUGCAUUAUUUUUCAUACAUGUCACUCUUGAUUCAUUGCACCAUCCCGGUACACCGCCGGAGGCAUUCAUAUAGAGUCAUAUUUUGUUCUAGUUUCGAGUUGUAAUUCUUAUGUUGUAAUCAAUAGAAGUGUGAUGAUCAUCAUUAUUAGAACAUUGCCCAACGAAAAAAAAAGGAAGAAAGGCCAAAAAGAAAAAGAAAAAAGAAAGGCCCAAAAAGAAAAAAAGGAGGGGGAAGAAAAAAUGGGGAAAAAGAAAAAAAGAAAAAAAAGAAUAAAUAAAUAAAUAAGGGCAAUGUUACUAUCUCUUUUUCCACACUUGUGCUUCAAAGUAGCACCUUGUUCUCCAUGUAGUGAGUCUCAUAUAUUGUCCUUCAAAGUAACACCAUGUUUUCAUAUAGUGAGUCUCAUAAGUUGUCUUUUUCAUACUAGUGGGAAUUUUUCAUUAUAGAACUUGGCUUGUAUAUUCCUACGAUGUGCUUCCUCAAAUGCCCUAGGUCUUCGUGAGCAAGAAAGUUGGAUGCACAGCCGCUAGUGUUGAGCAUUCAUUUAUAGCUCUAGUGCAUCCGUUGCCUGGCAAUCCCUACUCCUCAUGUUGACAUCAAUUGAUGGGCAUCUCCAUAGCCCGUUGAUUAUCCUCGUCAAUGUGAUACUAUCUCCUUUUUUGUCUUCUCCACACAAUCCCCAUCAUCAUAUUCUAUUCCACCCAUAGUGCUAUAUCCAUGGCUCAUGCUCAUGUAUUGCGUGAAGGUUGAAAAAGUUUGAGAUUAUUGAAGUAUGAAACAAUUGCUUGGCUUGUCAUCGGGGGUGUAGAAGUUGGGAACAUCUUUGUGUGACAAAAAUGAAGCAUAGCCUAACUAUAUGAUUUUGUAGGGAUGAACUUUCUUUUGCCAUGUUAUUUUGAGAAGACAUGAUUACUUUGAUUAGUAUGCUUGAAGUGUUACUAUUUCUUUUAUCAAUAUGAACUUUGAUCUGAACAUUCAUGCGACAAUAAAGAGAAUUACAUUAUGAAUUAUGCUAGGUAGCAUUCCACAUCAAAAAUUCUCUUUUUAUCAUUUACCUACUCGAGGACGACCAUUAAUUAAGCUUGGGGAUGCCUGAUACGUCUCCAACAUAUCUAUAAUUUUUUAUUGUUCCAUGCUAUUGUAUUACCCCUUUUGGAUGUUUAUGGGCUUUAUUUUACACAUUUAUAUCAUUUUUGGGACUAACCUACUAACCGGAGGCCCAGCCCAUAUUGCUGUUUUUUUGCCUAUUUCAGUAUCUCGAAGAAAAGGAAUAUCAAAUAGAGUCCAAAUGGAAUGAAACCUUCGGGAGCGUGAUUUUUGGAACGAACAUGAUCCGGAGAGCUUGGAGCGCAAGUCAAGAAGUUGCCGAGGAAGCCACGAGAUAGGAGGCCACCCCCCCCCCUGUAGGGCGCACCCCCUGUCUCGUGGGCCCCUCGGGCGGCCACCGACGUACUUCUCCUCCUAUAUAUACCUACAUACCCCGAAAACAUCCAGGAGAACCACGAAACACAAUUUCCACCGCCGUAACCUUCUGUAUCCGCGAGAUCUCAUCUUGGAGCCUUCACUGGCACUCUGCCGGAGGGGGAAUCGACCAUGGAGGGCUUCUACAUCAACAUAUUUGCCCCUCUGAUGAGUUGUGAGUAGUUUACCACAGACCUACAGGUCCAUCGUUAUUAGCUAGAUGGCUUCUUCUCUCUUUUUGGAUCUCAAUACAAUGUUCUCCCACUCUCUUGUGGAGAUCAAUUCGAUGUAAACUCUUUUUGUGGUGAGUUUGUCGAGAUCCGAUGAAUUGUGGGUUUAUGAUCAAGUUUAUCUAUGAAUAAUAUUUGAAUCUUCUCUGAAUUCUUUUAUGUAUGAUUGAGUUAUCCUUGCAAGUCUCUUCGAAUUAUCAGUUUGGUUUGGCCUACUAGAUUGGUCUUUCUGCCAUGGGAGAAGUGCUUAUCUUUGGGUUCAAUCUUGCGGUGUCCUUACCCAGUGACAGAAAGGGUUGCAAGGCACGUAUUGUAUUGUUGCCAUCGAGGAUAACAAGAUGGGGUUUAUAUCAUAUUGCAUGAGUUUAUGCCUCUACAUCAUGUCAUCUUGCUUAAUGCGUUACUCUGAUCUUAUGAACUUAAUACUCUAGAUGCAGCCAGGAGUCGGUCGAUGUGUGGAGUAAUAGUAGUAGAUGCAGGCUGGAGUCAGUCUACUUGUUAUGGACGUGAUGCCUAUAUACAUGAUCAUGCCUAGAUAAUCUCAUAACUAUGCGCUUUUCUAUCAAUUGCUCGACAGUAAUUUGUUCACCCACCAUAAUACGUAUGCUAUCUUGAGAGAAGCCUCUAGUGAAACCUAUGGCCCUGGGUCUAUCUCUUAUCAUAUUUGCUUUCAAUCCACUUUUAUUUGCAUCUUUACUUUUUGCAUCUAUAUUAUAAAAUACCAAAAAUAUUUUUUUCUUAUCAUACUAUCUUUAUUAGAUCUCACUUUCGCAAGUGGCCGUGAAGGGAUUGACAAACCCUUUAUUGCAUUGGUUGCGAGUUCUCAGUUUGUUUGUGUAGGUGCGUGGGACUUUUGAGGAGCCUCCUACUGGAUUGAUACCUUGGUUCUCAAAACUGAGGGAAAUACUUACGCUACACUUGCUGCAUCACCCUCUCCUCUUCAAGGAAAACCAACGCAAGCUCAAGACGUAGCAAGAAGGAUUUCUGGCGCCGUUGCCGGGGAGGUCUUCUCUCAAGUCAAGACAUACCAAGUACCCAUCACAAACCCAUCUCCCUCGCAUUUACAUUAUUUGCCAUUUGCCUCUUGUUUUCCUCUCCCCACUUCACCCUUGCCGUUUUAUUCGCCCUCUCUUUCCCAAUCUCCUCUCUCUUUUUCGCUUGCCCUUUUUCUGUUUGCUUGUGUGUUGGAUUGCUUGUUGCCAUGGCACAAGAUAAUACCAAAUUGUGUGAUUUCUCGAAUACCAAUAAUAAUGAUUUCCUUAGCACUCCGAUUGCUCCUCUUAAUGAUGUUGAGUCUUGUGAAAUCAAUGCUGCCUUGCUGAAUCUUGUUAUGAAAGAUCAAUUUGCCGGCCUUCCUAGUGAAGAUGCCCCUACUCAUCUAAACAAUUUUGUUGAUUUGUGUGAUAUGCAAAAUAAGAAAGAUACGGAUACCAAUAUUGUCAAAUUGAAGUUAUUUCUGUUUUCACUUAGAGAUCGUGCUAAAGUUUGGUUUUCGUCUUUGCCUAAAAAUAGUAUUGAUUCUUGGAACAAGUGCAAAGAUGAUUUUAUCUCUAAGUAUUUUCCUCCCUCUAAGAUCAUCACUCUUAGGAACGAUAUUAUGAAUUUUAAACAACUUGAUCAUGACCAUGUUGCCCAAUCUUGGGAAAGAAUGAAAUUGAUGCUUCGCAAUUGCCCUACUCAUGGUUUGAAUUUAUGGAUGAUCAUACAAAAAUUUUAUGCCGGUUUGAACUUUCCUUCUAGAAAUCUCUUAGGUUCGGCCGCGGGAGGCACCUUUAUGGAAAUCACAUUAGGAGAUGCUACAAAACUUCUUGAUAAUAUUAUGGCUAAUUAUUCUCAAUGGCACACCGAAAGAUCUUCUAGUAAAAAAGUGCAUGCUAUAGAAGAAAUCAAUGUUUUGAGUGAAAAGAUAGAUGAACUUAUGAAGAUGUUUGCUACUAAAAAUACUCCUCUUGAUCCUAAUGAUAUGACUUUGUCUUCUUUGAUUGAGAAUAAUAAUGAAUCUAUGGAUGUGAAUUUUGUUGGUAGGAAUAGUUUUGGAAACAAUGCUUAUAGAGGAAACUUUAAUGCUAGACCGUUCCCUAGUAAUUACUCUAAUAAUUAUGGAAAUUCCUACAAUAAUUCUUAUGGUAAUUUUAAUAAGAUGCCCUCUGAUUUUGAGAAUAGUGUGAAAGAAUUUAUGAUUUCUCAAAAGAAUUUUAAUGCUUUGCUUGAAGAAAUAUUGCUCAAAGUUGAUGAUUUGGCUAGGAACAUUGAUAGACUUUCGCUUGACGUUGAUUCUCUUAAAAUUAGAUCUUCCCCUCCUAAGCUUUAUAUCAAUGAGUCUCUCAGAGUAAUGCGAAUUUCCAUUGACGAGUGCAAGGAAAGAACCACUAGAUUGCGUGCUAAAAAAGAAAGCUUUAUAAAAGCGUGUUCUUAUAGUUUCCGUGAAAAUAAUGAUGAGGAUCUUAAAGUUAUUAAUGCGUCUCUGAUUAGAUCUAUGUUUUGCAAUAUGAAUUUUGAUGAUUAUGGGACUGAUGAUGAAUCAACUUUGCCUAGAAGGCGUCCCAAGAAUUCGGAGUCUUUAGAUCUUAAUGCUAAAUUUGGUAAAAGUGAGAUUGGAGAAUCCUCAACUUCUAAUAAUGUUGAACCCACUAUCUCGGAUUUCAAGGAAUUUGACUAUGAUAAUUGCUCUUUAAAAGGUUGUAUUUCCUUGUUCCAAUCCGUUGUUAAUUCUCCUCAUGCUUAUAGUCAAAACAAAGCUUUUACCAAACAUAUUGUUGAUGCCUUGAUGCAAUCUUAUGAUGAAAAACUUAAUUUGGAAGUUUCUAUACCUAGAAAACUUAAUGAUGAGUGGGAACCUACUAUAAAUAUCAGAAUUAAAGAUUAUGAGUGUUUUGCUUUGUGUGAUUUGGGUGCUAGUGUUUCCACGAUUCCGAAAACUUUAUGUGAUAUUCUAGGUUUCCAUGAUCUUGAAGAUUGCUCUUUAAAUUUGCACCUUGCAGAUUCCACCAUUACAAAACCUAUGGGAAGGAUCAAUGAUGUUCUUAUUGUUGCAAAUAGAAAUUUUGUGCCCAUAGAUUUUAUCGUUUUUGAUAUAGAUUGCAAUCCUUCUUGUCCUAUUAUUCUUGGUAGACCUUUCCUUAGAACGAUUGGUGCGAUUAUUGAUAUGAAGGAAGGGAACAUUAGAUUCCAAUUUCCCUUAAAGAAAGACAUGGAGCACUUUCCAAGAAAGAAAGUCAAAUUACCUUAUGAAUCUAUCAUGCAUGCUACUUAUGAAUUUAGUGCCAAAGAUGGCACUCGUUAGAUCUAUCUUUGCUUUUAUGCCUAGAUAGGGGUGUUAAACGAUAGCGCAAGUUGGGAGGCAACCCAAUUUUCUUUAUGUUUUUUUGUUUUUGCUCCUGUUUAUUAAUAAAUCUUGCAUAUACCUUCUGUUUAGAUGUGUUUUUAUCUUUUAAUUAGUGUUUGUGCCAAGUAGAACCUAUAGGAUAAACCACGAUGAUAGUUGAUUUGAUUCUGCUGAAAAACAGAAACUUUGCGCUCACGAGAACAAAUUAAAUAAAUCACAGAAACGUGCUUUUGCUUUGAUUCUUUUUUCUUCUGAUCAAUAAACAAAUUUUCUAGUACGUCCUAUUUUGGUAGGAAUUUUAGAGUUACAGAAGUUUGCGUUAGUUACAGAUUGUUACAGACUGUUCUGUUUUUGACAGUUUCUGUUUUUCGUGUGUUGUUUGCUAAUUUCAAUGCAUCUAUGGCUAGUAAAUUAGUUUAUAAACCAUAAGGAAGUUGUAAUACAGUGGGUUUAACACCAAAUUAAAUAAAUAAUAAGUUCAUUGCAGUACCUCAUGUGGUGGUUUUGUUUUCUUUCACUAACGGAGCUUAUAAGAUUUCCUGUUGAGUUUUGUGUUGUGAAGUUUUCAAGUUUUGGGUAAAGCUUUUAUGGACUAUGGAAUAAAGGGUGGCAAGAGCCUAAGCUUGGGGAUGCCCAAGUCAAACCAAGAUAUUCAAUGAUAGAAAAAAGCCUAAGCUUGGGGAUGCCCCGGGAAGGCAUCCCCUCUUUCGUCUUCGUUCAUUGAUAACUUUACUUGGAGCUAUAUUUUUAUCCGCUACAUGAUAUGUGUUUUGCUUGGAGCGUCGUGUAUUAUAUUAGUCUUUGAUUUUUAGUUUACCACAAUCAUCCUUGCUGUACACCCCUUUUUGGGAGAAGCCUAUUUGAUUAGAAUUUGCUAGAAUUCUCUAUGUGCUUCACUUAUAUCUUUUGAGCUUCAUAGUUUUUGCUCUAGUGCUUCACUUAUAUCUUUUAGAGCACGGUGGUGUCUUAAUUUUGAAGAAAUUUCUAGUCUCUCAUGCUUCACUUAUAUUAUUUUGAGAGUGUUUUAGAGCAGCAUGGUAUUUUCUUUAGUCAUAAAGUUGGUCCUAGAAUGGUAGGCAUCCAAGUUGGGUAUAAUAAAAACUAUCAUAUAGGAAGUGAAUUGGAUGCUAUGGUCAACUUGAUACUUGAUAAUUGUUUUGACAUAUGGAGGUAGUGAUAUUAAAGUCAUGCUAGUUGGGUGAUUAUGAAUUUAAAGAAUGCUUGUGUUGAAGUUAGUAAGCCCCGUAGCAUGCACGUCUGGUUAAAGUUGUGUAACAAAUUUGAAACAUGAAGUGUACCUGGCUUGUGCAUCCUUAUGAGUGGCGGUCGGGGACGAGCGAUGGUCUUUUCCUACCAAUCUAUCCCCCUAGGAGCAUGCGCGUAGUACUUGAUUUUUUUUGAUGACUUCUAAAUUUUUGCAAUAAGUAUAUGAGUUCUUUUGACUAAUGUUGAGUCCAUGGAUUAUACGCACUUUUACCUUUCCGCCUUUGCUAGCCUCUUCGGUACCAUGCAUUGUCCUUUGUCACCUUGAGAGUUGGUGCAAACUUCGCCGGCGCAUCCAAACCCCGUGAUAUGAUACACUCUAUCACACAUAAACCUCCUUAUAUCUUCCUCAAAACAGCCACCAUACCUACCUAUUAUGGCAUUUCCAUAGCCAUUCCGAGAUAUAUUGCCAUGCAACUUUCCACCGUUCCGUUCAUCAUCAUCAUGACAUACUUUAGUUUUGUCAUAUUGCCAUUGCAUUAUCAUGUAGUUGACAUCGUAUUUGUGGCAAAGCCACCAUGCAUUAUUUUUCAAACAUGUCACUCUUGAUUCAUUGCACCAUCCCGGUACACUGCCGGAGGCAUUCAUAUAGAGUCAUAUUUUGUUCUAGUUUCGAGUUGUAAUUCUUAUGUUGUAAUCAAUAGAAGUGUGAUGAUCAUCAUUAUUAGAACAUUGCCCAAAGAAAACAAAAAGGAAGAAAGGCCAAAAAGAAAAAGAAAAAAGAAAGGCCCAAAAAGAAAAAAAGGGGGAAAAAGAAAAAACGAGGUGAAAAAAGAAAAAAGAGAAUAAAUAAAUAAAAAUGGCAAUGUUACUAUCUCUUUUUCCACACUUGUGCUUCAAAGUAGCACCUUGUUCUCCAUGUAGUGAGUCUCAUAUAUUGUGCUUCAAAGUAGCACCAUGUUUUUCAUAUAGUGAGUCUCAGAAGUUGUCUUUUUCAUACUAGUGGGAAUUUUUCAUUAUAGAACUUGGCUUGUAUGUUCCUACGAUGGGCUUCCUCAAAUGCCCUUGGUCUUCGUGAGCAAGCAAGUAGGAUGCACACCCACUAGUUUUCUUUUGUUGAGCAUUCAUUUAUAGCUCUAGUGCAUCUGUUGCCUGGCAAUCCCUACUCCUCAUGUUGACAUCAAUUGAUGGGCAUCUCCAGAGCCCGUUGAUUAUCCUCGUCAAUGUGAGACUUUCUCCUUUUUUGUCUUCUCCACACAAUCCCCAUCAUCAUAUUCUAUUCCACCCAUAGUGCUAUAUCCAUGGCUCACGCUCAUGUAUUGCGUGAAGGUUGAAAAAGUUUGAGAUUAUUUAAGUAUGAAACAAUUGCUUGGCUUGUCAUCGGGGGUGUAGAAGUUGGGAACAUCUUUGUGUGACAAAAAUGAAGCAUAGCCUAACUAUAUGAUUUUGUAGGGAUGAACUUUCUUUUGCCAUGUUAUUUUGAGAAGACAUCAUUACUUUGAUUAGUAUGCUUGAAGUGUUACUAUUUCUUUUAUCAAUAUGAACUUUUAUUUUUUAUUCAUUUGGACCUGAACAUUCAUGCCACAAUAAAGAAAAUUACAUUAUGAAUUAUGCUAGGUAGCAUUCCACAUCAAAAAUUCUCUUUUUAUCAUUUACCUACUCGAGGACGAGCAAGAAUUAAGCUUGGGGAUGCUUGAUACGUCUCCAACGUAUCUAUAAUUUUUUAUUGUUCCAUGCUAUUAUAUUACCCCUUUUGGAUGUUUAUGGGCUUUAUUUACACAUUUAUAUCAUUUUUGGGACUAGCCUACUAACCGGAGGCCCAGCCCAUAUUGCUGUUUUUUUUGCCUAUUUCAGUAUUUCGAAGAAAAGGAAUAUCAAACAGAGUCCAAACGGAAUGAAACCUUCGGGAGCGUGAUUUUUGGAACGAACGUGAUCCGGAGAGCUUGGAGUGCAAGUCAAGAAGCUGCCGAGGAAGCCACGAGAUAGGAGGCUCCCCCCUGUAGGGCGCGCCCCCUGUCUCGUGGGCCCCUCGGGCGGCCACCAACGUACUUCUCCUCCUAUAUAUACCUACGUACCCCAAAAACAUCCAGGAGCGCCACAAAACACAAUUUCCACCACCGUAACCUUCUGUAUCCGCGAGAUCUCAUCUUGGAGCCUUCGUCGGCACUCUGCCGGAGGGGGAAUCGACCACGGAGGGCUUCUACAUCAACAUCUUUGCCCCUCCGAUGGGUUGUGAGUAGUUUACCACAGACCUACGGGUCCUUAGUUAUUAGCUAGAUGGCUUCUUCUCUCUUUUUGGAUCUCAAUACAAUGUUCUCCCCCUCUCUUGUGGAGAUCAACUCGAUGUAAACUCUUUUUGCGGUGUGUUUGUUGAGAUUCGAUGAAUUGUGGGUUUAUGAUCAAGUAUAUCUAUGAAUAAUAUUUGAAUCUUCUCUGAAUUCUUUUAUGUAUGAUUGAGUUAUCUUUGCAAGUCUCUUUGAAUUACCAGUUUGGUUUGGCCUACUAGGUUGGUCUUUCUUGCCAUGGGAGAAGUGCUUAGCUUUGGCUUCAAUCUUGCGGUGUCCUUACCUAGUGACAGAAAGGGUUGCAAGGCACGUAUUGUAUUGUUGCCAUCGAGGAUAACAAGAUGGGGUUUAUAUCAUAUUGCAUGAGUUUAUCCCUCUACAUCAUGUCAUCUUGCUUAAUGCAUUACUCUGUUCUUAUGAACUUAAUACUCUAGAUGCAGGCAUGAGUCGGUCGAUGUGUGGAGUAAUAGUAGUAGAUGCAGGCAGGAGUCGGUCUACUUGUUAUGGACGUGAUGCCUAUAUACAUGAUCAUGCCUAGAUAAUCUCAUAACUAUGCGCUUUUCUAUCAAUUGCUCGACAGUAAUUUGUUCACCCACCGUAAUACUUAUGCUAUCUUGAGAGAAGCCUCUAGUGAAACCUAUGGCCCCCGGGUCUAUCUUUUAUCAUAUUUGCUUUCAAUCUACUUUUAUUUGCAUCUUUACUUUUUGCAUCUAUAUUAUAAAAUACCAAAAAUAUAUUUAUCUUAUCAUACUAUCUUUAUUAGAUCUCACUUUUGCAGGUGGCCGUGAAGGGAUUGACAACCCCUUUAUUGCGUUGGUUGCGAGUUCUCAGUUUGUUUGUGUAGGUGCGUGGGACAUUUGAGGAGCCUCCUACUAGAUUGAUACCAUGGUUCUCAAAACUGAGGGAAAUACUUACGCUACACUUGCUGCAUCACCCUCUCCUCUUCGAGGAAAACCAACGCAAGCUCAAGACGUAGCAUUGUUGUACAUGUAGACCCGUGGUACCCAUCUGAAAUCUUGUUGUGCCAUGUAGUUUUCCGCGCUUUGUAUGCUUUCACUGCUGCUUUGUCUUGAACUGAUAUGAUUUGAACCGUGUCUCUAUUAUGAUUUGGCAAGACAAUGUAGUGAGCAUAGGACAUAGAUAUAUGUAUGUUUGAUGCUUUUAUUAUGUACUAGUACUUGGUAAUAGAAUACUUGGUAGUUUAAUCAUGUCCACCUUACUAAUGAACUAGUUCACCGAAAUGAGUUUCAUAUACUAGUACAUGCUAAACCUAUUAUGUGUGUGCUUGUCUAUUCUUUUAGAAUGCUGACAGAAUAUUGGGGAAGAGUGCCUUACUAAGCAAUGGUAAAGGAAGUAAUGCAGAUAAGGUUCAGGAUCGUGAGACAUCCUUGUUGGUCUCCAACAAAGCUGAUAAAACAGCUAAGACUAUCUUGAAGACAGUGAGACAACCCCAAAGUCUUGUCUUUGUUUAGUGUUCGAGUUACUGGCCACUACCGCUUGCACAAGCUAUUCACACUCACUGUCUUAAUCAGUUCGGUUUCUUGAGUCUCAACUACAAGCUGAAAGACAUCGAUCAGCUGUGUUGCGACCAGAAGCGGAAGGACUGCGGAAGUCCCUGGAGCAUUCAGAUGCAUACUUUCUGGUGCAGCAGCAAGCGUUGGAGGAUUUUAGCGCCAAACAGGACAAAGCUAAUAAGCUUGCUAAGCUUACUGCCAGCAUGGUGGAUACCCAGGAUAACAUUUCUUGAGCUCUUCUGAAGUUGUUUCAGUUAUGGACUUGUUUUGUUGCCUCGUUUAUUUGCACUGGUGGCCAAUUUUGACCGCCAGUGUAUGUAAUAUGCUGCUUUGUUCCCUAUAUUUGCACUGGUGGCAAACUUUGAUGCCCAGUGGAUGUAAUAUGUGUAAUAGCUAUAAUAGGCUAGCGUUAGUUGCUUGCUUAUCUAUUACCUUAUUGUCUUGUUUAGUUUUUUGCUUGUAGUCACUUCAGUUAUUUUUCUGCGUUUACUAGUGGCCACAAUAACCUAUUUUUUGGUAACUAGGCCACAAUAGUCAUGGCAACACACAGACUGUAACCAUGGGCCUCCUACAGGCGUAGGAUCCGUGGUCCUUCUAUGGGCCGUAGGAUACAUGGGCCUUCUACGGGCCGUAGGAUCCAUGGACUUUCUACGGACCGUAUGAUCCAUGGGCCUUCUAUGGGCUGUAGGAUCCAUUGGUCUUCUACGGGACGUAGGAUCCAUGGGCCUUCUAUGGGGCGUAUAAUCAUUUCGCAAAACAUGGUCCAUACUAUUCAUGGACCAUAACAGGCCGUUAAUAGGCCGCAUUUCAUAACACUAUGAAAACAGCCCAGCGGGUUAACGGGCCACAAACGGGCCGAAUGUAACCACAGGCUGAAUUUGUCCCACAAACGGAACAGGCCAAUAACGGACUGUAACUAACCGAAUUCUAGAAAUGAGCCCAAGAAUAAAUGGGCCCUUAGAAGGCCAAAAGUUAACACGGGCUGGAAACGGCCAACGGAAAAUGGGUCGUUAAUGGGUAUAAAGCGAUACCCUAUUCACUAUGGGUCAGUUUCAUCGCGAGCCUUUAAUGGGCCGAGAGUUACAGAGGGCCUCAUAUGGGCCGAAAGACAUCAGGGGCCAUACAUGGGCCGGAAGUUACAACGGGCUGGAAUCAUAUUGGACGGCCCAGAUGAAGGUAUUGGGCUUAAUUCUGAUAGGCCGUAACGGGUCGGGAGUUAGCGGGCCAUAAAUGGGCUAUAUACGAACAGGCCGUUAACAGGCUUUCCGUGGUCCGACCCGUUACCUUUUGACCAAGUCAAACGGGCCGGCCUUUUUCACCGGAAUGGGCCUCUGUUGGGCCGUGCUGUUGGGGAACGUUGCAGAAAACAAAAAAUUUCCUACUCGUUUCACCAAGAUCAUCUAGGAGUUCAUCUAGCAACGAGUGAAUAGAUGCAUCUACAUACCUUGUAGAUCGCGAGCGGAAGCGUUCAAAGAACGGGGAUGAUGUAGUCGAAUACGACGUGAUUCGAAUCACCGGAGAUCCUAGCACCGAACGGACGGCACCUCCGCUUUCAACACACAUACGGAACAGCCACGUCUCCUCCUUCUUGAUCCAGCAAGGGAGGGAGGAGAGGUUGAGGGAGAUGGCACCAGCAGCAGCACGACGGCGUGGUGUUGAUGGAGCUGCAGUACUCCAGCAGAGCUUCACUAAGCGCUAUGGAGUUGGAGGAGGUGUUGGGGAGGGAGAAGGAGGCAACCUAAGGCCAAGGACUCAAGGUAUGAAGUCCCUCCUCUCCCCCACUAUAUAUAGGGAUGCCAAGGGAGGUUGGCCGGCCCUAGGAGAUCCAAUCUCCUAGGGGGUGCGGCGGCCAAGGGGGGUUUCCCUCCCCCCCAAGGCACCUAGGAGGUGCCUUCCACUAGUAGGACUCCUCCCCCUUGGAAACCCUAGGCGCAUGGGCCUAGUGGGGCUGGUGCCCUUGGCCCAAGCAGGCCAAGGCGCACCCCCUACAGCCCAUGUGGCCCCCGGGGAUGGGUGGCCCCACCCGGUGGGCCCCCGGGACCCCUCCGGUGGUCCCGGUACAAUACCGAUAACCCCGAAACUUGUCCCGAUGCCCGAAACAGGACUUCCCAUAUAUAAAUCUUUACCUCCGGACCAUUCCGGAACUCCUCGUGACGUCCGGGAUCUCAUCCGGGACUCCGAACAACAUUCGGGUUACUGCAUAUACAUAUCCCUAAAACCCUAGCGUAACUGAACCUUAAGUGUGUAGACCCUACGGGUUCGGGAGACAUGUAGACAUGACCGAGACGACUCUCCGGUCAAUAACCAACAGCGGGAUCUGGAUACCCAUGUUGGCUCCCACAUGCUCCACGAUGAUCUCAUCGGAUGAACCACGAUGUCGAGGAUUCUAUCAACCCCGUAUGCUAUUCCCUUUGUCUAUCGAUAUGUUACUUGCCCGAGAUUCGAUCGUCGGUAUCCCAAUACCUCGUUCAAUCUCGUUACCGGCAAGUCACUUUACUCGUACCGUAAUGCAUGAUCCCGUGACCAGACACUUGGUCACUCUGAGCUCAUUAUGAUGAUGCAUUACCGAGUGGGCCCAGUGAUACCUCUCCGUCAUACGGAGUGACAAAUCCCAGUCUUGAUCCAUGUCACCCAACAGACACUUUCGGAGAUACCCGUAGUCUACCUUUAUAGUCACCCAGUUACGUUGUGACGUUUGGCAUACCCAAAGCACUCCUACGGUAUCCGGGAGUUACACGAUCUCAUGGUCUAAGGAAAAGGUACUUUGACAUUGGAAAACUCUAGCAAACGAACUAUACGAUCUUGUGCUAUGUUUAGGAUUGGGUCUUGUCCAUCACAUCAUUCUCCCAAUGAUGUGAUCUCGUUAUCAAUGACAUCCAGUGUCCAUAGUCAGGAAACCAUGACUAUCUGUUGAUCAACGAGCUAGUCAACUAGAGGCUCACUAGGGACAUGUUGGUGUCUGUUAUUCACACAUGUAUUACGAUUUCCGGAUAAUACAAUUAUAGCAUGAAUAAAGACAAUUAUCAUGAACAAGGAAAUAUAAUAAUAAUGCUUUUAUUAUUGCCUCUAGGGCAUAUUUCCAACAGUCUCCCACUUGCACUAGAGUCAAUAAUCUAGUUACAUUGUGAUGAAUCGAACACCCAUGGAAUUCUGGUGUUGAUCAUGUUUUGCUCUAGGGAGAGGUUUAGUCAACGGAUCUGCUACAUUCAGGUCCGUAUGUACUUUACAAAUCUCUAUGUCUCCAUCUUGAACAUUUUCACGAAUGGAGUUGAAGCGACGCUUGAUAUGCCUUGUCUUCUUGUGAAACCUGGGCUCCUUGGCAAGUGCAAUAGCUCCAGUGUUGUCACAGAAGAGCUUGAUCGGCCCCGACGCAUUGGGUAUGACUCCUAGGUCGGUUAUGAACUCCUUCACCCAUAUUGCUUCAUGUGCUGCCUCCGAGGCUGCCAUGUACUCCGCUUCACAUGUAGAUCCCGCCACGACACUUUGCUUGCAACUGCACCAGCUUACUGCCCCACCAUUCAAAAUAUACACGUAUCCGGUUUGUGACUUAGAGUCAUCCAGAUCUGUGUCGAAGCUAGCGUCGACGUAACCCUUUACGACGAGCUCUUCGUCACCUCCAUAAACGAGAAACAUUUCCUUAGUCCUUUUCAGGUACUUCAGGAUAUUCUUGACCGCUGUCCAGUGUUCCUUGCCGGGAUUACUUUGGUACCUUCCUACCAAACUGACGGCAAGGUUAACAUCAGGUCUGGUACACAGCAUGGCAUACAUAAUAGAACCUAUGGCUGAGGCAUAGGGGAUGACGCUCAUCUCUUCUAUAUCUUCUGCCGUGGUCGGACAUUGAGCUGAGCUCAAUUUCACACCUUGCAACAUAGGCAAGAACCCCUUCUUGGAUUGAUCCAUAUUGAACUUCUUCAAUAUCUUAUCAAGGUAUGCGCUUUGUGAAAGACCUAUGAGGCGUCUCGAUCUAUCUCUAUAGAUUUUGAUGCCUAAUAUAUAAGCAGCUUCUCCAAGGUCCUUCAUUGAAAAACUUUUAUUCAAGUAGGCCUUGAUGCUGUCCAAGAGUUCUAUAUCAUUUCCCAUCAAAAGUAUGUCAUCUACAUAUAAUAUGAGAAAUGCUACAGAGCUCCCACUCACUUUCUUGUAAACGCAGGCUUCUCCAUAAGUCUGUGUAAACCCAAACGCUUUGAUCAUCUCAUCAAAGCGAAUGUUCCAACUCCGAGAUGCUUGCACCAGCCCAUAAAUCGAGCGUUGGAGCUUCCACACUUUGUCAGCAUUCUUAGGAUCGACAAAACCUUCCGGCUGCAUCAUAUACAAUUCUUCCUUAAGGAAACCAUUAAGGAAUGCCGUUUUGACGUCCAUUUGCCAUAUUUCGUAAUCAUAGAAUGCGGCAAUUGCUAACAUGAUUCGGACGGACUUCAGCUUCGCUACCGGUGAGAAAGUCUCAUCGUAGUCAACCCCUUGAACUUGUCGAUAACCCUUAGCGACAAGCCGAGCUUUAUAGAUGGUCACAUUACCAUCCGCGUCUGUCUUCCUCUUAAAGAUCCAUUUAUUUUCUAUGGCUCGCCGCUCAACGGGCAAGUCAGUCAAAGUCCAUACUUUGUUUUCAUACAUGGAUCCUAUCUCGGAUUUCAUGGCUUCCAGCCAUUUGUCGGAAUCUGGUCCCGCCAUCGCUUCCUCAUAGUUUGAAGGUUCACCGUUGUCUAACAACAUGAUUUCCAAGACAGGGUUGCCGUACCACUCUGGUGCGGAACGUGUCCUUGUGGACCUUCGAAUUUCAGUAGGAACUUGAUCAGAAGUAUCUUGAUCAUUAUCAUUAACUUCCUCUCUAGUCGGUGCUGGCACCUUAGGAACAUUUUCUUGAGUUGCGCCAUUUUCCGGUUCAAGAGGUAAUACUUCAUCAAGCUCUACUUUCCUCCCACUUACUUCUUUCGAGAGAAACUCUUUCUCCAGAAAGGACCCAUUCUUGGCAACAAAGAUCUUGCCUUCGGAUCUGAGGUAGAAGGUGUACCCAAUAGUUUCUUUUGGGUAUCCUAUGAAGACGCAUUUUUCCGAUUUGGGUUCGAGCUUUUCAGGUUGAAGUUUCUUGACAUAAGCAUCGCAUCCCCAAACUUUUAGAAACGACAGCUUAGGUUUCUUCCCAAACCAUAAUUCAUACGGUGUCGUCUUAACGGAUUUCGACGGAGCCCUAUUUAAAGUGAAUGCGGCAGUCUCUAAAGCAUAGCCCCAGAAGGAAAGCGGUAAAUCGGUAAGAGACAUCAUAGAUCGCACCAUAUCUAACAGAGUGCGAUUACGACGUUCGGACACACCAUUACGCUGAGGUGUUCCAGGCGGCGUGAGUUGUGAAACUAUUCCACAUUUUCUUAAGUGUGCCCCAAACUCGUGACUCAAGUAUUCUCCUCGACGAUCUGAUCGUAGAAACUUGAUUUUCCUGUCACGUUGAUUUUCAACCUCACUCUGAAAUUCCUUGAACUUUUCAAAGGUUUCAGACUUGUGUUUCAUUAAGUAGAUAUACCCAUACCUACUUAAAUCAUCAGUGAGGGUGAGAACAUAACGAUAGCCACCGCGAGCCUCAACACUCAUCGGACCGCACACAUCAGUAUGUAUGAUUUCCAAUAAGUCGGUUGCUUGCUCCAUUGUUCCUGAGAACGGAGUCUUGGUCAUUUUACCCAUAAGGCAUGGUUCGCACGUGUCAAAUGAUUUAUAAUCAAGAGACUCUAAAAGUCCAUCAGCAUGGAGCUUCUUCAUGCGUUUAACACCUAUGUGACCAAGGCGGCAGUGCCACAAGUAUGUGGGACUAUCAUUAUCAACCUUACUUCUUUUGGUACUCACAUUAUGAAUAUGUGUAGCAUCACGUUCGAGAUUCAUAAGGAAUAAACCAUUCACCAUAGGAGCAGGACCAUAAAACAUAUCUCUCAUAAAAAUGGAACAACCAUUAUUCUCAGAUUUAAAAGAGUAGCCAUCUCGUAUUAAACGAGAUCCCGAUACAAUGUUCAUGCUCAAAGCUGGCACUAAAUAACAAUUAUUAAGGUUUAAAACUAAUCCCGAAGGGAGAUGCAGAGGUAGCGUGCCGACGGCGAUCACAUUGACCUUGGAACCAUUCCCGACGCGCAUCGUCACCUCGUCCUUUGCCAGUUUCCGCUUAUUCCGCAGCCCCUGCUUUGAGUUACAAAUGUGAGCAACUGCACCGGUAUCAAAUACCCAGGAGCUACUACGGGCACUGGUAAGGUACACAUCAAUUACAUGUAUAUCACAUAUACCUUUUGUUUUGCCGGCCUUCUUAUCCGCUAAGUACUUAGGGCAGUUCCGCUUCCAGUGACCGCUUCCCUUGCAAUAAAAGCACUCAGUCUCGGGCUUGGGUCCAUUCUUUGGCUUCUUCCCAGCAGCUUGCUUGCCGGGCGCGGCAACCUCCUUGCCGUCCUUCUUGAAGUUCUUUUUACCCUUGCCUUUCUUGAACUUAGUGGUUUUAUUGACCAUCAACACUUGAUGUUCCUUUCUGACUUCUACCUCUGCUGAUUUCAGCAUAGCAAAUACUUCAGGAAUGGUCUUUUCCAUCCCCUGCAUAUUGAAGUUCAUCACAAAGCUCUUGUAGCUUGGUGGAAGCGACUGGAGGAUUCUGUCAAUGACCGCAUCAUCCGGGAGAUUAACUCCCAGCUGAGUCAAGCGGUUAUGCAACCCAGACAUAGUGAGUAUGUGCUCACUGACAGAACUGUUUUCCUCCAUCUUACAGCUAAAGAAUUUGUCGGAGACUUCAUAUCUCUCGACCCGGGCAUGAGCUUGGAAAACCAUUUUCAGCUCUUCGAACAUCUCAUAUGCUCCAUGUCUCUCAAAACGCUUUUGGAGCCCCGGCUCUAGACUGUAAAGCAUGCCGCACUGAACGAGGGAGUAGUCAUCGAAACGUGCCUGCCAAGCGUUCAUAACAUCUUGUUCUGCAGGGAGAACGGGUGCGUCACCAAGCGGUGCUUGUAGGACAUAAUCUUUCUUGGCAGCUAUGAGGAUGAUCCUCAGGUUCCGGACCCAGUCCGUAUAGUUGCUGCCAUCGUCUUUCAGCUUAGUUUUCUCUAGGAACGCGUUGAAGUUGAGGACUACGUUGGCCAUUUGAUCUACAAGACAUAUUGCAAAGAUUUUAGACUAAGUUCAUGAUAAUUAAGUUCAACUAAUCAAAUUAUUAGUGAACUCCCACUUAGAUUAGACAUCCCUCUAGUCAUCUAAGUAUUACAUGAUCCGAGUUAAACUAGACCGUGUCCGAUCAUCACGUGAGACGGACUAGUCAACAUCGGUGAACAUCUUCAUGUUGAUCGUAUCUUCUAUACGACUCAUGCUCGACCUUUCGGUCUUCUGUGUUCCGAGGCCAUGUCUGUACAUGCUAGGCUCGUCAAGUCAACCUAAGUGUUUGCAUGUAUAAAUCUGUCUUACACCCGUUGUAUGUGAACGUCUGAAUAAAACACCCGAUCAUCACGUGGUGUUUUGAAACAGCGAACUGUCGCAACGGUGCACAGUUAGGGGGAACACUUCUUGAAUUUAUUAUGAGGGAUCAUCUUAUUUACUACCGUCGUUCUAAGUAAACAAGAUGCAAAACAUGAUAAACAUCACAUGCAAUCAAAUAAUAAACGUGACAUGAUAUGGCCAAUAUCACAUAGCUCCUUUGAUCUCCAUCUUGGGGCUCCAUGAUCAUCUUGUCACCGGCUUGACACCAUGAUCUCCAUCAUCAUGAUCUUCAUCAUCGUGUCUCCAUGAAGUUGCUCGCCAACUAUUACUUCUACUACUAUGGCUAACGCGUUUAGCAAUAAAGUAAAGUAAUUUACAUGGCGUUUCUUGAUGACACGCAGGUCAUAUAAAAGAAUAAAGACAACUCCUAUGGCUCCUGCCGGUUGUCAUACUCAUCGACAUGCAAGUCGUGAAUCCUAUUACAAUAGCAUGAACAUCUCAUACAUCACAUAUAGAUCAUUCAUCAUUCAUCACAACUUUGGCCAUAUCAUAUCACAAACCACUUGCUGCAAAAACAAGUUAGACGUCCUCUAAUUGUUGUUGCAAGUUUUACGUGGCUGAAUUAGGGUUCUAGCAAGAACGUCUUCUUACCUACGUUAAAGCCACAACGUGAUUUGUCAACUUCUAUUUACCCUUCAUAAGGACCCUGUUCAUCGAUUCCGCUCCAACUAAAGUAGGAGAGAUAGACACCCGCCAGCCACCUUAUGCAACUAGUGCAUGUUAGUUGGUGGAACCGGUCUCACGUAAGCGUACGUGUAAGGUUGGUCCGGGCCGCUUCAUCCCACAAUACCGCUGAAGCAAGAAAGGACUAGUAACGGCAAGAAAGUUGACAAAUCUACGCCCACAACAAAUUGUGUUCUACUCGCGCAAGAAGAACUACGCAUAGACCUAGCUCAUGAUGCCACUGUUGGGGAACGUUGCAGAAAACAAAAAUUUUCCUACUCGUUUCACCAAGAUCAUCUAGGAGUUCAUCUAGCAACGAGUGAAUAGAUGCAUCUACAUACCUUGUAGAUCGCGAGCGGAAGCGUUCAAAGAACGGGGAUGAUGUAGUCGAACACGACGUGAUUCGAAUCACCGGAGAUCCUAGCACCGAACGGACGGCACCUCCGCGUUCAACACACGUACGGAACAGCCACGUCUCCUCCUUCUUGAUCCAGCAAGGGAGGGAGGAGAGGUUGAGGGAGAUGGCACCAGCAGCAGCACGACGGCGUGGUGUUGAUGGAGCUGCAGUACUCCAGCAGAGCUUCGCUAAGCGCUAUGGAGUUGGAGGAGGUGUUGGGGAGGGAGAAGGAGGCAACCUAAGGCCAAGGACUCAAGGUAUGAAGUCCCUCCUCUCCCCCACUAUAUAUAGGGAUGCCAAGGGGGGUUGGCCGGCCCUAGGAGAUCCAAUCUCCUAGGGGGUGCAGCGGCCAAGGGGGGUUUCCCUCCCCCCCAAGGCACCUAGGAGGUGCCUUCCACUAGUAGGACUCCUCCCCCUUGGAAACCCUAGGCGCAUGGGCCUAGUGGGGCUGGUGCCCUUGGCCCAAGCAGGCCAAGGCGCACCCCCUACAGCCCAUGUGGCCCCCGGGGAUGGGUGGCCCCACCCGGUGGGCCCCCGGGACCCCUCCGGUGGUCCCGGUACAAUACCGAUAACCCCGAAACUUGUCCCGAUGCCCGAAACAGGACUUCCCAUAUAUAAAUCUUUACCUCCGGACCAUUCCGGAACUCCUCGUGACGUCCGGGAUCUCAUCCGGGACUCCGAACAACAUUCGGGUUACUGCAUAUACAUAUCCCUACAACCCUAGCGUAACUGAACCUUAAGUGUGUAGACCCUACGGGUUCGGGAGACAUGUAGACAUGACCGAGACGACUCUCCGGUCAAUAACCAACAGCGGGAUCUGGAUACCCAUGUUGGCUCCCACAUGCUCCACGAUGAUCUCAUUGGAUGAACCACGAUGUCGAGGAUUCUAUCAACCCCGUAUGCUAUUCCCUUUGUCUAUCGAUAUGUUACUUGCCCGAGAUUCGAUCGUCGGUAUCCCAAUACCUCGUUCAAUCUCGUUACCGGCAAGUCACUUUACUCGUACCGUAAUGCAUGAUCCCGUGACCAGACACUUGGUCACUCUGAGCUCAUUAUGAUGAUGCAUUACCGAGUGGGCCCAGUGAUACCUCUCCGUCAUACGGAGUGACAAAUCCCAGUCUUGAUCCAUGUCACCCAACAGACACUUUCGGAGAUACCCGUAGUCUACCUUUAUAGUCACCCAGUUACGUUGUGACGUUUGGCAUACCCAAAGCACUCCUACGGUAUCCGGGAGUUACACGAUCUCAUGGUCUAAGGAAAAGAUACUUUGACAUUGCAAAACUCUAGCAAACGAACUAUACGAUCUUGUGCUAUGUUUAGGAUUGGGUCUCGUCCAUCACAUCAUUCUCCCAAUGAUGUGAUCUCGUUAUCAAUGACAUCCAGUGUCCAUAGUCAGGAAACCAUGACUAUCUGUUGAUCAACGAGCUAGUCAACUAGAGGCUCACUAGGGACAUGUUGGUGUCUGUUAUUCACACAUGUAUUACGAUUUCCGGAUAAUACAAUUAUAGCAUGAAUAAAGACAAUUAUCAUGAACAAGGAAAUAUAAUAAUAAUGCUUUUAUUAUUGCCUCUAGGGCAUAUUUCCAACACGUGCCACGUGUCGAUGUAUCAUAGGCGCCUCCUGUCUAAUGAGUGGAUGACAUCUGUCCCAACGGUGUGGCGACACGUGUUUCCUCCAGCCAAUGAUGAUUUUACACGUGGAAAGUCCCCAUUGGUCCGGGCUGUUAAUGAGUUAUCGGAUCCAAAACCGGACCCGAUAGCUUAACGGCAUUCCGUUACGGUGGAUGCUACGCGUCGGUCACCCUUGACGAAAGCACUUCUGUGACGCGCGAUUUAUUGUCAUGGAAGUGGACACUUCCAUGAUGAUAAUUUUGGUAAUGUCAUGGAACACUUCUACGACAGCACAUGUAUGACUAUCUUGAUUCUGUCAUAAAAUCGUCAUGGAUGUACAUGCAUGACAGAAAAUGUGACCUAUUGUGACAAACACGUAUCAUCACGGAAGUGUAUUGUUUUUGUAGUGCAUAUAGGUUUAGUAUUAAUUGUUUGCCUUCAAAGCCCUCGUGUUUCGAAGACUUCAUAAAAAUCGCCUAUUCACCCCCGCUUCUAGUCGAUAGCUAGCACUUUGAAGAUGUAAAAUCGAAUAUAUAAAAAUUUACAUCUCCGAAAAGUGUUUUUUGCAUCUACAAAAAAGGUCAACUCCAAAAUAUGAUGCAAAACAAAAAUGUAAAAGAGUAACUCCAAUAAAAGAUGCAAACUAGAUAUGCAAAACUGGACACUGGCAGCGCGGUUGCUGUUGAGCCGCACAAAUUGAAAUAAAACAUCUCAAAAUCUACUUACAAAUCUCACAUGUUCACAAUAUCAAAUUAUUACAUAAUUCAUCAAAUCCACAAGAUCAAAUGCAUCACACAUAUAACGUAGUUUUGAACAAUACAAAAAACAAAUAAAUGAAACUAGGCGGCUCUUUCGCCAUGAUAAUUUGAAAACUCUUCCAACAAAUCCUUCUGAAGUUGACUGUGCUUUGACUUCUUUCCCUUGUGCAUCGCCACUAGAAUAGCAGUGUCCUCUUCUUCGUUCAAAUCAAAUUCCUCAUCCAACGAGGAAUCGUCCAUGAAAGAGGAGUCACACAAGCUCAUCUACAAUGCGGAAAAUCAUCGUCAAACUAACUCUCCAACCCCAAUAAAAACCCGUCAAGUUUCAUCUCUUUUUUACCUUGGGGAUUUUCGUCGAACACCUUGCUUGCGGGGUGGAAGAAAUCAGCCGAAUGCGGGUUGGGCAUCCGUUCGGUGGCGGUGGGUGCGGGCGGCGGCGGCUGCUUGACAAAGAAGAAGGCAGGAGCUCAGCACUGUGGGCGGCCGGCUUCGUGUUGCCGGAAGAACGGCUGAGGCUCACGGCCGUCAGGCAGGCGGCAUGGUGUGCCUCCUCUAACUCCGGCGGGGGGUCUAGGCUAGGAAGAAGCCUAGCCCAUCCUAAACUUUGUCGGGGAAGGCAUUCAGGCCAACCAGACCGCCGGAGAUGCUUUGAUUCGGCGGCUGCGGGCAGGCAAGGCAGGCGGCGGGGGACGGGGGGUCGCCGCGGGCCCGGCGUGUUGGGAACGCGGUAAUUUCAAAAAAAAUCCUAUGAUCACGCAAGAUCUAUCUAGGUGAUGCAUAGCAACAAGAGGGGAGAGUGUGUACACGUACCCUCGUAGACCGAAAGCGGAAGCAUUAUGACAAUGCGGUUGAUGUAGUCGUACGUCUUCACAAUCCGACCAAUCCUAGCACCAAAGAUACGGCACCUCCGCAAUCUGCACACGUUCAGCUCGGUGACGUCCCAUGAACUCUAGAUCUAGCUGAGGUCGAGGGAGAGUUUUGUCAUCACGUCGGUGUGUUGACGGUGAUGAUGAAGUUACCGGCGCAGGGCUUCGCAUAAGCACUACGACGACAUGACCGAGGUGGAAAUCUAUGGAUGGGCACCGCAGACGGCUAAAAGAUCAACUUGAUCAACUUGUGUGUCUAUUGGGUGCCCCCCUCCCCCAUAUAUAAAGGAGGAGAUGGGAGGCCAGCCGACCCUCCUUGGUGCACACCCAAGAGGGGAAUCCUACUAGGACUCCAAGUCCUAGUAGGUUUCCACCUAAAGGGAAAGAGGGGAAUCUUGCUGUUGAGCUGCCCCCCACCCCUUCCUUGUCCUAUUCAGCUCAAGGGGGAGGGGCUCGCGGCCUGCCCUGGCCGCCCCUCUCUCUCUCCACUAAGGCCCAUCGAGGCCCAUUAGUUCCCCUGGGGGUUCCGAUAACCCUCCGGCAUUCCAGUUUUAUCCGAAACUUCUCCGGAACAUUUUUGGUGUUUGAAUAUAGUCAUCCAAUAUACAAAUCUUUAUGUCUCGACCAUUUUGAGACUCCUCGUCAUGUCCGUGAUCACAUCCAGGACUCCGAACAACCUUCAGUACAUCAUAUCACAUAAACUCAUAAUACAAAUUGUCAUCGAACUUUAAGCAUGAGGACCCUACGGGUUCGAGAACUAUGUAGACAUGAACGAGACACGUCUCCGGUCAGUAACCAAUAGCGGAACCUGGAUGCUCAUAUUGGUUCCUACAUAUUCUAUGAAGAUAUUUAUCGGUCAAACCGCAUAACAACAUACGUUGUUCCCUUUGUCAUCGGUAUGUUACUUGCCCGAGAUUAGAUCGUCGGUUUCUCAAUACCUAGUUCAAUCUCGUUACCGGAAAGUCUCUUUACUCGUUACAUAAUACUUCAUCCCGCAACUAACUCAUUAGUUACAAUGCUUGCAAGGCUUAUAGUGAUGAGUAUUACCGAGAGGGCCCAGAGAUACUUCUCCAAAACACGGAGUGACAAAUCCUAAUCUCGAUCUAUGCCAACCCAACAAACACCUUUGGAGACACCUGUAGAGCACCUUUAUAAUCACCCAUUUAUGUUUUGACGUUUUGUAGCACACAAAGUGUUCCUCCGGUAUUCGGGAGUUGCAUAAUCUCAUAGUCUGAGGAACUUGUAUAAGUCAUGAAGAAAGAAGUAGCAAUGAAACUGACACGAUCAUAAUGCUAAGCUAACGGAUGGGUCAUGUCCAUCACAUCAUUCUCCUAAUGAUGUGAUCCCAUUCAUCAAAUGAUAACUCAUGUCUAUGGUUAGGAAACUUAACCAUCUUUGAUUAACGAGCUAGUCAAGUAGAGGCAUACUAGGGACUAUAUGUUUUGUCUAUGUAUUCACACAUGUACUAAGUUUCCGGUUAAUACAAUUCUAGCAUGAAUAAUAAACAUUUAUCAUGAAUUAAGGAAAUAAAAAAUAACUUUAUUAUUGCCUCUAUGGCAGCUCCCGCUUGCACUAGAGUCAAUAAUCUAGAUUAUAUAGUAAUGAUUCUAACACCCAUGGAGCUUUGGUGUUGAUCAUGUUUUGCUUGUGGAAGAGGCUUAGUCAAUGGGUCUGCAACAUUCUGAUCCAUGUGUAUCUUGCAAGUAUCUAUGUCCCCCUCCGACACUUGAUGACGGAUGGAAUUGAAGCGUCUCUUGAUGUGCUUGGUUCUCUUGUGAAAUCUAGAUUCCUUUGCCAAGGAAAUUGCACCAGUAUUGUCACAAAAGAUUCCCAUUGGACCCAAUGCACUAGGUAUGACACCUAGAUCGGAUAUGAAUUCCUUCAUCCAAACUCCUUCAUUUGCUGCUUUCGAAUUAGCAAUGUACUCUGCUUCACACGUAGAUCCCGCCACGAUGCUCUGCUUGGAACUGCACCAACUGAUAGCUCCUCCAUUUAAUAAAAAUACGUAUCCAGUUUGUGACUUAGAGUCAUUCGGAUUAGUGUCAAAGCUUGCAUCGACGUAACCGUUUACGACGAGCUCCUUUUCACCUCCAUAAACGAGAAACAUAUCCUUAGUCCUCUUCAGGUAUUUCAGGAUGUUCUUAACCGCUGUCUAGUGCUCCACUCUGGGAUUACUUUGGUACCUCCCUGCUAUGCUUAUAGCAAGGCAUACAUCAGGUCUGGUACACAGCAUUGCAUACAUGAUAGAACCUAUGGAUGAAGCAUAGGGAAUGACUUUCAUUUUCUCUCUAUCUUCUGUAGUGGUCGAGCAUUGAGUCUGACUCAACUUCAUACCUUGUAACACAGGCAAGAAUCCUUUAUUUCACUGAUCAAUUUUGAACUUCUUCAAAACUUUAUCAAGGUAUGUGCUUUGUGAAUGUCCAAUUAAGCGUCUUGAUCUAUCUCUAUAGAUCUUGAUGCCCAAUAUGUAAGCAGCUUCUCCGAGGUCUUUCAUAGAAAAACUCUUAUUCAGGUAUCCCUUUAUGCUAUCCAGAAAUUCUAUAUCAUUUCCAAUCAACAAUAUGUCAUCCGCAUAUAAUAUCAGAAAUGCUACAGAGCUCCCACUCACUUUCUUGUAAAUACAAGCUUCUACAAAAAUCUGUAUAAAACCAUAUGCUUUGAUCACACUAUCAAAGCGUUUAUUCCAACUCCGAGAGGCUUGCACCAGUCCAUAAAUGGAUCGCUGGAGCUUGCACACUUUGUUAGCACCCUUUGGAUCAACAAAACCUUCUGGUUGCAUCAUAUACAACUCUCUUCCAGAAAUCCAUUCAGGAAUGCAGUUUUGACAUCCACUUGCCAAAUUUCAUAAUCAUAAAAUGCAGCAAUUGCUAACAUGAUUCGGAUAGACUUAAGCAUCGCUACGGGUGAGAAAGUCUCAUUGUAGUCAACUCCUUGAACUUGUCAAAAACCUUUCGCAACAAGUCGAGCUUUGAAAACAGUAACAUUACCGUCUGUGUCGGUCUUCUUCUUAAAAAUCCAUUUAUUUUCUAUGGCUUGCCGAUCAUCGGGCAAGUCCACCAAAGUCCACACUUUGUUCUCAUACAUGGAUUCCAUCUGAGAUUUCAUGGCCUCAAGCCAUUUUGUGGAAUUUGGGCUCAUCAUCGCUUCCUCAUAGUUCGUAGGUUCAUCAUGGUCUAGUAACAUGACCUCCAGAACAGGACUAUCGUACCACUCUGGUGUGGAUCUUAGUCUGGAAGACCUACGUGGUUCGGUAGUAACUUGAUCUGAAGUUUCAUGAUCAUCAUUAACUUCCUCAUACAUACUAGUGCUGAUCAUUGAGCAAGUCAAUCAAAGUCCAUACUUUGUUCUCAUACAUGGAUCAUAUCUCGGAUUUUAUGGCCUCAAGCCAUUUCGUGGAAUCUGGGCUCAUCAUCGCUUCCUCAUAGUUCGUAGGUUCAUCAUGGUCUAGUAACAUGGCUUCCAGAACAUGAUUACCGUACCACUCUGGUGCGGAUCUUACUCUGGAAGACCUACGAGGUUUGGUAGCAACUUGAUCUGAAAUUUCAUGAUCAUCAUCAUUAACUUCCUCACUAAUUGGUGUAGGAAUCACUGGAACUGAUUUCUGUGAUGCACUACUUUCCAAUAAGGGAGAAGGUACAAUUACCUCAUCAAGUUCUACUUUCCUCCCACUCACUUCUUUCGAGAGAAACUCCUUCUCUAGAAAGAAUCAAUUCUUAGCAACGAAUGUUUUGCCUUUUGGAUUUGUGAUAGAAGGAGUACCCAACAGUUUCCUUUGGGUAUUCUAUGAAGACACACUUCUCCGAUUUGGGUUCGAGCUUAUCAGGUUGAAAACCUUUUUCAUAUAAGCAUCAUAACUCCAAACUUUAAGAAACGACAGCUUAGGUUUACUGCUAAACCAUAGUGUAUACGAUGUCGUCUCAACGGAUUUAGAUGGUGCCCUUUUAACGUGAAUGCAACUGUCUCUAAUGCAUAACCCCAAAACAAUAGUGGUAAAUCAGUAAGAGACAUCAUAGAUCGCACCAUAUCAAUAAAGUGUGGUUAUGACGUUCGGACACACCAUAACGUUGUGGUGUUCCAGGUGGCGUGAGCUGUGAAACUAUUCCACAUAGUUUUAAUUGAAGACCAAACUCAUAACUCAAAUAUUCGUCUCCGCGAUCAGAUCGCAGAAACUUUAUUUUCUUGUUACGAUGAUUUUUCCACUUCACUCUAAAAUUCUUUGAACAUUUCAACUAUUUCAGACUUAUGUUUCAUCAAGUAGAUAUACCCAUAUCUCCUCAAAUCAUCUUGUGAAGGUCAGAAAAUAACGAUACUUGCCACGAGCAUCAACACUCAUUGGAUCGCAUACAUCGGUAUGUAUUAUUUCCAAUAAGUCAGUAGCUUGUUCCAUUGUUCUGGAGAACGGAGUUUUAGUCAUCUUGCCCAAAAGGCACGGUUCGCAAGCAUCAAAUGAUUCAUAACCAAGUGAUUCCAAAAAUCCAUCUUUAUGGAGUUUCUUCAUGCGCUUUACACCGAUAUGACCCAAACGGCAGUGCCACAAAUAAGUUGCACUAUCAUUAUUAGCUUUGCAUCUUUUGGCAUCAAUAUUAUGAAUAUGUGUAUCACUACGAUCGAGAUCCAACCAACUAUGUUCAUUGGGUGUAUGACCUUUUGAAGGUCUUAUUCAUGUAAAUAGAAUAACAAUUUAUUCUCUAACUUUAAAUGAAUAACCGUAUCACAAUAAACAUGAUCAAAUCAUAUUCAUGCUAAAUGCAAACGCUAAAUAACAUUUAUUUAGGUUUAACACUUAUCCCGAAAGUUUAGGGAGUGUGCGAUGAUGAUCAUAUCAAUCUUGGAACUACUUCCAACACUCAUCGUCACUUCCCCUUCAACUAGUCUCUGUUUAUUCUGUAACUCCUGUUUCGAGUUACUAAUCUUAGCAACCGAACAAGUAUCAAAUACUCAGGGGCUACUAUAAACACUAGUAAGGCACACAUCAAUAAUCUGUAUAUCAAAUAUACCCUUGUUCACUUUGCCAUCCUUCUUAUCCACCACAUAUUCAGGGCAUUUCCGCUUCCAGUGACCAUUUCCUUUGCAGUGUAAACACUCAGUUUCAGGCUAUGGUCCAGCUUUGGGCUUCUUCACAGGAGUGACAACUUGCUUGUCUUUCCACUUGAAGUUCCUUUUCUUUCCCUUUGCCCUUCUCUUGAAACUAGUGGUCUUGUCAAUCAUCAACACUUGAUGCUCUUUCUUGAUUUCUACCUUCGUCGAUUUCAACAACACGAAGAGCUCGGGAAUCGUUUUCGUCAUCCCUUGCAUACUAUACUUCAUCACGAAGUUCUAGUAUCUUAGUGAUGGUGACUAGAGAAUUCUGCCAAUCACUAUCUUAUCUGGAAGAUUAACUCCCACUUGAUUCAAGCGAUUGAAGUACCCAGACAAUCUGAGCACAUGCUCACUAGUUGAGCGAUUCUCCUCCAUCUUUUAGCUAUAGAACUUGUUGGAGACUUCAUAUCUCUCAACUCGGGUAUUUGCUGGAAAUAUUAACUUCAACUCCUGGAACAUCUCAUAUGGUCCAUGACGUUCAAAACGUCUUUGAAGUCCCGAUUCUAAGCCGUUAAGCAUGGUGCACUAAACUAUCAAGUAGUCAUCAUAUUGAGCUAGCCAGACGUUCAUAAUGUCUGCAUCUGCUCCUGCAAUAGGUCUGUCACCUAGCGGUGCAUUAAGGACAUAAUUCUUCUGUGUAGCAAUGAGGAUAAACCUCAGAUCAUGGAUCCAAUCCGCAUCAUUGCUACUAACAUUUUUCAACACAAUUUUCUCUAGGAACAUAUCAAAAAAUAAACAUAUGAAAGCAACAAUGCGAGCUAUUGAUCUACAACAUAAUUUGCAAGAUACUACCAGGACUAAGUUCAUGAUAAAUUUAAGUUCAAUUAAUCAUAUUACUUAAGAACUCCCACUUAGACAGACAUCUCUCUAGUCAUCUAAGUGAUCACGUGAUCCAAAUCAACUAAACCAUGUCCGAUCAUCACGCGAGAUGGAGUAGUUUCAAUGGUGAACAUCACUAUGUUGAUCAUAUCUACUAUAUGAUUCACGCUCGACCUUUCGGUCUCCGUGUUCCGAGGCCAUAUCUGUAUAUGCUAGGCUCGUCAAGUUUAACCCGAGUAUUCCGCGUGUGCAACUAUUUUGCACCCGUUGUAUUUGAACGUAGAGCCUAUCACACCCGAUCAUCACGUGGUGUCUCAGCACGAAGAACUUUCGCAACGGUGCAUACUCAGGGAGAACACUUCUUGAUAAUUAGUGAGAGAUCAUCUUAAAAUGCUACCGUCAAACAAAACAGAAUAAGAUGUAUAACAGAUAAACAUCAUAUGCAAUCAAAAUAUGUGACAUGAUAUGGCCAUGAUCAUCUUGCGCCUUUGAUCUCCAUCUCCAAAGUACUGUCAUGAUCUCUAUCGUCAUCGGCAUGACACCAUGAUCUUCAUCAUCUUGAUCUAUAUCAAUGUGUCGUCACAUGGUCGUCUCGCCAACUAUUGCUCUUGCAACUAUUGCUAUCGCAUAGCGAUAAAGUAAAGCAAUUAUUUGGCACUUGCAUCUUAUGCAACAAAGAGACAACCAUAGGGCUUCUUCCAGUUGCCGAUAACUUCAACAAAACAUGAUCAUCUCAUACAACAACUUAUAUCUCAUCACGUCUUGACCAGAUCACAUCACAACAUGCCCUGCAAAAACAAGUUAGACGUCCUCUACUUUGUUGUUGCAAAUUUUACGUGGCUGCUACGGGCUGAGCAAGAACCGUUCUUACCUACGCAUCAAAACCACAACGAUAGUUCGUCAAGUUAGUGUUGUUUUAACCUUCGCAAGGACCGGGCGUAGCCACACUCGAUUCAGCUAAAAUGAGAGAGACAGACACCCGCCGGCCACCUUUAAGCACGAGUGCUCGUAACGGUGAAACCAGUCUCGCGUAAGCGUACGCGUAAUGUCGGUCCGGGCUGCUUCAUCUCACAAUACCGCUGAACCAAAGUAUGACAUGCUGGUAAGCAGUAUGACUUGUAUCACCCACAACUCACUUGUGUUCUACUCAUGCAUAUAACAUCAACGCAGAAAACCUAGUCUCGGAUGCCACUGUUGGGGAACGUAGUAAUUUCAAAAUUUUCCUACGCACACGCAAGAUCAUGGUGAUGAUAUAGCAACGAGAGGGGAGAGUGUUCGUCUACGUACCCUCGUAGACCGUAAGCGGAAGUGUUAGCACAACGCGGUUGAUGUAGUCGUACGUCUUCACGAUCCGACCGAUCCAAGCACCGAACAUACGGGGCCUCCGAGUUCAUCAGAUGUUCAGCUCGAUGACGAUCUCCGGACCUCCGAUCCAGCAAAGGCUCCGGAGAUGAGUUCCGUCAGCACGACGGCAUGGGGACGAUGAUGAUGUUCUACCGGCGCAGGGCUUCGCCUAAACUCCGCGACAAUAUGACCGAGGUGGAAUAUGGUGGAAGGGGGCACCGCACACGGCUAAGGAACGAUCCGUAGAUCAACUUGUGCUGUUGUGCCUAGAGGUGCCCCCCUGCCCCCGUAUAUAAAGGAGCCAGGGGGAGGGGUUCGGCCGGCCAGGAGGGGCGCGCCAGGAGGAGUCCUCCUCCCACCGGGAGUAGGACUCCCCCCCCCCUUCCUUGUUGGAGUAGGAGAGAAGGAAAGAGGGGGAGAGGAGGAAGGAAAAGGUGGCUGCACCCCUUGUCCAAUUCGGACCAGAGGGGGGCUGCGCCCCUCCUUCCUUUCGGCCUCUCUCCUCUAUUCCCGUAUGGCCCAAUAAGGCCCAUAUACUCCCCGGUGAAUUCCCGUAACUCUCCGGUACUCCGAAAAAUAUCCGAAUGACUCGGAACCUUUCCGAACUCCGAAUAUAGUCGUCCAAUAUAUCGAUCUUUACGUCUCGACCAUUUCGAGACUCCUCGUCAUGUCCCAAAUCUCAUCCGGGACUCCGAACUCCUUCAGUACAUAAAAACUCAUAAACUCAUAAUAAAACUGUCAUCGAAACCUUAAGCGUGCGGACCCUACGGGUUCGAGAACAAUGUAGACAUGACCUAGAACUAUUCUCGGUCAAUAACCAAUAGUGGAACCUGGAUGCUCAUAUUGGCUCCCACAUAUUCUACGAAGAUCUUUAUCGGUCAAACCGCAUAACAACAUACGUUGUUCCCUUUGUCAUCGGUAUGUUACUUGCCCGAGAUUCGAUCGUCGGUAUCCAAUACCUAGUUCAAUCUCGUUACCGGCAAGUCUCUUUACUCGUUACAUAAUGCAUCAUCCCGCAACUAACUCAUUAGUCACAUUGCUUGCAAGGCUUAUAGUGAUGUGCAUUACCGAGGGGGCCCAGAGAUACCUCUCCGACAAUCGGAGUGACAAAACCUAAUCUAGAAAUACGCCAACCCAACAUGUACCUUUGGAGACACCUAUAGUACUCCUUUAUAAUCACCCAGUUACGUUGUGACAUUUGGUAGCACCCAAAGUGUUCCUCCGGUAAAUGGGAGUUGCAUAAUCUCAUAGUUACAGGAACAUGUAUAAGUCAUGAAGAAAGCAAUAGCAACAUACUAAACGAUCAAGUGCGAGGCUAACGGAAUGGGUCAUGUCAAUCACAUCAUUCUCCUAAUGAUGUGAUCCCGUUAAUCAAAUGACAACACAUGUCUAUGGUUAGGAAACAUAACCAUCUUUGAUUAACAAGCUAGUCAAGUAGAGGCAUACUAGUGACACUAUGUUUGUCUAUGUAUUCACACAUGUAUUAUGUUUCCGGUUAAUACAAUUCUAGCAUGAAUAAUAAACAUUUAUUACGAUAUAAGGAAAUAAAUAAUAACUUUAUUAUUGCCUCUAGGGCAUAUUUCCUUCACGAGAUUCAAUAAACCAUUCAUUUUAGGUGCAAGACCAUUGAAGGUAUUAUUAAAAUGAACAGAGUAACUAUUAUUCUCCUUCAAUGAAUGACCAUAUUGCGAUAGACAUAAUCCAAUCAUGCCUAUGCUCAAUGCAAACACCAAUAACAAUUAUUUAGGUUUAACACCAAUCUCGAUGGUAGAGGGAGUGUGCGAUGCUUGAUCACAUCAAGCUUGGAAAUACUUCCAACACAUAUUGUCACCUCGCCUUUAGCUAGUCUCCGUUUAUUCUGUAGCCUUUUAUUUCGAGUUACUAACACUUAGCAACCGAACCAGUAUCUAUUACCAUGGUGCUACUAGGAGUACUAGUAAAGUACACAUUAAUAUAAUGUAUAUGCAAUAUACUUUUGUCGACCUUGCCAGCCUUCUCAUCUAUUAAGUAUCUAGGGUGGUUCUGCUUCAGUGACCGUUCCCCUUAUUACAGAAGCACUUAGUCUCGGGUUUGGGUUCAACCUUUGGUUUCUUCACUAGAGCAGCAGCUGAUUUGCCGUUUCAUGAAGUAUCCCUUCUUGCCCUUGCCCUUCUUGAAACUAGUGGUUUCACUAACCAUCAACAAUUGAUGCUCCUUCUUGAUUUCUACUUUCGUGGUGUCAAACAUUGCGAAUAUUUCAAGGAUCAUCAUAUCUAUCCCUGAUAUGUUAUAGUUCAUCACGAAGCUCUAGUAGCUUGGUGGCAAUGACUUUGGAGAAAUAUCACUAUCUCAUCUGGAAGAUUAACUUCACUCGAUUCAAGUGAUUGUUGUACCCAGACAAUCUGAGUACAAGCUCAACGAUUGAGCUUUUCUCCCUUAGUUUGUAGGCUUAAGAAACUUGUCAGAGGUCUCAUACCUCUUGAUGUGGGCACUAGCCUGAAAUCCCAAUUUCAGUCCUUGGAACAUCUCAUAUGUUCCGCGACAUUUCAAAAAUGCCUUUGAUGCCUCAAUUCUAAACCGUUUAACAUUAUGCAUUGAACUAUCACAUAGUCAUCAAAACGUGUAUGUCAGAUGUUCGCAACAUCCACAGACGACGUUCGAGGUUUAGCACACCGAGUGGUGCAUCAAGGACAUAAGCCUUAUGCGUAGCAACGAGGACAAUCCUCAAUUUACGGACCUAGUCUGCAUAAUUGCUACUAUCAACUUUCAACUAAAUUUUCUCUAGGAACAUAUGUAAAACAGUAGAACUAAAGCGUACAUGACAAUUAAGUUCAUCUAAUCAAAUUAUUUAGUGAACUCCCAGUCAGAUAGACAUCCCUCUAGUCAUCUAAGUGAUACAUGAUCCGAGUCAACUAGGCCAUGUCCGAUCAUCACGUGAGAUGGACUAGUCAUCAUCGGUGAACAUCUUCAUGUUGAUCGUAUCUUCUAUACGACUCAUGUUCGACCUUUCGGUCUUCCGUGUUCCGAGGCCAUGUCUGUACAUGCUAGGCUCGUCAAGUCAACCUAAGUGUGUUGCGUGUGUAAAUCUGGCUUACACCCGUUGUAUUCGAACGUUAGAAUCUAUGACACCCGAUCAUCACGUGGUGCUUCGAAACAAUGAACCUUCGCAACGGUGCACAGUUAGGGGGAACACUUUUUCUUGACAUUAUAGCGAGGGAUCAUCUUAUUUAAGCUACCGUCGUUCUAAGCAAAUAAGAUGUAAACCAUGAUAAACAUCACAUGCAAUCAAAUAGUGACAUGAUAUGGCCAAUAUCAUUUUGCUCCUUUUGAUCUCCAUCUUCGGGGCUCCAUGAUCAUCAUCGUCACCGGCAUGACACCAUGAUCUCCAUCAUCAUGAUCUCCAUCAUCGUGUCUCCUUGAAGUUGUCUCUCCAACUAUUACUUCUACUACUAUGGCUAACGGCUUAGCAAUAAAGUAAAGUAAUUACAUGGCGUUGUUCAAUGACACGCAGGUCAUACAAUAAAUUAAGACAACUCCUAUGGCUCCUGCCGGUUGUCAUACUCAUCGACAUGCAAGUCGUGAUUACUGUUACAAGAACAUGAUCAAUCUCAUACAUCAUAUAUCAUUCAUCACAUUCUUUUGGCCAUAUCACAUCACAUAGCAUACCUUGCAAAAACAAGUUAGACGUCCCCUAAUUGUUGUUUGCAUGUUUUACGUGGCUGCUAUGGGUUUCUAGCAAGAACGUUUCUUACCUAUGCAAAAACCACAACGUGAUAUGCCAAUUUCUAUUUACCCUUCAUAAGGACCCUUUUCAUCGAAUCCGAUCCGACUAAGGUGGGAGAGACAGUCACCCGCUAGCCACCUUAUGCAACUAGUGCAUGUCAGUCGGUGGAACCUGUCUCACGUAAGAGUACGUGUAAGGUCGGUCCAGGCCGCUUCAUCCCACGAUAUCGCCGAAUUAAGAUAAGACUAGUAAUGGCAAGUAAAUUGACAAUAUCGAAUCCCACAACUGCUUUGUGUUCUACUCGUGCAUAGAAACUACGCAUAGACCUAGCUCAUGAUGCCACUGUUGGGGAUCGUAGCAGAAAUUUAAAAUUUUCUACGCAUCACCAAGAUCAAUCUAUGGAGUAAUCUAGCAACGAGGGGAAGGAGAGUGCAUCUACAUACCCUUGUAGAUCGCUAAGGGAAGUGUUGCAAGAACGCGGAUGAAGGAGUCGUACUCGUAGCGGUUCAGAUCGCGGUUGAUUCCGAUCUAAGCACCGAACAACGGUGCCUCCGUGUUCAACACACGUGCAGCCCGAUGACGUCUCUCGUGCCUUGAUCCAGCAAGGGGAGAGGGAGAGGUUGGGGAAGACUCUGUCCAGCUGCAGCACGACGGCGUGGUGGUGGUGGAGGAGCGUGGCACUCCAACAGGGCUUCGCCAAGCACUGCGAGAGACGAGGAGGGAGAGAGGUAGGGCUGCGCCAAGAGAGAGGAAAACUCAUGUGUUGGCAGCCCCAAAACCUCAAGUAUAUAUAGGGGAAGGGGAGGGGCUGCGCUCCCAUCUAGGGUUCCCUCCCUAGGGGUGGCGGCAGCCCCAAAACCCAUCUAGGGUGCGGUCAAGGGGGGGGGGAAGAGAGGGGGGCACCCUAGGGUGGGCCUUAAGGCCCAUCUGGACCUAGGGUUUGCCCCCUCCCACUCUCCCUGCGCCUUGGGCCUUGGUGGUGGGGGGGCGCACCAGCCCACCAGGGGCUGGUCCCCUCCCACACUUAGCCCACGCAGCCCUCAGGGGCCGGUGGCCCCACCUGGUGGACCCCCAGGACCCUCCUGAUGGUCCCAGUACAUUACCGAUAGCACCCGAAACUUUUCUGGUGACCAAAACAGGAGUUCCCAUAUAUAAAUCUUUACCUCCGGACUAUUCCGGAACUCCUCUUGACGUCCGGGAUCUCAUCUGGGACUCCGAACAACAUUCGGUAACCACAUACAUCUAUUCCCUAUAACCCUAGUGUCAUCAAACCUUAAGUGUGUAGACCCUACGGGUUCGGGAACUACGUGGACAUGACCGAGACAACUCUCCGGCCAAUAACCAACAGCGGGAUCUGGAUACCCAUGUUGGCUCCCACAUGUUCCACGAUGAUCUCAUCGGAUGAACCACGAUGUCAAGGAUUCAAUCAAUCCCGUAUACAAUUCCCUUUGUCUAGCGGUAUAGUACUUACCCGAGAUUCGAUCGUCGGUAUCUCCAUACCUUGUUCAAUCUCGUUACUGGCAAGUCUCUUUACUCGUUCCGUAACACAUCAUCCCGUGAUCAACUCCUUGGUCACAUUGCGCAUAUCAUGAUGUCCUACCGAGUGGGCCCAGAGAUACCUCUCCGUCACACGGAGUGACAAAUCCCAGUCUCGAUUCGUGCCAACCCAACAGACACUUUCGGAGAUACCCGUAGUGUACCUUUAUAGCCACCCAGUUACGUUGUGACGUUUGGUACACCCAAAGCAUUCCUACGGUAUCCGGGAGUUGCAAAAUCUCAUGGUCUAAGGAAAUGAUACUUGACAUUAGAAAAGCUUUAGCAUACGAACUACACGAUCUUUGUGCUAGGCUUAGGAUUGGGUCUUGUCCAUCACAUCAUUCUCCUAAUGAUGUGAUCCCGUUAUCAACAACAUCCAAUGUCCAUGGUCAGGAAACCGUAACCAUCUAUAGAUCAACGAGCUAGUCAACUAGAGGCUUACUAAGGACAUGGUGUUGUCUAUGUACCCACACAUGUAUCUGAGUUUCCUAUCAAUACAAUUAUAGCAUGGAUAAUAAACGAUUAUCAUGAACAAGGAAAUAUAAUAAUAAUUACUAAUUUAUUAUUGCCUCUAGAGCAUAUUUCCAACAAAUCUGGGUUCCCAAAAGUUGCCUUGACAAUCUUCAGGUAAAUGUCCUCAUGACAAUACCUAUGAAGAAAAGGAACUCCAGAUCAAAUUCUUCAUAUGAACCAAAUUCUUCAUAUGGAUCCAAGUCCUCAUACGGACCAAAUUCCUCACGUGGAUCAAAUUCCUCAAAAGGAUCAAAGUCCUCAUAUGAUCAUCAUCGUACUAACCCUUCUGUUUCGCAGGGUAGAGCUAAGGGCUAUGAAUAUGUCAUUAUUCUUCAAAUCAUUAUGUUCAUAAGUCCUGGAAGAAUUUCUCUGCUUAUUCAUAUGCUUAACCUAACCCCUCUUAUGUGAAACAAAGUGGACUGGCGUCUAUGCCACCUUUCUCAUAUGGUGCUCGCAGAGUGAUGAAUUCUUUGCCACCCCUCCAGAUGUGGAAGGUGAAGAAAAAGAACUAAUCUCUUAUGUAGGGUCAGGUCUCCAGUCGUGCUCAAAAUGACUGAAGAAUUUGCUGGAGACCUGAACGGUGCCUGAAAGGACGCAGGCUGAUCAUGAAGAAAUGAAUUGUCAUUUCUCAUGUCCUCAUACUGAAUUAUCUGUGCUAUUUCUUGAUGAAAUUGAACUGAUGAUAUUGAUGUCAUAUUCUUCACUGAUAAAGUAUAUGAGUUCGUAAGUUGCACUAAUUCAUCUGCAGGAUGAUCAGCCCAAAGCCAAUGAGUGGAUCCUCGAUAGUGGAUGUACAAAUCACAUGACUGGUGACAAAAAUCUAUUGAUGGAUGCUCCCUUAUCACCAUCACAUCUGAAGCAUAUCAUCUUCGCUGAAAAAGGCAAAAGUCAGGUAUUGGAUCUAGGUAAGGUUGCGAUCUCAAAGGAUCGACACAUGGACAAGGUCAUGCUUGUCGAGUCCUUAGGAUACAACCUCAUGUCUGUCUCAAUGCUUUGUGAUCUUGAUAUGGUUGUUGUCUUUGGAAGAUAUUGUUGUGUUGUGAUCAUGGAAGCUGACCAUUCCAAAGUCUUCGAAGGCUUUAGGAGAGGAAAUCUGUAUAUCGUUCAUUUCUCUACAGGACCACAGCCUAUCGUGUGCUUACUUGCGAAAGCUUCAGAAGGUUGGCUAUGGCAUCGAUGACUUGGUCAUGCUGGCAUGAGGAACCUGCACACGCUCGCGAAGAAGAAGCAUGUCAUUGGCAUUGAGAAUGUCAAAUUCCUCAAGGAUCACUUAUGCGGAGCUUGUGAAGCUGGGAAGAUGACAAAGGCCAAGCAUCCAGCGAAGACUAUCAUGACUACCACUCGACCAUUUGAAUUGCUUCGCAUGGAUCUCUUCGGUCCUAAUCAUUAUUCUGCUAUGACAAAUGAUGCAUCUCUAUAUGGCUUUGUUAUUGUUGAUGAUUAUUCUCGUUACACAUGGGUACACAUUGUCACUUACAAACAUGAAGUGCAGGAAGUCUUCAAAUGAUUUUCCUCGAGGGCUUCAACCAACUUUGGUGUGAAGUUCAAACACAUCAGAAGUGACAAAUGGGACUGAGUUCAAAAAUUCCGGUCUAGAUGGCUAUCUUGAUGAACUUGGUAUUACUCAUGAGUUAUCUGCUCCUUAUACUCCUCAGCAGAAUGGCGUCGUGGAGCGCAAGAACAGAACCCUCGCUGAAAUGGCUCGCACUAUGCUUGAUGAAUACAAGACACCUCGUCGGUUCUGGAUUGAUGCAAUUGAUACUGCUUGCGACAUCAUCAACAGAGUAUAUCUUCACAAAUUCUUCAAGAAGACUGCCUAUGAACUCCUCACUGACAAGAAACCCAAUGUAAGUUACUUCAAAGUCAUCGGUGCUAAAUGUUGGAUUAGAGAUCCACAUCACAAUUCUAAAUUUGCACCGAAAGCACAUGAGGGUUUGAUGCUUGGUUACGAAAAGGACUCGCACACCUAUAGAGUCUUCAACAACGUUCUUCACAAGGUUGUUGAAACUGUAGAUGUGCGGUUCGAUGAAACUAAUGGCUCGCAAAGAGAGCACCUGCCUUCUGUGAUAGAUGAACCAGCACCUGAGGAUUCUAUCAAGUUCAAGGCCACUGAGGAUGUCAUUCCUUCUGAAGAAUCUACUUAAGAAUUCAUUCCAGAACGUGAUGAACAUCGAACUAGCGCACCUGAAGAAAAUGGUGCUGGGGAAAAUGCUCCUAAAGAAUACGCGGAUCAAAUUCCUCGAAGACAACCCGCUCAUCCUCGUAUUGCAAAUGAAUUGCAAGUCGAGAAGAUCAUCGAUGACAUUCAUGCACCAGGUCCUCUCACACGCUCAAAAGCUUCACAUUUAUCUAACUUUUGUGGGCACUUUGCUUUUGUCUCUAUCACAAAGCCCACUAAGGUAGAUGAAGCAUUUCUGGAGCCUGAGUGGAUUCAAGCUAUGCAAGAAGAAUUACAUCAGUUCGAGCUCAACAACGUCUGGGAACUGGUCAAACGUCGAGAUCCUCGCAAGCACAACAUUAUUGGCACAAAAUGGAUCUACCGCAACAAGCAAGAUGAAAAUGGCCUUGUGGUGAGGAAUAAGGCACGGCUUGUAGCUCAAGGCUACACACAGGUUAAAGGAAUUGAUUUCGAUGAAACUUUUGCACCUGUUGCUAGACUUGAGGCUAUUCGCAUGUUACUUGCUUACGCUAACCAUAAUAAUAUCACUUUAUAUCAACUGGAUGUGAAAAGUGCAUUCCUCAAUGGUAAGCUUGAGGAAGAAGUAUAUGUUGCUCAACACCUAGGUUUUGAAGAUCCAAAGAAUCCCGACAAAGUCUUCAGACUCAACAAGGCCAUGUAUGGCCUCAAGCAAGCCCCUCGGGCGUGGUAUGACACUUUGAAGGAAUUCUUCAUGAAGAAAGGCUUCAAACCCGGUUCACGCGACCCAACUCUUUUCACUAAAUCUUAUGAUGGUGAAUUGUUUGUGUGCCAAAUAUAUGUUGAUGAUAUUAUCUUUGGCUAUACUGACCAACGCUAUAGUGAUGAAUUUGCCUAUAUGAUGAGUGAAGAAAAUCGAAUGUCUAUGAUGGGAGAGUUGAAAUUCUUUUUAGGUCUUCAAAUUCGUCAACAGCGCAAUGGAAUAUUCAUAUCUCAGGAGAAAUACCUCAAGGACGUAUUGAGGAAAUUCGGCAUGCAAGAUUGCAAAGGGGUCAAAAUUCCAAUGCCCACAAAUGGCCAUCUAUGCACUGAUGAAAAUGGUGAAGACUUCGAUCAAAAGGUAUACUACUCCAUGAUUGCCUCUUAAUUGUACCUAUGUGCAUCUAGGGCGGAUAUUAUGCUUAGUGUUUGCAUGUGUGCUCGAUUUCAAGCUACACCGAAGGAAUCACACCAUAAGGCUGUGAAGCAUAUUCUUUGAUACUUAGCUCACACACCAACACUUGGAUUAUGGUAUCCCAAGGGCUCUUCAUUUGAUCUCAUUGGAUAUUCAGACUCUGACUAUGCUAGCAAUCGCGUGGACCGCAAGUCAACAUCUGGUACAUGUCAUUUCCUCGGACGAUCUUUGGUCUGUUGGUCCUCGAAGAAACAGAACUGCGUAUCUCUCUCCACUGCAGAAGCUGAGUACAUUGCUGUUGGAUCGUGUUGUGCUCAAUUACUUUGGAUGAAGCAAACACUCAAGGACUAUGGCAUCAACGUGAAGAAUGUGCCUCUCUACUGCGACAAUGAGAGUGCUAUCAAAAUUGCUCAUAACCCAGUUCAGCACUCGAAGACAAAGCACAUCCAGAUUUGUCAUCAUUUUCUUCGUGAUCAUGUGUUGAAGGGCGAUAUCUCCAUCGACCACGCUAGCACUGAAGAUCAGCUGGUCGAUAUCUUCACUAAGCCCUUGGAUGAGAAGAGAUUUAGCAAGUUGUGGUGUGAGCUAAAUAUCCUAGAAUCUUCAAAUGUUCUCCGAAAUGGACACACAUCCUAACACUUAUGCUGACUUGAUGACUUAGAUGCGCAAUACACAUAGUAACGUUUUUCUUCAAUCAAUGAAGACUAACCCUCUAAGUGUGAAGAAAUUAAUGAAGAAAUUGACUCUCAGAGCCCGACGACAAUUGUAUGCGGUGUCUGAAGAAAACUUUCUUAUACGGUGGGUUACGCCACCACAAACGUUGAAAAUCUUCAAUUUGAGUUUUUCCUCAGUUUUGAAAUUCCUCAAUUUUUCAAAGUCUUCAACUUGCAAUGUCUUCACUAUUUUCGUCGUUUGUCCUCAUUUGAAUAUAUAUAUAUAUAUGUGUGUGUGUGUGUGUGUGUGUGUGUGUGUGUGUGUGUGAGAGAGAGUUUUAUGUCCUCUACAGCAUUCACUUAUUGCUAAUCCUUCAAGUUGACAGUUUCCGCUAAGUGAAUGUGAUCGGACCCUUCCCCAUCUAUGCGUAACUCAAUCUAAUCUUUUCACAAAUUCUUCAUAUGCGUUCUGAUUUGAAACUUGUUCAAAAUCUUCACUGUGUCCUUGACAGCUGAAGAAAUUGCGAACGGUAACUUAAAACUUAUCUUAUCUAAAUUUUCGGCUUUGCCGCUCAAACUGUUCCGCUUCUCACGACAAAUACUUAUCUAUUCUCCCACGAUCCUACACGAUCAUCACCUCACAGUAUGUGGGUGACACGUGUCAUGUGAAUGGGAAAAGUCAGGGGCACAUUCAUCCGAAAUCCUCGGGCGCACAGUUUUUCACUACCUCUAUAAAUACCCCUACCUUCUCCUCACUUCAUUUUUACUCCGCCCGACAUCUCUCUCCCGCUCGAGCUUCCCAAACCCUAGCGUCACCGCUACUUCAUCGUCGCCGGUGAGGAAGAGCUUCAUUGCCUCGACCUCGUCGCCAUCGUACUCGCGCCGGUUGCGGAUUUCUUCACUCCGCGGCCGCCGUAGACGUCUUCCUUUGCCGAGUUUGGGCGUGGAAGAUCUGAACGUACAAACUUCACCUCAACGCUUCCCAAUUCGUCGUGUUCUGCACUUCGGGUAAUUAAAAGUUGCUUUUAUUGCCCUCUUUGAUUCAUGUGUUUUCCUAAAAAUCUUCAAAGGUGUUUAUUCUUCAAAUCUUCACACACUAAAGCACCUCACAUGUUAUCUGUUCUUGAUUCGUUUCUCUAAGCAAUGAUUUUCUUCAAGAUUCCUCAAUUGUGUGGAUUUUCAAAUCUGCACAACUCUGGAACCUAAGACAAAGAACGCUUAGUGAAAUUCCUCAAGACUCAUCUGGUCAAAUUCCUCAAAACCUAUUCUUUUUUAAAAACCUUCUGAGAACGCAUAUGACCUCUCCAAAUUCCUCGCAACUAUACUCUGUUGACAGGUACAAAUGUCCGCUGCUGAAUCACUAGGUUCUCAUUAACUUAACUCAUUUGCGGCGUUCCUCGAAGAAAAAUUGCAUACCUCUUCAGAAACUUCAGUUGUUCAUAUUCCUCAGCUGAACAAAAUGGCUGACAAGAAGCCACAGAAGGGAGCAAAAAGGCCUGAGGUCAACACAGUGUUUGAAAUCCCUGCGGAUAUUUAUGUUGGAUACUGCACUCCUGAUGAGGCCAAGUUUGGCAAGGAGGACAAGAAUCAGCGCAAGGUGCGCAUACAACGAAUUGAGAGGAGAUGGGCACGAGAAUGGAGGGAGUACAGGUAUGUUACUCCCAAGUACAUGAAGAAAUUCACGCUCAACCUUACAUGCUCAAGACCUCCAUUGAGACCUGGCCAACUGGCGGAUCCCACCAGCCUCAAGCGCGGUGAGGACUAUGCUACUGAAUGGGCUAGGCGCUCGGCCAAACUAGCCAAGCAAGCAAAAGAAGCAGUGAGGAAAUUCAAUGAAGAUUCUGCUGCUACUGCUAACACUGCUGAGGCCUCUGGUAGUAAGCCCAGGAAGGCUAUUCCAAAGAAGUCUGCCCACAAGUCUAGUGCUUCUCGUUCAAUGCACUCACGGCCAAGCUCCUCAGCAAUGCCCUCACGGCCAGCAUCUUCAAAGCCCUCACGGCCAAUUCCUCAGUCUGCUCCUCCUCCUCCUCCGACAAAGUUUUCAGUUGCUCCGACAAAAUCUUUGGCACCUGUGCAUCUUGCCACGUGCCAAAGGACUCAAGGCUUUUCUAUUGCCUCAGGAGCAUCUGCAAGCUCCUCAGCUGCUCGACCUUCCUCAGCUGGUCCCUCACUACUGAAGAAAAAGGCCACUGCUGGAUGAGGUCUUCGACCAAGUCCUCACAAGAAGCAAGUCGCUUUCCAAGUGCCCUCUGAUGAUGAUGAGGCAGAUGAUGAUGAACUUGCUGAAAUCAUCAGAGACAGGCAAGCCAAGGCCGCUAGAGCCAAAGGCAGCAAUGUGCCACUACUUCUGGAUACCAAGAUGAUCCUCGAUUUCAUUGACUUAUGGCACAAGGACCCCGCUACACCUUUGCCGGAGAUGAACCCCACUCCUGGUCAAAGUCAUGUUCUCACUCACUUCAUUGAGGAAGAAAAGUGGAAAUAUGAAGAAGGAUGAAGGCUGAAGAAAGCGCAAUACAAGAAAUAGCGCUACCUCAAGGACAAUGUCCUCACUCUUACCCCUGAACAACUCAUUGUUGUAAAGGCUGAAAUCAAGCAAUUAAGUGAUGAUUUCAAUCGGUAUCAUGCUGAUUGGAAGGGAGCAAAGGUUCGGUUCGUCAAUUUGACGAAGACUUUCUCUUCAACUGCCUCUGCACCGGUGCAUGUUGAAAUUUCUCAGGCUGAAGAAUCUGCCCAGCCCACUAAAGAACAUGCCAGCACCACUGAUGUCAGUACGGCUGCUGAAGAAAAUGUGAGUACCAGGGCUGAUGACUCCAUUCCAGCCGCUGAAGAUAUUGCCAGGGCAUCCACUAGUGGUGCGCCUAAAGAAAGUGAACAAGUCAGGGCAACUACAACAGUUGCGCCUGAAGAAAAUGCACCUCCUGCGCCUACACCAACUUCGAUCCUUCCAUCUGCAUUAGAUGUGAAGAAGACCAAGGCUGCGGAGCGUGCAGCGAUGAAAAAGAGGAAGGCAUCAACCUCUUCAAAUUCAUCAGCUCCGAAGAAGACGAAGACUCUGAUCAGUUCAAUUGACAAUCCAAUUGAUGUCGUUCCUGUCUCAUCAAUGCCAUCAAAGGACCUUGUUCCUUUCGGUGAAGAAUAUGUGAUUCCUGAUGAAUCAGAUGAAGAAACUCCUUCUGCUGCUUCGACAGAGCAGUUGGACGAAGAAAUUGAAGUGGAUGAGAUCCCUUCAACCCCAGUCAUUUCCUCACAUUUGCCCCAGUUUACUGCUGAAGAGGCAGGUGUUGAAGAAGUUGAAGAGGAGGAUGUGGACAUUGGCUGUACCACUCCUGUGCUCAAUGAUGAAUUUUGGGACAGUCAACAUCCCAACUCUCCAAUGUUCACUCCCCUUCAAGCUAUUCCUCAGUCCCCUGCCGCCACUGAAGUACAAAUGGGAUCUGAAGAACCUCAUGCAACCCCAAGUGCUCAUGAAGAAAUUCCAGCCACUAGUGCUGAAGAAAUUGUCAAUGAAGGAUUGAUGACCUAGGCUGAAGCUGCUGAAGAGCCUGAAAUUCCUCAGCCUGAGGAACCUGAGAUUGUGAUUCCUGAAAUAGUGCUGCAAUUGACUGACACUCCUCGGCCCAAGCCAAAGGAUCCCUUCUCCAAGAAGCAAAAAUUCAAGGCUGAUGAUUUCUUUGGCGAGCACGUAUUCUUCACGGAAUUCAACCCCUAUGACAAUGCUCGUCUUAGAAGGAAGCGUUUCUGGACUGCCAGCCAGGCCAACUUCUAUUCCUCAGUGCUCUUCAACAAGGACAAAGUCUUCGAUCACGAGCAUAUUCCUCAUGUGGACAUGGAAUCCAUGCCUUGCUUCUCUCAAGUCCUCAGCAUGAUUCAUGACGCUGGCUUGCUCAAUUUCUGCUCAGACAUAGUUGAUUGGAAUGAAGAGCUUAUUCUUCAGUUCUACGCAACUUUGCAUAUCACAGGCGAUGCUGCUGACGUCAACUCGUGGGUGUUGGACUGGAUGACUGAAAAUACUCAUUACAAGGCACCAACCUCUGAAUUGGUUCGUGCCUUACCUAUCAGUCCUCCACCUGACGGCGCUCGCUGUCUGUAUGAUGAACCUGAACUUACUGAUCACUAUAUGCAGGUGCUCAUGAAGCCGCUGAAGCCAGGACAAGCUCCAAAGACCAAAUUCCUCGUGAAGGAAUUGUUCUAUGUGCCCAGAACCAUCUACCGCAUUCUAACGAAGACCAUGAGUCCCAUCAAAGGCCAUGACUCAUCCGAUGAAGAAAUUAUCGGAAUGAUGAAGAAUAUGCUUUUCAAUAUCAUGCAUGGCAUCCCCAUAAAUUAUCACGAUUUCUUCAUGAGGACUCUGGCGAAUGUUGCACUUUCACCAUUUGAGCUGAAGCCUUACGCGUCGUGGAUCAUGAGAUUCCUCAGAACAAGGUCUUCACUCAAAUACAAGGCAGAUUUUCAGAAUCACCUCAGCUACAAGCCCCCUAUUGAAGUCCUCAAGCGGACAAUUUCCUCAUCUGAUGAGAAGGGCAGGUCACCAGCUGUGAUUGAUGAAGGCACUCGUCCAUUGGAUGGUCAGUUCCACAAAGUUGCAUCCUACUCCACCAAUGAUGACUCUGCCACACGUGAUUCUGCUGCCAGAUGCUCCAAAGUCAAGUCCUCAAGCUACUGCUCCUCGUGUGAUGACGGAUCGUGAACUGCUUAUAAGUCUUCACCAGAAAGUCGAUCGAAAUCACAAGUGGGUUAAGCGUCAGUUUGGUUCUAUUCUUCACAACAUGACUUUCACACAUACUGCAGUGAAGAAAAACCACUACUACCUCCAUGAAGUGUUUGAUCGCACCUGGGCUAUUCUGUCACAUCUAUAUGGUGAAGAAGAUCUGAAGCAAAUGGGCUUCAAGGAAGACUUUGACUGGUCUGCUCCUCCUCCGAAGAGAUACAAGCAGGUCAAGGUUCCUCCCUUGGUGGCCAGCUCAUAUUCUUCAUCGCGCAACAUGGACGAGCAUGAAGACUUGGACGACACUGCAGCAGGCCCUACAACGACUCAAGACCCUGAAAAUGCUGGAGCUCCUCCAUCAUCAUGAGAUUCUUCAGGGGCGUUAGUCCUCAGUUUCAACCCUUUUGGUCAUUCGAUGACAAAGCGGGAGAAAUUUGAGUUAAUCUUCAAGCGGGUCUAUAUAUGGGUGUUUUUUUGCUAAGUUACAACUCUCGUUCUUCUGAUGACUUUGCUGGAUCGAGGUGUAAUAUUAAACUCUAUGGUGGCUUGAUACUUUUUCUAUGUUCUUCUGCGUGCUUAUUCCUCAUUAAUGUUAAUGCACACAUGUUGAAUUACAUGAAUCACCAUAUUUCAUCAUGCAUUUCAAAUUCUUCAUAUUAUAUAUCAAAUGUGUGUAUGAAUUACAAAAUAUAGGGAGAGAGAUCUCCAUGAUUAUACUCUUCAAGUGUGCAUUGCUUCAAAAGCAAAUUCCUCAGUAUGCACAUCUUCAGGGGGGGUUCUUCUAUAUCUUGCAAUCAAAUUCCUCAAUAUCAGUAUUUACACUUCAUACAAUUCUCCCCAUUGAAAACUUAACCUAUAUUGUCAUCAAUCACAAAAAAGGGGGAGAUUGUAAGUGCAUCUAGUGCUCCUUAGUGAUUUUGGUGUAUUGAAGACUUAUAGGUUAAGGGACUGAUGCGUUUGUGAGUGUACACAGGUAUAUAAGUCAAUGAGGAGUUUGAUAUUUACAGAGAAAGUCGACCCCUAAAAAUGAAGUUCUUCGACUGAAGACUUUGGAUUUCUAAAGACUUUCUGAAGACUUUGAAAGUGAAGAAAUUGGUGUGACCUUCAAGACUUGGUAUUCAUUCGAGGAACAUGAAGCGUGAAGACUUUUGUUUUUAUAGUUUCAUUUUCUCUUUCUUGAGUCAUAGGAAACGCCGUACUGUUAAAGGGGGUCGAAGAAAUACUAAGGAAAAAUUUCCAUGUGAUGCUCAACUCAAAAUCCUACACCUACCAAUCCCUUCGAGUGAAGCCAUUGGAAAUCUCAUACAGCUCUGUCAUAUUCUUCAGUGACAGAGAAGAAGUUCUUCUGGUCUCUGAGGAAUUUGUUCUGACUGAGGAGUUAGGAAUUCACCAGUGUGAAUUGCCUACACAGUGAGGAACAUGAUAGCCCUGAGGUAUUUGAGAGUCAAAUAUCCCGACCGUUGUUAUGCUACGUGCCAGUUGUCCCAAAAUAUCUACCCACCUAACGGUCAUAUCAGACAAGGGCAUUUAUGUCUUAUCAUGUCGGGCUGCUCCCUAGGCUAUAAAUAGCCGCCCCCUACAACCACUAGCUAGAUGGCUGCUCUGAGAGAAACUGACACUUGUCAUUUGAGAGUAACCCAUCCUCCGAGGACUUUGAGCGAAAAUCAUCAAGUGAGGAAAUCCCAAACCCAAACCUACAAACCCCCAAGUGAUUGAGCAUCACUGAAGAGAUUGAUCCUGUGUGGAUCCGACGCUUGUUUCCUCUGAAGACUGUGCUUCUUCCAGACGGUUAGGCGUCAAGGUCUAGAGCAUCCAAGAGGAAUUGUGGAUCGCCGAGUGACUGAGUUUGUGAAGGUUCGGAAGUCACCUGAAGACUUACCACGAGUGAUUGGGCGAGGUCUGUGUGACCUUAGCUCAAGAAGAAUAUGGUGAGGACCGUGUGUCCGGUACUGGGUGUCCUCGAGUUUGAAUACUCAGCCGCUCCAACCAGAUGUACAACUGAGACAGCAGUUGGAACUGGUCUACCAAAUCAUUGUCUUCACCGAGCUAACUGGUUCUAUUUCCUCAACUCUUCCAUUUCCUCAUGUAUGUUGUUGUGUGCCUGUUCAUAUCUGUUUGAAGACUUUUGACUGAAGACUUUCUCAAUUUCCUCAGUUCAAUUUCUUCAGUCUGUCUGUCUUCAUCUUGUGUUAUCCUCUACACUUUCUGUACUCUGUGCUUGUCUUCAUUUCAUCAUGAUGACUGUGCUUGUGUUCUGUUAUGUUCCUUUCUGAGUACUUAUUCCGCUGCAAGUAGUUCUUCAUUUAGGAAUUUCCUCACCAGCAAAUUCCUCAGUGAAGAAUUCAUAAAAAUCGCCUAUUCACCCCCCCCUCUAGUCGAUAUAAUGCACUUUCAUGUUGAUGCUCAACGCUGGCACCAAAUAACAAUUAUUCAGGUCUAAAACUAAUCCUGAAGGUAGAUGUAGAGGUAGCGUGCCGACCGCGGUCACAUCGACUUUGGAACCAUUUCCCACGCGCAUCGUCACCUCGUCCUUACCCAAUCUUCGCUUGCUCCGUAGCCCUUGUUUCGAGUUGCAAAUAUGAGCAACAGAACUAGUAUCAAAUACCCAAGCACUACUGCAAGCAUUAGUUAAGUACACAUCAAUAACAUGUAUAUCAAAUAUACCUUUCACUUUGCCAUCCUUCUUAUCCGCCAAAUACUUGGGGCAGCUCUGCUUCCAGUGACCAGUCCCUUUGCAGUAGAAGCACUCAGUUUCAGGCUUAGGUCCAGACUUGGGUUUCUUCUCUUGAGCAGCAACCUUUGCCGUUCUUCUUGAAGUUCCCCUUCUUCCCUUUGCCCUUUUUCUUAAAACUAGUGGUCUUGUUGACCAUCAACACUUGAUGCUCCUUUUUUUAUUUCUAUCUCCGCAACCUUUAGCAUUGCAAAGAGCUCGGGAAUAGUCUUGUUCAUCCCUUGCAUAUUAUAGUUCAUCAAGAAGCUCUUGUAGCUUGGUGGCAGUGAUUGAAGAACUCUGUCAAUGACACUAUCAUCAGGAAGAUUAACUCCCAGUUGAGUCAAGUGGUUGUGGUACCCAGACAUUCUGAGUAUAUGUUCACUGACAAAACUAUUCUCCUCCAUUUUACAGAUGUAGAACUUAUUGGAGACUUCAUAUCUCUCAAUCUGGGCAUUUGCUUGAAAUAUUAACUUCAACUCCUGAAACAUCUCAUAUGCUCCAUGACGGUCAAAAUGUCGUUGAAGUCCUGGUUCUAAGUCGUUGAAGUCCUGGUUCUUAACGUCAUCAGUAGUAUCUACAGCAGGCCUGGCACCCAACCGUGCUUCCAGGACGUAAUUCUUUUGUGCAGCAAUGAGGAUCAUCCUCAAGUUACGGACCCAGUCCGUGUAGUUGCUGCCAUCAUCUUUCAACUUAGCUUUCUCUAGGAACGCAUUGAAAUUCAAAGGAACGGUAGCACGGGCCAUUGAUCUACAACAACAUAGACAUGCAAAAUACUAUCAGGUACUAAGUUCAUGAUAAAUUAAAGUUCAAUUAAUCAUAUUACUUAAGAACUCCCACUUAGAUAGACAUCCCUCUAAUCAUCUAAGUGAUCACGUGAUCUAAAUCAACUAAACCAUGUCUGAUCAUCAUGUGAUAUGGAGUAGUUUUCAAUGGUGAACAUCACUAUGUUGAUCAUAUCUAUUACAUGAUUCAUGUUCGACCUUUCGGUCUCAGUGUUCCGAGGCCAUAUUUGCAUAUGCUAGGCUCGUGAAGUUUAACUAAGGUAUUCUGCGUGUGCAAAACUGGCUUGCACCCGUUGUAUGUGAACGUAGAGCUUAUCACACCCGAUCAUCACGUGGUGUCUCAGCACGACGAACUGUAGCAACGGUGCAUACUCAGGGAGAACACUUGUGCCUUGAAAUUUAGUAAGCGAUCAUCUUAUAAUGCUAUACGAAGCAAAAUAAGAUGCAUAAAAGAUAAACAUCACAUGCAAUCAAAAUAUGUGACAUGAUAUGGCCAUCAUCAUCUUGUGCUCAUGAUCUCCAUCACCGAAGCAUUGUCACACUAGUAGAAAAAGCACCUAAUACGAGACACAUUAGUGCCGGUUCGGUUUUGAGCCGGCACUAAUGUGUCCAUUAGUGCCGGUUCCAACGGCUAGCCGGCCGUUCUCAUUAGUACCGGUUCGUGGCGAACCUAUAGUACCGGUUCGUGCCACGAACUGGCACUAAAGAGGGUGGUGGCAGGGUGUUGUCAGUCUGGGGCCCGCCCAGCACCUUUAGUACCGGUUCGUGGAACGAACCGGUACUAAAGGUCGACGUACAUAAACCCUUCGUCCACCCAAGCCACUCUGUUCUUCCCCUUUCCCCUCACUUCUCCUCUGUUCUUCCCCUUUCCCCUCGAGCUCCUCACAAAUUUUUCCCAAAAUUUGUCAAGAUGUGAAGGCCCCCGUCCAUUCAAAUGAUCACAAAGGUUAGCAACUUUGUCCUUUCAACUCUCAUUGCUAGAUUGGCUCUUGCAAUGCUUUGUAUAGUGAUUAAUUUGGGAGGAAUUAUAUUUGCUAGUAUUUGAUUUAUAUGCAAUUUGAGGUCAGAAAUAACACUUAGUUUGCAUAUGUAGGUGUGGUUUACUUAGUGCCUUCUAAAUCUCCGUCGUAACCACCGUCGAUCGCCCGCACCGCCCGUCGCCGGCACCACCUUGUGGUGAGGCUCUUGUUCAUGAAUGUUUUACAUUACCAAAUUGAUGUUUGUGUGAUUUGGAUAUAUAGUUACUCGUAUAAUUAUCUUACCCGUGCGUUGUUUGUUAUACAUAGUGCCAUGGUUUUGAUAUCCGUCCCCGUCGGCCCUCGUCCUUGUUAUGAUUCGGAUGUGGUAUAUUCUCUUUUAAAACUAGUUGUUGCAUUUCGUGUUUAUGACAAAUUAUGCCCAUCAAGUUGGCAUAGAUAUUUUUAUCUAGGAGGUAUGUGAACCGGAAAUUCCAACCCACCCUAUUGUCGAGAGGUUAAAUUUAGUUAAAAGAGAAAACGAGUAUUUGAAAGAAAAAUUGAAAAGAAUUGAGGGGGAGAAGAUGGAAUUGGAGUUGCAUGUUGCCGAUGUCGUCGAUGAUCACAAGAUCAAGAUGGAGAAAAUGAGGUUGAAGAUUAGAAAGAUUAUAAAAUAUGCCAUUGAUAGUGUGGCUUGGUAUCAUUAUGCUGUUGGAUCAAUUGUUACCUUAGUUGCGAUCUUCAUCGCAUUCGUUGUUGCAUUUAAAUUCUUUAGCUAGAGAGUUAUUUGUAUGUUGCAUUUAAUUAAGUGCUGUAUAUGAACUUUAUGUAUGAACUUUAUGUAUGAACUUGUAUUAAUUUGGUCUAUUUGGUGUUGUGUACUGAAGAUGAGCCGACAAUGGAUGUAUGAUGACCGAUGCUCUCCCGAGUUCAUUAAUGGUGUGCAUACUUUUCUGCGGGCCGCUGAGGCAAACAAGCGGGCGGAUGGUUUUAUGCCUUGUCCAUGUGCUGGCUGUAAGAAUGGUCACAGUUACUCUACAGAAAAAACCAUUCACAUCCACCUAUUUAAGUCCGGUUUCAUGCCCCACUAUAAUGUUUGGACCAAGCACGGAGAAAUAGGGGUUAUGAUGGAAGACAAUGAAGAAGAAGAGGACGACGCCGGCUAUCCUGGCCAUGGGUUCCCUGAAUACGAUGAUACAACAAUGGGGGAAGAAGCUGAGCCGGCAAUGCGUGAAGAAGCUGAAGAAGAGGCAUCAGAUGAGCCCGCUGAUGAUCUAGGUCGGGCCAUUGCCGAUGCAAAGAGAAACUGCGCAAGUGAUCUGGAGAGGACGAAGUUGCAGCGCAUGUUAGAGGAUCACAAGAAAUUGUUGUACCCGAAUUGCGAAGCUGACAAAAAAAAGUUGGGCACCACACUUGAAUUGAUGCAAUGGAAGGCAGAGAAUGGUGGAUCUGACAAGGGAUUUGGAAAGUUGCUGGUAAUGAUAAAGAAUAUGCUUACAAAGGACAAUGAAUUGCCCGAGAGUACGUAUGAAGCAAAGAAGGCUUUCUGCCCUCUAGGGUUAGAGGUGCAAAAGAUACAUGCAUGCCCUAAUGACUGCAUCCUCUACCGCGGUGAGUACGAGGAUUAGAACACUUGCCCGGUAUGCGGUGCAUUGUGUUAUAAGAUCUGCCGCGAUGACCCUGGUGAUGUCGAGGGCGAGCGCCCCAGGAAGAAGAUUCCUGCCAAGGUGAUGUGGUAUGCUCCUAUAAUACCACGGUUGAAACGUUUGUUCCAAAACAAAGAGCAUGUGAAGGCGAUGCGAUGGCACGCAGAAGAUCGUAAGAAAGGCGGAAAGUUGAGAGUACCCGCUGACGGUUCACAGUGGAGAAAAAUCGAGAGAAAGUACUGGGAGGAGUUUGCAGGUGACCCAAGGAACGUAUGGUUUGGUCUAAGCGCAGAUGGCAUUAAUCCUUUUGGGGAGCAGAGCAGCAACCAUAGCACUUGGCCUGUGACUCUAUGUUUGUAUAACCUUCCUUCUUGGUUGUGCACGAAGCAGAAGUUCAGUAUGAUGCCAGUGCUCAUCCAAGGCCCUAAGCAACCCGGCAACGACAUUGAUGUGUACCUAAGGCCAUUAGUUGAAGAACUAUUACAACUGUGGAAUGGAACAGGUGUACGUGCGUGGGAUGAGCACGGACAGGAAGAAUUUGACCUAAAGGCGUUGCUGUUCGUGACCAUCAAUGAUUGGCCUGCUCUCAGUAACCUUUUAGGACAGACAAACAAGGGAUACCGUGGAUGCACGCAUUGUUUGGAUGAUACCGACAGUACAUAUUUGGAUAGUUGUAGGAAGAAUGUGUACCUGGGACAUCGUCGAUUUCUUCCGACAAGGCAUCCCGUAAGAAAGAAAGGCAAGCAUUUCAAAGGUGAGGCGGAUCACCGGACGAAGCCUCACCACCGUACUGGUGCUGAUGUACAUGAUAUGGUAAAGGAUUUGGAGGUAAUCUUUGGAAAGGGUCCUGGCGGAAAACCUGUUCCGAAGGACGCUGACGGACGCGCACCCAUGUGGAAGCAGAAAUCUAUAUUUUGGGACCUGCCAUAUUGGAAAGACCUAGAGGUCCGCUCCGCAAUCGACGUGAUGCACGUGACGAAGAAUCUUUGCGUGACCCUGCUUGGCUUUUUGGGCGUGUAUGGGAAGACAAAAGAUACACCAGAGGCACGGGAGGACCAGCAACGUAUGCACGGAAAAGACGACAUACAUCAGGGUCAGGCCAGCUACACUCUUACCAAAGAAGAGAAGGAAAUCUUCUUUGAAUGCCUGCUCAGCAUGAAGGUACCGUCUGGCUUCUCGUCGAAUAUAAAGGGAUUCACACAAAUUUCAAAUAAUUCAAAAUUUAAACUAUUCAAAUUUGAAAACUACCGGCACUAACAGAAAGUUUAUAAUUUUCUGUACCGAAAGCAAAAAUAUUCACAAAGAAACUCUAAAUACAACAAAAAACAACUCAAAAAUAAAUAAAACAAAAAUAAAUAAAGCGAAAAAAAUUAAGAAAAAAAAGCCCGCCUACUGGGCCAAAGCGGCCUACAUACGACUAGCAACACAACCUUUUGUUGGGCCAGGAUGCAGGCCCGCAAAGGCCCAAUAGGCCCACUGGGCGAACAGGACAGGUACGCCCAGUAGGCCACGUAAGGAGAGGAGCUCGAGAGAGCUACCGCACUGGGGCUUAUAAACCAGUGCGGUAGCCCUUCGACUAGCGAGGUGGGACUAAACUUGCGCACCGCCUGGAGCCAGCGCACCCCCUUUAGUACCGGGUCGUGGCUCGUACCAGUUCGUGGCUCCAACCGGUACUAAAGGUCCAUCCUAUAUAUACUACACUUGAAAAAAAAUCAGUUUCCCUCUGUUCUUCACUCUGUUUCCCUCCGUCGCGCCGCCCGGCCCCGAUCGUCGCCGCCCCCGCCCCUCGUCGCCGACCCCGGCCGUCGCCACCCCUCAUCGCCGGCCNNNNNNNNNNNNNNNNNNNNNNNNNNNNNNNNNNNNNNNNNNNNNNNNNNNNNNNNNNNNNNNNNNNNNNNNNNNNNNNNNNNNNNNNNNNNNNNNNNNNNNNNNNNNNNNNNNNNNNNNNNNNNNNNNNNNNNNNNNNNNNNNNNNNNNNNNNNNNNNNNNNNNNNNNNNNNNNNNNNNNNNNNNNNNNNNNNNNNNNNNNNNNNNNNNNNNNNNNNNNNNNNNNNNNNNNNNNNNNNNNNNNNNNNNNNNNNNNNNNNNNNNNNNNNNNNNNNNNNNNNNNNNNNNNNNNNNNNNNNNNNNNNNNNNNNNNNNNNNNNNNNNNNNNNNNNNNNNNNNNNNNNNNNNNNNNNNNNNNNNNNNNNNNNNNNNNNNNNNNNNNNNNNNNNNNNNNNNNNNNNNNNNNNNNNNNNNNNNNNNNNNNNNNNNNNNNNNNNNNNNNNNNNNNNNNNNNNNNNNNNNNNNNNNNNNNNNNNNNNNNNNNNNNNNNNNNNNNNNNNNNNNNNNNNNNNNNNNNNNNNNNNCACACACACACUACACACACACACACGUUAGUUUGUUUGUUAUAAAUUUUUCUAUUUUUAGUUAUAAAAAUGUUAGAAAUUAUUCUGUUUUUUAGUUAUAUAAAUAUUAGAAAUGUUAGUUUUAUAGAAAUGUUAUAAAUGUUUUCUGUUUUUUAGUUAUAGAAAUAUGUAUAGAAAUGUUAGCAAUUUUUUUGUUUUUUAGUUAUAUAAAUAUUAGAAUUGUUAUGGAAAUGUUAGUUAUAUAAUCAGGAAAUUUUAGAAUUAGUUUUAGUUAGAUGAAUUAGAUUAAUGUCAAAUUGUUAGAAUUUGCAUAUAUAUAGAAUUUUAGUUAUCACAAUUCAAUCAUUUAAAAAAUGUUACUUUUUGCGGGCAUAUAGUAUUUGUUCUCGACGAUAUGCCCGGCCCGCAUCCUCGCCGUCGACCCGUUCGCGACGACGUCCUGCUUGAGGGGACCCAUGUCCGGGACUGGGCUCCGCCGGGCUGGCACUGAGAGGUGUUACCUGGAGGGGCGCGCCGCUUGGUGAGGAACCCGACCUCGGGUCCCGUCGUCGACCCUGAUCUUCUUUGGUGGCGUUCGCGUGGGCCACAUUUGGUGCACAGGCAGCCGGCCCCGCUGGAGGUGGUGCGUCGCCGUGUCAGGGAGGAAGAUGAGCACGUCCAUCGCUACAUGGCUGCUAUGGACGUCAUCAGGUUCUCCACUACUUGGCGGGUUCUUUGGGCAGAUGAUCGGAGAUAUGAUCCUGUGAUGGUUCCUUCUCUUUGGGUGUGCACCGCCCGCGCCCCAGGAACCGCGAGUGGCGCCCUAGAUUCUUAUGUAGUACUCGAUCUUUAUUAGGUACCUAGCCAGUGAUGUAUUCGAUAUAUAGUAUUCGAGACGAUGUAUUCGAGAUUAUAUAUAUUAAGACGAUGAUGUAUUCGAGAUUAUAUAUUCGAGAGGAUGUAAUCGAGAUUCAAAUUUUCCUUAUUUAUUAAUUGCAUCCAUGCAUUGUAAUUUGAAUACUAAAUUGUUUUAUAUUUCUUCUGUAUUAUUAGUAAAGUAAAAGCUAUGGCGGACAAUACCGGCAGAGAGAGAGACAAGGAAUUGUUCGACAUCAUACGCAGCCCUCACAGGCUAGAUGAUCUGAAUAAGCAGAUGACGGCUCCCAAUAUCUUAACAAUACCGGAGAGGGUGAUGAAAAGAUAUUCGAUCUCGACGACCGGGCUGAUGAAGUCAUGAACUAUGAUUAUGAUUAUGACACAGACAAUGUUUGUGAUGACACAGACAAUGCUGAUCUUCAAAUAACAAACACUACCGGCGAGGUAUAUUUAUAUAAGCAUGCAUCAUGGUGAUCAUCACAUGUUUUUUUUGUUGAAGAUAUAUUAACGAAUCGAUCUUUCUUCUUUCAGCCCUCCAGAUCGAGCAAAUCUGCUUCUACAGACAGCAAGACAAAGCGAGGCCCGGGCAGAUUGUUGAAGGAUGGUGUAAAGUACCACAUCGAAUCCAUCAAACCUAGUGGCCAACCCCUCACGCCUAAGAACAUUGCGAACGAGUGGACUCGUCAGUGUGGAGUUCUUGUGAAGGACAAACUCCCUAUCUCCAUUCAAGAAUGGAAAGAGCCAAAGACUAAACGUCCAGGUGUUACUUGGGUCGACAAAAGAGCCAAAGAAGACCUGGUGAAAUCUCCGAUGGAACAUUUCACCCUACCAGAUCAUUUCACUAAAGCAGAUGUGGACAAAGUCAAGGCCGCUGCUCUUAAGAAGAUGGCAAUUGCAUUCAACACCCACAAGAAAACUGUAUGGGCCAACUACCUCGCUAAUGAAAGGAAGACUCCAGAAUUCACGGGAACACUAGAGAAGCAAAGAGAGCACUGGAACGAUUUCGUGACCUUCAAGGAUUCCGAAAUAUCUAAGGAACGGUCGAUGAAAAACAAGGCAAAUGCCGCAAGAAAGACGCAGUUCCAUAGGCUCGGUCUAGGUGGCUACACAGUGAGAUUGCCUAAGUGGGAUAAGUCUGAGCAAGAGAUGGAGGAUGCAGGGGUCACUCCGGUUACCCGGCACUGGCCCCCCAGGUGCAAAACUUGGUUCUAUGCGCAUGGGGGAGCGUUGGACCUGAAGACGGGCGGAGUUUCAAAGAAGGCAAGUCUAAAAGGAGACGAACAAAAGAUAAUUGACGCAAUAGAUGAAGCUCCAAGGGGGGUGUUCACGCCCAACAGAGAGAACGACGACCUUACGCGCGCCCUGGGAAAUCCUGAACACCCGGGAAGAACACGAGGCAUGGGCGUUAUUCCCUGGUAUGAGGGCUUUUCAGAAUGGAACGAGGACUACAGGAGCCGUGCAAGAAGGAAGAUGGAGGAGGAGAAGAAAAGGAAGCUGGAGGAGGAGCAGAGGAAGCAGGAAGCAGAACGCCUUCAAGGCCUAAAACCAAGGCACGCAGACCUGGCACUCAAAUUCCAGCAGCAGCAACAGCAGAUCGACUCACUUAGCCAGGAAAGGGGGUCUCAGCAGCGGCAGCAGCAAGCAGAUGAUCGUCCAGCAUUGGAUAGCACCGUCCCAUCCAUGCCGAGAAGCAGCGUUGGUUCUUCCCCGGGCGACACACUGCUGGAUAAAUACCCUGUGGAUGACAUCAUAGAGAACACUAACUGUGAGCUACACUCCAAAAUGAAGAACAUAUCCAUGAAGGUGGCGGACGGCGUUGCUUUUCCAGUUACCCCCGAAGCAACCUACCAUUGCAUCCCGAUUCCAGAGGGCUAUGCUCGUGUCAUGGUUGAUGAAGUGGUGGACCCAUAUUCGGGGUUAACGCUUGACAUUCCUGGAGGUGAAGACGAGCGCACACUGGGAGAGGCCAUACAUUGUAUCAUCCUAUGGAGAAAGGAUUGCAUCAUCUUUUGAAGUCCACCGACACCGCGUCGUCUGCCGACUCCUCGAAGUCCGCCAUCGAGUCAGCAGACUCCCGCUCCUCCAAGUCCACGAACGCGUGAGACGACUCCUCCUCAAAGUCCGCCACCUCCUCCAAGUCCCCGAACGCGUGAGCUGAUUCUCCGGUUUCAAGCCCGGCACAGCGUCAUGCCACUUCUCCGGUUGCAAUUCCGGCAUCGUGUUAGGCCACACCUCCUGCUUCAAGUCCAGCACAUCGUCAGGCCACUUCUCCUGGUCCAACUCCAUGUCAGCCGUCUCCGCUGUCUCAGCAAUCGCAGAAGAGACAUCCCGCAGCUUUGGUGCGUAGCGGUACGAGUCGAGGUACUUCAGGAAGUACAGGCAAAGGCAAGCGAUAUAAAUAUGGUCCAGGCCUCGCUCCUCUUCCUCAGAGGCCUUACGACAUGACUAAGGAGCAAAACACAGCCAUAGUGCAAGCCCAAGUGGACGCCCAUUUUGGACCGAAACCGGCACCGCCGCCAAAGGAGAAAGUGCCUGAGAAAGUAAUUGACCACUUCAUUUGUAUGGCUAGAGAACCAGCUCCCAAGCCUGUUGACUCGGACUAUGAGCGCCAAAUCAGGAAGGCACAUCGAGCAUGACUACAGAAGGAAGCGAGAUCAAGCUCGAGCCAACAAGCAGCUGGCAAAAAAUGCGGGAAAACCGUUCCCCAGUUGGGAGAACAGGCGGCGCAAGCGAUCCCCCCGCUUGUUGUGCCAACAAUACAUAAGAGGAGUAGUACGCGCACCAAAUAUUAUUGUGGGCAAACCGUUAGUGUUCCCCAGCAAGGCGAUGUGGUAAUAAAAGAGGAUCAUAUAAUGCAGGCUCAAAUGCUCAAUAUCUCUGUUGGACAACUCCUCGAAAUCGAGCCCAUGCCUACGCUUAAAGAAUCGGAAAUAGCAUGGCAAUAUGUCCGGGGCAAACCUUUGGUCCAUCCAGACAAGGUCAAGGACCUCCCAACGAGAAUGUAUCAAUUGCAUCAAUGGUACAUGAACAUUACCAAGAUUUCCAAUCGAGAGUCCCUCAUGGUGAAUGUCAAGCAUGAGCAUUAUUACCAUGAGAAAGCUCUGACCAUUGAGUAUCCAGAACUAUUUCAGUUAUUUAAUCAAGACGCACUCGACAAGUCUAUCGUUAGUUGCUAUUGUCUGUAAGUGAUUUCUUUCUGUAAUUUAAGUCUCAAGCUAUUUAUGUAAUGAUAAUUUUGAUCAAUCAUUACAUGUAAUUAUCCUAACUAUAUUCUUUUUCUGUGGUAUUAUAUGCAGUAUGAAGAUGUAUGAAAUGAAAAAAUUUGGACGCUAUGGCAUUGGGUUCAUUGACCCAAAUACCAUUAAUGAGGACAUAUGGCAGAUUAAACAUUGUCAAGCUGAAGUAGAGGAAAGCAUGCUAGAGUUCUUGAAGCGCCUCAAUACCAAUGAAGAUAUACUACUUCCUUACAACUUCCCGUGAGUCACGCUGUCUUGUACUACAAAUUCUGUUUUUGCUUACUAGCUAGCUAGAUGUUAAUAAUUAAGUAUAUACGGUUUACGGUAGUUGAUUAAUUUUAUGCACAUGCCCGCUUAAAUUAAGACAUGCAAACGUGUGCGUAUGCAGUUGGCACUGGGUCUUGUUAGACAUUAAAGUUGAGGAAGGAAAAGUUGAAUUACUGGACUCACUGACUAAAGAAGAUAAAGACUACACCAUCGUGAAGGGGAUAGUCAACAGGUAAUUUCAAUCAUUAUUAACUAUUAGUUCCUGAUAUGAACUAUUUAAUAACCCCUUUAUUAAUUUUCUUUGCCGGCGGGCAGGGCAUGGGCAAAGUUCAUCAAGGUGACUCCAGGCACGUGGCCAAAAAAGUUGUUUUGGCAUCGACCCAAGGUAAGUAAUUAAGUAGUACUAGCUAGCUCUACCAUCUCUUUAAUUCUUGUUUCAAUAUCAUUAAUUAAUUAUCAUGCUUGAUUAAUCAUUCUCUGAUUCAAUUCCAUCCCGUAAAGGCCCUAAGGCAGGCGUCGGGGAAUAAUCUGUGUGCAUUCUACGUUUGCGAGAACAUUCGCAUGAUGACGUGCGAAAGGAGCAGAUCUGAUAGACAUGACUGGGUACGUUUUUGUCAGAACACUAUUCACACCAUUAUCAAUAUCUAGUCACACAACUAACACACAUGCAUAUUGAUCUCCUUAACAGUUCAAAUCGGUGCGGGAUAAGCUCCUACCAUCGGACCGCAUACAAGCACUUCAAGAGGAAAUAGCUGGAUUUUUGCUCGACCGGGUCAUAGAUCCGAAAGGAGAAUACUAUUACCCGCUACCGCCCCCAUGAACCACUUGUCAUCGUGCUCCGAAGGCACCAAGGCAACAUGUAGGAGAAAUUGUAUAUGUAUAUACAUGUGUAUGUGUGAAUAGUUAAUUAAUGGUGUUGGUUGUGAGACAUUUGAUGAUAUAUAUAUUAUAUAUAUAUAUGCGGUUCUACGUACGAGAAAAUCUAUUUCAUAUAUAUGCAUAACGUGUACAAUUUGUAGUAUCAUGAAAUACCAGCAAACAAAAAAGAAUUAAAUUGAAAAUAAAGCCAAAUUGAAAACACAAAAUUAGAGCAAAAAUUAAAAAAAAACCAAACAUUUAAUACCGGUUGGUGUUACCAACCGGUACUAAUGUCCUACACGCACACGGGCCUGGCUCGUGCCACGUGUUUGCACUUUAGCGCCGGUUCGUGACGAACCGGUACUAAAGGGGGAGGGCCUUUAGUCCCCACUCUUUAGUGCCGGUUCGCCAACCGGCACUAAAGGCCGUCACGAACCGGCACUAAAGACUGGUUCUGCACUAGUGUCAUGAUCUCCAUCAUCACCGGCGCGACACCUUGAUCUCCAUCGUAGCAUCAUUGUCAUCUCGCCAACUAUUGUCACUACGACUAUCGCUACCACUUAGUGAUAAAGUAAAACAAUUACAUGGCGAUUGCAUUGCAUACAAUAAAGCGACAACCAUAUGGCUCCUGCCAGUUGCCGAUAACUUUGUUACAAAACAUGAUCAUCUCAUACAAAAAUUUAUAUCACAUCAUGCCUUGACCAUAUCACAUCACAGCAAGCCCUGCAAAAACAAGUUAGACGUCCUCUACUUCGUUGUUGCAAGUUUUAUGUGGCUGCUACGGGCUUCUAGCAAGAACCGUUCUUACCUACACAUCAAAACCACAAUGAUUCUUCAUCAAGUGUGCUGUUUUAACCUUCAAUAAGGACCGGGCGUAGCCACACUCGAUUCAACUAAAGUUGGAGAAACAGAUACACACUAGCCACCUGUGUGCGAAGCACGUCGGUAGAACCAGUCUCGUGUAAGCAUACGCGUAAUGUUGGUUUGAGCCACUUCAUCCAACAAUACCACCGAAUCAAAGUAUGACAUGCUGGUAAGCAGUAUGACUAUUAUCACCCACAACUCUUUGUGUUCUACUCGUGCAUAUAACAUCUACGCAUAAACCUGGCUCUGAUACCGCUGUUGGGAACGUGGUAAUUUCAAAAAAAUCCUACGAUCACGCAAGAUCUAUCUAGGUGAUGUAUAGCAACGAUAGGGGAGAGUGUGUCCAUGUACCCUCGUAGACCGAAAGUGGAAGCGUUAUGACAACGUGGUUAAUGUAGUCGUACGUCUUCACGAUCCGACCGAUCCUAGCACUAAAGAUACAGCACCUCCGCGAUCUACACAUGUUCAACUCGAUGAUGUCCCACGAACUCUAGAUCCAGCUGAGGUUGAGGGAGAGUUUCGUCAGCACGACGGCGUGUUGACGGUGAUGAUGAAGUUACCGGCGCAGGGCUUCGCCUAAGCACUAUGAUGAUAUGACUGAGGUGGAAAUCUGUGGAGGGGGGCACCGCACACGGUUAAAAGAUCAACUUGAUCAACUUAUGUGUCUAUCGGGUGCCCCCCUCCCCCGUAUAUAAAGGAGGAGAGGGGAGGCCGACCAACCCUCCUUGGCGCGCCCCCAAGAGGGGAAUCCUACUAGGACUCCAAGUCCUAGUAGGUUUCCACCUAAAGGGAAAGAGGGGGAAGGAAGGAGAGGGAGAGGGGGGAGGAAAGGGCCCCCCUCCUUGUCCUAUUCGGACUCAAGGGGGAGCGGGCACGCGGCCUGCCCUGGCCGCCCCUCUCUCUCCACUAAGGCCCAUCAAGGCCCAUUAGUUCCCCCGGGGGUUCCGAUAACCCUCCGGCACUCCAGUUUUAUCCAAAACUUCUCUGGAACAUUUCCGGUGUCCGAAUAUAGUCAUCCAAUAUAUAAAUCUUUAUGUCUCGACCAUUUCGAGACUCCUCGUCAUGUCCGUGAUCACAUCCGGGACUCUGAACAACCUUUGGUACAUCAUAUCACAUAAACUCAUAAUACCAGUCGUUAUCGAACGUUAAGCGUGCGGACCCUACGGGUUCGAGAACUAUGUAGACAUGACCGAGACACGUCUCCGAUCAAUAACCAAUAGCGGAACCUGGAUGCUCAUAUUGGUUCCUACAUAUUCUACGAAGAUCUUUAUCGGUCAAACCGCAUAACAACAUACGUUGUUCCCUUUGUCAUCGGUAUGUUACUUGCCCGAGAUUUGAUCGUCGGUAUCUCAAUACCUAGUUCAAUCUCGCUAUCGGAAAGUCUCUUUACUCGUUCCGUAAUACUUCAUCCCGCAACUUACUCAUUAGUUACAAUGCUUGCAAGGCUUAUAGUGAUGAGUAUUACCGAGAGGGCCCAGAGAUACCUCUGCGAAACAUGGAGUGACAAAUCCUAAUCUCGAUCUAUGCCAACCCAACAAACACCUUCGGAGACACCUGUAGAGCACAUUUAUAAUCACCCAUUUAUGUUGUGACGUUUGGUAGCACAAAAAGUGUUCCUCCGGUAUUCGGGAGUUGCAUAAUCUCAUAGUCUGAGGAACUUAUAUAAGUCAUGAAGAAAGCAGUAGCAAUGAAACUGACACGAUCAUAUGCUAAGCUAACGGAUGGGUCAUGUCCAUCACAUCAUUCUCCUAAUGAUGUGAUCUCAUUCAUCAAAUGACAACUCAUGUCUAUGGUUAGGAAACAUAACCAUAUUUGAUUAACGAGCUAGUCAAGUAGAGGCAUACUAGGGACUAUAUGUUUUCUCUCUGUAUUCACACAUGUACUAAGUUUCCCGUUAAUACAAUUCUAGCAUGAAUAAUAAACAUUUAUCAUGAAUUAAGGAAAUAAAUAAUAACUUUAUUAUUGCCUCCAGGGCAUAUUUCCUUCACGACAGCCGUCGGGAGGCGGCGGCAGCGGCGGCAAUUUUGUGUGAAUUUGGCCGGUGGCGGAGUUGGGCGGGCGGCCGCGCAGAAUGGAACGGAAGGCGGUUGGCGUGUGGCUGCUCUUUUUACAUCUCCAGACAGUAGAGAUGAAAUUUGUAUCGUGAGGUUUUGUAUUUUACAUCUCUGGAAGGUGGAGAUGUAUUUUUUUUGCAUCUACAUCAUCUCCUUGGAGAUGCAAAAGAUAGUUAUUUUCACACUGUCAGCAUCCUCCCCUAUCCUAUCACAUGGGCUGGACCUAUCCUAUUACAUGGGCCGGGUUACGAGCUGCUCCUGGGCUUGGACAGAAGCAGGCGAUCACUAUACAUACAGAGAGAUGACUAGAGAAGCGACUCGGCUUGGACCGGACGGCGGCUUCGGCCGAUAGGCUAGCUUAUCUUCUUCCUCCUCUGGCUGUAAUUCCCCUUCCUCCUCUGGCUGUAAUUCCGCUUCCUCCUCUGAGCUUGUAAUCGAAUCCAUGGCGAAUUGAGUGAAUUAGUAGAGAGAACCUCACAACUGGCAUCAGAGUCGUUCGAUUCUCCACCGAAAAUCCACCCAAAACUUUUCCCCAAUCAAGUCCAUGGACUCACAACGGCGCGCGGAGCUCCUGGCGACCCUCUCGCCGGAGGGUUUGGCGAUGUAUGAGGUUCUGAAGGCAGCUCGUGAUCUGGACCGAAGCUUCACUGCCUCCAAGGUGAGGCUAGAGAAGGCGGUCGAGACAGCGUUCGGCGACUUCCACGUCAAGCUGGACCAUACUAUCGACGACCUUCGCUGGAAGGUGCGUAGGGACAACGGCCGUAGGUGCGCCCCUACAGCGGCGACCUCUAUUUUCAUCGACGACGAGCUCUGCAACGUCUCUGCAUCGCACCGCCUCGACCACCAAUUGGGACGCAACCCUUGUGCUCGCGGCGACAUCCACGCGCGCCCCUACUGCAGCGGCGUCGGCUUCAUCAACGACGAGGUCGGCCGCGUUUCCGCCUGUCCCGCGCGGCACCGUCUCCACCAUCCGUUCUACCACGCCAUCUGCGGCUGCUGUGACACCUCUGCGCGUCAUCGCAGACCCGGCCCCGAUCUCCGUGCUGGACGACACGCUCGAGUCCGCCGCGACGGCUUCCUCAACAGCGAGCAGCACCAGUUGGGUCGCGACCUCCGUGCGUGCGGCGACGACCACACCCUUACCCACAGUGGCGUCGUUGGUCUCUACAUCAACCUCAGUGCUCAGCAUUGCCCCUGCAGCAGUCGACAUCACCCACGAUGCCAUGGCCACCAGCCACGCCAUGAAGAUGCCCACCAUUUGCUCGACGAAUUACCAGGGUUUCAACACCAGCAACAUUGGCAUUCUAGACGUGUCAGUGGCUUUGGAGGGCAUGUCCCAUACUGCUCCAACACCUACUCGGAGGACGACCACCCAACUGCUACAUGUCCUCGAGCAAGUCUCAAAGCUGCCUGCUACAUGCUCGACCAAUUGCUUGAGCAAUGAUUUGGACACUACACUACGGACUGCAACAAGACUGCUGUCAACAGCAACACCAUCGUUCAAUCCGGAGCUCACGGUGCAAGUUCCAGUGUAGCCAUCGCCCUUCUCCACCGUCUCCGUGCACAAGAACACCCUCGACACUGACGGCGCCUGCGACAUGGAGGCCAAGUCUUUGACCAUUUCAGCACCGACAGAGAGCCAGACAUCCCAGUCACUGUGGUUCUUUGUUGACCGCGGACUUCACAUGAUGCUGCCUACCAAGUGCUUGACUAUCGGUAUCUACUCGCGCCUGGUCUUACUCCCUCCUGUUGCAUUGAACACCAUUGAUACAAUAAUGACUGAGCGGCAGUAUGUCUACGAGGAUGGUAGAAAUUUUGUUCAGAAGAUGACUGAACGUGCUGCCACAUUAGUUUGUUUUCCGCCAUUGCCAUGGGAUGAGAAGCAAAUAUGGCCGCCCUCUUUCUCUCCUAAUGUGUCGGCAUUUAAUCUGCAAGUGUAUGAGCAGCAGAAUAAGUGCAGAUUACUGGACAUGAGUGGAUCUCCCCUGUUUGAGCAGAGCAACAGUUGCAAGGAUAUAAAUCAUGUUCAUGCAGCCAUUGAUGCGGACGCAUAAUUUGUCGCUGAGAGCUUAUAUCCAGAGCAAAUUGCUACAGCUCCUGAGCAUAUUGUUGCCAAGAAGGUCUUGAUGCACGAGCUACUCUGUACCAUGUCACUGCUUGCAGACUUGCCAUUGAAACCACCAUGGCCAUUCGUGCAACUAACAGAUGGAGUUCCUGCAGCUGUGAAAUUGCAGGGUUCGUUGAUGGAGUUGCUGAAAUCACAAUUGUGGCAGUAUGAAUUUCGUUGGAUACCAACUCAAAUGCUUAAUUCACUCCCAUUCCCUUGGUUUGGCGAGGUUGGUCACUUUUCUCGUUCGACUAAGAUCACUGAAUUAUGCAUCCCUAUGGUCGAUAUAUGGAAAAAUUUGCAAGGUGUUCCUGCUCGACUGUGCUUCUGUUGUAUGUUUCUGGGGCUGAGAAAUCACGUAAGUGCUUCUUUUUACUGGUGGACCUAAAGCGAUGGCCUUGUUUUUUGUUCCAUCCAGAUGAGUUCAUAUUCAGGUUUCCAUGGUUACCAACUAAAGCUACAUGGUGUGCGCAUCCACUAUUUGGAAAAUCAGUGCAACCUUGUGCUCAUGCUCUGGAGGAGCUCAAGCAGUGGCCCCCUUGGAUGUUGUGCUUAAUGGUUGUGGCUUUCUCACAAAAUUUGCAUGAUAGUCUGCAUUGCAACCAAGAAGUAAGCUUCACACUUGGAGCUAUUUAUUUUUCUGUUGUUGAAGGCUGAUGUGUGCUCAUCUCAGUUAUCGACGAUCAUAUUGCUUCAUUGCUCAAUUUGACAUCUACUGAUGGAAGCCCAAUAUACAUGUUAGUCUGUGGUCCUGAGCUGGUGAUUGAUGGCUUCUUGCAAGAUANNNNNNNNNNNNNNNNNNNNNNNNNNNNNNNNNNNNNNNNNNNNNNNNNNNNNNNNNNNNNNNNNNNNNNNNNNUGUUAGCUCAUGCCUGAGUUUCUCGGGUUCUGAUAAAUAUCAAUGGACAAUUGCAUGGUCAGUUAAUGGGGAGUGCUCUGAAACUGGUAGUUAUUGGGUUAGUCAUGUUGUUGCCUGGUACAUGUGUUGUACAGGCAGGAUUACAUGGGCAUUUUUCCUUCUUGACAACAUGAAGCACUACAACCGUCAGAAAUUGUUACAGACUCCAAUUCUAACACUCCCUGUGGUCCUUGAUGUUAUUGGUGAUGAAUUGCAAAGUCAACCUAGCACACGUCAGUUCGUGAAACUCUCCAGGGGCAGCACACAAGACAAGGGUCUCUUCUUGGUUGUUCCAAUGGUUGACCUAUGUUCAACAAAUAUGAGCUCUUGGAAUUAUCCACUAUCAAGCUCAAACAUUGGAAUUCUAGCAAGUACAUGGGUGAAAGAAUUAUAUCAUUGGUCUCUGGUUGAUCACUCAAGUGAUAUGUUAUUUGCCAAGAUAACUGGAACUGUGCACAUAAUCUCUUCUCGUCUUCUCUUGCCUCUGAAGACAUAUGGUCCCAGCAUGACUAUUAGUGUCCAAGAUCAGCACUCUUAUGCUUGGCUUGUUGUUGACAAUACAUAUCUGCAAACCAUUGUCGAGUGCUCUGCUAUUGAGAUGGUCAGCUAUAAAAUUCUACCUGCCAGUGCUACUGACUGGAUGGUAUGGAAGAUUGUUCAAGUGCCCUGUUCAGUGAGUACCGAUGAGGCCUACAACUCCCAAUGUUCAGUAUUUACAAAAGCGACUCUUCGGUCAACAUUGGGUCAACCAAACGCAUUGCUUCCAACUGUGAUCCAUGGUGUGCUAACUUUCCAAGCUUUGCAAACGCCUUGGGAUCCGGGUGAGAUGCUUCUUAGAGUUCAAAUUGCAGUACAGACGCCUUGGGAUNNNNNNNNNNNNNNNNNNNNNNNNNNNNNNNNNNNNNNNNNNNNNNNNNNNNNNNNNNNCUGGUGGUUUGACAUGGAAUCGGCUUGAGGGCAAGCCGAAAGUUAUGGAAGGGGCAUUGUCAGCAUCCUCCCCUAUCCUAUCACAUGGGCUGGACCUAUCCUAUUACAUGGGCCGGGUUACGAGCUGCUCCUGGGCUUGGACAGAAGCAGGCGAUCACUAUACAUACAGAGAGAUGACUAGAGAAGCGACUCGGCUUGGACCGGACGGCGGCUUCGGCCGAUAGGCUAGCUUAUCUUCUUUCUCCUCUGGCUGUAAUUCCCCUUUCUCCUCUGGCUGUAAUUCCCCUUCCUCCUCUGAGCUUGUAAUCGAAUCCAUGGCGAAUUGAGUGAAUUAGUAGAGAGAACCUCACAACUGGCAUCAGAGUCGUUCGAUUCUCCACCGAAAAUCCACCCAAAACUUUUCCCCAAUCAAGUCCAUGGACUCACAACGGCGCGCGGAGCUCCUGGCGACCCUCUNNNNNNNNNNNNNNNNNNNNNNNNNNNNNNNNNNNNNNNNNNNNNNNNNNNNNNNNNNNNNNNNNNNNNNNNNNNNNNNNNNNNNNNNNNNNNNNNNNNNNNNNNNNNNNNNNNNNNNNNNNNNNNNNNNNNNNNNNNNNNNNNNNNNNNNNNNNNNNNNNNNNNNNNNNNNNNNNNNNNNNNNNNNNNNNNNNNNNNNNNNNNNNNNNNNNNNNNNNNNNNNNNNNNNNNNNNNNNNNNNNNNNNNNNNNNNNNNNNNNNNNNNNNNNNNNNNNNNNNNNNNNNNNNNNNNNNNNNNNNNNNNNNNNNNNNNNNNNNNNNNNNNNNNNNNNNNNNNNNNNNNNNNNNNNNNNNNNNNNNNNNNNNNNNNNNNNNNNNNNNNNNNNNNNNNNNNNNNNNNNNNNNNNNNNNNNNNNNNNNNNNNNNNNNNNNNNNNNNNNNNNNNNNNNNNNNNNNNNNNNNNNNNNNNNNNNNNNNNNNNNNNNNNNNNNNNNNNNNNNNNNNNNNNNNNNNNNNNNNNNNNNNNNNNNNNNNNNNNNNNNNNNNNNNNNNNNNNNNNNNNNNNNNNNNNNNNNNNNNNNNNNNNNNNNNNNNNNNNNNNNNNNNNNNNNNNNNNNNNNNNNNNNNNNNNNNNNNNNNNNNNNNNNNNNNNNNNNNNNNNNNNNNNNNNNNNNNNNNNNNNNNNNNNNNNNNNNNNNNNNNNNNNNNNNNNNNNNNNNNNNNNNNNNNNNNNNNNNNNNNNNNNNNNNNNNNNNNNNNNNNNNNNNNNNNNNNNNNNNNNNNNNNNNNNNNNNUAGGGACAACGGCCGUAGGUGCGCCCCUACAGCGGCGACCUCUAUUUUCAUCGACGACGAGCUCUGCAACGUCUCUGCAUCGCACCGCCUCGACCACCAAUUGGGACGCAACCCUUGUGCUCGCGGCGACAUCCACGCGCGCCCCUACUGCAGCGGCGUCGGCUUCAUCAACGACGAGGUCGGCCGCGUUUCCGCCUGUCCCGCGCGGCACCGUCUCCACCAUCCGUUCUACCACGCCAUCUGCGGCUGCUGUGACACCUCUGCGCGUCAUCGCAGACCCGGCCCCGAUCUCCGUGCUGGACGACACGCUCGAGUCCGCCGCGACGGCUUCCUCAACAGCGAGCAGCACCAGUUGGGUCGCGACCUCCGUGCGUGCGGCGACGACCACACCCUUACCCACAGUGGCGUCGUUGGUCUCUACAUCAACCUCAGUGCUCAGCAUUGCCCCUGCAGCAGUCGACAUCACCCACGAUGCCAUGGCCACCAGCCACGCCAUGAAGAUGCCCACCAUUUGCUCGACGAAUUACCAGGGUUUCAACACCAGCAACAUUGGCAUUCUAGACGUGUCAGUGGCUUUGGAGGGCAUGUCCCAUACUGCUCCAACACCUACUCGGAGGACGACCACCCAACUGCUACAUGUCCUUGAGCAAGUCUCAAAGCUGCCUGCUACAUGCUCGACCAAUUGCUUGAGCAAUGAUUUGGACACUACACUACGGACUGCAACAAGACUGCUGUCAACAGCAACACCAUCGUUCAAUCCGGAGCUCACGGUGCAAGUUCCAGUGUCGCCAUCGCCCUUCUCCACCGUCUCCGUGCACAAGAACACCCUCGACACUGACGGCGCCUGCGACAUGGAGGCCAAGUCUUUGACCAUUUCAGCACCGACAGAGAGCCGGACAUCCCAGUCACUGUGGUUCUUUGUUGACCGCGGACUUCACAUGAUGCUGCCUACCAAGUGCUUGACUAUCGGUAUCUACUCGCGCCUGGUCUUACUCCCUCCUGUUGCAUUGAACACCAUUGAUACAAUAAUGACUGAGCGGCAGUAUGUCUACGAGGAUGGUAGAAAUUUUGUUCAGAAGAUGACUGAACGUGCUGCCACAUUAGUUUGUUUUCCGCCAUUGCCAUGGGAUGAGAAGCAAAUAUGGCCGCCCUCUUUCUCUCCUAAUGUGUCGGCAUUUAAUCUGCAAGUGUAUGAGCAGCAGAAUAAGUGCAGAUUACUGGACAUGAGUGGAUCUCCCCUGUUUGAGCAGAGCAACAGUUGCAAGGAUAUAAAUCAUGUUCAUGCAGCCAUUGAUGCGGACGCAUAAUUUGUCGCUGAGAGCUUAUAUCCAGAGCAAAUUGCUACAGCUCCUGAGCAUAUUGUUGCCAAGAAGGUCUUGAUGCACGAGCUACUCUGUACCAUGUCACUGCUUGCAGACUUGCCAUUGAAACCACCAUGGCCAUUCGUGCAACUNNNNNNNNNNUGUUAGCUCAUGCCUGAGUUUCUCGGGUUCUGAUAAAUAUCAAUGGACAAUUGCAUGGUCAGUUAAUGGGGAGUGCUCUGAAACUGGUAGUUAUUGGGUUAGUCAUGUUGUUGCCUGGUACAUGUGUUGUACAGGCAGGAUUACAUGGGCAUUUUUCCUUCUUGACAACAUGAAGCACUACAACCGUCAGAAAUUGUUACAGACUCCAAUUCUAACACUCCCUGUGGUCCUUGAUGUUAUUGGUGAUGAAUUGCAAAGUCAACCUAGCACACGUCAGUUCGUGAAACUCUCCAGGGGCAGCACACAAGACAAGGGUCUCUUCUUGGUUGUUCCAAUGGUUGACCUAUGUUCAACAAAUAUGAGCUCUUGGAAUUAUCCACUAUCAAGCUCAAACAUUGGAAUUCUAGCAAGUACAUGGGUGAAAGAAUUAUAUCAUUGGUCUCUGGUUGAUCACUCAAGUGAUAUGUUAUUUGCCAAGAUAACUGGAACUGUGCACAUAAUCUCUUCUCGUCUUCUCUUGCCUCUGAAGACAUAUGGUCCCAGCAUGACUAUUAGUGUCCAAGAUCAGCACUCUUAUGCUUGGCUUGUUGUUGACAAUACAUAUCUGCAAACCAUUGUCGAGUGCUCUGCUAUUGAGAUGGUCAGCUAUAAAAUUCUACCUGCCAGUGCUACUGACUGGAUGGUAUGGAAGAUUGUUCAAGUGCCCUGUUCAGUGAGUACCGAUGAGGCCUACAACUCCCAAUGUUCAGUAUUUACAAAAGCGACUCUUCGGUCAACAUUGGGUCAACCAAACGCAUUGCUUCCAACUGUGAUCCAUGGUGUGCUAACUUUCCAAGCUUUGCAAACGCCUUGGGAUCCGGGUGAGAUGCUUCUUAGAGUUCAAAUUGCAGUACAGACGCCUUGGGAUNNNNNNNNNNGACAUCCCAGUCACUGUGGUUCUUUGUUGACCGCGGACUUCACAUGAUGCUGCCUACCAAGUGCUUGACUAUCGGUAUCUACUCGCGCCUGGUCUUACUCCCUCCUGUUGCAUUGAACACCAUUGAUACAAUAAUGACUGAGCGGCAGUAUGUCUACGAGGAUGGUAGAAAUUUUGUUCAGAAGAUGACUGAACGUGCUGCCACAUUAGUUUGUUUUCCGCCAUUGCCAUGGGAUGAGAAGCAAAUAUGGCCGCCCUCUUUCUCUCCUAAUGUGUCGGCAUUUAAUCUGCAAGUGUAUGAGCAGCAGAAUAAGUGCAGAUUACUGGACAUGAGUGGAUCUCCCCUGUUUGAGCAGAGCAACAGUUGCAAGGAUAUAAAUCAUGUUCAUGCAGCCAUUGAUGCGGACGCAUAAUUUGUCGCUGAGAGCUUAUAUCCAGAGCAAAUUGCUACAGCUCCUGAGCAUAUUGUUGCCAAGAAGGUCUUGAUGCACGAGCUACUCUGUACCAUGUCACUGCUUGCAGACUUGCCAUUGAAACCACCAUGGCCAUUCGUGCAACUGACAGAUGGAGUUCCUGCAGCUGUGAAAUUGCAGGGUUCGUUGAUGGAGUUGCUGAAAUCACAAUUGUGGCAGUAUGAAUUUCGUUGGAUACCAACUCAAAUGCUUAAUUCACUCCCAUUCCCUUGGUUUGGCGAGGUUGGUCACUUUUCUCGUUCGACUAAGAUCACUGAAUUAUGCAUCCCUAUGGUCGAUAUAUGGAAAAAUUUGCAAGGUGUUCCUGCUCGACUGUGCUUCUGUUGUAUGUUUCUGGGGCUGAGAAAUCACGUAAGUGCUUCUUUUUACUGGUGGACCUAAAGCGAUGGCCUUGUUUUUUGUUCCAUCCAGAUGAGUUCAUAUUCAGGUUUCCAUGGUUACCAACUAAAGCUACAUGGUGUGCGCAUCCACUAUUUGGAAAAUCAGUGCAACCUUGUGCUCAUGCUCUGGAGGAGCUCAAGCAGUGGCCCCCUUGGAUGUUGUGCUUAAUGGUUGUGGCUUUCUCACAAAAUUUGCAUGAUAGUCUGCAUUGCAACCAAGAAGUAAGCUUCACACUUGGAGCUAUUUAUUUUUCUGUUGUUGAAGGCUGAUGUGUGCUCAUCUCAGUUAUCGACGAUCAUAUUGCUUCAUUGCUCAAUUUGACAUCUACUGAUGGAAGCCCAAUAUACAUGUUAGUCUGUGGUCCUGAGCUGGUGAUUGAUGGCUUCUUGCAAGAUAGUGUUAGCUCAUGCCUGAGUUUCUCGGGUUCUGAUAAAUAUCAAUGGACAAUUGCAUGGUCAGUUAAUGGGGAGUGCUCUGAAACUGGUAGUUAUUGGGUUAGUCAUGUUGUUGCCUGGUACAUGUGUUGUACAGGCAGGAUUACAUGGGCAUUUUUCCUUCUUGACAACAUGAAGCACUACAACCGUCAGAAAUUGUUACAGACUCCAAUUCUAACACUCCCUGUGGUCCUUGAUGUUAUUGGUGAUGAAUUGCAAAGUCAACCUAGCACACGUCAGUUCGUGAAACUCUCCAGGGGCAGCACACAAGACAAGGGUCUCUUCUUGGUUGUUCCAAUGGUUGACCUAUGUUCAACAAAUAUGAGCUCUUGGAAUUAUCCACUAUCAAGCUCAAACAUUGGAAUUCUAGCAAGUACAUGGGUGAAAGAAUUAUAUCAUUGGUCUCUGGUUGAUCACUCAAGUGAUAUGUUAUUUGCCAAGAUAACUGGAACUGUGCACAUAAUCUCUUCUCGUCUUCUCUUGCCUCUGAAGACAUAUGGUCCCAGCAUGACUAUUAGUGUCCAAGAUCAGCACUCUUAUGCUUGGCUUGUUGUUGACAAUACAUAUCUGCAAACCAUUGUCGAGUGCUCUGCUAUUGAGAUGGUCAGCUAUAAAAUUCUACCUGCCAGUGCUACUGACUGGAUGGUAUGGAAGAUUGUUCAAGUGCCCUGUUCAGUGAGUACCGAUGAGGCCUACAACUCCCAAUGUUCAGUAUUUACAAAAGCGACUCUUCGGUCAACAUUGGGUCAACCAAACGCAUUGCUUCCAACUGUGAUCCAUGGUGUGCUAACUUUCCAAGCUUUGCAAACGCCUUGGGAUCCGGGUGAGAUGCUUCUUAGAGUUCAAAUUGCAGUACAGACGCCUUGGGAUCCUGGUGGUUUGACAUGGAAUCGGCUUGAGGGCAAGCCGAAAGUUAUGGAAGGGGCAUUGUCAGCAUCCUCCCCUAUCCUAUCACAUGGGCUGGACCUAUCCUAUUACAUGGGCCGGGUUACGAGCUGCUCCUGGGCUUGGACAGAAGCAGGCGAUCACUAUACAUACAGAGAGAUGACUAGAGAAGCGACUCGGCUUGGACCGGACGGCGGCUUCGGCCGAUAGGCUAGCUUAUCUUCUUUCUCCUCUGGCUGUAAUUCCCCUUUCUCCUCUGGCUGUAAUUCCCCUUCCUCCUCUGAGCUUGUAAUCGAAUCCAUGGCGAAUUGAGUGAAUUAGUAGAGAGAACCUCACAACUGGCAUCAGAGUCGUUCGAUUCUCCACCGAAAAUCCACCCAAAACUUUUCCCCAAUCAAGUCCAUGGACUCACAACGGCGCGCGGAGCUCCUGGCGACCCUCUCGCCGGAGGGUUUGGCGAUGUAUGAGGUUCUGAAGGCAGCUCGUGAUCUGGACCGAAGCUUCACUGCCUCCAAGGUGAGGCUAGAGAAGGCGGUCGAGACGGCGUUCGGCGACUUCCACGUCAAGCUGGACCGUACUAUCGACGACCUUCGCUGGAAGGUGCAUAGGGACAACGGCCGUAGGUGCGCCCCUACAGCGGCGACCUCUAUUUUCAUCGACGACGAGCUCUGCAACGUCUCUGCAUCGCACCGCCUCGACCACCAAUUGGGACGCAACCCUUGUGCUCGCGGCGACAUCCACGCGCGCCCCUACUGCAGCGGCGUCGGCUUCAUUAAAGACGAGGUCGGCCGCGUUUCCGCCUGUCCCGCGCGGCACCGUCUCCACCAUCCGUUCUACCACGCCAUCUGCGGCUGCUGUGACACCUCUGCGCGUCAUCGCAGACCCGGCCCCGAUCUCCGUGCUGGACGACACGCUCGAGUCCGCCGCGACGGCUUCCUCAACAGCGAGCAGCACCAGUUGGGCUUGGACAGAAGCAGGCGAUCACUAUACAUACAGAGAGAUGACUAGAGAAGCGACUCGGCUUGGACCGGACGGUGGCUUCGGCCGAUAGGCUAGCUUAUCUUCUUCCUCCUCUGGCUGUAAUUCCUCUUCCUCCUCUGGCUGUAAUUCCCCUUCCUCCUCUGAGCUUGUAAUCGAAUCCAUGGCGAAUUGAGUGAAUUAGUAGAGAGAACCUCAUACACACAUACAUCUUCUAUUGGAGAUGCUCUUAGAGUUAGUAAUCCGUGCACGCUUACUAAUCUUUCCCUACCCUAAUUUUUUAUUUUUUCUCUCCCUGAUAAUAAAGCACGGAUUGAGUCUCCGGGUUCACCGUCGCGGUAAUUUUUCAAAACUGUCCCUGUUGUUUUUGACAUUCAACCCGCAAUCCUCGCAAUAAGUCAGCCUAACCGGUACGGUUGAGAGAAAAAAAACACCCGCGCCGCCCUGCCACCAAAUCCUAUCUCCACCUCCACCGCGCCGCCGCCUCCUACCACGGCACGCCUCGCCUCCCUCCUCUCGCUCGCUCCCUCAUCCCGCACCUCCACCUGGUCCUCUAUAUGCUUUUUCUGGUGAAUUUACGCUUUCAGUUUAAUUAUUUUCUUGAAGAAACUAUACCUGCGUUCUCCGUGGGUUCACCGUGAAGAAAAAAAAACACGACCGGAGAAGGAGCACGGGCUCGCCUCUCUCGAGAAAAUUGGCUAUUUGCCACUUUCAAUACGGGGCUUUUCAAAAUUGCCAUUUUCAAGAUUGGCUUCGUAAAAAUGCCACUCAGCUCGUGUGCACCUUGAUUACCAUGCCAUUUCCCUCCUUUUAUAUAUUUCCUUUUUCUUCUCGCAAUUAUAAGCACCAGAAAAGACCAAACUGCCCCUGUUGCUAUCUAAACGUACUUGAGGCGGACGUAAGUGUGCUGCUCGCCAAGAAUACCAUGCGUGCUCAAUCCAUGAUCGCCUGGAUUUCUUGCGUCAAUCGUCGGAUGUUGCCGCCAUCUCCUCGAGGCCGCGUGCUGCUGAUCUCCUCGCUGCUCGCGCCGCCCAUUGCCAGACAUGGAACACAAUCCUUCUACGAGGGCAGCUGUGCCGGCGCGCGCAAGCGUGGGAGAGCAUCAGCGGCGAGUUGUGGUGACUCAUGUAGGUGUCAGCGAGGUAAAGGGCGAGCUGCGCCGACAUGGACGAGCACCCACGAGUUACGGUGGCUUGGGCGGGCAUCGGCCAGGCAAGGACGGGCUGUGCCGACGCGUGUGCAGACGUGGACGAGCACCUCGGAGUUGUGGUGGCUCGCAUGGGCAUCGGCCAGGCAAGGACGAGCUGUGCUGGCACGCGUGCAAAGAUGGACGAGCAUCGAGGAGUUGUGGUGGCUCGCGCGGGCAUCGCUAGGCAAGGACGAGCUGUGCCGGCGCGCGUGGAAACGUGGAUGAGCAUUGGCGAGGAGCUGCGGUGGCUCGCACAGGAGUUCGCCAGCCGAGGGCCAGCCGUACCGGUGCGCGUGCAGUGAGCGAGCAUCCCCAGCGGUGAGCUGGGGUUGGGCCGAGAGGACCGGCGGCGGGAUGCGGUUGCUCGUGCAGGCGUGAGCGAGCUAUGGCGGCGAGCUGCUGUGGAUGUUGGAAUAAGCCGUGCCGAGUCAGGCGAGCCGGUGCGCGCGAGCGUGCGCGGUGGGCGCGUCCGGCUCGAGCCGGAGCAGGCCAGGGUGCGUGUGUGCGUGCCCGGUCGUAGGUGUGCAUGUGUGUGUGCGGGUCAGCGCGUGUGUGCGUGUGGCUGCAUGGGCCGUAGCGAGGUUAGGGGGAGUGGACCGCGUCAGGUGCGUAGCGUGGCCGCGGCGAUCGCGUGCAGGCGCGAUCGGAGCGCGCGAGCCAGAGCGCUGUGGGGCGUGGCGAGUGGCGAGUGGGCACGUUCGAGCGUGGCCCGGCAUGUCGGAGCUCGCGGGCAUAAAAGCCACUCCACCCCUGUGUAAUCGCUGAGGCAAUCGAGUUCGUGCUCGAGGAGAAAAACAGAAAAACCCAUACGUGCCGGAGGGCGUUCGAGCGCCGGUAAAUCUUCUGUGUUCGUCUUCCUCCCCUCCGGUCGUGUCUCCGGUGAUCACCGUCGGGUGCCGCAGGCCGCGGUUCCAACAUUUGGUAUCAGAGCGAGGCGACGAGGCGCGGUGAGAGAGCUCGCCGGAGGACAUGGCGCUGGUUCCACACGGCGGCGGAGGCAGCGCGGGCGGUUCGGUGCCUAUGGGGAUGCCGAUGCUCGCGCCGGACGGCUACACCGUGUGGGCGAUCAAGGCGCAGGCGAUCCUUGAUGCCCACGCACUGUGGGAGGCGGUGGCGCCGGCGGGCGACGCGGCGGUGAACGCGAAGAAGUGCAAGACGGCGCGAGCGCUCCUCCUGUCGGGGCUGCCGGAGGAUGUGCUGCUCUCGGUGGCGACGAAAGCCACCGCCAGAGAGGUAUGGGACUCUCUGAAGGUGCGCUUCGUCGGCGCCGAGCGGGUGCGCGCGGCGAGGAGGGCGACGCUGCGCGGCGAGCUGGAUCGGCUCCGGAUGGAGGACGGCGAGACCCUGGACGCGUACGCCGUGCGGCUUGCGGGCAUGGCGGCGCGGUUCGCGGGGCUGAGGGAGACGCUGGGCGAGACGGAGCUGGUGAAGAAGCUCCUGGACACCGUGCCGGACCGCCUCUUCCCCGUCGUCGCCGGCAUCGAGCAAUUCUGCACGCUGGAGGAGCUGACGCACGACGAGGCGCUCGGACGGCUGCGUGCUUUCGACGAGCGGGUGCGGCGUCGUAGGUGUGCGUGUGUGUGUGCGGGUCAGCGCGUGUGUGCGCGUGGCUGCAUGGGCCGUAGCGAGGUUAGGGGGUGUGGACCGCGUCAGGUGCGCAGCGUGGCCGCGGUGAUCGCGUGCGGGCGCGAUCGGAGCGCGCGAGCCAGAGCGUUGCGGGGCGUGUCGAGUGGCGAGUGGGCACGUUCGAGCGUGGCCCGGCAUGUCGGAGCUCGCGGGCAUAAAAGCCACUCCACCCCUGUGUAAUCGCUGAGGCAAUCGAGUUCGUGCUCGAGGAGAAAAACAGAAAAACCCGUACGUGCGGGAGGGCGUUCGAGCGCCGGCAAAUCUUCUGUGUUCGUCUUCCUCCCCUCCGGUCGUGUCUCCAGUGAUCACCGUCGGGUGCCGCAGGCCGCGGUUCCAACAUUGGAUUCGUGCAUGCAUAUCAACGAGCUACAGCGGCGAGCAAUCGUGAUGACAAGGAUGAGUGCCUCGCAGCAAUCCGAUCGAUCCAAACAUUUCAAGCACGCAUCAGAUAUGGAUUCAGGGGUAGUUUGGUCCUUUUAGUAGCCAGGAAAUGGAAAAGAGAAAAAAAAAAGCAAUGGAAAAGGAAAAUGGCAUGGUAAUCAAGAUGCACACGAGCUGAGUGGCAUUUUUAGGAAACCAAUCUUGAAAAUGGCAAUUUUGAGAAGCUUCAUAAUGAAAGUGGCAAAUAGCCAAUUUUCUCGCCUCUCUCCCUCUUGCCCACAAAGUCAUCGCCGCCGCCGCCGCCGCCAAUGCCCGCCGCUUCCGGCGACCUCCGGUGCCGUCCAGCACGCCCCCGAGCUCCCUACGGUCCACGCCUCCCUCCCCUCCGUCCAGAUUCUCCACUCCCGUCCUCUAUCACCCGCGCGCAACCUCACCCUCGAUCUAACCCGUCGUCUUUGAGGCGUGGUCGGCGAGGAUCCUGGCGAGGUAGCCUCAUGAGAGGUGCCGCUGAGGUCGGGCGACGGAGUAGAGGAAGACUUGUCAGCCCACGGCCCCGCGUCUCUUCUCGGCUGCAGGACCAAUGAGGUGGUCGUCGUCCCGAUCCAUGAUUGUUGCUAUUGGAGUAUUGGUCAUGGCUCAGGGUCGUGUGUGCCUACUCUCUCUUCUAAUCCAUGGAGAUGGAGGCGAGAUCCAGCAGCAGCGUGCGGCCAUGUACUCGUGGCAGCUACUCGAUCCUUGAUCCUCUUGCGGCCCCGUUGAGGAGGGUCUGGGGCAGCUGCGGCUUGCGCGCUCUCUGUCCCCAUCAACCGCUAGCCCUGCCUCCACUUUGAAGCCCGUGAGUGGCAUCUAAUAUGCCCUUUGCUUGGUCAAUACAAACUGCAAAUAGAGAGAUGACCCAAUGACUAAUCAAGUCAAAUGUUGAUUAGAUCAGAAGAUAGAUACAGGGGAAGAAAACAAGCUUGGCGGCUGCAAUGCUCUGGUUCAAUGAAAGGUAUCAGGCAGGAACUAAAAAGCUAUCGUUGCAUCUUACCAUGUUAUUUUCUCCAUACAGUGAUACAGCUUUUAAACUAUGCUUGCGUCCGUACCUAAUCUUCUGACUUUGUGAUGUCUAUAUCCAGUAUAAAGCACUAAUUGUCUUUGUGAUGCCUAUAUGCAGCGAAAUUGUAGCCUAAAUCAGCGUGAUAUUUGGCGAUUUCCCGCAAUCUCCUAUGAUUACUGCAUGCAAAUCGUGGGACGAAUUACUAGCGGCGAAUGAGAUGCGAACGCGGCCAAAUCACCCGUGAUUUGAAAUCAUAGUAUAAAGUAGUUCGGCUUGAUAUUCAAUAUUGAGUGUUCAUACAUAUGAUUAACAUCAUACCAUCUGGUUUUGUAAGUAUUAUAUCUCAGGGAUGCUUAAAACUGUCACCAUCUAGCACUACUUUUCCAUGGCUGCAAUCAUUAAUAUUAUAAUUCUUUUAUUUUACAGAAUUAUCUGUUCAAUUGCUUCCGGUCACAGAGUAAGGAGGGCCAUCUUUUUCAACCAUCAAAUGAGUUUUACAUUUGUUGGUAAGUGUCCUACUCUGAAAUUGUUUGUAAGAUAGUGCUUUAUUCAGUAUAGCAAAGGGAAGGAGCCUCGGUUGGUAGCUAUGGAGUUGUGUGAUCCUUCGUUGGAAGAAAAAUUGGUGCCAAACUGAGAGACUGACUGCUUUUUAUAGUAGCAUACUGUUGGUUGUUAAUUUUAAGUGUAGCAUCAGUUUUUUCAGGCAAUGAAGUUAUGCUCACGAUGUGGAGAACUUCAAGGAUAACCUGCCUGAACAGUUUCUACCUGAUUAGUGAGCUAGGCCAUUUACUAUACAAUUAGUUAUUUUGCUGCAAGUUACUCCCGUUGCUUCUAAAUACUGCACUUUUGGUUGCAUUUUGCAACUAAAAAUGAAGUACAAGAAGCGUAGUAGUUUACUUUAGUAGAAAUUAUAUAUUCCUUUACUCCACUACUGUGAACAUGUACCUGAGUAGGUAAUUGCUCCUAAAAGAAACCUAAUUACUAUAUUGGCAACCUAAUCAUGAGAUAAUUUUCAUUCUACCAUUGUACAGUGCACAUUAGUAUCAUCUAAAUCCAUAUGUCCUCGGGGGUUUCUCUUUGCUGGCAAAUUGAUUCUUGCAAUCAUAGUGAAAGGCCAACAAUAAGGCACUUUACACUGAGGAAAUCUGCUUAAGUAUUUAUUUUUGUGCUAAGAUUUCAAAAAAAGUUCCAACAUUAAUAUGUUUACUUCGAUAAAUAUUGAACUGAGGCACCCACCCAUACAUGUAUAAGCUCCCCAAAAAAUAAAACAAUAUGCAAAGAAUUGUGCAGCUUUCGGGCUAUAAGCUUUAGACAUUUUCGUAAGAAAUGCUGAAUGUUAGUAUCAAUUGAAUCAAUUUGACCUUAUAUGAAGUGCAGGUACCGGUUAAAUCUCUAGAUCUGUAAUUUAUUCAGCUGUAACUUGAUUUUCUUUUCACUUCAUUUUUUAUAAAUGCCAUGUAGUCGGUUAUAACAAUGAUAUUUUUUGGGGGGGUUGAGAGAGAAAUUGUGUGUCUGCUUUGGUACUCCCCUGCCUCCUCACCGCCGACUACAAGAGCACGCACCGGACACGGUUGUCCCCGCGGCAGCCCGUGUUCCAAUGGGAUGACCUUUGGAUGGAGAACCUCGCGGCCUCCCCCGCCUCUCUGCCACCAUCGAUGCCUCAAGGUAUGUAUGCUUUUCUAGGUGCUUGCUAGCUUCAACUUGGUGAGGACGACUACCUAUGGAGUAAAGUUGAAGGUCCCCUGCUCCUGUUGUUCUUCAGGACUUUUUUCUUUUGCUCAAACCAGCAUAAACUAUUCGGAGUUUUAGAUGGAAAAUUGGUCCUGUGCUUCCUCAUGAAAUACAAGGAAAGCUCAAUAGUUCAGAGAAAGAGUACUUCAGGAGCCACUCUUCAGCCAUUAAGUCAUAUAUCUCAGAAGUGCAUAUAGAUUCAACAGUGGUAUGUAUAUUUCCAGUUUCACUUGAUUUUGGGUGACGAACUAUUACCAGACUUUUUGUACAUUUUUUAUAGGGCAUGGUCCCCCCCAAGGAUCCUUAUAUCCAGGUUCAGGUACUGGAGCACUUUGGUGAAGUAUCUCUUGGUGACCAUUCCAUAUCGUUGACCAAAAUCUGCUCCACUUCCUUAGGCGCACAGAUGCAGAACAAUUUAUAUCACAGGUUUGCUAUCUAUUACGCUGUAUUUUCCCACUCUGAAAUUUGAAUAUUUCCAGUGCGAAUAAUAUUCUGUUUAAUUUUAAUAGGGUCUCAUGGAAGAAUUUCUGGAGUAGGGAUCACAUAUGGUGUAAAAUAGGUAUAGCUCCUCAGUCCUCACUGUGAUCUUGUUAGUUACUUAUACAGCAGUGUUAACGUAAUACAGUGACCAGUGCUGGCAGCAUGUCUUAGAUAUGUAAAGGCUUGAUGCUUAUUGAAUACUUUUUUCACUUGACACAUGACUUGUACUAUUAGCUACCAACUUUGAAAUUGUGUUGUGCAUUUUGACCUUAUUUUUUGAAUCAAUGUAUGUGAGCUGCAGAUUUUAAUUACCACCCACAACAUUUUCUUCGUUGCUACAGUCUGGUGGAAUAUGCACUCUUGAGGUUCUGAUCGAGACUUUAUGAAAAAGGAAAGAACAUAUGCUAUCUUCAGGUGGCUCUCUGUUCUUCGGCCAUUAAAUUCGUCACUGAAUAAUGAAAUCCACUUCAAUCCUAACGUUUGACCAGGGAAAAUUUAGUUAUGCAUAUUUAUGAGCACUGGUCUUAAUCUUUUUUUAGAUAAGCAAGCUCUUGACUUGAUUAAUAAUGCCCUAUGGGAAGUGGAGGCACACGAGUUGGGAUUAUCUGCAUCGCCUCCAGCAGCAUCGGAUUCACGGAAUCAAUGUAGCAGCUCUUGCGAGAGAGUUAGCUUUGGUGUUUAUUUUCAUGUUUAACUAUUUGGAUGUGUUCUUUUGAAUACUUCUGAUUGUCUGCAUAUAGUGUAUCUAAGCACUCUUCAUUUUCUUUAUUAUUAAGAUGACUAAACUUUGGAUAUUCUUUCAUACAUUUGAUAUUUAAUUGUGUAUUGUGUACUGUUAUGUUGGUAGAUCAGAAAGUGAGACUUUAAACCGUUUUGCCAUGGCCAUAUAGUUAGCUACUUGGAGUACAUUAGAUGCACAGGUCCAUGAUGUAUGACACAAGACCUCCCAAUUGACUGGGGAUGUUUAAAUAGAUAAGAGAAGAUUCAUAUGAUGUUUUCCUACACAUCUAACUAUAAAUCCUAGAAGUGAGUUUUUAGUAAUUUGCUUAUUAAAUGAUCGUGUUGUUGUUUAAUUUGGCCCGAUUUAUUUUUGUGGAACGUACAUGAUUGUCUAUAGUUUCAUUUGGCCUGAAACAAAAUAAGUUGUAUUCACUCCAAACCUGCGUAUUUGUUAACAGUUUUUUGUGUUUGUUUUGGUCGACAGUUAACCAGGAGCUGCAAGGCAAAUUUUACAGAUUUUAUUUCAAAUGCUUGUAGGUUUCAUUUUCACAGAAUUUGCUGCACACGCAACCUAACGCGGCGAGGUUGCACCUUAAGUACCAUAAGUAUUAAAGUGCAGUUUAAGCUCAGUUACUCAGAAGCUUAAUUUGUUGUAAAGGUGAUGCAGAUUGGAGGAGGUUGUCCCUAUCAACACCAGAAAUAUGCUUGUGAUUGAGGACAACGAGCCGACAGCCAGAUGGCCUGCGCUCACCACGUUACCGGAACCACCAUCUCCAUAGUCAGGACCAUCUAGAAGCACAUGGAGAACCAUAACUUCUAUACCAGUUGCUUUAUCUGAAAGCAGACUUUGGAAGAUAUAUAUUUUUUCCUGUUUGUGUCAUAUUUUUGGACAAUUGGUUGGUUAUAUUAGUGCAUAUUCAGUGCUUUACAGAGCCGCAUAUACAGGUAAUUGUUUUUUGGUCUGUCAUAGGUGAUAUGUACUGCUGCUACUCUUUUUUAUCAUUGUAAUCUAAGAGUUACUUAAUUUGUAAUCUAGGGUAGUUAGUGACUUUGCUGGGAUCAAAUGUACAUUUCUAGGAAUUGCCUGCAUGCCAUUUAAUGGCUAUUUGUUCAUGUCACAUACAUGUAGGUUUUGCUAAACAGAUGCAGGGCUCUUCAAAUAGGAAGAUUUACAAUUGUUAGUAUUGUGUGGUACCUGAUUUAGAAAAAAUGUAUAUUCACGGCCAACUCAGUUUAGUGGCUUAUUCUUAAAUUUAUGCUCAUCGCCAUACAUUUCUUUCCCCCACUUUUGUGUCUAGAUGGUCUUUAAUUAUUUUUUUGUUAUGGUGUGCAAUGAUUAAAUAAAUGUUUGUACUUAUCAUUCAGACCAGUCAUCUUUUGUUUUCACCACUUCAUAAUAUCAAAUUGAUGAAGCUGAAGCAGCCCAGUUUGUAGGAGAAGUUGGCCCAGUUUGGCCUCGACAACAUUUUUUUGACACAUUCUGGCCCCAACCACAUUCUUUUCCUCGAGUACAGCCAAUUUGUUCUCUAGAAAGAAAAAAAAACACAAUUAGCGGUACUGGCUACUGGUCGCCUGAGCUUGGACAGAGGGUGCAGAUACUCCGUGUGCAUCUGGACCAUGAUAUAUCCUUCGAUGAUUGGCCAAACUUUCAAAGUGUGCCAGUUAGGGCAUCUCCAGCCGUUGGCCCCCCCCAGGAUGCAUAAAAAUCGUCCCCUGGGGGCGAGCCGGCGAUACACUCGGCGUUGGGGGCGGUUUUGCGCCCAGUGGUCGCCCCCAGCUUGCCCCCAGGCGCCGAAAUUGUCCCACUUUGCAGCCCAAUUUCGGCGAAUAAACGGCCCAUAUGGGCGAGAAUAGGCCCAUAUUCGGUGUGGUUUCGCCAUUUCUCGGCGUUCAAUUAUCAACACAAUUAUUCCUUAUCACAUAUUUCAUCACAGAAAAAUCAAGUACUUCAACAAAAUACUACAACAACAAAUAGUUCAAUACAAAUUAUAUAGUUCAACAAAUAAAAACUCGUAUUUCAUCAUGCGGCGUCCCCCUUGAGCCUCCAUAGGUGCUCAAUCAGAUCCUUCUGCAGUUGAUGAUGUACCUGUGGUUCUCGGAUCUCCUGACGCAUACUGAGAUAGGCAGUCCAAGUUGUCGGUAGCUGGUGAUCAAUUUCGGCUAGAGGUCCCUGCCUGUAGUAUGGUUCAGUGUCAAACACUGGGUCUUCUUGCUCUCUCUCGAUGAUCAUGUUGUGCAAGAUGACACAGCAAGUCAUGAUCUCCCACAUUUGAUCUUUCGACCAGAUCUGAGCGGGGUACUGAACAACAGUGAAUCGAGAUUGGAGCACACCAAAUGCCCGCUCGACAUCCUUCCUGCAAGCCUCCUGAAGCUUCGCAAACCAGGCGUUCUUGCCUCCUGCCACAGGGUUUGAGAUCGUCUUCACAAAUGUCGACCAUCUUGGAUAGAUGUCGUCAGCUAGAUAGUACCCCUUGUUGUAUUGGUGCCCAUUGAUCUUGAAGUUCACCGGAGGAGAAUGGCCCUCAACGAGCUUGGCAAAAACAGGAGAGCACUGCAGCACGUUGAUGUCAUUAUGAGUUCCUGGCAUACGAAAGAAGGAGUGCCAAAUCCAAAGGUCCUGUAUGGCUACCGCCUCAAGCACCACACUGCAACCGCCUUUGGCGCUUUUGUACAUCCCCUGCCAACCAAAUGGGCAGUUCUUCCAUUUCCAAUGCAUGCAGUUGAUGCUUCCAAGCAUCCCAGAAAAUCCUCUUGCUGCAUUCUGGGCUAGGAUCCGAGCAGUGUCUUCCGCAUUGGGUGCUCUCAAGUAUUGUGGCCCAAACACUGCCACCACUGCCCGACAGAACUUGUAGAAACACUCUAUGCUGGUGGACUCGGCCAUGCGCCCAUAGUCAUCGAGUGAAUCACUGGGAGCUCCAUAUGCAAGCAUCCUCAUCGCUGUCGUGCACUUCUGGAUGGAGGUGAAUCCAAAAGCGCCAGUGCAAUCCAUCUUGCACUUGAAGUAGUUGUCGAACUCCCGGAUGGAAUUCACAAUCCUGAGGAAGAGCUUUCGGCUCAUCCGAUAACGGCGCCGAAAUGUUCUCUCGCCAUGAAGUGGAGCAUCGGCGAAGUAGUCGGAGUAGAGCAUGCAGUAGCCUUGCAGACGAUGACGGUUCUUUGCUUUCACCCGCCCAGGGGCCGAGCCACCUCGACGCGGCUUUUCAUUGCUCGCCAGCAGCUGGGCGAGGGCGGCGAGCACCAUCAGAUGCUCUUCUUCCUGGACGUCGGCCGCGGCUUCCUCCUCCAGCAGCGCGGCGAGCUCUUCCUCCUCAUCCGAGUCCAUCGCCGAGACAGUCAAAACGCCGAACACCUUGCGCUCGGUGGGCGUGUACCCGCCGUUAAACCACGCCUCCGUGGCCGGAAACGGCGGCCGGAAAUGCCCAGCUGCUGCGGGAGGGGCUGCCGCGACGAAGCGCUGCUAUUUUCCGGCGGGGAAUGGCUAUCUAGCGGAGAAGGCCGGCGACCGUCGCCGGGAUAUAGCUAGUGGUGGCCGAGGGCGCGGGGGGUGCGAGGCGAGUCGGGGGAAGAAAACCUUGACUUUUUCCCUGUCGGUGUGGGCCAGGCGUGCUUUUCCCUAGCGCCGGAGCCCCCAACGGCUCCCCAGCACGCCGGGUUCGGCCUGUGACCGCCGGGCGGAAAAAAGGUCUGAACCGGCGAUUUUCGGCGACCUGGGGGCGCGACUGGGCCGUUUUUUCGGCGCCGGUGCCGAAAAAGUGGCCUGGCGGGGCCUGGGGGGGGGGGCGGCUGGAGAUGCCCUUAGUGGUCCGCCGUGAUCCAAACCAACGGACACAAAAGGAAGUCACUCAUAUUCAUCGUGAUGCUCACGGUCGUGGGAGAUUUGGAAUGAGUGGAAUGCCCGGGUAUCCCGGAACAUUUACACCUUGCCAACAACGAUCUUUGCAGAGAUAAAGCGUGAGGCGGCACGUUGGGGCAUCGCUGAGGCAAAACACUUGAGAUGAUCAUACCGCGAGAGUAAUUUCUUGCAUGUUAUUGUGCCCUCGGGCAAGUGGACAACGGCCCUGAGGUCAAUGGUCCUGUUGCAAUGGUCUUCCUCAACGACAACCUCCCCUGACAAAGGAUGAAAUGAGGCCAAGCUUUGACAAUUAUUAAAAUUGGAUAUAAAAAAUGGUGCACAAUGAAGCAUGAAGUAGGUCGUGCCUUUUUUUUUGUCCGGUGCAACAUAUGGGCAUUUGUACUAGUAUAUACAAAUAUAAAUAGUAGGUAUGUGCUUGUGCAUCGUCACCGAGAGCAAAUAUUUGUUAGCACAAUAUUAUGAUACAAAUCUUGAUGCAAAAUAAAUAGAGAAAUAAAAUUAUGUUUUGAAUAUAUAAAACACAUUAUUUAUCAUUUAUUAAACUGGCAAAAUAGUAUAAGUACAUAGAUAAGCGGCGGUUGCCCGACUUUAGCAAAAUGAAGCCUUUAAGAUUUAUUUAUAACAAAUAAUUUACCGAAAAAGGGUUUCCCCCGCUUUUACAUUAUAAAGCAACCAACACUGAUCCAUAACAACUACCGGGGCGAGAAGCACAUCAAGCCCAAAAGAAAAAGAAAGAAAGCCCAAAAGAAAAAGAAAGAAAGAAACACAAAUGCCAACAAAGGCAGCUCGACAAAGCACGGAUGACCCGCCACCGCUGCGCCCUAUGGAUUCGUCCCACCACAGUUCAAGGCUUCGAACCGCCGCGUACCAAGCAACACCUCCAAGAAAAAAUGCAACGCCAACGUCGUUGUUGUCCGGACGUGUCCUAGGGUUUCCCCGGCACGCGAGAGGAGUGGGGGAUGGACACCACCGACACCCUUUAGGAAGGAAUGACGACACCCACAGGAGGCACCACGUCCAUGCCGGAUGAACCGGCAGGGAUUUCUCUCGCAUGCCAAACUCCACUGCCCAACCGAUGCGGAACCAACCAGUAACUUGCCGCCCACCAACAUGGGCCAUCGCGGUCUUGAUGCCACCCACACUGCCUCACUGAGAUCACCACCACGAGGCCGAGAGGACAGAAAGAGGAGUGCCAGGAAUCGGGAGUGGCAGCAUCGGAGCCGCGCGGGAGGAAACCACCUCCACUGCCCGUUGUGCGGGAGGCAUAUGCCUCCAGCGUCGUCGCGGUCGUCGUUCGGACGCGGCAGCAGAGGCAUAUCAGGCCACCCCUAGCCUGGCCAUGCCCAAAUCGGGCUCGCAAAGCCCCGACCGCCACGUUGCAGCAGGCCGGCGCGAGCGCUGCCACCAAUGCCGCUCCUCCGCUUCCCGGAAACCACACAUUCGACACGCCCCGCCGCCGCCGCCGCCCCUGCCUAGACCGAGAUGGGGCUCAAAGGGGCCAUAUCUGGGCCGAGCGGGCGCCGCCAUAUCGCACCGCCGAGCCACCCCACCGCGAACGACAACGCCGCCACCGAGCAGAUCACCCUAGGAUCGCGAUAUGCCACCCCGCCGUCGCAUCGGACCGCCGCCGCCUAGGUGUACCCCAUGGCUCCGCUCUGCCCCUGUGUCGGCGUGUCACCAAGAGGGGAAAGGCCAGGGGCCGCCGGUGCCGGCAGCGCCUAGGUGCACCCCACGGCUCCGCCCUGCCCCGCAUCGGCACGCCACCAAGAGGGGAAAGGCCAGGGGCGCCGGCGCCGACGCCGCUCGGGCCAGCGACGACGACGGGAAGGGAGGAACAUGGGAGGGCUCGAGGGGAGACGCAGCCGAUCACCCGCGGGGGCGACGCGGUCACGAGGGAGGGGGUCCCAUAACAAAUAAUUUGAUAAAACACAAUACAUAAAGUAGUAGUAGGAUUUCUGUUUGACACUAUAGAUAUUGAUCUUUUCUCUAAAAAUUUGGUCAAAUAUAUACAUGUUUGUUUUUCGUAAAAACUAGUAAUACAGUAAAUCUUAUACUCCAUCUGUAAAUCUUAUACAUAACAACUCGAAGGGAGUAUUAGUUGGUGUACGAGAGCCUGAGCUAACUCUAGUUCUGAGACGCUCCACAUGUCGCGGCGCUUGCUGCAAGAUAGCUACGCGACAGGUCACUCGGCAAAGAGAGAGCUGAGGAAUUGGGCCAAACUGUAAAAAACCAUUCCAGAUCUCACAUUCACAAGUCACAGCGACAGGCCGACAACGAUCCUCAUCAAUCCCCCCUUUCCCCUCCUCCCCUUCCCAGCCCUAGAAACAACCCGCGGCGCUCCACCGUGCGAGGCGACAGGCGCUCGAUCCCUCCACCCCCCUCCGUCUCCCCGGCGCUCCCCUCCCCGUGAUUUGCAAACUCGGUCCGCUGGGUCGCACCAGCCACCGCGGGCUGCUCGGCUGCUCGAACUGUUGCCGUUGAACAAGGUAAGGGCAGACGCGUUCUUUUGUUGCUCCGUUAGGUUAGCACUACAUGAUAAUGCCUGGUGUUUUGUCUGGACAGCGAAAAUUUUCAACUAGUGCUGCUCUGGCAAAAUCGAUCUGUUAAAGUUGGUGGUUUUUAGAGUGGCAAACGUUGUUGUAAUGCUGUUGAUGCAAAUUUUACCUCCCAUGGUCCUUUCAGUAUAACAAAUGUACACAAGGGCAGGGAAAAGAGCAUGCUCGUCAUUGUACAGCCAGCUCUCACCUUACCACGCCUCACACAUCUGUCAAUUUGACCUUGUUCUCGAAAAAGGACAAUCUGCAAUCCGCAAUUCAAGUUCUCCAUCUAGCUCAUUUUAGUCCCUUUUUGCGUGCAAAUGAUGUGCGAGGGUGCAGCCUGUUUCCAUUUUCUCUACUGUGCAUUGUUUUGGCAUUUCUCUGCUGGGCAUUAUUAUGACAUCUUGCAUCUCUAUAAACAUUAUCUGACUUCAUCUUUUGAAGAAGGUAGUGGUAAAAUUGUUCUUUUGUUCUUCUGGCAACCUCAUCUAGUUAAUACUAGUACAUAGUAAUGCCUACUAUUCUGGAUAAUUAAUUUCUCAACAGCAACGUUUUGAGUGGUAAUUUUUCUUGAGAGAGUGGCAAAUGUUUUGAUGGUGCUGAGUCAAUUCCCUCUUCUCGCAGGCAGAGGCAGAAGCUACCUAAACCUGUUUUAAUCUGCUGAUCAGUGGCCAUGGCUGGAUCCAGCUGGAUGAUGCUCGACCGCUUUGUCUUCCACAGGGAUGACGAGGAAGAGGGCAGUCCCUUCCUAGACGAUUCCAAGGUGCCUUUCAGGGCAAGUUUGCGCACCUCUCUUGGCAAGAAGUUUGACAUCCUCUUCCUCCCCGCCAAGCCCCCGGCCAUCUCCCGCUUCUACAUGCGGUGGCCUGACGGUACAAAGUCGGAGGAUGCCAAGGGAACCGAGCUCGUGGCCACUCACUGUGAUCUGGUUCUCUUCAGGCAAACUUCUUUUGGAAGAUUGGGCGAGGACGGUCUCUUACCGAUCAUACAAGACCACUUUAUCUGUGUAGCGUCGUGUGAGACUAAGUCAUCCCUGCAGCUCAAACGGCUCCCUUCCUGCAACAAGCCAAUGAUCUUCCCUUUUGGAGAGGAAGAGGAGAAGGCAGUGGCUGAGCAGCGUGUGUUCUUCCCGGACACCGUAGGACUCAUCCGAGGCCAUGGCGAAAGCGUUGAAGCAAAAUUUGCAGUGGCGCAACUGGCUAUGGUCAGCGAAAUACCUGGCACGCUCAAGAUGGAAGCAGAAGUUUGUGUGUUCUGCUCACUUGUAUAUGGUAAUGAUGGUGAUGGCAAAUGGGAUGUGAGGAAGAUACCUAUCGACCAUAAGGAGGAUGAGCAUAAGGCGUUAUACUAUUGGUCAACUGAUGCUGUCAUCACAUUCAACUCUUGCAUUUGUUGGAUCAACUAUUAUAGAGGCGGUAUGCUAGCUUAUGAUGUACUUGAAGAAAAGCCCAAGAUCUUAUACCUCAGAUUGCCUAUUGUUGACCGUCCUAGAAGUUCAGCUCAAGGCAAAGCAUUCUAUGAGGUGAAUCGCAGUGUGUGCCCCACGAUGCAGCUGAGCAAAAAGGGCACCAACAACUCUGUUCUCAAAUUCACUGAUGUUAUCCGCUCUGAUGGGGAGCCGUUUGGGCCACUUGGGAAAG
RNAcentral lists this long non-coding RNA (350377 nucleotides) under Triticum aestivum (bread wheat). Its description in RNAcentral is "long non-coding RNA (TAES_LNC026746)". The stretch from base 16791 to 16925 matches the Rfam family "MIR1120/MIR1122 microRNA precursor family". The record is from RNAcentral. Lineage: Eukaryota; Viridiplantae; Streptophyta; Magnoliopsida; Poales; Poaceae.